This 210835-nucleotide long non-coding RNA is filed under the name Vitis vinifera (wine grape). RNAcentral's name for it is "long non-coding RNA (VVIN_LNC002833)". The record is from RNAcentral. Lineage: Eukaryota; Viridiplantae; Streptophyta; Magnoliopsida; Vitales; Vitaceae.
UUCACAUUUAGAGACACUGAACCCAAAUCAAAAUUAAUCCUUCAAAUUAAUUUUCACCUCCAAACAUAGCUAUCCGAAAAACCCUAACCUCUGCCUCCUCUUCCUCUUAUCCCGGAAACCUAAAUUCCGUGACCCUAACCCCUUCUCUUUCCGAAAACCCUCCGGAAUCGGAAAAUUCAUAAUUCUUCAGAAUUAAUUUUCACCUCGAAGCCAAACCCUAACUGCCUCAUCUUCCUCUCAUUCAUAUCCCAAAAGUAGCUUCAACAGUCAGGCCUGUAGCCAUGAAAGCCGUAGUGAUCACUACUUCCGGUGAUCCCCAAGUUCUCCAAGUGCAAGAAGUCGAAAACCCUGAAAUUGGAGAUGAUGAAGUUCUAAGUAGAGUGGACGCCGCUGCCAUUAACCGAACAGAUACGCUUCAGAGGAAGGGCUUGCACCCUUCCUCAAAGGCGGCAGUCCCUACCCGGGUCUCGAAUGUUCUGGAAUCAUCGAAGCUGUUGGAAAAGCCGUCGUUCGAUGGAAGGUUGGCGAUCAGGUAUUUCAAUUGCCUAAUAUUUUGAUUUCGUUUCUGUUCCUCUGUUUUUCUCGGCUAUCAAACACUAGGAACGUGUAAAUAAGGAGGUUAGUUGAUUGCGAAAACGGGAAUUUUUUGUUCGUGUCUGUGUUAAGGAGUCUUUGUUGAGAAUUUUGGGGAAAUUUAUGAUAAGUUUGUGAUUUUAUGAUUAAUUUUGUGUAUCAAUAUAGGUUAAAUUAUUGAGCUUAUUGGUUUUCAAAUUUAUGGUUGUAAGAAAAUUGGUCAGUGUAAGGUUAUGGGAUCAUUACCAAUUUGCUUACUGAAAAUUUUUCCAGAUAUUGUGGACCGGUUUGGUAGCAGAAAUAAGAACUGUGUUUUGUUUUUCAAAACGGAAAUGGAUGCAGAAAACAUGUUUUUCUUUCAGAACUUGUUUCCGAAAAUAUUUCCUGAAAAUGAAUUAUUUCAGAACUUGUUUUAAAAAAAUUCAAACACUUUAUCAAUUUAAAAGGUUCUGAAAUGGACAUGUUCAUGGUCUUCAUUUUUUAAAAUUAAAGCUUUUAUGAAAAAACCAUUUUCCCUUCUACUAAACAAACAGGCUCUAUAUUGUAACAGAUCGAUUGGCCAUUUCCUUUGUCAUGUUUUGUGAAUCAUGGCAACACUGGAAUCCACUCCAUUACCAUCUGUUAGUGAUUAGAAGACAAAGCACCAAUUUUAAUGAUAUCCUUUAUGUGAUUUUGCUUCCUCCUGAGUACAAGUUCAUAGUAUACAUGGUACAUGGUGAAUCUGUAUGACAGUUCAUGGUAUACAGGUGUGUGCUCUUCUUUCUGGUGGAGGGCAUGCUGAAAAAGUGGCUGUUCCAGCUGGGCAAGUUCUCCCUGUCCUAUCUGGUGUUUCUCUGAAGGAUGCUGCUGGAAUUCCUGAGGUUGCAUGUACUGUUUGGUCAACUGUUUUAAUGAUGAGCCGACUGUCUGCAGGAGAAACAUUCCUGGUGAAUUUUUUGUCUUUUUUAUUUUCUGAUGCCUGAUAUAUUUACCAGCACAAAUUUACCCUGUUGCUGUUUAAUGUGUGUGCAUCAAUAUUGGAUUAGGGAGGUAGAAGAGCCAUGGUUCUAAUUAAAUCAUUACAUCAUCAUAUUCUUAUUUAGAUACAUUGUAUCCCACAAUUUCAUUGCAUCCAAGGCUAUGUUGUUUUUUAUUGCACGGUUUGUGUCAUGGUAAUUUCUCAACCCUUCUCUGGAAAAUUAUGUUGGAUGGCUGCUAUUAAUUACCCCAAAAGAAGAAAUUUUAUGUUGAAGUAAGAUGAGUAGCACAAAGAGUUACUUGUGGUUGAUCCUAUCAUCAAAUGGGCGAUUGAUGCACAAUCCAAAUGGUAAAUUUUUUUCCCCCUUUAUCCAGAUGGAAUUUUUAUGCAUGGUUGAAUAGUGAAAUGAGGACUGAUAAUAUUUCAGGUUCAUGGGGGUUCAAUUGGAAUUGGUACCAUCUAUUCAAAUAGUGAAAUACUGAGGAGCAAGGGUAUUUGUUACAGCAGGUUUGCCAUCACUGUUCUACCUCAUCUCACAGAAUGCUUAUCUCAUGGCACCAAUUCCUUUUCUUCACAUGUUUUCAACCAUUUUUUCCACCCAGGAACGAGGAAAAAUUAGCUGUUUGUAAGGAUCAUUGAGCAGAUGUGUGCAUCAAUUACAAGACUGAAAACUUUGUUGCAUGGGUGAAGGAGGAAACAGGAGGGAAAGGUAUAAUCUAUUGUAUCUUAACGAUAAUUUCAAUUGAAGGUGGAAUUGCUUUUUAAUUUUUAGUGCACCAAAUCCACUAGUCUGGAAUGUUUGAAAAGAUAAAUAGUCAUCUUCCACUUGAUACCGAUUGUGAAGAUCUAACCCCAAAAAUGUUGAAUGACAGGUGUUGAUGUUAUACUGGAUAAUAUUGGAGGGGCCUACUUUUGGGGAGACAUCAAUGGUUUAAAUGUUGAUGGAAGGCUUUUUAUUAUUGGUUUUCAGGGUGGAACAGUGGUACAAGUAAAUCUUUCAGGUUUACUUGCAAGGCGCCUUACAGUGCAAGGUACCGCUUUCUCUGUAGUUUUGGAGUUGAAUCAAUUUGAUUAAUCUCAUCCAAGUUCAGAACUGAGGUGGAUUCUGGCAAGCCAAGGAAAAACCAAAUUACCAUAAAUUCUUUUUUUCUUGGAAAUCCUGUUUCUCAAUCUGGUCAGUAUAUGGAAAUUCCAAGGAAAAUAUGUUUUACAUUUUCCAUAAGGCUCAAUGGGUUUUAACUCCACUCAGCUACUUUAUGUCUUGUAUUUAAUAUUGCAAACCAAAAUAAUAAUACGUAGAGAUUGAGCUUGGAGGCCAAUCUAGCAAAUGUGGAGAUUAGAAAUAGUUUACCAUCUAGAUAGUCAAGCAUAGCAAUUUACCAAACCCUUACCAACCAUCCAUACUAACCAAUUGUGGUUAAAUGUUUACAAAAAUGUACAUUAAAUCAAAGAGAAAAAAGAUUAAAAACGAACAAGAGAGAAGAAGUACGUCACCUAAUUUUGGUAAUAAAUGAAAUUAAAAUAAAUUCAUAAAUUUUUUAAAUUAAAAUGAAUUUGAACUCUAGAGAUUUGUGUAGAUAUCUUAUUAAAAAACCAAAAAGUUUGUUGCAUAUAUAAUUUCAACAAUGCAUAAAUAAUUACAACAUACGCAAUACAAUAAUAUUACACAACUAUAUUUUCAAAUAUAGUAUAAGAUCAUUAAAGUGAUAAAUUGUAGUUGUAUAAAAUAUUUAUACAAGUAAAGAAGAAAUUAUGAGAUUGAAAUGCUUGUUGGAUUCUAAGUAAAAAGGAAAUGAGAUAUAGAGAUUGUCCCAUCAGACAUAGAAUUUCAUAUACAUAAUUUUCCCUUCAAGAAAAUUUAGGGUCAAAUUGAAAAAUUUUCAUUCAUAGAUUUUGGUAAAACCUCUAUCUAGUCCUCCAAAUCUUGUAUACAAAAGGAAAUAACAUUGGUAUGAGGGGUUUGAAUGCUUAAUUUUAGAUUGAAAAUGCUUGAGAUAAUUUUUGAUCGACUUCACAUGUGUUUUUGAUAAACUUGGAACAUUCAAACUUGUAUUUGAAGAAUCUUCAAAUCUUCAAUUUGAUCUUAAAUAAUGUUGAAACCUUCGAAAUUUGAAUAGAAGAAUCUUUAAGCAUUUGAAUUUUGGUUUAAAGAAUUUUGAAAUUUGAGAUUGAAGAAUCUUCAAAUUUGGGCCUGAAGAUCAAAGGCUAAGCUUGAAGAGUUCUUGAAGCUUGAGUGGUAUCUCCGAUUUUGUUUUGUAUUUCAUAAAAACUUUUAAGUAUACUAUAUUUAUAGGUUUGAAGAGACAUUGAGAUUUUGUAUACAUGUUUGGAGUUUUAAACCUUGAAAUAUUACUCUUUUAUGAAAUUAACAUUUAUAAAAUUUGGAAGAACAUAAUUAGAUAAUAUUCUAAGUUAUUUUUAAUGAAAAUUGAUAAUUACCUUUUAAUUAUCAAAUUCACUAUUUCUAUUUAUUUUUGUAAUAUAUAUUAAUUACUAAAAUCAUUUAUUUCCUUUAUUUAGUUUGAAAGCAAUUAUAUAUCUUUUGUUUGUGUAGAGCUCAUGUGACACGACAAAUUUUAUUUUGUAACUUGCUCUGGAUGAAUGGCCAUUAUAAACUUCAUUUUAUCCUCAUCUGAUUUUGAGGUGGGAAUAGGAGAGAUGAGGAUUUGACAUUUGGACCUAAGCCUCAGAGGGUUUUAACUCCACUCAACUACUUUAUGCCUUGUAUUUAAUAUUGCAAACCAAAAUAAUAACAGACAUGAUCCUUUUCAAAAUUUUUAUAAUAAUAGAAGUGUAAAUAAUAUAAGUAAAAAUAAUAUAAUAUUUUUUAAAAUGAUAAAAUAAUAGGUUAUAUAAAUUUUAAUAUAUAGGUAAAAUUAAUUAAAUUUUAACAAAUACCUUCACACUUAAACAUUACAUAUCUUUUAUUUAAUAAAAUGUUAAAAUAUUAAUAUAUUUAAAAUUGUAUAAUUAUUUUUUAUUUUAAUACUAUAUAAAUUAUAUAUUUAUGAUAUUACUGGUUCAACUAUAAUUCAAUCACUGAUCCAACCAUUGAACCAUGAAUUAGUAAAUUUUUUUAUUCAAUGAUAGGUUUGAUUCUAAAAAUAUUAUGACUAUGUUUGGUUCCAGAAAUUUUUUUUUGAUGGAUUACAUCAAUCUAGAUAAUGACAAAGAUAUUACCAAUUUGAUAUCACCAAUUGAUAACACAAUUAAAAAAUAAUAUGCAUUUUAACAUAUUUGAAUUCAUUGUACUCAUAUCCAUGACCUAAUUUUACACAUCCUUAAAUCAUGGUUGAUUUAUGAAACAAAUCUAUACCAUCAAUAGAAAAUAAAUAAAUAAAAUAAUACAAAAAAAUAUAUAGAUAGUCAAGCAUAGCAAUUUACCAAACCCUUAGCCACCAUCCAUACUAACCAAUUGUUGUUAAAUGUUUACAAAAAUAUACAUUAAAUCAAAGAGUAAAAAGAUUAAAAACGAACAAGAGAGAAGAAAUACAUCACCUAAUUUUUGUAAUAAAUGAAAUUAUAAUAAAUUCAUAAUUUUUUUAAAUUAAAAUAGAAAUUCAAAUACAUGUAACUAUUGUUUUUGUCUUGUAAAUCAUCCAAUUUUUCAAUGAAUUUAAACUCCACAUAUUUGUGUAGAUAUCUUAUUAAAAAAAACAAAAAGUUUUCACUAAAAUCAUAAAAUUUAGAUUAGAAAUGAUUUACUAUAUUAGUUCAAAAUUCAUCUCCACAAAAAUUGAAAUAAAUUAAUUAUCUUGAUCAAUUCAAAUAAAAUUUCUCCAAUUAAAUUUCCAAAUAUGUGCCUUAAUACCUAUAAUGGAAUUAGUAAUUUUAAUUAAAAAAUAAAUAAAAAUAAGGAUUUGAUCUUUUUCUUACCAUUUGAUGAAAAUUAUAAAAUAUACUAAAAUGACAAGUGAUCAGACAUUUGAAAUUUGCAUCAUUUCUACCAUUGCAAACACCACCAACUCCAUAUUUCCCAUUUUUCUACCUACUGCCAAUUCACUCAUCUCUCUGGGAAGAUUUUUGAGGUUAUCGCCAUGCUUGAGAUAAUCCAGAAAGUUGAGCGGCAUCACUCUCUGAAAGGUGCCUUACAGCAUGGGUAAUGUAUGGGAUACAUCUGAUAGCUUGCCAUAUCCAUAAACCACUAUAUUAAACCAUGGUUCAUAUCCCCAACGCCACACGAGAAUCUGUACUCAUCCCAAGCAGCUUGGAGAUCAUAAAAUUAGGUUUUGAGGGCCUCCCGAGACAUGCACAGCUUCACCUUUGUGCAUUCCUUUGAUUUGGAAAAUUUCUUCUGUAAAAUCCCCCAUUAUCAUGCCCUGAACCAAGACAAUUUCACAAUAUCCAAUAGCAUAUCAUUUACUUCCAUUUUGUCAAUGGGAAUUACCAUUUUGCAUGGGAAGCACCAACGGAGAUAGGGGUUUUCAAAUUGGAUCACUAGCAAAGAAACCCACCGCAACGAUCUGAAUAAUUGAGCACAACAUCCACUUUAGAGAACCCCUCCUGAAGGCGAAAUCGUCAUCUUGGCUAAACGUAGUCAUAGUUGGGUUGUGAGAAAUGGAGAUGAAUCACAGAAGGCUUUCAGUUUGAUAGCAACGAAAAGGUAAAUGUACUCUAGAGAAGUUUUGACCUUGGGAGAAGCGCUUUUGAAUCCAAGUCAAGGUCUGUUCUGGAUCCCUUUUCGACUCUCUCUAUUAAAGGAAGAUAAUCUGCCCAGGAUUUGGAUGCAAGCCUACAAGGCCAUGUUUAGGAGACUUAUGCAAAAUAUUUAUCCAUAGCUCCCCGCCUGAAACAUCUACAUAAAGCGUCUUCCAAGUGUGAACCAUCGUCUUGGGUCCUUGAGAUGAACAAAAACUGAGACAUGUCGUGAGUUAGAUGCAUUGCCUGAAAAUGCCGAGCAGUAGUAUGGCCUUCUUUCUGAUCAACUGUUUUGUCAAAUUCUAGAGCUCUCAUUCCAAAUCCAUCAGUUUUCUCAAAUGAUUGGCCAGUGGAGAUCCAUGGAUAUAACAUAUGAAAUGUGCACAAUAAAAGUAAUCAAACGGUUGGUUGGUUUGGCUGAAUCCCACAAUCGCAAAGACUUAUCAUAUGAAACUGUUACCAACUGAGUUGAAUUUGGCCUAAAAAGGAUAUCCGUUACUACAAACUAGCGUUCUUUCGUGGUGCUCUCUCUUUGCAGGCUAUCCAUGUUCCAAAGAAAAACUCUCUUGUCAUGUCUGGCACUGGGCACUGAUUAGAGUGUGGGACGUUCAUUCUCCAUUAUCACCAAACACAUGCAGGAUAUAUAUAUAUCAAUUCAUUCAAAAUAUGCCUUUAUUUUAUGGAACAUACCCGAAUCCAUUUUGUUUGUGUUGAAGAGGUAUAGAUCUUCUAAGGCUAUGGAGGGCACCACCUUUUCUCAGAAUUCUCUCUGACGAUGGGAAGCCGAAGAGAACGGGUUUUGUUUUUAUUUUGAAAACGUUGUUAUCCUUAAAGAACAAACACUAUUCUUUGGAUUUAUACCCUCCUACCUUAGGGACCAUACCGUUUGGCUACUGGGCCUCACGAGUCUUAGGCCCAUCAUCUAAGGCCCGUGAUGGCACUGGGCUCUACACAUAAGGUGGCCCAUACUCUAGAACGAAUAGAAAUCAUAUGUAUAUAUAUGGAUAGCUAAAUCCUGAAUAAUGGUUAAUAUGAUGUCGGUCCACAUUUAUUCUAUCAAUCUCCCACUUGGACCACAUAUAUUACAAAACAAUGUUCAUGAUAGUACUUUAUUGAGCUCAUCUUUGCUAUCCUAUCUUAAUAUCCUUAAACAAUCUGGUCUACUAGUUAUGCUAACAUAGGAUCAAAGUGGCCUUCAUUAAUCAUAAUUAUAACUAGACCCAUCAAUGAUCACAACAUUAACAAAAUUAGCAACAUAGAUCAAGUAUGGAUGUGUAGCAUGAAAAUUACAUAAAAUGUGAUCUUUAUUAUGUCUAUUUCCAAUUGGUCCUACUUUAUGACUAAAAAAUAGUCAAAUUCCACUUUCAACACUUGAUGCUAAACUGCUUCUGAAAGUCAUCAUUUCAAUUCAGAGAAUUCAAAUACAAUAGUCUUUAAAAUCAAGGUUUGUUGCGUACAUUAUUGGAAUGUUCAGCAAAUAUUUGAGUAACCCAAGUAUGGAUUACUGGAAAAAGGCAAAAUAGGUUAUGCGGUAUUUACAAAGAACUAAAGAUUAUAUGCUCACAUACCGUAGAUCCAGUCAUUUAGAGAUCAUGGGAUAUUCGGACUCCGAUUUCGCGGGAUGUCUUGACAACAAGAGAUCCACUUCAAGCUUCAUCUUCAUGUUGGCUAGAUGAACAGUUUCAUGGAAAAGUGUUAAACAAAUACUUAUUGCUUCUUUCACCAUGGAGGCAGAAUUCAUAGCCUACUACAAAGCAUCAAACCAUGGGAUAUGACUGCGGAAUUUUGUCACUCAGUUGCGAAUCGUUGAUGAGAUUGAGAAAUCAUUAAGAAUAAAUUGUGAUAAUAAAGCCAUAGAAUUGUAAUUCUAAGAACAACCGAAGUUCGUCAAAGUCCAAACACAUUGACAUCAAGUUCUUGGUUGUGAAAGAAAGAGUUUAGAGUCUUCAAGUAUCAAUUGAACAUACAAGCACAAACUCCAUGAUUGCGGAUCCGCUCACUAAGGGUUUGCCACCCAAAGUAUAUCAUGAGCAUGUCACACAUAUGGGUGUUGUACAUAUUGAUGAUGUUCCAGUAUAGUGGGAGUUUGUAUUUAGAUUUUGUGUUUGUUUUCUUGAUAUGAUGUUAUAUUGUGUUAUCGUGUACAAACUUGUGCAUACAUGAGACUUCCUAUUGUUGAGGCAUAGGGAAACCUCUUCAUAUCCUUCUUUUUAAGUUCAUUUUUCGGACAUUGGUGCAAACUAAAUUUAUCGCCUUUUGCUACAGGCAUGUCUCCUGGUGUACAAUUGCUCAUGCCAAAUCUACUCAACACCUUAUCGAUGUAGGCCUUUUGUGAUAACCCAAGUAUACCUCUUAAACGAUCCCUAUAGAUCUGUAUACCUAGCAAAAAAGAUGCAUUACCAAGAUCCUUCAUGUCAAAUUUACUAGACAAAAAUAGCUUAGUUUCAUGCAAAAGUCCCACAUCACUACUUGCAAGUAGAAUAUCAUCAACAUAUAGCACCAAGAUAAUGAAUUUGCUCCCACUAAACUUGAGAUAUAUGCAUUGAUCAAUGGUGUUUUCCUUAAAACCAAAUGAAGUAAUCACCUGAUUAAACUUUUGGUACCAUUGUCAAGAUGCUUGCUUUAAACCAUAUAUGGACCUUUUUAAUCUGCAUACAAGUUGCUUUAAAUCAUUAGACUCAAAGUUCUCCGGUUGCAUCAUGAAUAUUGUUUCAUCAAUGUUACCAUUAAGAAACGCAGUUUUAACGUCCAUUUGAUGCAACUCUAAAUCAUAAUGAGCCACAAGUGCCAUGAUGAUUCUAAAGGAGUCAUUUGACAAAACCGAUGAAAAAAUCUCCUUAUAAUCAAUGUCUUCCUUUUGAGUGAAACCUUUUGCGACUAGACGUGCCUUAUACCUAACAAUGUUGCCUUUUGAAUCCCACUUGGUCUUAAAAAUCCAUUUACAACCAAUCGAUUUUACACUUUCAGGCAACUUUACUAGGUCCCAAACACCAUUAUCUUUCAUUGAUUUCAUCUCAUCUUUUAUGGCUUCUAUCCACUUUUCAGAGUCAGAACUUUGUUUGACUUGACUAACUGAAAUUGGAUCAUCUUCCAAACCCAUGUCAAACUCUUGUUCCUGGAGAUGUACAACAUAAUCAUCUGAAAUUGUACUUCUCAUUUCUCUAGUGGAUCUCCUUAGUGGCACUUGUAUUUGAGGUUCUUGAGGCUGUUGAGUUACCUCUUCAUAAACUUGAACCGGUUCCAUAACUUGAGCAGGAGGAAUCUCAAGUGUGUUUUGAAUCUCUGUUAUUGAUUGUACAAUCUGGAUAGUGUCAUCAAACAUAAUAUGACCAUGUCCAGUCGUAAUAAUAGGAAUACUAACAGAUUCCUCUUCAAAUACCACAUUUCUUAACGGUUCUCUCCCAUUUAACUCAACAUCCUCAAUAAAUUUAGCUUUGCCCGUUUCAAAAAAGGAUCUAGUUGAGGGGUCAUAAAACUUGAAACCUCUCAACCUUUUAGAAUAUCCUACAAAGUAGCAGCUCACUAUUCUAGAGUCCAAUUUCUUUUCAUUUGGUUUUUAAGGCCUAUCUUCAGCUGGACAACCCUAGACAUGCAAGUGCCUAAUACUAGGUUUCUUGCUAGUUCAUAACUCAUAUGAGGUUUUGGCUACUGCUUUGCUUGAGACUCUAUUCAAAAUAUAAAUUGUUGUUUUGAUGGCUUCGCCCUAAAGUGAUUCUGGUAAGGUGGAAUGACUGAUCAUACUUCUUACCAUAUCCUUAAGAGUACGAUUUCGCCUAUCUGCUACACCAUUUUGGAUUGGAGUCCCCAGCAUGGUGUAUUGAGGAACGAUACCACACUCCAUCAAAUAUUUGGCGAACAGCCCUGGACGUUGUUCACUAGAUCCGUCAUAUCUACCAUAAUAUUCACCUCCACGGUCAGAUCUGACGACCUUUAUUUUCUUGCUUAGUUGGUUCUCAACUUUAGCUUUGAAAUUCUUGAACACAUCUAAUGAUUGAGACUUCUCAUGAAUCAAAUAAAGAUAGCCAUAGCGCGAGUAAUCGUCAAUGAAAGUGAUAAAAUAUUAUUGUCCAUUCCAAGAAGGGGUAGGAGAUGGACCACAAAUGUCCGUAUGUAUCAAUUCAAAGACGUCACUGCACUUGUUAACAUCAUUUUUUUUCUCAUAUUUGUUUGUUUACCCUUAAUAUACUCUAUACAGACUCGAAAGUAUAAGAAAUUAAGUGGAUCAAGAAUUCAUUCUGACACAAGCCUUUGAAUACGUUGAUUUGAAAUAUGACCCAAAUGCCUGUGCCAUAACAUCGAUGAAUUCUCAUUUGUUAAUUUCCGUUUAAUGUCAUAAUUACUUGAAUUCAAGGUUUCAUUUUCAUUAGUGGUCUUUAUGUUUAAUUUGUAUAAUUUGUCUGUUAGAUUACCUGUACCAAUAACAUUUGAAUUUAGAUAAAGACUAACCAUUCCAUUUCUAAAUGAACAAUAAUAUCCAAAGUACAUCCAGAGUCUAACUGUAAUCUAAAAAGACCAAUAGUCUUGACUGCAACCUUGUUGCCAUUUCCCGCAUAGAUGUAUCUUUCACCAUCAAUUGGCAUUCGGCUCCUUAGGCAACCCUACAUCGUGACACUUAUGUGAGUAGUUGCACCCGUAUCUAUCCACCAAGUGUCAGUAGGCACUACGACUAAAUUAAUUUAUGAACAAACAAAGUUGAGAAGUGUACCUUUCUUUUCACGCCAAGCAGCGUAUUUGGUACAUGUCUCUUCAUAUGACCAACCUUCUUGCAAAAGAAACAAGUCAUCUCCUUAUCUUGUUUCUUCUACACCUUUUGCAUUGAUGUCCCAAAAAUUGCAGUUUGUUUUUCUUUAUUGUCCCUUUUUCUUUUCUUGUUGGUACCAAAUCCCUGAGAUGUGGAAGCCAAGUGAGCACUUUCUAUCUUUUCUUGUUUCAAUCUCUCAUCCUUUUGUGCACAUUGAGCAAUAAGCUCAUUCAAAGUCCAUUUUUCUUUUUGUGUGUUGUAACUGAUUUGGAAUGGACUGAAUUGUGUAGGCAGAGAGAUCAAGACCAAGUGCACGAGUAUGUCUUCUGAAAACUCUAAUUUUAGUACCUUUAGUCUAGUCACAAGAUUAGACAUUUCCAUAAUAUACUCCCUUAUAUUCUCUUUCCCUUUGUACCGCAUAGAGACAAGCUUACUAAGAAUAGUGCUUGUCUCAACCUUUUCAUUUGUAGUGAAUCGGUUUGCUAUCUGGUCUAAGAAUGCCUUGGCUCGAGUUUUCUCAGGUAUUGCACUUCUUACAGCUUUUGGAAUUGAGUGCUUUGUUAUCAUUAGAGUCAUGCGAUUGGAUCGCUCCCAUUUUUCCAUAGUAGAACUUUGCUCAGCAGUGCUGGCACUAGUAAGAUCUGGAGGGCGAUCCUCUCUUAAUGCAUAGUCUAAAUCCAUGCACCCGAGCACAAUUAUAGCGUGUUUCUUCCAUUUCUUGAAGUUUGUGCCAUUAAGUGCAGGAAUGUUAUUAACAUUUGCAGAUAUAGAAUAUGUUGAAUUCAUAAUAAUAAAGCUCACAAUCAGUCACAUAAAUAUCAUACAUACAUGAAAAAUAACAUCAUACAAGAUACUUAGCACAAACAUUAAUAUUCUGUCUUUGGACAAUAAAUAUUAACUUGUAAUUGGUAUCCUUAUUCAAAAUUAUUCAUAAAUAUUGACAAUAAAACCAAAAACAAUAUGCUUGUCUUUAGACUAACAUAUCGAAUGCAAGAUAAACUUUAUAUGUCACAUAUUUAUGACUACUUUAUUUAUUAUUAUAUUAAAAUAAUCUUCCUUUGGGCCAAUUAUUUUAAAUAAUAAUAAUAACAUGUUUAGAUAUUAUAAAAUAAAUAAAUUAUAUAAUAUAAGUUACUUUGACAACUAACAUACAUAAUUCAUUUAUUUUAAAAUAUUAAACACAAACAUAACAAGAAAUAAUAAAUUCAAUUAAAAUUAUUUAUUUAUUUAUGCAUAAACCCAUGUAUAUAUAUAUAUAUAUAUAUUAAUUGAAGCAUAAAAAACCAUCUACAUGUGUAUAUAUAUCAAUUGAAGCAUAUAUACAAGCUUUAGUCUAAUGGUUUAAGCAAAAAAUAGGCCAUGGUAAAGGGUUUAAGCCAACCCGCCCCUUUAGUUUGGUUUUUGUUUUUUUUUUUUUGUUUUAAUUUCUUUUGGGCUACUGACCAUGCAUUCUCUCAUGGCCCAACGACCACUUAUGGUCACUUACAAGCCAAGCCCCUUCCAUAUAUAUAUAUAUAUAUAUAUGUUUUUAUUUAUUUAUUUAAAUUUUGUCCAUUGCAGCCCAAAGCGACCAUCCCUUGUAAUGGCAUCAUCAACGGUGCCAGAGCUGUCCUCGAACGACACCGAUAGUGAAACGCUGCCACCAUCACCGGAACGGUGAUUUCCCAUCGCCAAACGACGGUGUCACUACCGGAAUGAUGCUGUAACAGCAUCGCUGGGAAGCAACCUAACUUGUGGCGUGACACCAUGACAAGCAAUGCCACUAGCAGUGAAACGCUGUCGCCAUCACCGAAACGGUGAUUUUCCAUUGCCAAACAAUGGCGCCACCACCGGAACAACGUUGAAACAACAUCACUGGGAAGCAGCCCUACCCGUGGCACCAAAAUGGCGCUUGGAUGGCAUUUGGAACACUUGCAACAACGUUCAAAUCAGCGCUUCUCACUGGCAAAUGACGCUUGAACGACAUCUGGAAAUAAUGCCUACAACGCCUAAAAAUUGUGCUAUUUUGAACUCUUAAAACAACGUUGAAAUGACGUCUACCAAAGUCUGGAAUUGCACCGCUGUCUAGAACGAUGCCAUGAUGGUGUCUCACUCGCCUUAAAUGGCACCAACCACCAUGACUUGCAACCUAAAAAAUGGCACUUGAACAGCGCCUGAAGCGUGCCUGGAACGACGCUACAAACGAUGCCUGAAAUGGUGCCUUUUGUAUGCCUGAAAACGACAUAGGAAUGACGCUUAAACUACGUCCAUUUUGAACGCCUGAACGGUGUCCUAACGGCGCCUGAAACGAUGCCUGAAUGACGCCUGGAAUUGGCCCAGAUUUAUUUUAUGUUGUUUCCUUCCUCUUGGAUCUUUUGUUUGUGUUUUAAAAAAAAAAAUGUUUUGGUGAAAAUGGGAAAUGCAACCAGGCUCUGAUACCAUUUUGUGGGACGUUCAUUCUCCAUUAUCAUCGAACACAUGCAAGAUAUAUUUAUAUAUAUCUAUCAAUUCAUUCAAAAUAUGCCUUCAUUUUAUGGAACAUACCCGAAUCCAUUUUGUUUGUGUUGAAGAGGUACAGAUCUUCUAAGGCUAUGGGGGGUACCACCUUUUCUUAGAAUUCUCUAUGACGAUGGGAAGCCAGAGAGAACAAGUUCUAUUUUUAUUUUGAAAACGUUGUUAUCCUUAAAGAACAAACACUAUUAUUUGGAUUUAUACUCUCCUACCUUAGGGACCAUACCCUUUGGCUAUUGGGCCUCACGAGUCUUAGGCCCAUCAUCUAAGGCUCGUUAUAGCACUAGGCUCUACACAUAAGGUGGCCCAUACUCUGGAAAGAAUAGAAAUCAUAUGUAUAUAUAUGGAUAGCUAAAUCAUGAACAAUGGUUAAUAUGAUGUCGGUUCACAUUUAUUAUAUCAUAGAGACUUCCCAUAUGAAGAAAAUCGACAGCAGGUAGCUUUGCCAUUCUUAGUCUGUAUACAACCAACCUUAGCAAGGAUUGAACCCUUUUAUGCUUAGUUGUGCCAUAAAGAUCCUUACCACUGCCUAUAACAUGUAAUCAAAAUGAUUCGAUAAUAUCAUCUAGUGAACCAAUACCUCCAAAUGAGAGACCAUUGCCUUGGUAACUAGGGCUCAUGACUGAGAAUUGCUUGAACCCCUUUGCUUGGGUUGGAGCUUGACUGAUGCACAAAAUAUUCAUAGGCCUCUUCCCAUAACUGGCACCUUGUGUUUGCAACAUAAUUGAACAUGUAUUGAAGUGAGUUUUUUUGCAUCUUUUUGUAAGAAAAUUCUAAACAACAGAGAUUGCUUAGUGUGCCCGGCUCCUCGGGGAAUCAAGGUUCAUUCCUGUAGGGCCAAUUUUUUCACAGUCGAACUAGAUAACAUGGAGAGUAUGUUGCAAUGCUUCAACGGGGUAUUUCUUAGGAAAAUCCACCUGAAGCUAGUACAAUUCGUUGGCGUACUGAGUUCCUGGAGCUCUAUUGACUUCAAUCACCCAUCUUUGUAGAUUAUCGGUGACUUAUGCUCGGAUCCUGUAGGAGGAUUGACCUGACAUUCCACUAGCUCUUUCUGGAAGGCGAUCUUGUUUAACACCUUGUGAGAAGAGGCAAGGGAACUGGUCAUUGUUUCUUCGAGAAGAUCAGUGGCCGAGGAUGGGUUUGGAUCAGAAUUGCUAUAUGGGUUUUCUUUGGGUGAACCAAUUAGUGAAGUGGGUGGCUAUAUAGCAACUGAAGGGUAGUCAUACUAACGAGGAACUAUUAUUUCAUGCAUGUGGAGAGGAAAUGAGUAGAUUCUUCAGGGAUAUAUGAUUAUUCAUCUCUAGCUUACGUUGAAUAUCUCCUAACAAAUUUAUGCUUUGAAGCUCCCUUAGUUUCAUUACAGCUAACUUGGCCAACUUGGUUUCAUCAUGUUUCCUACAACCUCUAAGCAAAGCACGCCAGAUCACCAAAUCAGGUUCUAUUCGCAUUUUGUCCAUAAACUCCUUUGCCUAUUGACAAUAGACUGCCCCUCAAAAUUUGAUGAGAUAACAUCAACGCUGACAGGUUGGCCAUCCCCAUAAGCAUCUUUAUAGAGAUUGAUUCUAUGUUUAGAUAUUUCUCUCUCCUCAAGUGAGUUCAAUUUUUUUGUAACAUCCUUCUCCUUCUCUACUAAUAGUCUUAGCUGAACAUCCAACCUAUGUUCCUAAAGUGCCAGCAUCUCAUAUCUGAUGACAAGCCAACAACCUUGCCCUUGCUGAGACCAAUGUUUUUAAGGCGUUUGUGGGGCGCGCCUUGAGGCGAGGCGCAGCGAAAACGUGUUGAGGCGUUAAAAAUAAAAUGAAACACCUGAAAGGCGUACGCUUUUCCGAUGAGGCGUGAUUGAGGCGUGCUUUGAUCGCGCCUUUCACACUCCAAGAAGAAGGUGUAUGCUUCCUCGGAUCUGAUGUGGCAAUGAACAGAGAUUUAAAAAAAAACCCUAAGUAAUCCCUAAAACCCUAGUCCCGACUGAAAACAAACCCAAAACGAAACCCUACCUCCAACGACUCAAGUGGCGACGGAGUGCUCACCCUCGGCUGCGACCAAUCGCAAUGCAUCUUCUCCGGCGACGAUCCCUCUCAUUCAUCUCCAGGUAUGUUGCGAACUCCUUCUUCCAUGGUUUCUCCCUCUUCGUUUCUCUUUCUGCAAUCCACACGGGCUUCGUCGACUCUUCAUCCAAAUUUUUUUUUUAUCAAAUCAGUUAUGUAUAUCUAUUUAAAUUUUAAACCCUUUUUUCUCUCUCUUACAGUAUAUCUAUUUAAAUUCUUUCUCGGCAAUCCACAGCCCACACUUCCAGUCCACACUUUUCUCUCUCUCCCAAUAGGCUUUUCAUUUUCCUUUUUUUUUUUUUUUUUUUUUUAAAUUAUCAAAUCAAAUGUGCCUUUUGUUAAUAAGAUUUUUUUUGAAGUUUUUUAUAUGUUUGCUUAUAGUAUCAACAAAAAAAUAUAAUUAAAAUUAUAUAAAAGACAAUUAUUUGUGAAUUUUGAAUUUUUUAUUUCUGGUUUAAUUUUAAUUUUCACCUCAAUUUUCUUUAUUUCAUUAUUAAAUUCCAAUUAAAAUUUAUGUGUAUAAUUUUUAAACUCUUUUAAAAAAAAUUGGUUUUUUUUUAAUUUAAACCAAUUAAAUUUUGUAUUUCAUUUUUAAAUUUCUUUCAAUUGUGCUUUGUUAUUAUUUUUUUAGUCAAUUAUAUUGUUAUAUGGAAAUUUGAAUAUUAUUAUUGGUGAUUUUUUUUAGAAUGAGUUCCUCUGAUUCAAAAAAUUCAAGAAAGGAUUUUGUGUGGAAGUAUGUGAUGGAAGUUUCUAGAGAGCAAUAUUUAAUAUGUAAAUUUUGCAAUCAAAGAUGUACGGGAAGGGUGAAUAGACUAAAACAUCACUUAGCCGGAACUCAUCAUGGUAUGAAACCAUGCAACAAAGUUAGUGAAGAUGCUAGAUUGGAAUGUAAAGAGGUAUUGGCUAAUUUUAAGGAUCAAAAAACGAAGAGAAAUGAAUUGCUCCAAGAAAUUGGUAUGGGUCCAACUUCAAUGCAUGAAAGUGCCUUGUCUAAAAUAAUAGGGACAUUAGGGAGUGGGAGUGGGAGUGUAAGUGGGAGUGGGGAACCUAUUCCUAGGGGACCCAUGGAUAAAUUUACCACUUCACAACCUAGACAAAGUACUUUGAAUUCAUAGUGGAAGCAAGAAGAAAGGAAGGAAGUGUGUAGAAAAAUUGGUAGGUUUAUGUAUUCAAAAGGUCUCCCAUUCAACACUGUGAAUGAUCCUUAUUGGUUUCCUAUGAUAGAUGUUGUUGCAAACUUUGGGCCCGGGUUUAAGCCUCCAUCUAUGCAUGAAUUGAGGACAUGGAUUCUUAAAGAAGAGGUGAAUGACCUAAGUAUCAUUAUGGAAGAUCACAAAAAAGCUUGGAAACAAUAUGGAUGUUUAAUUAUGUCAGAUGGUUGGACAGAUGGAAAAAGUAGGUGUCUUAUCAAUUUUUUGGUGAAUAGUCCUGCUGGAACUUGGUUUAUGAAAUCAAUUGAUGCUUCUGAUACAAUAAAAAAUGGGGAAUUGAUGUUCAAAUAUCUUGAUGAGGUGGUUGAAGAAAUUGGAGAGGAGAAUGUUGUGCAAGUCAUCACUGAUAAUGCCUCUAAUUAUGUGAAUGCUGGAAUGAGGCUUAUGGAAAAAAAGAGUAGAUUGUGGUGGACUCCUUGUGCUGCUCAUUGCAUUGAUUUGAUGUUAGAGGAUAUUGGAAAGCUAAAUGUUCAUGCUACUACACUUUCUCGAGCUAGGCAAGUUGUGAAGUUUAUAUAUGGGCAUACUUGGGUUCUUAGCUUGAUGAGAACAUUUACAAAAAAUCAUGAACUUAUUCGUCCAGCAAUUACACGGUUUGCUACUGCAUUUCUUACUCUCCAAAGUCUUUAUAAGCAAAAGCAAGCUCUUAUAGCAAUGUUCUCCUCAGAAAAAUGGUGUUCAAGCACAUGGGCUAAAAAGGUAGAAGGUGUGAAAACUCGAAGUACAGUGUUGUUUGAUCCAAAUUUUUGGCUUCAUGUUGCUUUUUGCAUAAAGACCACUGUUCCAUUAGUUAGUGUCUUGAGAGAGGUUGAUUCAGAGGAAAGACCAGCCAUGUGUUAUAUUUAUGAGUUGAUGGAUUUAGUUAAGAAGAAGAUUGCAUUUAAUUGUCGGGGCAUGGAGAGAAAAUAUGACCCAAUUUGGAGAAAAAUUGAUGCAAGAUGGACUCCGCAACUUCAUCGACCUUUACAUGCAGCAGACUAUUAUCUUAAUCCUCAAUUGCGGUAUGGAGAUAAGUUCUCUAAUGUUGAUGAGGUGAGGAAGGGAUUAUUUGAAUGCAUGGAUAGAAUGUUGGAUUAUCAAGAACGUUUAAAAGCUGACAUUCAGUUGGACUCAUAUGACCAAGCAAUGGGUGAAUUUGGGAGUCGUAUUGCAAUUGAUUCUCGAACAUUAAGAAGUCCUACAAGUUGGUGGAUGCGUUUUGGGGGUUCAACACCGGAGUUGCAAAAGUUUGCUAUUCGAGUCCUUAGCCUUACUUGUAGUGCUUCGGGAUGUGAAAGAAAUUGGAGCACAUUUGAAUCGGUAAUACUUCUAUUUUUGUAAAUUUUUAUACAUAUAUUUCUAUUUCAAUGUUAGAGAACUUUAUUUCAUUUUAACACAUAAAAUUGUUUCUUUUAUUAUUUGUAGAUCCAUACAAAAAAAAGAAAUAGACUUGAACAUCAAAAGUUGAAUGCUCUAGUGUAUGUAAGGUACAACACUAGAUUGAGAGAGUGAAGUCUACAAAGGAAACAAAAUGUUGAUCCAACCUUGGUAGAGGAGAUUGAUUCUGAUGAUGAAUGGAUUGCGGAGAAAGAAGAUCUCCUCCUCCCCCUUGAUCUUUGUUGGCUUCAAGAUAAUGAAUUAUUCAAUGUUGAUGCCAUUAGAGUUGUGUCAUCCAACUCCCAAGAGACGCAAGCAUCAUCGGAUCAUAUGGUUUCUUCACAUUCCUACAAAAGGAAACAUAAUGAAGUACCAAGUAAGUACUCAAAAAUUGAAAUCAUAAAUUUGAUUAAAUUUAAUAAAAAAAACUUUUAAUAUUUAAACAUAAUUAAUACUUUAUGCUAGGUACAAGUGGAGGCAAAGGCAAAGAGAAGGAAUUGAAUUUGACACCAAUUGAUGAAGAUGAAGAUUUAGAUGAAAUGGGGAUACAUGAUAGUGGACAUUUUCCUACUAUUGAUACAUUGGAUGAGGAUGAUGAUGACCUUGGAGAGGAGGAUUUAAGUUGAAACAAUUUACUCUAGUUGUUAUUUCAUGACUUAGUUAUGGAUUUUUUGUAAAAGUUUAGAACUAUUAUUAUGGUUGACUCUAUUUUCUAUUUCAUGACUUAGUUAUGGCUUUUUGUUAAAGUUUGAAACUAUUAGUAUAGUUGAAUCUAUAAUCUAUUUUAUGAAUUUGUUAUGGUUUUUUGUGAAAGUAAGGAACUAGUAUGUUUUUUUUUAUGAUUCUAAUGAAUUGUUUUCAUGUUUUUAUUUAUGCUAUUUUAUUUUAUAUAUUUUAAAAUAUUAAUUAAUUAUAUAAUGUGAGGCUCAAAAAGCUUACGCCUCAAUGCCUCGAGGCUUACGCCUCGCCUCACGAACACAAAAACGCCUCGCCUUACGCUUUCGCCUUUAAAAACUUUGGCUGAGACCCAAAUAAGUAUCCAGAACCAUCAUCAUCAACCCUUUCACAAGCCUUUGUAUUUGAAGGUCAGAUUGGGAUUGCUUUGAAUGCACUGACACUGACACUGCAAUACACAAUUGUUUCUUCUCCAAUAAAAACACCACAAAGAGGUGAGGGGACUGGUAUUAGCAAAGAAGUGUUGUUAUCUAUAUUGUUCUGAGCCCGAGUACCAAAAACAAAAUCCUCAUCCUCAUCUAUACUCUUCCAUUACAUCCCUAGGCUUUUCAAUGUGAUCCACAUGGCUUACAGGAAUCCAGAAAUAUCGGUCUGUAUAAAAGUUGCUCUUAUGUGGCUCUCCUAGAAAACAUCCCAAUCAAGAUGAUCAACCUAGCUUAGAUGCUCAACACCCCAAACUUACGAGAAAUAGAGGAAUAAAAAGCAAGGAUAGGAGCCAAAGUAAAAACUGAGGGAAGAGCAAAUAGGAAAUCAAGCAAAACAUGAAUGUACAGAGCCUCAUUUCAGGUGACAUCUUUGGGCUAAUAAUAGGUGGAAUUAACAAAGUAGAUAAGCAUGAUUGUUAUAAAUAUCAAGUUCAAGGAUGAAGUCGUGCAUCAGCUACUUAUAGGGGGAGUCAAGGAAACCAAGAUAAGAUCAAAGAGAGCAUGUAUGCAAAUAAACAGAUUUGACAAAAUAGACCAAACAGCUUGUGAAUAUCCUCCUACAAAAAACUACUACACGUGGCAAAAAGUGAUGAAGCAAAAAGAGUCGGGUCCGCAUAUACAUAUCCUAUGCUAUCCUAUUCCUUCAAAUCCAAAGCAACCUGUAUUUUCAAUGGGAUUUGUUGUGAUGAAUUUUACUGGAUUGUAACAUGUAAAUAUGUUAAAAAAGGCUUGGGACAUUCCUAUAUAGUAACGCAUAAAGGUACUUCCAUUGUGAAGUUGUCAAAAUUGCAAAUUUAAAUUACAAAAUUUGAAAACAUAGAGAUGAAAGAUGAUGAAACCUUCUUUGAAAUUUUAUAUUGAACUCAUUAAUAUUAUUAAUUUUCAUUUCAGUCUAAGGGAAAGAAUUCUUUACUCUAAAGUGGUCACAAAAAUAUUAAAAUUCCUUGUCGAGAGAUUUAGAUCUAAAGUGAUCAAUAUAGAAGAAAGUAAAAAUAUUCUAAGUGUAGGUAAACUUGUAGACUCAAAUGACUCUACCUUCUCAUAAAAAAUCCUCAAUUUUAUAAAUUAUAUAGAUUUCUUCAUUUGAUACAAAAUUUGAAUAAAGAUUUUUCAAAUGACAACACAAGGAAAGGGAAAAAAAAAAUCUAUCCAGAUCAUAUUAUUUAAUCACUUAAAUUAUUUAAAAAUAAAAAUGUUUACUGCUAACAUUAUUUAGGUUCAUCUUUCUUUUGAUGGAGGUUAAAAUUCAUAAUUUUGAGGAAAAAGAUGAGGAUUCUCAUUUUUUUUUUCCAUGUAUGAAUGGGAUUCUCAUUGUGUAUAUGUGGGUUACUAAAUGGCAAAUUUGGGGGCCAAUAUGAGGGAAAAAAUGAAGUUGAGUUUGUCACCAAGAAUAGACAUGGUUCCUACAAAGGUGGCAUCUUUAAUUUCAUGUUUGGAUUGGACUUGUCAUGUAACAACUUAACAAGUGAAAUCCCUCAUGAACUUGGAAUGUUAAGUUUGAUUCAUGCAUUGAACUUGUCUCGUAAUCAACUAAAAGGCUCCAUUUCAAAGAGUUUUUGCAAUCUUUCUCAAAUAGAGAGCUUAGACCUUUUUAAUAAUAAACUAAGUGGAAAAAUUCCUCCAAAAUUGGUUAGACUAAACUUUUUAGCAGUGUUCAAUGUUAGCAUAUUCGGAAGAGUUUUAGAUAUGAAUGCAUAAUUUGCAAAAUUUGAUGAAAGUAACUAUGAAGCUAAUCCUUUCCUUUGUGGACCACCAUUAAACAGAAAAUGUAGCAUAAAUGUUGUUGAACCACCUUACCAACCAUUAGAGUCUUCAGAAGAAAGUGAUGCAAAAUGGUAUAAUAUCAAUCUUGUUAUUUUCUUUGCAAAUUUUACUACAUCAUAUAUCAUGAUAUUAUUAGGAAUUUCAACCAUUCUUUACAUUAACCCUUAUUGGUGUCAAAUAUGGUUCAAUUUUAUCGAGAAAUAUAUAUACUUUUGCUAUUAUUUUGUUUCCUAUACUCUUUCCAAGUUAUUAACAUAUUUUGAAUAAUUAGAGAUUUUUGUUUUCAAUAAUAUUUACAUAAUUAACUACUAUUGGUUUCCAUGACAUGGAAAGAAAUGCGGUGAAGGCAACAACCACUUUUUUUUCUCCUCUACUAGUGCAUGAUUGAUAUGAGUUAAAACUUGCACCCUUAUCUUUACUUAAAUUUUCUCAGCUUUUGUUUCAAUUCUUAAUUAUCAUUUCUUUUAUGUAUUGUUUAAUACAAUAUCCUAAACACAUUGCUUUGAAGGUUACUUAUUUAUUAAGCAUGAUAUUUAUUUUCAUAAAGACAAAUUCAAGUUUUUUAGGAAUUUUUAGAAUUAUUAUAAUUUGGAGUUCACAUUAGAGGAAAAAAAGGAAAGAAAAGAAUAGAUAAUUAAAAAAACAAUUUUAGUAAGUAUAAUUUGUCAUCUUCGGUAUAACAAAUGGGAAUUCCAAAAUAAUAUUUCAAUUUGUUAGUCUAUUCCUUAUAAUAUUAAUUGAAAUAUCAAAUAAGGAGUCACGUUUUGAUUUUUUUAUUAGCUUGAAUUGCAUGUCACAUAUAUUUUAAAAUCAAGCAUACCUCAGCAGGGAAGUUCUUGUAACAUGCAUGAACAUGAUAUGAUGAAUUAAAUAAUUUUCUUAAUUGUGUGAGACACAAACCCUCUUUGUUUAAUAAUAAUAAUAAUAAUAAUAAUAUACUACACAUUAUUAAAUCAUAUAUGUAUAUUUAUAGUCGUAUAAUAUAUUUAUAUAAGUAACAAUAAAUUAUAUUGUAUAAGGUAUCGGUAGGAGUUUUCAAUUCCCUCAUAUAAUAAUAUCUAUCAAUAAUUGGAUUGGACACCUUGCUGGCCAUGAGAAUGGACUUGACAUUAACACAUAGCCUUGAGUGGUGUUGAUAUUAUUACUUUGAACCAGAACUGCAGUCAUCUCAAAAACUAUAUUAUAUAGAAAAGCAAAAUAAAAACAUUAGUUAAAAAAAAUGUCAAGAUCCUUGAAAUCACGUUUCAAUAUGUUAAAUUACCAUUUUUUUAAAUAAAUUUUUGAUAGGUUGUGUGAAUAAAUAUAAUUGCUAUGAAGGGUUUCAAUUUAAUUUUACUAGCAAAUCCAUAAUAGGUGAAAAGACAAAACUACCAUUUUUGUUUUUUUUCUUUAUUUACCUUUUUUCUCUCGUAACCUUACUCCUUUCUCCUUUUUGUUUUUUCCUUUUUUAUUAUUAAUUUGUCUUUUUCCUUUUUCUCAACUAACUAUUUUUUUUCUUGUAAUUGUUAUUAUCAUUCUUAUUAUAAAUAUUAUAACCUUAUAUUAUAAAUUUUUAGUUUAGAUUAUAUUUAAACUAACUAAUGUUGUGGUUUUAAUUGACAUGGAAAAGAAUGUGGUUAUACAUGUGAUUGUCGCCUUUUUUUUUUUCAAUUAGUUAACUAUUGAUACAAGUUAAAAGUAAAAAUUGCAAUAUUAUCUUUACGUCAAUUUCACCGAUCUUUUGUUUUUAUUUUCAUGUAUCAUUCCUUUUUUGGUUAUUUAAUUAAAAGGAUUAAAAAAAAAUCACAUAUUCACAAUAAUAACCUUCAUAUUUUAAAAACAUAAAAUAAACAUUUUUUUUUUUUUAUAAAAAUACCCUCCAACUAUAUUUUUUAUAUCCCUAUUUCAAAUCCAAACACUUCUUUUAAAAAUAAUAAUAAUAAAUAAGGGCAAAAAUGUCAAACUGGGAUUAUAUUUAUAAUUUUCAAUAAUUAGAGGUUGUUUUUCCAAUGUAAAAAUUAUUUUGUUCCUUUGGCACAAAUAUUUCUUUCUUUUAUGUAUUUUUUUUAUUCAAAAUAUUAAACACAUUACCCUCAAGGUUACUAUUUAUUAUGAAUGGUGUUUACUUUACAUAACGAGAUAUUCAAAUUUUUUAGAAUUUUUUAAUGUUAAAAUAAUUUGGAGCUUAAUAGGGAAAAAAAAGAAGAAAGAAUAGAUAAUUAGAAAAGCAAUUCAAAAAAAUAAAAUUUAUCCUCUUAAAUUGGUUUUGUGUAAUACUAUAGAAGCCAUUUCUUGAGUUUGAUAUGGUAGAAUUUGGAUUCAUAUUUAUUUUAAAAUCAAGAAAUUCAAGUGUUGGUAGCAUCAAUAGAAUCUUAACAAAUUUGAAAAAAAAUAUUUAGGUAGAUCACAUUUAAAUAUAGCUAAUAGAAUAAAAAAUUAGUAUUAUUAGAAAGACAUGAUCAAUUAAAUCUUUUUUCUUAUCUAUGACACCGACUUUAUUUUUUUACAUAGUCAAUACAAUUUAUUACAACUUAUAUGUCAUUAAAUUAUAUACGUUUAUAUUAAAUAUAAUAUAAGACCAUUAAUGGAAUAAUUAUGCAAGUAAUAUAAAUUGUAUAUAAUAUAAAAAAUUUAAACUCCAUCAAACUAAUGGAAUCUAUUAUAAUAAGUAGACUAGACACCAUGUUGGCCCGAGUUGCAGGCCUGGGCCAGAUUUUAAAGGCUGGGCUUUGAGUUGCCCGUGGGCCUGAGCCAAGGCCUUCUCUUGGUAUCAUCAUUUUGAAGAAAUAAAUUGCUGAUACAGAGAAAAAAACUAUACUAAAUAGAAAAAUAAAUAAAAGCAUUGACUAAAAUGAAGGUCAAGGUCCUUGAAAAAUAAUCUUUAAAUUGUUGCAUAUAUAAUUUCAAUAAUGCAUAAAUAAUUGCAAUAUAUAUGAUAUGAUAAAGAAUUUGGAAUUAAAAGAAGAUUGAUCUAUUUUAAAUGUGGUUGGAAUAUUUCUAAAUUUGUGAUGGGAAGUUAGACAGCCAAUUAGGGAUCCAUAUUAUUUAUUUUCAAUGAUAUGAAUUUAUUUACUUUUAUUAAUAUUCUUAAUGCAACAAUAUAAAAUAUGUCAAUUUUCUAAAAUUUAAAAAGUAAUUGUAAAAGAAUUUUUUUUAAUUAUUUUUCUGAAAUUGAGUUUAUUAUAACAUUUUUCUUUACAUAAAUUUCUUUUUUAUUUUUAUUUUUUUUAAAAUGAGAUAUGAAAAAAAGAGAUCAAUAUUAGUACAAGUAAAACCCAAUAUAUAUAUAAAAAAAAUGAAUAAAUGUUUAUGAAAUAUUUUUUCUCUUUUAAUUCCUAUUCAAUUCAUUACACAAAAUAUUUUUGGUUUUUAUGCUAAAAUUUAUUGUUUAUUCAAAAAUUCUAGUAUACCUAGCUAUCAUAGAAGAGCCCCAAAAUUUUAUUGUUUAAGAGAAUAUGUGUUGCCACUUUAAAAGAUUUAUAUGCAAAAGGGAUUGAUAUUUUUUUCCUUUGGAUAUAUUUAGUUCCCGGAAAAUUUGAGGGAAAAUGUGAGGGAAGAAAAAUAGAGAAGAAAAGUAUAACGAAAUAAAAAGUGAAGGAAAAUGAAAAAUAGAUUUAAAGUUAAUAAAUUAUUUUCAUUGGUUUUUUCAAACUUAUUUUACUUAUUUUAUUCUAUUAAAUAAAGAUUAGCUAAUUUUAAUUAUAUUUGGUUUGAUUUUUAUUAUUUUUCAAAGCAAAACCAAAUAUGAAAAAAAAAACAUUUUUUUUGUUCAUUUUUUCUUUCCUUAUUACUUUUCAAAACUCAAACAUAGCUUUUAGAUUUGGAGCAUGGAAAGAUAAGAGUAUUGAAUAAAGGUUCUAUAUAUGCCCAUGCCCAUGAUACCAUUGAAAAAAAUGGAGAAAGGGUGAAACUUUUUCUCUUCAAUGGAAAUCAAAUAUAAUUAUUUUUAUCUUGUAGUAAUUGAAUGUUAUACUCCAUAAACUCAAAAUUAAAAUAAAUAAAAAAUUUAAAAACUAGGACAAUCCCAUUUUUUUUUUCAAUUUCUUAAAAAGAAAUUAAAUUACAUUUAUUUAUAUCUAUUUUCAUCCCUACCCAAAAAAAUAAAAAAAAAAUUAACAAGGUGGGACAUGUAUGAGAAAUUCUCACACUAACUCUCUCUAGUUUAUUUUUUAUUUUUUAAAAAAAAUCAAUUUCUUUUAAAAAAAUUAAACUAUAUAAAAAAUAAAUAUAAUUUAAAAUAAAAUAAUUUAACAAUUUUUUUUUUAAGAAAAGUAAAUUUCUUAUUUUAUAUAUGUUAAAAAUAAAUAUAAUCUUUUAUUUUUUUAUAUAUAUAAUCGGGUAAGGUAGAGUGGGACAAAGAAAUAAUCCCCUUCGAUUCCAAUAUGAAUUUUUAAAAUAUAAAAUAAAAAUCUUAAACUCAUCCCUAAUCCAUUUAUUUUUAAUCCUAAACUCGUCUUAUUAAGAAUAAGGCAAAGUGAGUACAUGAAAACACUUCUUUUAUCAUCAUCUCUACAAGUUCUAAUGUUUAGACUGCAAUCCAUAUCAAAGAUUUAUAAAGAAAGGACAACGAUGAAUUUCAUAAACAUUUGAAAGCAUAUACGUACAAAGUUUUAAAUAAUAUUGCUUGAGGUGCAAAUAUUAUUUGGCGCACAUAUUGAGGGACUUCAACUUGUUUUUUACAUUAGUAAGUAAUCUUGAAUAUCUAGAGUAACUUGACCAAAAUCUCUUUAAUUUUAUUUUCUUUGAUGGUUGUAUGAUGAAUUAGAAUGCUUAUAUAACAUGAUUAAAAAUUUUAAGAAAAAAAAAACUAAGAAGAAAGAAAGAAGCACCGAUCUUCCAAAUAUUGCUUCCACUUUAAUAUCUAGAAGGCUCUAAGAAAAGAACUUUUUUCAUGAAUCAUAACCCAAGUCGAAAAUAAAUUGAACCCAUUUUCUAAGUUAAAUUUUGAAUUUUUUACUAGUGAAUGCAAAUUGGGAAAAUGUAUAUAAAUAUAAUUAAACUAGAAUAGUAGGUUAGGUUUGUAGGUGGAGUUUGUUUGAAUUGUUGGAACUUCCAAGUCGUUGUGGGUCUAGUGGUCCCAUAGCUCUCUAUUAAUUUCCACCAUCAAUUUUCUGCAAUAAAGUCAAGUCAUUCCUAACCCCUAUAUUAAGUUGGCCUUAAAAGUCAAGUCAUUGAUCAUAGUUACAUUCAUGAAUCACAACCUAAGUCGAAAAUAAAUUGAACCCAUUUUUCAAGUUCAACUUUGAAUUUUUUACUAGUGAAUGCAAAUUGGGAAAACAUAUAUAAAUAUAAUUAAACUAAAAUAGUAGAUUAGGUUUGUAGGUGGAGUCUGCUUAAAUUGUUGAAACUUCCAAGUCAUCGUGGGCCCAGUGGUCCCAUAGCUCUCUAUUAAUUUCCACCAUCAAUUUUUUGCAAUAAAGUCAAGUCAUUCCUAACCCCUAUAUUAAUUUGGCCUUAAAAGUUCAGUCAUUGAUAGCUAAAUCCCAACCCAAGUCAAAAAUAAAUUGAACCCAUUUUCUACGUUCAACUUUGAAUUUUUUUUAAUUGGAAAAAUGUAUAUAAAUACAAUUAAACUAGAAUAGUAGAUUAGGUUUGUAGGUGGAGUCUGCUUGAAUUUGUGAAACUUCCAAGUCAUCGUGGGUCUAGUGGUCCUAUAGCUCUCUAUUAAUUUCCACCAUCAAUUUUCUACAAUAAAGUCAAGUCAUUCCUAACCCCUAUAUUAAUUUGGCCUUAAAAGUCUAGUCAUUGAUAGCUACGUUCAUGAAUCCCAACCCAAGUCAAAAAUAAAUUGAACCCAUUUUCUAAGUUCAACUUUGAAUUCUUUUAAUUGGGAAAAUGUAUAUAAAUACAAUUAAACUAGAAUAGUAUAUUAGGUUUGUAGGUGGAGUCUGCUUGAAUUUGUGAAACUUUCAAGUCGUCAUGGGUCUAGUGGUCCCAUAGCUCUUUAUUAAUUUUCACCAUCAAUUUUUUGCAAUAAAGUCAAGCCAUUCCUAAACCAUAUAUUAAUUUGGCCUUAAAAGUCAAGUCAUUGAUAGUUACGUUCAUGAAUCACAACCCAAGUCUAAAAUAAAUUGAACCCAUUUUCCAAGUUCAACUUUGAUUUUUUUACUAGUGAAUGCAAAUUGGGAAAACGUAUAUAAAUAUAAUUAAACUAGAAUAGUAUAUUAGGUUUGUAGGUGGAGUAAGCUUGAAUUGUUGAAACUUCCAAGUCAUCACGGGUCUAAGGGUUCCAUAGCUCUCUAUUAAUUUUCAUGGUCAAUUUUUAUGAAUUAAGAUUUAAAAGUGAGAAGGGAAUAAAUUUUUUCUUUUUCAAUUCAUUACAAAAAAUAUUUUUGGUUUUUAUGCUAAAAUUUAUUGUUUAUUCAAAAAAUUAAAGUAUAAAUAUAUAUAUAUAUAUCUUGCUAUUAUAGAAGAGCUCCAAAAUUUUUGUGUUUAAGAGAAUAUGUGUUGCCACUUUAGAAGAUUUAUAUACAAAAAGGAUUGAUGUUUCUCCUUUGACUAUGUUUGGUUCCCAAAAUUUGAGGGAAAUAAAAAAAAAAUAGUAAAAAAGAAAAAAUGAAAGAAAAUAAAAAAUAGUUUUAAAGUUAAUAAUUAUUUUUAUAUGUUUUUUCAAACUUAUUUUACUUUUUUUUUCAUUAUAUAAAGAUUAAAUAAUUUUAAAAUGCAUAAAUUUCUAACUAAUUUUAAUUAUAUUUAAUUUUUCUUUUAUAUUUUUUAGAUAGGAUCCGACACAUGAAAAAUCCUUUUUUUUAGCAUUUUUUUUUCUUUUCUUAUUACUUUCCAAUAACCAAAUAUAACCUUUAGAUUUAGCCUUUAAACUUGGAGUAUGGAACGAUACUGAGUAUUGAAAGAAGGUUUUGUAUAUGGCCAUGAUACCAUAGAAAAAAUGGGCGAGAGAGAAAAAACCUUUAUUAAAUGAUAAAUUAUUUUUUUCAAUGGAAAUCAAAUAUAAUUAUUUUUAUAAUAAUUACUUUAUUUUUUUUAAAAAUAAUAAUUUGUUGUUGCAUUAAGUAUUCUUGCAUUUGGAGAAGCAUGUUACUACUUACUACAUAAAUAGAUAUUCAUGGAGUGCAUUCUCUAAAAAGCUCCAGUCUCAUGAAAAUGGAAAGAUGGACCGGCCGGUGAACCGGUUCGAGUUUGGAUUUAUUGGCUGCCUCAGCCUUACACGCAUGAUAGGCUGUUGCAGGUGAAGAACUAAUUAAUUUAAAGCCUUCUUCUAUCCUCUCCUAUUCCUCUAUCACUCCAAAUGUUCCACAUGAUAAUGACAAUUCUUUUGUUAAAUGGUAAAAAAAAAAUUUAAAUAUUAUUUAAAAUUUUUUUUAAUUCUAAAUCCAAUGGAAAUUCGACUCUAAGGUGUGUAGAAGGCCCUAGUGCCCAUGUUGCUAAUUUGAUGAUAGUUAAAUUGUCAUUUUGGGAGAUUCCACACACUAGUAUUCUCAUUUAUAAAAUCAUGAACUUUGGCAUCCUAAUUAAUGCAAUUUAAACUUUUUUUGUUUACAAAUGAAAUAAGAGGCAACAUAUAAACCCAAAAGUUAAUUUUCCUACCAUCUCUAUGCACCAUUUUAGCUUUACUCCAAUAUAUUUUCUAUGAUUAAUUAUUUUCAUUCAAACAAUAAUAUCAAAAUAUUUUAAAAUUAGACAUAUCAUAAUCAAAUACCAUUAUAUUAUUACCGAAUAAUAUUUAAUGUAAUUUAAUUAUCAACGUAUACUUAUAAAAUUUAUAUUUUUUAUUAAUGCAUAUAAUAUUAUUAUCAAAUAUGAUAAAUUAUAUAUAUAUAUAUAUAUAUAUAUAUAUAUUUCUUCAACAAAACAACUUUAAAAUAUCUAUUAUAUUUCUAAUUUCAUUUCUAAGAAGUUUUUUUUUUUUUUUUACAUUUUUAUAAGUUUUGAUCAAUUGUAGGCUAACUGAUAUUUUUUAUAUCAAAAUAUCCACCAAUAUAUCUCUGAUAUAUUAGAUAUAUCCGUAAAAUCGAAAUACCAAUAUAUCCGUGAUUAUCGAUAUUUUUAUCCUUGAGGGAUAAUAACUAAUCUAGUUUUUGCACUUAUUGAUAUUUCUCAACAUUUAGAUUGAUUUGACCAAAAUCUUUUUAAUUUUAUUUUCUUUGAUGGUUAUAUGAUGAAUUAGAAUAGUCAUAUAAACAAAUUUAAGAAAAAACGAUAAAAAAGCUCACAUUUUUCAAAUAUUGGUUUCAACUUUGAAUAUUUUUAUUGGUAAAUGAAAAUUGUGAAAAACCUACUAAUGCUAAUACUUUUCACCACAUAAUUAAAUAUAAUAAACUAGAAUAGUGAUUCAUUGAUGUCUUAUAAAGCUACAUGCCUACUUUGACUUGUUAGUUGAUUUUUGUAGGCAGAGUCCAUUUCCAUAUGAAUUGUUGAAACUUCCAAGUCCUUGUGGGUCUAGUGGUCUCUCUAAUAAUUCCCACCAUUAAUUUUUUGUGAUGAAGUGACGUCAUUGAUAGCUACUAUAUCAAUUUGCUAUUAAAAGUCAAGUCAUUGAUAAUUACUAUUCAAUCUUUUUCAAUAUGGAAAUUGGAAUCUCUACUCUUCUCAUUGUUCAUUUUUAGGUAAUGUGAGAAUGUGAGAAUGUGUGAACAUAAAUGUCUUCUAAUCAACCAAUUUUUUUUGAAAAAAACAUGUACAAAAUUGCAAACUUGCAAAAUCAAACUUUCUUGUUGAAUAACCAUAGCUUGAUGGUUUUGAAGAAUCAAAGGAUGAAUCAUAAAAGGGUAUUUGAUAAAAAAUAAAAAUUAAAAAAAUUAAAAGACAACUACUCCCUUAGGUGUAAUAAGUGUAUUUGGUAGCACAAAUUUCCUACCACUUAUUAUUUUUUCCUUUCUUAAAAAAUUAUUUACUCUAUUAAAUAAACUAACCUUGGCUUAUCACUUAUAGCAAAAUAGGUUAAGUACUUUUUAAAAUUUUAUAAUAUUAGAUUUACAUUUUUAUCCUUCAAAAUUUCAUUAAUGUUAGAUUCUUCUAUAUGCUUAACUAAUAAAUAAUUUUUAGCAUUUUUCUUUUCUUAUAAACAUAAAAAAAUAAAAAUAUUAUUAACUUAUUGGUAUAUUUUAAAAUUUUAAUUAGAUUUAAGCUUUUAUUUAUUUGGAUUACCAAUUAUACAUAUAAAUCCUUUAUUAUUAUUGUUAUUAUUGAAAGAAAGGGGUUGAAUAGGUAGUCCCUCAAUCCCCAAAUUAAAUUCUUUAUUGCCUACUUUUGGUUUAUUCCUUUACAUGAAUUCCUUGGUGAGAGUAAACAUUUCAUUAAUAGAUAAAUAAAAUUGAUUCCAUAUCAUAGGGUAUAAUGUGGAAAAAUCACCAGUCUCAUGUGUUCCUUAGUGGAUCCUUUGGAGCCCUUAUCAAAGUUUCAUGAUGAAACCAUUGACUUUUGUUUAACCCAAAUGUGCUUUCAAGACAAAUCUUGAAAUAUUUGAGAGAUGGAGGUUCAAGUCUUUUAUGAACGACCAUGUUCUCUUAGGGUUCAUGAAAAUUCACACCUUUUGAUAAAUAAAACUUAUCUAUUUAUACGUCUAAAACCCAGUAUUUAUUUAUUUAAUUAUAGAAAGUUUCUUAGUUUUAAAAACAUUUCAAAAAUCAUUUUUAGAAUCAAAUAAUAAUUUUAGAGAUAAACACAAUAUUAAAAUUUAACAAAAACAAAAUUUCGAAUUAAAAACACAAUAUAAACUAAAUUACAAAAUAUAAAGGAAUUUUUAUCCUAAUUUCUUGUUUCAAAACCAAAUGGAACACCUAGAAGGGGAGUGAAUGGGUGAUUUUAAAAUUUUUCAAUAAUGAUUUAUAAGUUAUACCCAAUUCUUUUACCCUGCGAGUUGUUAGGGACUAUCAAUUCUUUCCUUUUGGCAAUUCAAACAAUAUAUCAAAUAAUAAAAAGAUAUAAAUAAUGAGACAUAAAGAUUUUUACAUGGAAAACCCCCCACACUAACCAUGGAGAUAAAAAGCCAUGGAGUCUAAGACCUAUUAAUCUAAAUUCACUGUACGAAAUCAAGUUACACAAAUUUAUUUGAUAGCUUUAACUUAAAGACUUACUCUCCGGUACUGACAACUUGAUUCACAUCCACAACGUAGCAACCCUCAAUUACUCCAAUGGAUCACUUCAAGCUUACUAAAAGGAUGAAGGCCUUCAAACCAAGAUUCAAAAAUCAAUUCCUUGAAUGAAAGAUCAGGGAUGGUGUGCCACUUUAGGCUUUCUCUCUAAGAACUCUAAAAUGAUCUCCUCAAUGAAAACCUCUUAAACAAAAUGAGAUAUUUCCCCACAAUCUCUAAUCCUCAAGGGGUUAUAAUGAGAUAUUUAUAAGCAACUAAGUUGAAGAGUUUCAGUUUUGGAACAUGACCGCUCGAGCCAACACACUUCCUACUUGAGCGUUUCGGGCACUUGAGCGGUAAGGCUCGCUUGAGUUGUCCUAAGCGCUUGAGCAUUCCAAGCUACUUGAGCAAUCUUGCUCUAUUUCAAAAGUUAAUUUUAAAUCAUUUUAAGUUCAAAACAAAAUUGAUUCCCUUUAUACCUCAAAGUAGCCUAACUUACAAACCAAACUUUUUUAGAUAUACUUGUGACUUCCUGGUUGGACGAACAACUCUUAAUCUUCAAUGGAAAGCAAGUCAUUAUCUAAAAAGAUUUAUAUGGUCAAACAUAAAAAAACAAAAACAAAAAAAUUGCCAACAUAACAACAAGACUCAAUGUCCUAACAAUCUCCCCCUUUGGCAAUUUUAUGACAAAAACAACAUUACAUAUACCCACUUGAACUCUCAUAAUGGAGUUUAAUAAUACACAUUAAUGUUCAAUUAAAAAUAAACUAAGGGAAUACUUUGUAUCACUUUGUAGUAUUUGUCUUCCAACUUUGUAACCUACACACAUAUAGAAAACUAUACCAAAGGUAAAGCAAUGUGUAGGAUAAGAUAUGAUCAAGAAAGCAAAAUAGGAUAAUUGAAAAUUUUGCUUGAUGCCUUGUGAAAGCAUGAAAAGGGAACAAAUUCAUAUAGUAAUACCAAGGGACAAAGCAAAACUAGAGAAGAAUAUAUAUGUAUGCAAAUCAACCAAACAUAAUAAAAGCUACAUAAGAUGCAAUAGAUCAAUAAUAAUGCCUAGGGGUCUAUCUCCAACCAGAAAAUAGGGAGUGAAAAUCAUAGGAAGAACCUUCUGUGACUUAGAAAGGUUCUAGAGAGAUAGUCAAUUCAAACAUAAAUAUCUUGCUAGAAACAUCUAUGUUAUGUAUCUCUCUAAACCUUCUAAGUUAUGCUUUCAUUAGUUGAUUUGGUUUUUCUCCAAUGUCUCAGGUUUAAUUUCCUCUAAUAUUUCAAUUAGAGAGAAAUUGGUAGUCGAUUGACUUAGUGGGUGUUUGGUAAAACUUAAUACUUAUUAUUUAAUGAUUAACUUUAAGUUAAAUUGUUCUUAAGUUAUUAAUUUAAAAUUUAUUACUUAUUUUGUAUUUAAGUACUAGGGUUAUUUGAAAAAAUCGACUUAAAAUUUAUUCUAAAUCAUCAAAAUGACACAUUUACCCUUAUUAAUUUUAACUUAUAUUUAUUUUCAUUAAUUUUAAACAAUAAAUUUAUUCAUAAAACAUCUAUAUUUUUGUAGAUACAUAACCAUAAAAUAUUUACUAUAAAAAAUGAGUCAUGGAUGUAGAAUUAUAAUUCUAAAAUAUACACUUAUGAGUGUGGGUAAAUAAGGCAAAAAUGAUUUGAGAUUAAGAGUAAAGUUAAUUAUUUUGACUUAAGACUUCAAGUUAAAAAUAACUUUAAGUUGCAAUAUUAAGUUAUUUUAUCAAACAUGCUUAAUUUACUUAACAACUUAAAUUAAGUUAUUAAGUUGAAUUAUCAAACACCCCACUAGUAGUAUGUUGAAAAUUCACACCUUUUGAUAAAUAAAACUUAUCUAUUUAUACGUCUAAAACCCAGUAUUUAUUUAUUUAAUUAGAGAAAGUUUCUUAGUUUUAAAAACAUUUCAAAAAUCAUUUUUAGAAUCAAAUAACAAUUUUAGAGAUAAACACAAUAUUAAAAUUUAACAAAAACAAAAUUUCGAAUUAAAAACACAAUAUAAACUAAAUUACAAAAUAUAAAGUAAUUUUUAUCCUAAUUUCUUGUUUCAAAACCAAAUGGAACACUUAGAAGGGGAGUGAAUGGGUGAUUUUAAAUUUUUUCAAUAAUGAUUUAUAAGUUAUACCCAAUUCUUUUACCCUACGAGUUGUUAGGGACUAUCAAUUCUUUCCUUUUGGCAAUUCAAACAAUAUAUCAAAUAAUAAAAAGAUAUAAAUAAUGAGACAUAAAUAUUUUUACGUGGAAAACCCCCCACACUAACCAUGGAGAUAAAAAGCUAUGGAGUGUAAGACCUAUUAAUCUAAAUUCACUGUACGAAAUCAAGUUACACAAAUUUAUUUGACAGCUUUACCUUAAAGACUUACUCUCCGGUACUGACAACUUGAUUCACAUCCACGACGUAGCAACCCUUGAUUACUCCAAUGGAUCACUUCAAGCUUACUAAAAGGAUGAAGGCCUUCACACCAAGAUUCAAAAAUCAAUUCCUUGAAUGAAAUAUCAGGGAUGGUGUGCCACUUUAGGCUUUCUCUCUAAGAACUCUAAAAUGAUCUCCUCAAUGAAAACCUCUUAAACAAAAUGAGAUAUUUUCCCACAAUCUCUAAUCCUCAAGGGGUUAUAAUGAGAUAUUUAUAAGCAACUAAGUUGAAGAGUUUCGGUUUUGGAAGGUUUCUUAAUUGAAUUUGUGUGAAAAACUCAACAGAAUCAACAUGACCGCUCGAGCCAGCACACUUCCCACUUGAGCAUUUCGGGCACUUGAGCGGUAAGGCUCGCUUGAGUUGUCCUAAGCGCUUGAGCAUUCCAGGCUACUUGAGCAAUCUUGCUCUAUUUCAAAAGUUAAUUUUAAAUCAUUUUAAGUUCAAAACAAAAUUGAUUCCUUUUAUACCUCAAAGGAACCUAACUUGCCACAAACCAAACCUUUUUAGAUAUACUUGUGACUUCUUGGUUGGACGAACAACAACUCUUAAUCUUCAAUGGAGAGCAAGUCACUAUCUAAAAAGAUUUAUAUGAUCAAACAUAAAAAAACAAAAAAAUUGCCAACAUCACAACAAGACUCAAUGUCCAUGCAUGGUCACCUGAAAGUUGACUCCAACCACAAUAUAAUGCAUGUUCUCAUAGAACAUGUGAACAAGAUGGAGAUAGAAAGUCCCUUAGAGAGAAAACAGAGUCUUCUAACCCUACUCUUGAAUGAUGAUAGGGAAGACAGUGUCCUGAAAAGCUUAGAGGUUAAUGGCAUGUUGAGGCUCGACACACCGAUAUGUGAAAGAAGCGUAAUAAUGGUCCCAUGCCACCUGGCAGUGAAAGCGCUCAAUCGAAAGUGCAUCUAGGUUAAAAAGACCCUAGAGUGGGAUGCCCUAGACGGUUUUCAGUGACCUAGGAAAGGUCACCUCCCUCUGAAAUCUAUGACUAGCCAUAUCUAAGGUAUAUAAUAUGAAAAAAAAAAAGCUAAAGAAAAACUAAAGAAAAUCCAAAGAAAAGCUAAACCACUAAAAAUGUUAAACUCAAUGCGUCGAACAAUACUAUACAAAUGGAAAUGAAAAAUAUGAAGCGAACUGACCUCAGAAGACAAAAGGACAGUUACCCAGAGGGCUCGAAGAGGAAUAGGAAAGUUUGAAAUGAAUAUUGUGUGAUGGAUGACCUUUAUAUAGCUUAUAGGAGUGCUUGAUGCAGAUUAGCACUUGAGCGUCAUGACUAACUUAAAUCAAAUUAUUUAUUAAUAUGGAAAUAUUUUAUAAGUUUCAAAGGAAGUAUUCAAUUUAGAACCUUUUUAGAAUUUUUUUGAAAGAAACAAAAAUAAAGCGUGAAAUAUUAUGUGUUAAAGGUGUUAGAAGACAAUAUUGUCUAAUCAAAAGCCUUACACAUUCCCAAAAAAAAAAAAAAAAAAGGAAAAAAAAAGAUACUAUAUAAGAUUUUGAUCACAUCUAAUAGAAACUAAUAUUUAGCAACAUAUCACCAAGCACUAUCUUAUCAGAAAGCUCUAACAUGUUGGAAAUUUAUGUAAGGUUCCAUAACAACUAACAACUUUUUAUGACGACUCGGUAAUGGACCAUUUGCACUUCAACUACAUUAUUAAAUUUAAAUCAUAUUAGAAUAUAAUUGACUUCUCUUUUGUGAGGUUACAUAUCUUGUAGGAUGGGAUAGGUGAUUCAUUUCAUAUAUGAAAUUUUCUUAAUUUAGUAAUGCUUCCAAGUUCAUUAUGAAUCUAAUGGUAUCACAACUCCUUGAAUAUUUGUAAUCUGUAAUCUUUGCUUCAACUUCUCAAGUCUAGUCAUUUUAUCGGCAUAACUAGUUUGCUUCAAUUAUCUCUCAACUUUAUUAUAAAACUAAGGGAAAGGAUUGUCACUCAUUUUAUAUUAACUUAACCAAACAUCUUUAUAUAUAUAUAUAUAUAUAUAUAUUGUAAAUUUAGGAAAAAUUCAUCCAUUAGCCAUAGUAAGUAAGAAUCAAAUAAGGGAUAUGUAAGCCAAUGGUGAUAUUGAUGGCGUUAAAUCAAUGACAUAGUAGAAAAGUGGAUUGUCUAUUUUCAAACCUUUAUAUUUUCAUGCAAUAGUAAAAAGGUUAAGGCAUCACUUGAAAAGUAGUUCGUUUUUUACCUUGGACUAUGAUUUAUGAAUAAAGUUCUUCUGUUGUAUACCUUUUGUGAUGCCCCAACCUAAUUUAGGGGUAAAAAAAUAAUUUAGAAAAAAAUAAAUAAAAAGUUAAAUAAAUUUAAUUAAGGUAAAAAUGUAUUUUUGUAUUUAAAAUUCCUAGGUAUCAAUUAUAUAUUUCUUGUCUUCUCUAUUCAAAAAACCAUAUUACACAAAAAUCAAAUAUCAGAGAACAUAGGACAACGCAGGGUUGAAGAUUUGGAGGUUUAGGGUUGAAGAUUAGUUUUCCAGGUAAGAUUCUAACCCUUAAAUUAGUAUUUUAGAUUCGUUAAUUAGUUUGAACACUUUAGAUAUUCUUUGAAAAAUCUGAAUAUACAUUAGGGUUUGUUAAUUUAAUUUUUAAAUAAAAAAGAUUGAAAAUUUAUGAACAUAAGUAGAGUUAUUAUUAAAGAUUGAAAAUUUUUGAAUAUUUGAAUUAAAAAUCUAGAAAAAAAAGAAGAAAAUAAAUUAUAGCUUUGGACGUGGAAAAAAAUUAAUAUUAAUUAAUAAAUAAAACCUAUGAGUAUGGAAGUAGAAAAAUAUGAGAGUUGAAAGCAAAGAAAAAAAAAGAGAAUAAGGUUUUGUGGUUGUACAUGCCUCCUUAGUGGAAAAAAAAAAUACAAGGUUGCUUGCAAUAGGAUAUGACAAAGAGAGAGAGAUAAAUGCUUAGAUGUUGAUUUUUGUGGGGAAAAAAAGAUUGGGUAAUGUAGGAGAGAAAUAGGUAGCACUUUUAGAGUCGGUGGAGUUGUUGUAAAAGCUCGUAGGGGUAAUUGUUAGGUAGUAGUAGGGUAUGAGAUUAAUUGUUAGGAAACAUUAGGACUUGAAAUAAUAAUAAUUGCUUCUAGUAAAAGUUUUAAUUUAGUUUAAGUAUAUAAAAGAAAUAGAUGAUUAGAAUAAGAUUUGGAAGGAAUAUGAAUUCAUAAAAAUUUCAAAAUUUACUAAUUUAGAUUAUUAUUGUUUUGGAAGUUGAAUAUAAUAUAGGUGAUAAUAUUAUUAAUAUAGGAAAUGAUUAAGAUUCUCAAACCUACAAUUUUAGAUAAAUAGUUAAUAGUAAUAGUUGAUUUUUUAUUUUUUUUUUAUUUUUUAUUUUUUAUGUUAUGUUAAGUGAAUAAUGGAUUCUUUGAUUAAUUCUCUAAGGUUUCUAAGUGCUUCUUUAAGGUAAGGGAUAUUAAUACUGAUUUUGUAAAUGAAAAUAUUUCUUUUUAUAAGUUAUUUUAAAUUAUGAAAAUUUUUAUUUUUAUUUAUGCAUGGAUCAAAUAUAUAUUUUUUCAUGAGAAACAUGUUUGGGCAAUUUCUUUGUUUAUAAAUAAAUAAAUGAAAACUUUGGAAAUAUAAUGUUUUGUUUUGUAAGUUUAAAAUAAUGAAAUAAAGUUUUUGACUCUGGUUUAUAUGACCUUAGUUAAUAGGUUAUAAUUGUUGACAUUUUCAGCUCCAGUCAACGAUUAUAAUUGUUGACAUUUUCGGCUCUCCAAUCAAUGAUUAUAAUUGUUGAGAUUUUCAACCCUAGCCAACGGGUUAUAAUAGUUGACCUUAUAGCCCUAGUCAACAGAUAUAAUUGUUAACCUUUGGCUUUUCCCAUCUUAAAAAGAACAAAUUUAAGGCUAGCCAUUUAUUUGUAAAGUCCCACCUAACUAAGUACCAUUUGUUAUUUAAUAACCAGAGUAAAGAUAUUUUGAAUGUAUUUGAUGUGAAAUUGUUGUGAUAUUAAUAUGAAAAUGUUUGGUUGAAAAGUUCAAAUGUUUAAUGCAUGUUGAAUUCAAAAGUUUUUAUGAAAAUGAUUAUAUGUUAUAUCUCUUAUUUGUAAGUUUGAUCCAUGAAACUGUAUUAAUAUUCCUUAUUGGACUUUGAGCUCAUUCCCCUUUAUUGAGAAUUUUUUUUCGUAUUCUCAGUUUGGGCAAGGAGUGAUGACUGGGUUGGGGAAUUUUCUUUACUAUGGUUUUGCUUCAAUCUUAUUUUGGACAUUGUUUAGAUGUUAAAAUUUAAUUCCCAUUUAAAUUAUUUGGGUUUGGAGUUAUUUGGACGAUAAAACUUUGAUUGAUGUGUUAGUUUUAAAGUUGAGAAUUGAAAAUUAUAGAAUUUAUUUAUCUUACUACUUUGAACAGAAAUUUAGUAAUUGGAGAUCAUCCAGUUACAAGAUGAAUAUUUGAGUCGUUUCAAGUCGUUUCCACUUUGAGUGUUCAGGCUUAGGGUGUGAAAUGAUCGUUAUGCCCUUGGAGUGGGUAUAUUGUUUAUUUGAAUUUAAUGGUCCCCGAACUCCUUAAUUACUCAUAACUUUAUAUCAGCUUCUCAAAGUUAAGUUGUUUUACAACUACUAUCUAGCUACUUUUCUCUACUAUGACAACUUUAUUACAUAGUGAUUAAUUGAAAGAAUCUACAUGUCUUAUUUCAUAGGAUAGUUGAUUUUUUUACUCAAUGAAUUUUGCUUUUAUUAUUGAAAAUUUCAAAUCAUUGUAGUCCAACAAUUUCCUAUCCAUUGGUAAUUUCAUAUUACAUUUCCAAAGUCUAAUCAUUUAAAAACACUUGUAGUUAAUAUAUUGGCAAUUGCAUUGUGGGAAGUUGUUCACUUGAUUUUAAUGUUGAAACUUUCAAAUUUUUGUAGUCCAACAAUUCCCUAUCCAUUGGUAAUUUCAUAUCACAUUUUCAAAGUAUAAUACUUGUAUAUAGUAUAUUUGGUGAUUGUAGAGUGGAAAGUUGAUCAUUUUCAUGAAGACCUCUAAAAUAGAAUUUUUUUUCAUUCCAUUUAUUAAAGAAUUUCAUUAAUUGAACAUAUAUGUUUUUUUAACCGAAAAGUAGAGGCCACAUUAUACGAGGCCUUAGGUGACAAUACUAGGUGAGGGCUUUUUUUUUUAAUUUAUUUAUUACGAAAUAUAAAUAAUAUUAUUUAUUGUAUAAUAAAGAUUAUUAUAAUAUAUUUUUUAUAGAUGAAAAAAAAUAUUAAUUGAGUUUUAUUUUUUUAAAUAAUUGUUUUCAAUAAAUAACGUAUUUGUAAAAAGAAAACUAUAAAAUAUAUGCAUUUGAAAAAUAUUUAAUUUUUAUUUGAUUUAGUAUCAAUUAAUAUUUGUAAUAUUUUUUAAUAUUAUAGAAGUUAACAUACUCAAUUAAGAUAUUCAAGAUCAAGAGAAUAUUUGAGAUUGAAUUAAUUUCUUUAUUGUUUAUGUUUUAGUAAAUUUUUAUAUCCAUUAAAAUUUUUUUAUUGUUUAUUUUUCAUUCAAUGUUUGCAUUUUGUAAUAGAUAUUAAAACAAAUUUUUUUCUUGUAUGUUAAAAAAAUAUUUCAAUGUCUUUAAAAAUAAAAUAUUGUAGUAAAAUCAAAAUUACAUUGUGAAACUUUAAGCGAAUGUUUUAUACUAAAGAAGUGCCAAUUAAAGUAAGCAUGCAUCUACAAUUGUAAUUUAGAUGUCAUAUUGAAACAAUAGUUCUCUUUGACUAUAUCAUAAAAUUUGGUUCGAAUUACUUUAAGUCAUCUUGUAGAUUUUCAAGUUCCAAUGAUAUGCAUCAAGUAUGUGCAACAUACUUGAUAUGACUAAUAUUUUCUUAAGUAAUUGGACACUUUUUUCUAUAAAUUUACUUGAUUAUCAAUGAAUACUUUUAUGUAAGGUAUUGAUAUAAUUCGAUAAAUAUUUUAAAAUAGUAUUAGAAUAGCUUUGCUCUUUCCUAAUUAACAAAUUUACUAAAUUAACUUAUAUAUAUUUGUUUAUUUUAAUUUACUGGUAUUUGACUCAAUUUGUUAUUAUUUUUAAAAUUAUAGGAAAACCAUUAUUUAUAGAGUUUAAUUAUAUUUGGUAAAUUAUCUUUUUAAGUUUGACUAGGAUUAGGAAACUAUUAAUUUAAGAUUAAUCCAUAAGGCUCUAUAAAUUUGCAGUUUUAUAUAACAUUUAAAAAAAGAAAGAAAAAGUAAGAAAAAGUGAAGAGAGAUAGGCAAAGAGUGCAUUGGGUUUUAGAUAGAGAAAGGUCGAGAGAGUUUUGAUUACUACUCAAAAAGAACAUAUUUUAGAUAGUAAUUCUCAUGGGUUUCACAUCUUUUGAGUAUUAAUUAUGCCUAAAAAUGCUCAAUUAACAUGUUGUUGCCCUUGCAAGAGUUACUAAUAAGUUUUAUAAAGUUUUGGAGUCAUUUCAAGUUAUGAUUUUAAUAAAUUGGUGAUGAAAGAGAUGAAUUGAUUUGAAGAAGGAAAAUAAUAUUGAUGAUGAUCCAAAUGCAUAAUGAAAGAAGCAAUAUAAUUAGUUUGAUCGGGAUUUGCUGCUAAUUUGGAGGUAGUUAAGGUGGAGUCAAAAGAAGAAAAUGGAAGAAAUGACAAAGAGGAACUUAAAAACCAAAUGUUGCAGAUUUGUAUGAUCAUUCAAAAAUUACAUGACUAUGCCAAAUGGAUUAGAGAAGGAAAAUUGACUAUAGUAUAAGGAGGAUGCUUAAGUUGAUUUAGCAUGAACAUGAGAAAAUUUCGCAUGAACAUGCGAAAAUUUUGCACAAUCAUGCGAAAUGGUCCAGAAAGCUCUCUAAUGUUGUUGUUGCUCCACUAAUUUCGCACCACCAUGCGAAAUCGAUCUUUUCAUGCAAAAUGGCUGAAGCUCAUGUGAAAUCAUGAUUUUGAUGCUAAACUCCAGAUUUGUGAAUUUGGAAGGUUUUAGAAGACCAAUGAGAGGUUGCCAAGUGUCCACUUGACCUUGGUCUAUAAAUAGAAACUUGAAUUUCCCAUGUAAAGAGCUUUGUGAUACUUUUGAUUUUAGAUUUUUCUAGAAACUCUUUCUCUAAAUAGAAUUCUAUAUUUUCUUUAAUUUUCCCUCAUUUUCUCAUUAGCCAAACAUGCCUAGUGAGACCAAAUUUCCAAGUAUGAGUGACUAAAUCUCGUUUUUCUCAGAGGAAUGAGGAUCUAGAGGCAAGAUCUAUGGUGAAUUAUAGAAAUGAGUUUUAAUUGCAAAUGUAAUUUGAUUCAAUUGAUUGAUUAAUUGAAAUUCGAGGAUUUUUCUCUUCAAAUUGUCCUGAAUGACAAUUACAUUGCAAACUAGGCAGAUUAAUUAAAUUCUUAAAGUUAGAUUUAAUGAGACUGAAUAGUUGCAUUGUAUGAAUCAUUGGAAGAUGAUUUAAGAUGAAUUGAAUAUAUAAUUUAAAUUCAUAUCUUGGAUUAAAUAACCUAAUUUGAAGAGAAAUUAGGUUUAGACUUAAAGGGAAAUCUAAAAUCGGUUUAGAUAAGAAUUUAGGUUUUCAAUCUAACUUGAUGAAAAAUAAAUCUCAACAUUUAUUCACCAUGGAAAUUGUUUUCUAAAAAAUAUUAACUCUGAGAAUUCCUUUUCCUUAUCAGUUUUCUUAUAUUCUACAUUAUAUUAUUCUUUUCGAUUAGAAAUCAUUGUUAUUUUGAUUUUUCGUGAAUUGUCAAAUCAAUUUCACUUGACCAUAAUCAUUUCUUUUCCUCUCAUUUAAACCUUAAUUAUCGAGAAUAAUCCAUCCCAAUAGAAGACACCUAAGACCACUAUACUACUGUAGCUUUUGCUAAAAAACCUUUUUGAUCGGGCAAGAGUUACCUUAGCAUAGUUGAAUUAGGUUAUAAAUUUUUUAUCCAAUAAACAACAAAAAAAUCAAUUGAUCAAGUUUACAUUGUGUAUUCUUGAAUUUUAUUAAUAAAUUUGAUCCCCUUUUUUGAAGCGAUUACACCAAACCAAGUAAAUAUUUUAUCUACUUCAUUUGCUUUAUUUUUUCUAUUAAGUUUAGGUGUUGCAAUUUUUAAGAGUCAUGGUGAGAAGAUUGUGGGAAAAAUUAUUUUAAGGAUGGAGUCGAACAUAAAAUAUGAAAUUGAGUCCUUUGAUGGAAAUAAUAAUUUUAAUAUUUGAUAGAGUAUUAUUAAAGAUGUUUUGAUACAACAAAGACUUCUCAAAGCAUUACAAGGCAAAAAAAACUAGAGAGCAUGACAAAUAAAGAAAUGAAAGAAUUACAAGCAAGAGUUGUAAGUACUAUUUGUUUAAGUCUUAAAAAUGAAAUACAUUGUUUUGAAUGAAAAAAAUAUUCUUUUAGGGGUGUCAAUUGCUCUUUUAGAGACCAAAAAUAUUAAGCAAUCAAGUAGUUCAUCUCAUAUUGGACAAACUGUUAUGAUGAAUUCUAAACCAUAUCAUCAUAGGAGUAAAUCGAAAGAAAAGUAUCUGAUAGGAGGAUGAUCAUUCCAUUCACACUUAUAGAGGAAUAUGAAGUAUUAUUNNNNNNNNNNNNNNNNNNNNNNNNNNNNNNNNNNNNNNNNNNNNNNNNNNNNNNNNNNNNNNNNNNUAGUGAUUGUUUUAUGUUGAAGAAAGGCUAAUUAAAGUAAACAUGCAUCUAAAAUUAUAAUUUAGAUGUUGUACUCAAAUAGUUGCUCUCCUCGAUUAUAUCAUAAAAUUUGGUUUGAAGUCUAAGUCAUCUAAUAAUUUUCUAGUUCCAAUUACAUGCAUCAAACAUGUGUGUUAGGAAGUGUUGCAAAUUACUAAUUAGUAUAUAUUCUUUUUUUUUUAAGAAUAUUGUAUUAAAUAUUUCUAGGUUGAUAUAUUAUUGUAAUAUUAGACUUCUUUAUAGAAUAAGGAAGGUUGUUGAAAAUAUCCCUAUAAAUAUUCUAGUUCAUAAGGGGAAAAAGUUUUGAGAUGAAGAUGGACCCAUAAAGACUAUACAAGGUGGAUAGAGAUGUGAGGAAGAACGAGAGGUACCCGAUGGAGCGAGAGGGCUCGUGGUAGGGUAUAGGUACGAAGAGUGAGGAAACAUGGGAUGUUUUGGGAACUCAAUAUUUGUAUCUAGUUAUGUCCUCUAUAAGUUCUAGUUCUGUCAUCUGCAUUGUUCUCUAUUUUAUAGUGGAAUGAUUCUCUCUUAUCUGUGGACGUAGGCAUGGUUUUCGAACCACGUUAAAACCUUGUGUACCGUUUGUGUUGAUUUUUUUUAUCUUUAUUUUCUUGAUUAAUGAAGUUUGCAUCAAAGCUUCUGUCAACGUAACAAACUUGUAUCAAAGUUUGGGAUAAAGAUUUCUAGAAGAGUAAAAGAUCAUAGAGCACACAAGAUGAAAACAAAAGGAAUUUUUAGUGAAAAAGGAGUCAAUUGCUCUCUCGUGGUGAUAUGAUAUAAAAAGUUUAUGUCAUGGAAAGUUUGAAGAUUUACUUCAUGGAAUCUGGUCCAAAAUGGAGAUUGUUAAUAAGUGUCCCAAAUUCCUAAUUAGUAUAGAUUUUUUUUUUUGUAAAGAAUAUUGUAUAGAAUAUUUCUAGGUUGAUAUAUUAUUGUAAUAUUAGACUUCCUUAUAGAAUAAGGAAGGUUGUUGAAAAUAUCUUUAUAAAUAUUCUAGGUCAUGAGGGAAAAAAGUAUGAGAUGAAGAUGGGCCCUAUAAAAACUAUAUGAGGUGGAUAAAGAUGUGAGGAAGAAUGAGAGGUACUCAAUGGAAUGAGAGGGCUCGUGGUAGGGUAUGGAUACAAAGAGUGGGGAAAUAUGGGAUGUUUUGGGAACCUAUUAGUUGUAUCUAGUUCUGUCAUCUAUAAUGUUCUAGUUACGUCCUCUAUAAUGUUCUCUAUUGUAUAGUGGAAUGAUUCUCUUUCAUCCGUGGAUGUAGGCAUGGUUGUCGAACCACAUUAAAACCUCGUGUACUAUUUGUUUUAUUUUUAAAUUUUUUUUAAUCUUUGUUUCUUGAUUAAUGAUGUGUGCAUCAAAGCUUCCAUCUACGUAACAAACUGGUAUCAGAGCUUGGGUUGAAGAUUUUUGGAAUAGUAAAAGAUCACAAAGCACACAAGAUGAAAACAAAAGGAAUUUUUAGUGAAUGUGGAGUCAAUUGUUCUCUCGUGGUGAUAUGAUACAAAAAGUUUGUGUCAUGGAGGGUUUAAUGAUUGACUCCGUGGAAUUUGGUCCAAGGUAGAGAUUGUUAGGAAGUGUCCCAAAUUCCUAAUUAGUAUAGAUUUUUUUUUUUUAAAGAAUAUUGUAUAGAAUAUUUCUAGGUUGACAUAUUAUUGUAAUAUUAGACUUCCUUAUAGAAUAAGGAAUGUUGUUGGAAAUAUUUUUAUAAAUAUUUUAAGUCAUGAGGGGAAAAAUUUAUGAGAUGAAGAUGGGCCUAUAAAGACCAUAUGAGAUGGAUAGAGAUGUGAGGAAGAAUCGGAGGUACCCAGUGGAGCGAGAGAGUUCGUGGUAGGGUGUGAAUAUGAAGAGUGGGGAAACAUGGGAUGUUUUGGGAACCCAAUAGUUGUAUCUAGUUCUGACAUCUAUAAUGUUCUGGUUCUGUCAUCUAUAAUGUUCUGGUUUUGUCCUCUGUAAUGUUCUUUAUUGUAUAGUGGAAUUAUUCUCUCUCAUCUAUAUAGGCAAGUUGCUAAACCACGUUAAAACCUCGAAUACCUUUUGUGUUGAUUUUUUUUAUCUUUGUGUUCUUGAUUAACGAUGCUUGCAUCAAAGCUUCUACCAACGUAACAAUGUGCAACAUAUUUGAUAUAACUUAUAUUUUCUUAAGUAAUUGAACACUUUUUUCUAUAAAUUUACUUGAUGAUCAAUGAGUACCUACAUAUACGGUAUUGACAUAGUUUGAUAAACAUUUUAAAAUAGUAUUAGAAUGGCUUUUCUUUUUCCCAAUUAACAAAUUUAUCAAAUACACACACACACACACACACACAAAAUACUCAUUAGUAUGUCUUUUAUGAAAAAACUAUGUUUGUUUAUUUGAAUUUAGUAGCCAUUCAAUUCCUUAGUUACUCAUAAACUUUUUAUCACCUUCUUAAAGUCAAGUCAUUUACAAUUAUUUUCAAGUCAUUUACAAUUAUUUUAGCCUUCUCCAUUAUGACAACUUUAUAAGAUAGUGAUUGAUUGGAAGAAUCUACAUGCCUUUGUUGAUAGUAUAAUUGUUUUUCUUUUUUUUCGUAUUCAAAGAAUCUUGCUUCUGUUAUUGAAACUUUCAAAUCCUUUAUGUCUAGUGGUCUUAUAAUUCCCUAUUCAUUGGUCUUUCAUAUUACCAAUCAUUUUGCAAAUGAGUUAAUUUCAUUCACAUCCUCUGAGAUUUGAUGUAAAUUCGCUUAGUUACCAAUGAUUUCAAAUUUCAUUAAUUAGUACCCCUACAGAUAUAAUUCGUGUACAAAAUUUAUUUUUUAAAAGAGUUUAGGUAAAAAUAUUUUAGGUAUAUGUCUUUAACAAUUCUCUAAAAUAAAUUUUACUUGCUAAAAAAUAACUUAUAUAGAUAGAAUACAUCUACAGGAGUUCUAACUAACGAAAUUUAAAACUAAUGGUGGUUUAGUGUAUUUAAACUAAACAUUAGGAAGGGUGACUGAAAUUAACCCUCUAGGUAUAUAUGUUUAACAAAAUUUUUAUUGUUUAUUUUUCAUUUAAUGUUUGCAUUUUUCAAUAAACAUUGAAAAGGAAUUGUUUUUCCAUAUGUUAACAAAAAGAAAUUUGAAUACCUAUAAAAAUGAAAUCUUGUAGUAAAAUUGGAGUUACAUUAUCAGACUUUUAACGAGUGUUUAUGUUUAGAAAGGCCAAUUAAAGCAAGCAUGCAUCUAGAAAUUGUAACUUAGAUGCAUCAAACAUGAGCAACAUAUUUGAUAUAACUAAUAGUUUCUUAAGUAACUAAACACUUCUUUUUCUAUAAAUUUACUUGAUUGUCGAUGAAUACUUACAUACAUUUACAUAGUUUGAUAAAUAUUUUAAAAUAAUAUUAGAAUAACUUUGUUUUUUCUCAAUUAUAUUAGAAAAUAAUAUAAAGUUACUUAUAAACUUUAUAUCAUUUUCUCAAAGUCAAGUCAUUUACAAUUAUUUCUAUCUAGUCUUCUCCAUUAUGACAACUUUUAUAUGAUAGUCGUUGAUUGGAAGAAUCUACAUGUCUUUUUUGAUAAGAUAGUUGUUUUUAUUAUUUUUAUUUUUUUUAUUCCAAAAAUUUGCUUCUAUCAUUGAAACUUUCAAAUCUUUUAUGUAUAUUACCAAUCAUUUUACAAGUGAGUUAAUUUCACUUAGGGUAGAUAUACUUAGCCACACCCCUAUAGAUGUAAUUUGUGUUUAAAUUUUAUUUUUUAUUUAGGUAAAAAUAUCUUAGGUAUAUGUGUUCUACAAUUCUCUAAAAAAUAAAUUUUCUUAUCUAAAAGUUUAUAUAGACAAAAUACAUCUAUAGAAGUCCUAACUAAUGAAAUUUAAAAUCAAUGGUUGUUUAGUGUAUUUACAUUAAACCUUAUGGGGUAUGAUUGAAAUUAAGUCUUUUACAAGCACUUGUAGCUAAUAUGUUUGUAGUUGUAGUCUUGGAAAUUGAUCAUUUUCUUGAAGGCCUCUAGGAUAUUGAAAAUAUUGCCAUAGUUUUAGACUUUUUUUUUAUUACACCUAAUAAAAAAUAUUAUUAAUUUAACAUAUAUAUUCUUGACUUAAAAGUAAAGUCUCUCCAUAUUGUAUAAGCCCUUAGGUGGCAAUAUUAGGUGAAGUUUUUCUUUCGUUUAUUACAAAAUAUAAAUAAUUUAUUAUUGUAUGAUAAAAUUUUAUGUAAUAUAUUUUUAUAGAUGUAAAAUUAUUAAUUGGGUUUUGUUUUUUUUUACUAAAUUGUCAUUUCAAUAUAUAAAACUUAUUUGUAAAAAGACAAUUAUAAACUAUAUGAAAUUGAAAAACAUUUAGUUUUUUUAUUUAAUUUAGAAUUUUAUUUGGAUUAAUAAUUGAUAUUUGUAAGAUUUUUGAAUAUUAAAAAAAGUUAGCAUACUUAAGAAAGAUAUUCAAGAUCGGGAGUGUUUGAUAUCGGAUUAAUUUCCUUAUUUUCUCUAUUUUAAUAAAUUUUCACGUCCAUUACAAAAUUUUUGUUGUUUAUUUUUUACUUCAAUAUUUUUAUUUUGUAAUAGAAAUUUGAAAAGAUUUUUUCCUACAUGUUAAAAAAAAAAAAGAUUUGAACACUCCUAAAAAAGAAAUAUUGCAAUAAAAUUAAAGUUUACACUGUAGGACUAUUAGCAAAUGCUGCAUACUUAAAAUAGACCAAUUAAAGUAGAAAUACUUCUAAAAUUGUAAUUUAGGUAACAAUAAUAUAAAAAGACAAUAUUUUUGAAACAAUAGUUCUCUUGGAGUUUUGGGUACAAUGGACUAGACUUUAUGUAACAAUAGAUAUACAAACUUUCCAUUAACAUCUUGAGAGACAUGAUGAGGAGCAAAGUCAUCCAAGAAGGUACCAUAGAGGUACCUUAGCUCAAUUCAUCUAGACUACAUAAUGUUUAAAGAUCAAAUUCAAUGACUAGAUUUCAAAAAUCAAUAUAAGCUUUCUCAUAUUCUACUCUAUAUAAGACAAUGGUAUGAUACCUCUCUUGUGUCGUAGAAUGCACCAUGAAAACCUUAUCAUUUUAACAUCAGUUUGAAACUUAAAAGUCACUUAGCACAUUCUAGUUAUUAAUUUAAGAGCAUUAAAAGAAAUAUAUAAAAAAAAAGUUACUUUAUCCUUGUGAUUUUGAUCUAGGACUUUUAAUGAUAUUAAAAAAAAAAACAGAAAAAUAAAUGGAAAUAAAAUCAAUAAAUUAAACAAUUGAAUUAAGUUAGUUUAAUUUUUGAAUCGUUAAAUGGGUAAAUAAAGAUCUUAGAUUUGAUAUUAAUAUGAACAUCAUGACUUCAGUGAAUCUUACAAGAAAAUUUUAGUUUGAAAGACUUCAUUCAUUAAACGUGUGGCACAUAUUAAAGUAAAACUAAGUCUUCUCUAUAAUUUGUACCUAUCAUAGUUUCUUUCCUCAUAAAUAGCCUUUUUUGAAUAUAAUAUAGACUUCAACAUGCAUGGUGGGGCCAAUCAAACUACUAGUCAAGACAACUCAUGGGCAACAACGAUGUACCAACUACAUUUAAAUACUCUUCAUAUAUUUGCAUAUCAAGAGUAAUUUAGUAGUGUCUUUCUUAUGUACCUCAUAUCUAGACUUUCAAUGGAGAGUUCUUCAUCUAAAAAUUUGACUUGGGUUUUCAUACUAGUUUUGGUUUAGACAUGUGGAUGCAAAGGUUGCAUCAAAGAAGAGAAGUAGGCUAAAUCAUCUUACAAAUUUUCAAGUUCAAAUUAGAUGCACCAAACAUAUGCAACAUAUUUGAUAUAACUAAUAUUUUCUUAAGUAAUUGAAUACAAUUUUUUUUUAUAAAUUCACUUGAUUAUUAAUGGAUAACUAACUACAUGUAUGGUAUUGACACAACUUGAUAAAUUUUUUAAAAUAGUAUUAGAAUAACUUUGCUAAAAAAAAGUAAAAAUAAAAAUAAAAAUACAUCUAUAUAUAUAUAUAAUUAAAUAAAAUUAAAAAUUAAUAUAUAUAUAUAUAUAUAUAUAUUCUGUGUGUGUAUGUGUGCAUGGUCUCACAAGUCAUUAGCUACUCAUAAGCUUUAUAUCACUUUCUCAAAGUCAAGUCAUUUUGUAAUUAUUUCUAUCUAGCCUUCUCCAUUACGACAACUGUAUAGGAUAUUGAUUGAUUGUAAAAAUCUUCAUGUCUUUUUUUAUAAGAUAGUUUUUUAUUAUUAUUAUUAUUCAAAGAAUUUUCUUUUAUUAUUGAAACUUUCAAAUCCUUUAUGUCUAGUGGUCCUACAAUUCCCUAUUCAUUGGUAUUUCAUAUUACCAAUCAUUUUACAAAUAAGUUUAUUUCACCCGGUAAAUAUACUUAACUACCAAUGGUUUCAAAUUUAAUUGAUUAACACACUUAUAGAUGUAAUUUGUUUUUAAAUUUUAUUUCUUUUAGAAGAAUUGUAGGUAAAAAUGUUCUAGGAAUAUGUGUUCAAUAAUUCUCUAAAAACAAUUUAUAUAGAUGGAAUACAUUCAUGGAAGUUCCAACUAAUGAAAUUUAAAACCAAUGACGAUUUAAUGUAUUUGCACUAAAUCUUAGGGGAGGUGUACUAAAACUAGCCCUUUUACAAAUAUUUGUAGCUAGUAUAUUUGUAGUUAUGGUGUUGGAAGUUGAUCAUUUUCUUAAAGGCCUCUAAGAUAUUGGAAAUAUCGCCAAAGUUUUGAACUUUUUGUUUCACCUAAAUAAAAUAUCAUUAAUUUAAUAUAUAUACUCUUCGCUUGAAAGUAUAGUUUCUUCAUAUUGUAUGAAGUUGUAACUAGGUGACAAUAUUAGGUGAAAUUUUUUUUUGUUUACUACAAAAUAUAAAUAAUAUAUUUAUUAUAUGAUAAAAUUUUGUAAAAUAUAUUAUUAUAGAUGCAAAAUUAUUAAUGGAGUUUUAUUUUUUACUAAAUUAUCAUUUCAAUAAAUAAGAACUUAUUUGUUAAAAGAAAAUUAUAAAAUAUAUGCAAUUGAAAAAAAUUUAAUUUUUUUAUUUAAUUUGGUAUUUUAUUUGAAUUAAUAAUUGAUAUUUGUAAAAUCUUUUAAUAUUAAAAGAAGUUAACAUACUUAAAAAAGACAUUCAAAAUCAAGAGAGUAUUUGAUAUGAAAUUAAUUAAUUAUUUUUUUUCUAUUUAAAUAAAUUUUUACAUCCAUUAAAAAAAUUUUCUUGUUUAUUUUUCACUUCAAUAUUUUUAUUUUGUAAAAUAAAUAGAAAUAAAAUCAACAAAUUAAACAAUUGAAUUAAGUUAGUUUAAUUUUGCCACCGUUAAAUUGGUAAAUGAAGACUCUUAUAUUUGAUAUUAACAUGAACAUCAUGACUUCAUUGAAUAUUCUCACAAGAAAAUUUUAGUUUGAAAGAUUUUAUCCUUUAAACAUGUGGCACAUAUUAAAGUGAGACCAAGUCUUCCCUAUAAUUUGUAUCUAUCACAAUUUCUUUCCUAAUGAAUAACCUUUUUGAAUAGAAUAUAGACUUUAGCAUAUUACCAACCAUUUUACAAAUAAGUUAAUUUCACUCAGUAAAUAUACUUAACCACCAAUGGUUUCCAAUUUGUAGCACUCUUAUAGAUGUAGUUUUUUUUUUAAAUUUUAUUUUUUAGAAGAAUUGUAGGUAAAAAUAUUUUAGAUAUAUAUGUUCAACAAUUCUCUAAAAACAAUUUAUAUAGAUGGAAUACGUUCAUGGAAGUUCCAACUAAUGAAAUUUAAAACCAAUGAUGAUUUAAUGUAUUUGUACUAAAUCUUAGGGAGUGUGGACUAAAAUUAGCCCUUUUACAAAUAUUUAUAACUAGUAUAUUUGUAGUUGUGGUAUUGAAAGUUGAUCAUUUUCUUAAAAGGUUUACCAUUGAAGUUAGUUGAAUAUAAAGUUAGGUGAACUUUACCAUUGUUUAAUUGGUAAAUGAAGACUCUUAGAUUUGAUACUAACAUGUACAUCAUGACUUCAUUGAAUCUCUCACAAGGAAAUUUUAGUUUGAAAGACUUCAUCUUUUAAACAUGUGGCACAUAUUAAAGUGGACCAAGUCUUCCCUAUAAUUUGUAUCUAUCACAAUUUCUUUCCUCAUAAAUAGCCUUUUUUAAUAGAAUUAAUAUAGACUUUAGCAUGCAUGGUGGGCCCUGUCAAACUAUUAGUCAAGAUAAUUUGUAGGUAAGAACGAUGGACCAACUAUAUUAAAUAUUCUUCAUCUAUUUGCAUAUCAAGAGCAACUUAAUAUUGUCUUUCUUUUGUACUUCAUGUUUGAACUUUCAAUGGAGAGUGUGUCAUCUAAAUAUUUGAUGUGGGUUUUUAUACUAUUCUUGGUUCAAAUAUGUGGAUGCAAAGGUUGCAUCGAAGAAGAGAAGAUGGGUUUGCUUGAAUUCAAGGCUUUUCUUAAAUUGAAUAAUGAGCAUGCAGAUUUUCUUCUCCCUUCAUGGAUAGAUAACAACACUAGUGAAUGUUGUAAUUGGGAGCGGGUUAUUUGCAAUCCCACCACAGGUCGAGUUAAGAAGCUUUUCCUCAAUGAUAUUACGCAACAACAAAGUUUCUUGGAAGACAAUUGGUACCAAUAUGAAAAUGUCAAAUUCUGGUUACUAAAUGUCUCCCUAUUCCUUCCUUUUGAAGAACUUCACCAUCUAAACUUGUCUGCAAACUCAUUUGAUGGGUUUAUUGAGAAUGAAGGUAUGUUACCUCUCACCUUUAAAAUUUCAUUUCACUUAUACUCCAAACAUUCUAAAGGAACUACUAGCAUAUGUUCUUAAAAGUGUUCAGGUGGAGACCAAAUGGUCACUAGUAACUAUUGAAUUUAAUAUAAGAACAAUUACUAAUUAUUAAAAUUUAUAAUGUAAAUUAACAUUUAAACAGAACAAUAAAAAAAUUAUUAUUUUAGAAAACUAUAGAUUACAUUAGCCUUAUAUAUAUAAGCAUACUUGUUAUUUAUGCCAUCAUUUCACACUCAACCCAAUAAGUGGGAUUCAACUAAGAGUGAGCAAUUUCACAAUUAUUAAUUAACAGGAACACUUAGUCUCCCAUAUCCUUAUCCUUUUUGUUGAAUUGUCUUUCCUUAUCUUCCAUUCCUAAAAAGCUUGAUUUCUAUAUUCUAAAUUGAUAAAGAUUGGUUAAAGAAAGGUGAUCACAAAAUUUGACUAUUGCUGUCAAAUAAGGAAUCACCAUCUUCAAAGUUUCACAUUUACAAAAAAAAAAAAAAAAAAAAAAAAAAAAAAAAAAAACCCUAGCCUUGGGUAAGGUCCAAGCCUUAUUGUUUUAAGCUGAUGUCGGGUUGGUUUAAUAAUAAACAAAAAAAAUCCUAACCCAUGACCAUCUACGCAUUUCCAAAUUCCACCCAUCCACAACCCAUUAAUAUGACAUUUUCAAGGACAAAAUUUAAUCAAUUAAACCUAUUAGAUGGAUUCUCCAUACAAUGUUAAAAUGAAUAUAAAAACUUUAAUUCAAAAAAUAAUUUCCUUUAUUUAGUUAGGAUUCAAAUUAUAGGGGCACAAAACAUGAAAAUUUUCAUGUUUAAAAUUCACAAAGAUCACAAAAGCUCUUUGAAGCUCUAUGGACUUUUUUAUUUCUAACAUUUAAACACAAAAAUCACCAUAUUUAAUUAGAGAUUUGGAUACAUAUUCUUAUAUUAAAGACAUGUAAGCUUACAUAUUUAAAUAUGAAGAUCUCAACUUGUAAUUACAUGCUUCUAAUUAAAGUUAUAUUACUCUAUUUUAUAGGAUUUAAAGGGUUAUCAAGUUUAAAGAAAUUGGAGAUCUUAGACAUAAGUGGUAAUGAGUUUGAAAAAAGUGUCUUAAAAUCUUUGGACACAAUAACAUCACUCAAGACAUUGGCUAUUUGCAGCAUGGGACUGAAUGAAUCUUUUUCCAUUCGAGGCAUGUUAUAUGUCCACAUUGUUUCUUUGAAAUUAAGUAAAAUAUAUUUCUAACUUUUAAUGUUCCUUAGUUAAUCUCUCUUUUGAUUCAUGUUUGUUGCAGAAUUAGCUAGUUUGAGAAAUUUGGAAGUGUUGGAUCUAAGCUAUAAUGAUUUGGAAAGCUUUCAACUAUUGCAAGGUACUUCAUUAACUUGCUAAAAAAACUUAUGAUAUUUUGUUAUUAAAUUAAAGGUAAGAUUAACAAACAAUUUCUUCUCAUUAGUUACUUUUCUUUGUAAUAUCAUUAAAUUUGAUAUAAAGUAGUCUAAAUCAUCCUUUCAAUUUAUAAGUUUUAAUUAAAACGCAUCAAGCAUGCACAAGAUGUUUAAUAUAACUAAUAUUUUCAUAAGUAAUUGAAUUUUUUUAUAUGAAUUAAUUAACUUGAUUAUCAAUAAAUACUUACAUGUAUAAGAUUAAUAUAGUUUCAUAAGUAUUUUAAAAUUGUCUUACAACACACACACACACACACACAAGGAAAAUGAAAGGUAUGUGAUAUCUUUAUGCUAUGUUUGGUUCCCAAAAAAAUUGAGGGAAAAUGAAAGGAGAAAAAAGUAGAGACGAAAAGUAAAAGAAAAGAAAAAAAGUAAAGAAAAAUAUAAAAUUGAUUAAAGUAAAUACAUUAUUUUUAUAUGUUACUUUAACUUGUUUCACUUAUUUUAAUUCUUCAAUGUAAAGAUGAAAGAUUUGAAAAUGCAUAAGUUUCUAAUUAUUUUUUAUUUUAUUUUAUAGUUUUUACAAUACAACCAAACAUAAUAAAAUCAUUUUCUUUAAUUUUUUUUCUUUUCUUAAUACUUUUCACGAACCCUUUAAGUUAUGUUUGUUUGCAGAAAAUAUGAGGAAUAGAAAAUAGAAAAGAAAAUUAGAAGGAAAGAAAAAGUGAAGUAAAAUAAAAAUAAAUUUAAAUUUAAUAAAUUAUUUGUAUAUGCUACUUUAAACUUAUUUCACUUAUUUUAAAUUAUUUAAACUCAUUUCUAAUAAAUAAUAAUGGAAAUUGUAGAGAAGUUUGUGUUAUUCAAGCUUUGCAAUGACUUUACAAGGUGAAGGAAAAUAUUCUUGCUGAAAUUGAAAAAAGAAAUACCUUCUUAAAUAGCCUAUUGACCGAAAACACAUUACCCUAACAUAUACACACACCUUUAUUAUUUAUACAAUCAUUUAAUACUUAAUCCAGUUAGUGGGAUUCUAGUGGUUGUUUUUAUCUUGGUUUCCAAUAUUUCUGAUUGAUAGUGUUCGAUUAAUGAAAUAUCAUAAAUUUUGACCCUAAUAAGGACCAAUCCCUAUUAAAUGUAAUUGGGUUGACCUAAGACUAAAUGUUAGAUCCAACUAAUAAAAACCCAUCUAUUUGUUGGAGUGUAAAUAACCCGGCCUUAGGUAGGGCCCAUGCCUUAUUAUUUUAAGAUGUAGUCCAACUGGUUUGACACUAGAUUGAGUAAAGCCCAACUUAUGAGCAUCUAUGCAUUUCCAUCCAUCCACAACCUACUGGCAUGGACAAACUUUGGUCAAUUAAACCUAUUAUAACUGCAUACAAAAUUUUAAGUUCAAAAGAUAAUUUUCCUUAUUUAGUUAGGAUUCAUAUUAAAAAGGCACAAAGCACGAAUUUUCAUGUUUAAAUUCACAAAUAUCACAAAAGCUCCUUCAAGCUCUAUGGACCAUUUUAUUUGUAACAUUAUAUUACUCUUAAUUAUCAAAUUAACCAACAAAUUCUUCUCAUUAGUUAUUUUUCUUUAGUAAUGUCAUAAAAUUUGAUAUAAAGUAGUAUUGGUCAUCAUUUCAAAUUUUAGGUUCCAAUUAGAUGUAUCAAGCAUGUGUACCAUAUUUGAUAUAACUAAUAUUUUUAUAAGUAAUUGAAUUUUUUUUUCUAUAAAUCAAUUAAUUUGAUUAUCAAUGAAUACUUUCAUACAUGAUAUUGAUGUAGUUUCAUAAAUAUUUUAAAAUAGUCAUAGAAGUCUUUUAUCUGAUUCACUAGAAAGAAAAAUAAACUAUUCUAAUGAAAAGACUUGAUGAUUUGAAGUGAUUGCUUUUGAUUUUAUUUGAUUGCUACCAUUAUUAAUUGUUAGAAAUUGGCAACAAAUACCCAUUUUGCAUCACUUCUAUAUGCAUCGGGGGAAUGAAUUAUAUUUCAUAGAGCUAAUAGGGCAAAACUCAAACUUUUGGAAUUAUGGAAAAGGUUGCUAGAAAGCUAAUUAACCAUUUAUAUUAUGAUUAAGACUAGUUGGGUUAGAAAUAAUUCAUAUGGAGAUUAAAAAAAACUAUGUAAUUUAGUUUAGUAGCUUGGGUGCUAUUGUAAUGAUUAAUGAUCUGCAACUUGAACACAUCUACUAGUGCUUUCUACUUGUAUAGCUAAAUUUAUGUUACCACUUUGAACUACAGUACUUACAUGAGAAGAAAGUUUUUCCUUAGUGAUAAUGCAAAAGAAAUUAAGUAUCAAUUUUUGUUAAACUAACAAGUGAUAGUUUAGAUAUGGUUUGAAUACACUUCCUUUCUUCUAUAUUUUUAUUUUGAAAAAAAAAAACUCUUUAAUGAAAUAUAAGAAAUCUUAUAUGUAUAAAAAUUAAAGACUUAAACAAAAAAAUUCUUCAAAUUUGAAAAUUUUCGAGAAGUAUUUUUAAGAAUUUGUAUUUUCAAUAUAAUAAUUCAUAUAUUUUGUAUAAAAGUUUUUGUUUAAAAAAAUAGAAGUGUGUCCAAAUUACAAAUUAAUUGUUAAAUUAAGAAUGUUUCUCAGAUCAAGAGAUGAUGAAAGUUGUAGAGAGUUUGCAUUACUCAACCUUUGCAAUUACUUUUUGAAGGUAAAAGAAAAUACCUUCCUACAUAACAUACAAUGGCAGGUUCUGGUUUGUAAGAAACUAAUAAAUGAUUAAGAAUAUGAAUAAGACUUCCUUUAUAAUGGAUAUGUAGAGAAGAAUAGUGGAUGAUAGGAGGUGAAAAUCUUGUAAUAAAAUAUCAAUAUCAGUUAUAAGAUAAUCAACAUUUUCUCUAUUUCUUGUACCUAUGUGAUUAAGAAUCUUGUAGCUCCCUUAUUGAAAUAUAAUAUAAAAAUAUAAAUAAACUAUUUAGAAGUGCAUGUAGUUUUCAACAUGAGGAAGUUCAAAAGCAAGUUAAUUAUGAUAAUUUUCUAUAGUCUAUAUUGAACACAAAUUAUUUUUACUAAAGGUUCAAUCGUUCUAUGAAGGUUAAAAGUUUGAAUUGUUUACAUAUGCAAAUGGACAACCAAACAAGAAAAUGAUUUUGAAAUCCUUUUUGGACCUUUUUUUAUCAUUCAUUUUUUCCCCUACUCUAUUUCCUUUCCCUCAAACUCUCUAGGUAGUAAACAUUACCUAAGAUAAAUAGGGAAGAAAAUAUUUUAUCAUUUAUUUAUUUAGUAUUUUUCUUACAUUUUUUGUAUGUUAUCCAAAUAUAAGAAAACUAUUUUUCUUUAUUUUUUCUUUUCCUUGUUGCUUUUCAAGAAUCAAGCAUACUUUAAACUCUAAUUAAGAGUUACAUAGAUUUACGAAGAAACAAUGCAACUGGUAACAAAAAAUUAAGGAAAUUUAAUUUUUGAGAGUAGGUAUAAUGAGAUUGGUUUGUUUGAUACAAAAUUUGAAUAAAAAUUCUUUCAAUGAAAAUUCAAGGAAAGGAAAAAAAAAACAACUUUCUCUCUAGACUAUAAUACUAAAUCACUUAAAAAAUAUCCUAACAUCGUUUAUGUUCAUCUUUCUUUUUAUGGAUUUGAAAAACCCAAUAAUUUGGAGAAAACUGAUUCAAGGAAGAAUAAUUUUUAGAAUAAAAUAUUAUUAUUUAAGAAGAUCAUAAAUAUUAUAGUCAUUGUUGAAUAUGAUAAAUGAUUUAAAAAAAAUGGUAGUUGGAAAUUUAGAUACUUUUAUAAGACAAAUGAAUUUUUCUAGUAUGGUAUGAAAAAAGGUAAAAUGAUAGGCUUUGAUCAUUUUUUAAGGUAGUUUGUUUAAAUCAUUUUAAUUUAUUUUCAUUUAAGAACAAUAACUUUUAUUACACUAGUUAUUUUGAUUUUCUUUUGAUAGAUUUUGCAAGCUUAAGCAAUUUGGAGCUAUUGGAUUUGAGUAAUAAUUCAUUUAGUGGGAGCGUUCCAUCAUCUAUAAGAUUGAUGUCUUCUCUCAAGUCUUUAUCCCUGGCUGGAAAUUACCUCAAUGGUUCCUUACCAAAUCAAGGUAUAUAUAUAUUGUGAUUACAGGUUUUUCUGUUUUCUUUUUUAAUAUCUUGUUUGUUCUUUAUGCCAAUGAAGUCAUGCAUGUCUAUUAAUUUUUGGUAUUUAAUAAAAAACUUUAUUCUUAAUUCAUAAAGACCUCAUCAACGGUAAGUAACAGCUAGUUGUAAGUUUGGGGGCAUUGACAAGACGAGGAGAUGAUUGGUUACAUGUCUUAUUCUCUUUUGUAGGCUUUUGCCAAUUGAAUAAGCUUCAAGAAUUAGAUCUUUCUUACAACUUGUUCCAAGGAAUCCUUCCUCCAUGUUUGAAUAAUUUGACAUCUUUGAGGUUAUUGGAUCUCUCUUCCAACCUAUUCUCCGGAAAUCUUUCUUCCCCUCUGUUACCUAAUCUCACAUCCCUGGAGUACAUCGAUCUCAGUUACAAUCAUUUUGAGGGUUCAUUCUCUUUCAGCUCUUUUGCUAAUCACUCCAACCUUCAAGUGGUCAAACUUGGAAGGAAUAACAACAAAUUUGAGGUAGAAACUGAAUAUCCAGUUGGUUGGGUUCCCCUGUUUCAGUUGAAAGCUCUUGUGCUAUCCAACUGUAAGCUCAUCGGUGACCUUCCUAGUUUCCUUCGACACCAAUUAAGAUUAACCGUGGUUGAUCUCUCCCAUAAUAACUUGACUGGAAGUUUCUCCAUUUGGCUGCUUGAAAACAAUACAAGACUAGGAUCUCUAGUUCUGAGGAAUAACUCUUUAAUGGGUCAACUACUUCCCCUGAGACCUAAUAGUCGUAUCACUUUAUUGGAUAUCUCAGACAACCGACUUGAUGGGGAACUUCAACAAAAUGUGGCCAAUAUGAUUCCAAAUAUUGAGUUUCUAAAUUUAUCCAACAAUGGUUUUGAAGAUAUUCUCCUAUCCUCAAUAGCCGAAAUGAGUUCCUUACAGUCAUUGGAUUUGUCUGCUAAUAGUUUCUCAGGGGAAGUACCAAAACAAUUGCUUGUGGCAAAAUAUUUGUGGCUUCUGAAAUUAUCAAAUAAUAAAUUUCAUGGUGAAAUAUUUUCAAGGGAGUUUAACUUGACUCAGUUAGGGUUUUUACAUUUGGACAAUAAUCAGUUCAAGGGAACACUGUCAAAUGUAAUCUCCAGAAUCUCUAGGUUAUGGGUGUUGGAUAGGUAACAUGACCGAUUUGACUACCCUAGUGUUGGGCAACAAUAGUUUUAAAGGCAAAUUACCACCUGAGAUUUCUCAAUUGUUGGGGAUGAUAUUUCUUGACCUUUCUUAAAACGCUCUUUCAGGAUCUUUUCUUUCUUUGAAGAGCCUGGAGUAUUUAGAGCAUCUACAUUUGCAAGGGAACAUGUUUAUAGGAUUGAUACCUAGAGAUUUUCUCAAUUCCUCAUAUCUAUUGACUUUGGAUAUCAGAGACAACAGGUUAUUUGGAAGUAUUCCCAAUUCAAUCUCUAGACUUUUAGAGCUAAGAGGAAACCUUUUAAGUGGUUUCAUUCCAUAUCAGCUCUGUCAUUUGACUAAAAUAAGCUUCAUGGAUCUUUCAAACAACAAUUUUUCUAGGUCAAUUCCUGGAUGCUUUGGUCAUAUCAGAUUUGGAGAUUUCAAAACUGAGCACAAUGUGUAUAUACCGAUGUUGGAUUCGUAUUCAGAAAGCAAUCCUUCUAUAUAUGCGGGUUACUUAAUAAAAUUUUAUUUUUCUCUAGUGAACUCCCUAAUGAAGUAGAUGAAGUUGAGUUUGUUACCAAGAAUAGGUAUAGCUCCCACAGAGUAGAUAAAUAUAUUUGUUGGGAAUUUAGAUAUUUUUAUAGAAAAGUAGACAAGUAUUCUAAUUUAUAAAAAUAAUGCAUUUCUUUAGUUUGGUAUAAAAAAAAUGAAAUGAUAUGUAUUGGUAAUUUUUUUUAAAGUAACAAACGUUUUAUUUUAUUUGUAUUUAAGAACAAUUUUUUUUCUUAUACUAGUUAUUUUAAUUUUCUUUUGACAGAUUUUGCAAGCUUAAGCAAUUUGGAGAUGCUAGAUUUGAGUUAUAAUUCCUUAAGUGGGAUUAUUCCAUUAUCUAUAAGAUUGAUGCCUCAUCUCAAGUCUUUAUCCUUGGCCAGAAAUCACUUCAAUGGUUCUUUACAAAAUCAAGGUACAUAUGUUAUGAUUUGUUUGUUUCAUAUAGAUUAGAGAAGAUGAAUAUUGUUAAAAAAAAAAAGUUGUUGUUAAUGUAAGCUAGAAAUAAGUAUUUUGCCUUAUAAAUUAUAUAAGCAUGUGUUUGUUCUGAAUGAAUCUUUACAACAUUUAGAGUUACCAAUGUUUAUAAUUCAUAAAGACCUCAUUAACAGUGAGUAACAACUAAUUGUAAGUAAUUGUGGAAAAAGUAAGGAAAACAAAAUGAGGGAAAAGCAAGGAAUUAGGAAAUUAUUUUGUUCCCAUAAAAAAAUGCUAAGGAAGAAAAAGGUAAAAGAAAGUUUAAAAAAAGUGUAUUUUUCAAAAAUUUAUUUCUCUUUCCUUUAAUUUUGCUAUGGACAACCAAACAAGAAAAUAAUUUUAUAAUUCCUUUUUUUUUUCAUUCUCUCUCUCUCUCUCUCUUUUUCCCUACUCUAUUUCUUUUCCCUCAAACUUUCUUGAUAGUAAACACAACCUAAGGUAAAUGAGGAAGAAAAUUUUUAGUUUUUUUUAUUUUUUAUUUUUUUAGAAUGUUUUCUUACUUUUUAGUAUUUUAUGCAAAUAUAGGAAAAUUUUCAUCUUUCUUUUUAUGGAUUUGAAAAACCCAAUAAUUUGGAGAAAACUGAUUCAAGGAAGAAUAAUUUUUAGAAUAAAAUAUUAUUAUUUAAGAAGAUCAUAAAUAUUAUAGUCAUUGUUGAAUAUGAUAAAUGAUUUAAAAAAAUGGUAGUUGGAAAUUUAGAUACUUUUAUAAGACAAAUGAAUUUUUCUAGUAUGGUAUGAAAAAAGGUAAAAUGAUAGGCUUUGAUCAUUUUUUAAGGUAGUUUGUUUAAAUCAUUUUAAUUUAUUUUCAUUUAAGAACAAUAACUUUUAUUACACUAGUUAUUUUGAUUUUCUUUUGAUAGAUUUUGCAAGCUUAAGCAAUUUGGAGCUAUUGGAUUUGAGUAAUAAUUCAUUUAGUGGGAGCGUUCCAUCAUCUAUAAGAUUGAUGUCUUCUCUCAAGUCUUUAUCCCUGGCUGGAAAUUACCUCAAUGGUUCCUUACCAAAUCAAGGUAUAUAUAUAUUGUGAUUACAAGUUUUUAUGUUUUCUUUUUUAAUAUCUUGUUUGUUCUUUAUGCCAAUGAAGUCAUGCAUGUCUAUUAAUUUUUGGUAUUUAAUAAAAAACUUUAUUCUUAAUUCAUAAAGACCUCAUCAACUGUAAGUAACAGCUAGUUGUAAGUUUGGGGGCAUUGACAAGACGAGGAGAUGAUUGGUUACAUGUCUUAUUCUCUUUUGUAGGCUUUUGCCAAUUGAAUAAGCUUCAAGAAUUAGAUCUUUCUUACAACUUAUUCCAAGGAAUCCUUCCUCCAUGUUUGAAUAAUUUGACAUCUUUGAGGUUAUUGGAUCUCUCUUCCAACCUAUUCUCCGGAAAUCUUUCUUCCCCUCUGUUACCUAAUCUCACAUCCCUGGAGUACAUCGAUCUCAGUUACAAUCAUUUUGAGGGUUCAUUCUCUUUCAGCUCUUUUGCUAAUCACUCCAACCUUCAAGUGGUCAAACUUGGAAGGAAUAACAACAAAUUUGAGGUAGAAACUGAAUAUCCAGCUGGUUGGGUUCCCCUGUUUCAGUUGAAAGCUCUUGUGCUAUCCAACUGUAAGCUCAUCGGUGACCUUCCUGGUUUCCUUCGACACCAAUUAAGAUUAACUGUGGUUGAUCUCUCCCAUAAUAACUUGACUGGAAGUUUCCCCAUUUGGCUGCUUGAAAACAAUACAAGACUAGGAUCUCUAGUCGUAUCACUUUAUUGGAUAUCUCAAACAACCGACUUGUUGGGGAACUUCAACAAAAUGUGGCCAAUAUGAUUCCAAAUAUUGAGUUUUUAAAUUUAUCCAACAAUGGUUUUGAAGGUAUUCUCCCAUCCUCAAUAGCUUAAAUGAGUUCCUUACAGUCGUUAGAUUUGUCUGCUAAUAGUUUCUUAGGGGAAGUACCAAAACAAUUGCUUGCGGCAAAAUAUUUGUGGCUUCUGAAAUUAUCAAAUAAUAAAUUUCAUGGUGAAAUAUUUUCAAGGGACUUUAACUUGACUCAGUUAGGGUUUUUACAUUUGGACAAUAAUCAGUUUAGGGGAUAUUUCUCCAGAAUCUCUAGGUUAUGGGUGUUGGAUGGGAGAUAGUUUUAAAGGCAAAUUACCACCUGAGAUUUCUCAAUUGUCGGGGAUGAUAUUUCUUGACAUUUUUCAAAACGCUCUUUCAGGAUCUCUUCCUUCUUUGAAGAGCCUGGAGUAUUUAGAGCAUCUACAUUUGCAAGGGAACAUGUUUAUAGGAUUGAUACCCAGAGAUUUUCUCAAUUCCUCAUAUCUAUUGACUUUGGAUAUCAGAGACAACAGGUUAUUUGGAAGUAUUCCCAAUUCAAUCUCUAGACUUUUAGAGCUAAGAGGAAACCUUUUAAGUGGUUUCAUUCCAUAUCGGCUUUGUCAUUUGACUAAAACAAGCUUCAUGGAUCUUUCAAACAACAAUUUUUCUGGGUUAAUUCCCGGAUGCUUUGGUCAUAUCGGAUUUGGAGAUUUCAAAACUAAGCACAAUGUGUAUAUACCGAUGUUAGAUUCGUAUUCAGAAAGCAAUCCUUCUAUAUAUACGGGUUACUUAAUAAAAUAUUUAUUUUUCUCUACUGAACUCCUUGAUGAAGUAGAUGAAGUUGAGUUUGUUACCAAGAAUAGGUAUAGCUCCCACAGAGUAGAUAAAAAUAUUUGUUGGGAAUUUAGAUAUUUUAUAGGACAAUAUACAAGUAUUCUAAUUUAUAAAAACAAUGCAUUUCUUUAGUUUGGUAUAAAAAAAAUAAAAUGAUAGGUAUUGGUAAUUUUUUUUCAAAGUAACAAACGUUUUAUUGUAUUUGUAUUUAAGAACAAUGUCUUUUCUUAUACUAGUUAUUUUAAUUUUCUUUUGACAGAUUUUGCAAGCUUAAGCAAUUUGGAGAUACUAGAUUUGAGUUAUAAUUCCUUAAGUGGGAUUAUUCCAUCAUCUAUAAGAUUGAUGUCUUGUCUCAAGUCUUUAUCGUUGGCCGGAAAUCACCUCAAUGGUUCUUUACAAAAUCAAGGUACAUAUGUUAUGAUUUGUUUGUUUCAUAUAGAUUAGAGAAGAUAAAUAUUGUAAAAAAAAAAAAAGUUGUAGUUAAUGUAAGCUAGAAAUAAGUAUCUUGCCUUAUAAAUUAUAUAAGCAUGUGUUUGUUCUUAAUGAAUCUUUACAACAUUUAGAGUUACCAAUGUUUAUAAUUCAUAAAGACCUCAUUAACGGUGAAUAACAACUAAUUGUAAGUAAUUGUGGAAAAAGUAAGGAAAACAAAAUGAGGGAAAAGCAAGGAAUUAGGAAAUUAUUUUUUUCCCAUAAAAAAAUGCUAAGGAAGAAAAAGGUAAAAGAAAGUUUAAAAAAAGUGUAUUUUUAAAAAAAUUAUUUCUCUUUCCUUUAAUUUUGCUAUGGACAACCAAACAAGAAAAUCAUUUUAUAAUUCCUUUUUAUUUUUUUCAUUCUCUCUCUCUUUUUUUCCCUACUCUAUUUCUUUUCCCUCAAACUUCCUUGGUAGUAAACACAACCUAAGAUAAAUGGGGAAGAAAAUUUUCAGUUUUUAUUUUUAUUUUUUUAGAAUGUUUUCUUACUUUUUAGUAUUUUAUGCAAAUAUAGGAAAAUUAUUUUUUUUUCUUGCUCCUUUUCAGACAUGAAUCACACUUUAAAAGAAAAUUAAUUUUUAAUUAGGAGUUAAGAUAAAUUUAAGGAGAAACAAUGAAUCACGAAUAACAAAAAAUUAAGGAAAUUGAAUUUUUGAAAGUAAGUAUAAUCAAAUUGCUUCAUUUGAUACAAAAUUUGAAUAAAAAUUCUUUCAAUGAAAAAUCAAGGAAAGGAAAAAACAUUUUUGUCUCUAGAUUAUAAUACUUAAUCAUGUAAAAAAUCUCUUAACAUCAUUUAUAUUCAUAUUUCUUUUUGUAGAUUUGAAAAAUUCAACAAUUUGGAAUAAACUUAUUCAAUGAAGAAUAAUUUUUAGAUUUAAAGAUUAUUAUUUAAGAUCAUAAAUAUUACCAUCAUUGUUGAUGUCCAAGAAGAUCAUAUUCAACAAUUUUUUUAAUAUGUUGUUUUUUAUGGUAAUUAAUUGAUGUCUUGUAAUUUUUAAUAUUUAAUGAAAAACAUUAAUUUAAUUCAUCUAAAGCUCUUAAUUCAUGAAGACCUCGUUAAUGUAAUGGUGAGUAAUAGUUGGCUGUAAGUUUGGAGUCAAAGACAUGUUAAGGAGAUGAUUAGUUACAUGUCUUAUUCUCUUUUGUAGGUUUCUGCCAAUUGAAUAAGCUUCAAGAGUUAGAUCUUUCUUACAACUUAUUCCAAGGGAUCCUUCCUCCAUGUUUGAAUAAUUUCACAUCUCUGAGGUUAUUGGAUCUCUCUUCCAACCUCUUUUCCGGAAAUUUUUCUUCCCCUCUGUUACGUAAUCUCACAUCCCUAGAGUACAUAGAUCUCAGUUCCAAUCAGUUUGAGGGUUCAUUCUCUUUCAGCUCUUUUGCUAAUCAUUCCAAGCUUCAAGUGGUCAUACUUGGAAGGGAUAACAACAAAUUUGAGGUAGAAACUGAAUAUCCAGUUGGUUGGGUUCCCCUGUUUCAGUUGAAGAUUCUCUCUCUAUCCAGCUGUAAGCUCACCGGUGACCUUCCUGGUUUUCUUCAAUACCAAUUCAGGUUAGUGGGGGUUGAUAUCUCACAUAAUAACUUGACAGGAAGUUUCCCCUAUUGGUUGCUUGAAAACAAUACGAGACUAGAAUCUCUAGUCUUGAGGAAUAACUCUUUAAUGGGUCAACUACUUCCCUUGGGACCUAAUACUCGUAUCAAUUCAUUGGAUAUCUCACACAAUCAGUUGGAUGGACAACUUCAAGAAAAUGUGGCCCAUAUGAUUCCAAAUAUUAUGUUUCUAAAUUUAUCCAACAAUGGUUUUGAAGGUAUUCUCCCAUCCUCAAUAGCUGAACUAAGAGCCUUAUGGAUUUUGGAUUUGUCUACCAAUAAUUUCUCUGGAGAAGUACCAAAGCAAUUGCUUGCAACAAAAGAUUUGGGGAUUCUGAAAUUAUCAAAUAAUAAAUUUCAUGGUGAAAUAUUUUCAAGGGACUUUAACUUGACUGGGUUAUUGUGUUUGUAUUUGGGCAAUAAUCAGUUCACAGGAACUCUGUCAAAUGUAAUCUCCAGAAGCUCUUGGUUGGAGGUGUUGGAUGUGAGCAACAACUACAUGUCAGGUGAAAUUCCAAGCCAGAUAGGUAACAUGACCGAUUUGACUACACUGGUGUUGGGCAACAAUAAUUUUAAAGGCAAAUUACCACUUGAGAUUUCUCAAUUGCAACGGAUGGAGUUUCUUGACGUUUCUCAAAAUGCUUUUUCAGGAUCUCUUCCUUCUUUGAAGAGCAUGGAGUAUUUAGAGCAUCUACAUUUGCAAGGGAACAUGUUUACAGGAUUAAUACCCAGAGAUUUUCUCAAUUCCUCAAAUCUAUUGACUUUGGAUAUUAGAGAAAACAGGUUAUUUGGAAGUAUUCCCAACUCAAUCUCUGCACUUUUGAAGCUAAGGAUUCUUUUGCUAGGAGGAAACCUUUUAAGUGGUUUUAUUCCAAAUCAUCUUUGUCAUUUGACUGAAAUAAGCUUGAUGGAUCUUUCAAACAACUCUUUUUCAGGGCCAAUUCCCAAAUGCUUUGGCCAUAUCCGAUUUGGGGAAAUGAAAAAGGAGGACAACGUGUUUGGACAGUUCAUUGAAUUUGGGUUUGGAAUGGUUUCUCAUCUUGUAUAUGCAGGUUACUUGGUGAAAUAUUACGGUUCCCCAACUUUAGUAUAUAAUGAAAAAGAUGAAGUUGAGUUUGUCACCAAGAACAGGAGUGACUUCUACAAAGGUGGCAUCCUUGAAUUCAUGUCUGGAUUGGACUUAUCAUGUAACAACUUGACAGGCGAAAUACCUCAUGAACUUGGAAUGCUAAGUUGGAUUCGUGCAUUGAACUUGUCUCACAAUCAAUUGAAUGGCUCCAUUCCAAAGAGUUUCUCUAAUCUUUCUCAAAUAGAGAGCUUAGACCUUUCUUAUAAUAAACUGGGUGGAGAAAUUCCUCUAGAGCUAGUUGAACUCAAUUUUUUAGAGGUGUUUAGUGUGGCUUACAACAACUUCUCUGGUAGAGUUCCAGAUACCAAAGCACAAUUUGGGACAUUUGAUGAAAGGAGCUAUGAAGGUAAUCCUUUCCUUUGUGGGGAACUAUUAAAGAGGAAAUGCAACACAAGUAUUGAGUCACCAUGCACACCAUCACAGUCUUUUGAAAGUGAGGCAAAAUGGUAUGAUGUCAAUCAUGUUGUUUUCUUUGCAAGUUUUACUACUUCAUAUAUCAUGAUCUUGUUAGGAUUUGCUAUCAUCCUUUACAUCAAUCCUUAUUGGCGUCAUAGAUGGUUCAAUUUUAUCGAGGAAUGUAUAUAUUCCUGCUAUUAUUUUGUUUUUGAUAGUCUUUCCAAGUUAUCAGCAUAUUUGUAUAAUUAGAUACUUUUAAUUGGAUGAUAUUUGCAUAAUUAACUACUAUUUGUUUCCCUGGGAUAGAAAGAAAUGGGAUGUAUAAUGCUAUGAGCUGAAACUUACAUACUUUGCUCAAAUUCUAACAUCUUUUGAUUUUAUUUUCAAGUUCCGUUAUUUAUUAUGUAUUGCUUAAUUCAAGAUUUAACCAUAUUACGUUACUCUUAUAAAAGCAAAUUCAAAUUUUUAGGAACUUUUAGCAUUAAAAUAAUUUCAUAGUCAGAUUUUAAAAAAUAAAGAAGAAAGAAAAUAAUAAAUAAUUGGAAAAACAAUUCAAGGAAGUAUUAAAUUAUUAUCUUAGAAUUAUUUGGCGUAGUAUGGGAAUUCAAAAAUAAUCUUUCAAUUUGUUAGAAAUGUUUAUUUAUUUAUUAUAGCAAUGAUUGAAAUAUCAAUCACAAAGUAAUGUUUUCUUUUCUUUUGUAGGGCACUAACACUUUUUCUUUGAUAGUAAUAAUUGAUAAAUAUAUUACACAAUUAUUUGUUUUAAAAAAGGGAGGGAUGACAAACAUAAUAACAUGUGAAAUAUUUCUAAAACUGUAAUGGGAAAUAAGCCAUCUAAUUAGGGUGCAAUAUUAUUCAUUUUAAUUUACAUGAAUUUACUUAUUUUUAUUUGCAUCAUAUUUUGAACUAUUUUAUGAAAUUAAGGGAGAUUAAAACAUCACGAGUUUCUUAUUUUAGUUUAUAUUCUUAAUAAUAAAGCAUGAAAUAUUAUAAAAAAAAAAAUCAUGAAUUUCUUUAAUUCCUUAGGAAACCAAUAUAUAAAAAAUUGAACAUAUUAUUAUUUUAUAUCCUAAAUCUCUAAAUUUGUUCAUUACCUAUUUAUUUUUAUAUUAAAUUUAUUAUUAAUUAUUUAUUUAUAUUAUUAUUUUAUGUUUAAAAUGUUCAUAAAUAAUUAAAAUUAAUAAAUAUAAAAAUAAAAUAUUAAAAAAUUAAAUUAUAAAGAUUUCAUCAAACUGACAUAUUUAAAAAAAAAAAAAAGCUAAAAAAGAUGAGGAUAUUAUAGAGGAGGGGAAAAGGAUAAAAGAAAAUUCAUGUGGUAUGAUAAUAUCACGUGUCAAAGUUAUUUUCUUUAAAAAAUAAUAAUAGUAAUGAUGAACUCAUUUGUCUUAUCAAAGUAAGUUAAAAAAAAAAAAAAAAAAAAAAAAGAAAAGAAAAAGAUGGUAGUUGGCUUAUUUGUUCUUUGAAAAUAAAAAAUCAAAGUUUUAGAAAAAUACAAUUUUCUUUUAAAUGAUGAAUGGUUACAUCAUUUCCCCUUAGCUUAUCUGUUCCUUUAAACUUUAGUUUGAAUAAAAUUAGUUUUAAUUAUUUUCUUUUUGGAAUUAUAUUUAAUCGUAUUAUUAAAAAUAUAAAAAACAUCGUAAUAAUAUUGUCAAUAAGUUUUUUUAUAUAUAUUGAAAAAUAUUUAUAUUUAAAAAUAUUUAAAUUUUGUCAUGGGCUGCCCAUUUCAAAAUGAUAAGAAUAUAAUAACCUAAUUUUUCCAAAUUCCAGGUAAAUAUGCUAAUCUAAAAAAAAAAAAUUAUUAGGUUUUUAUGUGCUGAUUGGGUUUUUUUUAUACCCAGUAUGCUCUCCAAUCUACCACUUAAGCAUCCGACAUGGCUAAAAAUAAAUUUUUAAAAAAAAGAAUAAAAAAGGAAAAAAACGAAAGUGUGUGAUCUCUUUCUUGAGUCUUCACAAUCUGAGACACUGAACCCAAAUCAAAAUUAAUCCUCCAAAUUAAUUUUCACCUCCAACCCAAACCCUAACGACUGCCUCACUUUCUUCUCAAACAUAGCUAUACGAAAAACCCUAGCCUCUGCCUCGUCUUCCUCUUAUCCCGGAAACCCAAAUCCCGUGACCCUAACCCCUUCUCUUUCCGAAAACCCUCCAGAAUCGGAAGAUUCAAGUGAUCGAAUUAAUUCUUCAGAAUUAAUUUUCACCUCGAAGCCGAACCCUAACUGCCUCAUCUUCCUCUCAUUCAUAUCCCAAAAGUAGCUUCAACAGUCAGGCCUGCGGCCAUGAAAGCCGUAGUGAUCGCCACUUCCGGCGAUCCCCAAGUUCUCCAAGUGCAAGAAGUCGAAAACCCUGAAAUUGGAGAUGAUGAAGUUCUAAUUAGAGUGGACGCCGCUGCCAUUAAUCGAGCGGAUACGCUUCAGAGGAAGGGCUUGCACCCUCCCUCAAAGGCGGCAGUCCCUACCCCGCUGGAAUCAUCGAAGCUGUUGGAAAGGUCGUCGUUCGAUGGAAGGUUGGCGAUCAGGUAUUUCAAUUGCCUAAUAUUUUGAUUCCGUUUCUGUUCCUGUAUUUUUCUCGGCUAUCCUUUAUGUGAUUUUGCUUCCUCCUGAGUACAAGUUCAUAAUAUACAUGGUACAUGGUGAAUCUGUAUGACAUUUCAUGGUAUACAGGUGUGUGCUCUUCUUUCUGGUGGAGGGCAUGCUGAAAAAGUGGCUGUUCCAGCUGGGCAAGUUCUCCCUGUCCUAUCUGGUGUUUCUCUGAAGGAUGCUGCUGAGGUUGCAUGUACUGUUUGGUCAACUGUUUUAAUGAUGAGCCGACUGUCUGCAGGAGAAACAUUCCUGGUGAAUUUUUUGUCUUUUUUAUUUUCUGAUGCCUGAUAUAUUUACCAGCACAAAUUUUCCCUGUUGCUGUUUAAUGUGUGUGCAUCAAUAUUGGAUUAGGGAGGUAGAAGAGCCAUGGUUCUAUUACAUCAUCAUAUUCUUAUUUAGAUACAUUGUAUCCCACAAUUUCAUUGCAUCCAAGGCUAUGUUGUUUUUUAUUGCACGGUUUGUCAUGGUAAUUUCUCAACCCUUCUCUGGAAAAUUAUGUUGGAUGGCUGCUAUUAAUUACCCCAAAAGAAGAAAUUUUAUGUUGAAGUAAGAUGAGUAGCACAAAGAGUUACUUGUGGUUGAUCCUAUCAUCAAAUGGGCGAUUGAUGCACAAUCCAAAUGGUAAAUUUUUUUCCCCCUUUAUCCAGAUGGAAUUUUUAUGCAUGGUUGAAUAGUGAAAUGAGGACUGAUAAUAUUUCAGGUUCAUGGGGGUUCAAUUGGAAUUGGUACCAUCUAUUCAAAUAGUGAAAUAUUGAGGAGCAAGGGUAUUUGUUACAGCAGGUUUGCCAUCACUGUUCUACCUCAUCCCACAGAAUGCUUAUCUCAUGGCACCAAUUCCUUUUCUUCACAUGUUUUCAACCAUUUUUUCCACCCAGGAACGAGGAAAAAUUAGCUGUUUGUAAGGAUCAUUGAGCAGAUGUGUGCAUCAAUUACAAGACUGAAAACUUUGUUGCAUGGGUGAAGGAGGAAACAGGAGGGAAAGGUACAUUCUAUUGUAUCUUAACGAUAAUUUCAAUUGAAGGUGGAAUUGCUUUUUAUUUUUUAGUGCACCAAAUCCACUAGUCUGGAAUGUUUGAAAAGAUAAAUAGUCAUCUUCCACUUGAUUCCGAUUGUGAAGAUCUAACCCCAAAAAUGUUGAAUGACAGGUGUUGAUGUUAUACUGGAUAAUAUUGGAGGGGCCUACUUUUGGGGAGACAUCAAUGGUUUAAAUGUUGAUGGAAGGCUUUUUAUUAUUGGUUUUCAGGGUGGAACAGUGGUACAAGUAAAUCUUUCAGGUUUACUUGCAAGGCGCCUUACAGUGCAAGGUACCACUUUCUCUGUAGAAGAUUUUUCUGUAGUUUUGGAGUUGAAUCAAUUUGAUUAAUCUCAUCCAAGUUCAGAACUGAGGUGGAUUCUGGCAAGCCAAGGAAAAACCAAAUUACCAUAAAUUCUUUUUUUUUUUCUGGAUCGUUUUACUUCUUGGAAAUCCUGUUUCUCGAUCUGGUCAGGUAUAUGGAAAUUCCAAGGAAAAUAUGUUUUACAUUUUCCAUAAUUGGAAACACUCAGGAAUUUAAUAUUUUCCUCUGAAAUAGCAAUGGUUUUCUAAUUACGACAUUUGUUUUUCUUGUAUCAUCCCAAAAUAUUUUUUAGGUGUUUGUUCUCUCUUGACACAGCUUUUAAUUGGGUCUGUCUUGCUUUUUGAUAGAUCUCUUGACAAGUUGCUUGUAUAUCAUACUUUCUUUAUUGUUUUCGGAUCAUGAACCUUGCUUCUGUCAGCCCUGUUAUCACUACCCAAACUAGUAAAUUUAUGCACAAAACUCCAUGUGUCAGUAACAGUGGUUAUUUGAUUGUAUUAAAUAAUUUGUAAAUACAGUGGAUAAGUUUGUGCAUAGAUUGAAGGCGAAUGAAAAACGUGCAUAGAUUGAAGGUGUGCUGCUUGAGUUGAUUGUAGUUUGAGCAUGAAAAUUUGAAGAUCCAGAACAGCAAAUGAGGAAUGCCUAUCAAUUUGAAACCAGCAUGGGUGGAUGAAUGGAGAGGUUCUUCACUGAAUUUGUCCAUGAAGCUUUUUAGCACUCUAGGGCAAGGGUCUCCAAGCCUAGCUGUUGAUUGCACAUCCCUCCUGCGCAAUACUAAGAACAGAGUGAAAUGCAAAUGCAGGAAAGGGUGUUUCUUAGCUGUUCAACAACUGACAAUACAUUGGCAUGACAAUUCCCUGGAUCGAAUGCCACAAUGCCCUCUUGGAGUUCCAAAGCUUGUUCACAGGUCAAACGAACUUGAGGGUUUUGGGACAUGAACUCCAAGUUUGGUUGCCAAGAAUCUCCAGGUGGAGGAUCAGCUUCUGACACGUGCACACACCUCUUGGCCAGUUUGUGUUAUUGCAAUUUUUAUUAAAUUGCUAAAAAAUUUAUCGCGAACAAUUUUUUCUUUUUUCUUUUUUCUUUUUUUCUUUUUAAACAAACUGCAAAAAUCCCUUUUUUUUUUAUAUAAAAAAAAAAAAAAUUCUCCAACAAAGUGAUUUUUUUUUGUGGCAUGACUCGGUUUGACCACUAACUCGGUGAACUGGUCUAUCGGCUCAAGUUUGGAUCCCUUAAUUUUGUGGCAAAUUGGGCAUCAAGCCCAACAACCUAACUUCCAUGCGGGCUAUCUACUGGAUCUCACCCAUUGUAACUUGCUCUGGGUGAAUGGCCAUUAUAAACUUCAUUUUAUCCUCAUGUGAUUUUGAUGUGGGAAUGGGAGAGAUGAGGAUUUGACAUUUGGACCUAAGGCUCAAUGGGUUUUAACUCCACUCAGCUACUUUAUGUCUUGUAUUUAAUAUUGCAAACCAAAAUAAUAAUAGACAUGAUUCUUUUCAAAAAAUUUAUAAUGUAAUAUUUUUUAAAAUUAUAAAAUAAUAGGUUAUAUAAAUUUUAAUAUAUAGGUAAAAUUAAUUAAAUUUUAACAAAUAUCUUCACAUUUAGACAUUACAUAUUUUUUAUUUAAUAAAAUUUUAAAAUAUUAAUAUAUCUAAAUAUAAUAUUAAAAAUGAAAAAUAAAAUAGUAAUAAUUUUUAUUUUCUUUAUAUAUUUAAAAUUAUAUAAUUAUUUUUUAUUUUAAUAACAUAUAAAUUGUAUAUUUAUAAUAUUAUUGGUUCAACUGUGAUUCAACCAUCACUCCGAUUAUUCAAUUAUGAAUUAAUAAAUUUUUUAAUUCAAUGAUAGGUUUGAUUAUAAAAAUAUUAUGUUUUUUUUUAUGAAAAGUACUCAAGAAAUAUCAUUAAUCACUAAGAUCACGUGGUUGGAUUAGGUGUAUCCGAAACAUAGGUAUUACUCUCUUCCUUAGUUAGGGCUUAGCUUUUGAAAAUGUAGAUAGGUAAAGUGGAUGGAAAGUCUAUAACUACGUAGAGAUUGAGCUUGGAGGCCAAUCUAGCAAAUGUGGAGAUUAGAAAUAGUUUACCAUCUAGAUAGUCAAGCAUAGCAAUUUACCAAACCCUUACCAACCAUCCAUACUAACCAAUUGUGGUUAAAUGUUUACAAAAAUGUACAUUAAAUCAAAGAGAAAAAAGAUUAAAAACGAACAAGAGAGAAGAAGCACAUCACCUAAUUUUGGUAAUAAAUGAAAUUAAAAUAAAUUCAUAAAUUUUUUAAAUUAAAAUGAAUUUGAACUCUAGAGAUUUGUGUAGAUAUCUUAUUAAAAAACCAAAAAGUUUGUUGCAUAUAUAAUUUCAACAAUGCAUAAAUAAUUACAACAUACGCAAUACAAUAAUAUUACACAACUAUAUUUUCAAAUAUAAUAUAAGAUCAUUAAAGUGAUAAAUUGUAGUUGUAUAAAGUAUUUAUACAAGUAAAGAAGAAAUUAUGAGAUUAAAAUGCUUGUUGGAUUCUAAGUAAAAAAGAAAUGAGAUAUAGAGAUUGUCCCAUCAGACAUAUAGAAUUUCAUAUACAUAAUUUUCCCUUCAAGAAAAUUUAGGGUCAAAUUGAAAAAAUUUCAUUCAUAGAUUUUGGUAAAACCUCUAUCUAGUCCCCGAAGUCUUGUAUACAAAAGGAAAUAACAUUGGUAUGAGGGGUUUGAAUGCUUAAUUUUAGAUUGAAAAUGCUUGAGAUAAUUUUUGAUCGACUUCACAUGUGUUUUUAAUAAACUUGGAACAUUCAAACUUGUAUUUGAAGAAUCUUCAAUUUGAUCUUAAAUAAUGUUGAAACCUUCAAAAUUUGAAUAGAAGAAUCUUUAAGCAUUUGAAUUUUGGUUUAAAGAAUUUUGAAAUUUGAGACUGAAGAAUCUUCAAAUUUGGGCCUGAAGAUCAAAGGCUAAGCUUGAAGAGUUCUUGAAGCUUGAGUGGUAUGUCCGAUUUUGUUUUGUAUUUUAUAAAAACUUUUAGGCUAUGUUUGGUUCCCAGAAAAUUUGAGGGAAAAUGCGAGGGAAAGAAAAUACAAAGGAAAAGUAGAAGGAAAGAAAAAGUGAAGGAAAAUAAAAAAAUAGAUUAAAAGUUGAUAAAUUAUUUUUUUUGUUACUUCAAACUCAUUUUAUUUAUUUUAACUCAUCAAUAUAAAGAUUAAAUAAUUUAAAAAUAUAAAAGUUUUUAAUUAGUUUUAAUUAUAUUUAAUUUUCUUUGAUAUUUUUUAUAAGACAACCAAACAUGAGAAAAUCAUUUUCCUUAGCAUUUUUUUUCUUUCCUUUGUACUUUCCGGGAACCAAACAUAGCCUUAAGUAUACUAUAUUUAUAGGUUUGAAGAGACAUUGAGAUUUUGUAUACAUGUUUGGAGUUUUAAACCUUGAAAUAUUACUCUUUUAUGAAAUUAACAUUUAUAAAAUUUGGAAGAACAUAAUUAGAUAAUAUUCUAAGUUAUUUUUAAUGAAAAUUGAUAAUUACCUUUUAAUUAUCAAAUUCACUAUUUCUAUUUAUUUUUGUAAUAUAUAUUAAUUACUAAAAUCAUUUAUUUCCUUUAUUUAGUUUGAAAGCAAUUAUAUAUCUUUUGUUUGUGUAGAGCUCAUGUGACACGACAAAUUUUAUUUUGUAACUUGCUCUGGAUGAAUGGCCAUUAUAAACUUCAUUUUAUCCUCAUCUGAUUUUGACGUGGGAAUAGGAGAGAUGAGGAUUUGACAUUUGGACCUAAGCCUCAGAGGGUUUUAACUCCACUCAACUACUUUAUGCCUUGUAUUUAAUAUUGCAAACCAAAAUAAUAACAGACAUGAUCCUUUUCAAAAUUUUUAUAUUAAUAGAAGUGUAAAUAAUAUAAGUAAAAAUAAUGUAAUAUUUUUUAAAAUGAUAAAAUAAUAGGUUACAUAAAUUUUAAUAUAUAGGUAAAAUUAAUUAAAUUUUAACAAAUACCUUCACACUUAAACAUUACAUAUCUUUUAUUUAAUAAAAUGUUAAAAUAUUAAUAUAUUUAAAAUUGUAUAAUUAUUUUUAUUUUAAUACUAUAUAAAUUAUAUAUUUAUGAUAUUACUGGUUCAACUAUAAUUCAAUCACUGGUCCAACCAUUGAACCAUGAAUUAGUAAAUUUUUUUAUUCAAUGAUAGGUUUGAUUCUAAAAACAUUAUGGCUAUGUUUGGUCCCAGAAAUUUUUUUUUGAUGGAUAAUGACAAAGAUAUUACCAAUUUGAUAUCACCAAUUGAUAACACAAUUAAAAAAUAAUAUGAAUUUUAACAUAUUUGAAUUCAUUGUAAUCAUAUCCAUGACCUAAUUUUACACAUCCUUAAAUCAUGGUUGAUUUAUGAAACAAAUCUAUACCAUCAAUAGAAAAUAAAUAAAUAAAAUAAUACAAAAAAAAUAUAUAGAUAGUCAAGCAUAGCAAUUUACCAAACCCUUAGCCACCAUCCAUACUAACCUGUUGUUGUUAAAUGUUUACAAAAAUAUACAUUAAAUCAAAGAGUAAAAAGAUUAAAAACGAACAAGAGAGAAGAAAUACAUCACCUAAUUUUUGUAAUAAAUGAAAUUAUAAUAAAUUCAUAAUUUUUUUAAAUUAAAAUAGGAAUUCAAAUACAUGUAACUAUUGUUUUUGUCUUGUAAAUCAUCCAAUUUUUCAAUGAAUUUAAACUCCACAGAUUUGUGUAGAUAUCUUAUUAAAAAAAGCAAAAAGUUUUCACUAAAAUCAUAAAAUUUAGAUUAGAAAUGAUUUACUAUAUUAGUUCAAAAUUCACCUCCACAAAAAUUGAAAUAAAUUAAUUAUCUUCAAUUCAAAUAAAAUUUCUCCAAUUAAAUUUCCAAAUAUGUGCCUUAAUACCUAUAAUGGAAUUAGUAAUUUUAAUUAAAAUAAAAAUAAAAAUAAGGAUUUGAUCUUUUUCUUACCAUUUGAUGAAAAUUAUAAAAUAUAUUAAAAUGACAAGUGAUCAGACAUUUGAAAUUUGCAUCAUUUCUACCAUUGCAAACACCACCAACCCCAUAUUUCCCAUUUUUCUACCUACUGCCAAUUCACUCAUCUCUCUGGGAAGAUUUUUGAGGUUAUCGUCAUGCUUGAGAUAAUCCAGAAAGUUGAGCGGCAUCACUCUCUGAAAGGUGCCUUACAGCAUGGGUAAUGUAUGGGAUACAUCUGAUAACUUGCCAUAUCCAUAAACCACUAUAUUAAACCAUGGUUCAUAUCCCCAACGUUACACGAGAAUCUGUACUCAUCCCAAGCAGCUUGGAGAUCAUAAAAUUAGGUUUUGAGGGCCUCCCGAGACAUGCACAGCUUCACCCUUUGUGCAUUCCUUUGAUUUGGAAAAUUUCUUCUUUAGAAUUCCCCAUUAUCAUGCCCUGAACCAAGACAUAUCAUGAUUGGAUGGGCCCCUUCACCAAUUUCACAAUAUCCAAUAGCAUAUCAUUUACUUCCCUUUUGUCAAUGGGAAUUACCAUUUUGCAUGGGAAGCACCAACGGAGAUGGAGGUUUUCAAAUUGGAUCACUAGCAAAGAAACCCACCGCAACUAUCUGAAUAAUUGAGCACAACAUCGGCUUUAGAGAACUCCUCCUGAAGGCGAAAUCGUCAUCUUGGCUAAACGUAGUCAUAGUUGGGUUGUGAGAAAUGGAGAUGAAUCAUAGAAGGCUUUCAGUUUCAUAGCAACGAAAAGGUAAAUGUACUCUAGAGAAGUUUUGACCUUGGGAGAAGCGCUUUUGAAUCCAAGUCAAGGUCUGUUCUGGAUCCCUUUUCGACUCUCUCUAUUAAAGGAAGAUAAUCUGCCUAGGAUUUGGAUGCAAGCUUGCAAGGCCAUGUUUAGGAGACUUAUGCAAAAUAUUUAUCCAUAGCUCCCCGCCUGAAACAUCUACAUAAAGCGUCUUCCAAGUGUGAACCAUUGUCUUGGGUCCUUGAGAUGAACAAAAACUGAGACAUAUCGUGAGUUAGAUGCAUUGCCUGAAAAUGCCGAGCAGUAGUAUGGCCUUCUUUCUGAUCAACUGUUUUGUCAAAUUCUAGAGCUCUCAUUCCAAAUCCAUCAGUUUUCUCAAAUGAUUGGCUAGUGGAGAUCCAUGGAUAUAACAUAUGAAAUGUGCACAAUAAAAGUAAUCAAACGGUUGGUUGGUUUGGCUGAAUCCCACAAUCGCAAAGACUAAUCAUAUGAAACUGUUACCAGCUGAGUUGAAUUUGGCCUAAAAAGGAUAUCCGUUACUACAAACUAGCGUUCUUUCAUGGUGCUCUCUCUUUGCAGGCUAUCCAUGUUCCAAAGAAAAACUCUCUUGUCAUGUCUGGCACUAGGCACUGAUUAGAGUGUGGGACGUUCAUUCUCCAUUAUCACCAAACACAUGCAGGAUAUAUAUAUAUCAAUUCAUUCAAAAUAUGCCUUUAUUUUAUGGAACAUAACCGAAUCCAUUUUGUUUGUGUUGAAGAGGUAUAGAUCUUCUAAGGCUGUGGAGGGCACCACCUUUUCUCAGAAUUCUCUCUGACGAUGGGAAGCCGAAGAGAACGGGUUUUGUUUUUAUUUUGAAAACGUUGUUAUCAUUAAAGAACAAACACUAUUCUUUGGAUUUAUACCCUCUUGCCUUAGGGACCAUACUGUUUGGCUAUUGGGCCUCACGAGUCUUAGGCCCAUCAUCUAAGGCCCAUGAUGGCACUGGGCUCUACACAUAAGGUGACCCAUACUCUGGAACGAAUAGAAAUCAUAUGUAUAUAUAUGGAUAGCUAAAUCCUGAACAAUGGUUAAUAUGAUGUCGGUCCACAUUUAUUCUAUCAAUCUCCCACUUGGACCACAUAUAUUACAAAACAAUGUUCAUGAUAGUACUUUAUUGAGCUCAUCUUUGCUAUCCUAUCUUAAUAUCCUUAAACAAUCCGGUCUACUAGUUAUGCUAACAUAGGAUCAAAGUGGCCUUCAUUAAUCAUAAUUAUAACUAGACCCAUCAAUGAUCACAACAUUAACAAAAUUAGCAACAUAGAUCAAGUAUGGAUGUGUAGCAUGGAAAUUACAUAAAAUGUGAUCUUUAUUAUGUCUAUUUCCAAUUGGUCCUACUUUAUGACUAAAAAAUAGUCAAAUUCCACUUUCAACACUUGAUGCUAAACUGCUUUUAAAAGUCAUCAUUUCAAUUCAGAGAAUUCAAAUACAAUAGUCUUUAAAAUCAAGGUUUGUACAGAUAACACAAUAUAACAUCAUAUCAAGAAAACAAACACAAAAUCUAAAUACAAACUCCCACUAUACUGGAACAUCAUCAAUAUGUACAACACCCAUAUGUGUGACAUGAUCAUGAUAUACUUUGGGUGGCAAACCCUUAGUGAGCGGAUCCGCAAUCAUGAAGUUUGUGCUUGUAUGUUCAAUCGAUACUUGAAGACUCUAAACUCUUUCUUUCACAACCAAGAACUUGAUGUUAAUGUGUUUGGACUUUGACGAACUUCGGUUGUUCUUAGAAUUACAAUUCUGUGGCUUUAUUAUCACAAUUUAUUCUUAAUGGUUUCUCAAUCUCAUCAACGAUUCGCAACUGAGUGACAAAAUUCCGUAGCCAUAUCCCAUGGUUUGAUGCUUUGUAGUAGGCUAUGAAUUCUGCCUCCAUGGUGAAAGAAGCAAUAAGUAUUUGUUUAACACUUUUCCAUGAAACUGUUCAUCCAACCAACAUGAAGAUGUAGCUUGAAGUGGAUCUCUUGCUGUCAAGACAUCCCACGAAAUCGGAGUCCGAAUAUCCCAUGAUCUCUAAAUGACUGGAUCUACGGUAUGUGAGCAUAUAAUCUUUAGUUCUUUGUAAAUACUGCAUAACCUAUUUUGCCUUUUUCCAGUGAUCCAUACCUGGGUUACUCAAAUAUUUGCCUAACAUUCCAAUAAUGUACGUAAUAUCUGGAUGCGUACAAACUUGUGCAUACAUGAGACUUCCUAUUGUUGAGGCAUAGGGAAACCUCUUCAUAUCCUUCUUUUUAAGUUCAUUUUUCGGACAUUGGUGCAAACUAAAUUUAUCGCCUUUUGCUACAGGCAUGUCUCCUGGUGUACAAUUGCUCAUGCCAAAUCUACUUAACACCUUAUCGAUGUAGGCCUUUUGUGAUAACCCAAGUAUACCUCUUGAACGAUCCUUAUAGAUCUGUAUACCCAGCAAAAAAGAUGCAUUACCUAGAUCCUUCAUGUCAAAUUUACUAGACAAAAAUCGCUUUGUUUCAUGCAAAAGUCCCACAUCACUACUUGCAAGUAGAAUAUCAUCAACAUAUAGCACCAAGAUAAUGAAUUUGCUCUCACUAAACUUGAGAUAUAUGCAUUGAUCAAUGGUGUUUUCCUUAAAACCAAAUGAAGUAAUCACCUGAUCAAACUUUUGGUACCAUUGUCAAGAUGCUUGCUUUAAACCAUAUAUGGACCUUUUUAAUCUGCAUACAAGUUGCUUUGAAUCAUUAGACUCAAAGUUCUCCGGUUGCAUCAUGAAUAUUGUUUCAUCAAUGUUACUAUUAAGAAACGUAGUUUUAACGUCCAUUUGAUGCAGCUCUAAAUCAUAAUGAGCCACAAGUGCCAUGAUGAUUCUAAAGGAGUCAUUUGACGAAACCGGUGAAAAGGUCUCCUUAUAAUCAAUGCCUUCCUUUUGAGUGAAACCUUUUGCGACUAGACGUGCCUUAUACCUAACAAUGUUGCCUUUUGAAUCCCACUUGGUCUUAAAAAUCCAUUUACAACCAAUCGGUUUUACACUUUCAGGCAACUUUACUAGGUCCCAAACACCAUUGUCUUUCAUUGAUUUCAUCUCAUCCUUUAUGACUUCUAUCCACUUUUCAGAGUCAGAACUUUGUUUGAAUUGACUAACUGAAAUUGGAUCGUCUUCCAAACCCAUGUCAAACUCUUGUUCCUGGAGAUGUACAACAUAAUCAUCUGAAAUUGUACUUCUCAUUUCUCUAGUGGAUCUCCUUAGUGGCACUUGUAUUUGAGGUUCUUGAGGCUGUUGAGUUACCUCUUCAUAAACUUGAAUCGGUUCCAUAACUUGAGCAGGAGGAAUCUCAGGUGUGUUUUGAAUCUCUGUUAUUGACUGCACAUUCUGGAUAGUGUCAUCAAACAUAAUAUGACCAUGUCCAGUUGUAAUAAUAGGAACACUAACAGAUUACUCUUCAAAUACCACAUUUCUUAACGGUUCUCUCCCAUUUAACUCAACAUCCUCAAUAAAUUUAGCUUUGCCCGUUUCAAAAAAGGAUCUAGUUGAGGGGUCAUAAAACUUGAAACCUCUCAACCUUUUAGAAUAUCCUACAAAGUAGCAGCUCACUGUUCUGGAGUCCAAUUUCUUUUCAUUUGGUUUUUAAGGCCUAGCUUUAGUUGGACAACCCCAGACAUGCAAGUGCCUAAUACUAGGUUUCUUGCUAGUUCAUAACUCAUAUGAGGUUUUGGCUACUGCUUUGCUUGAGACUCUAUUCAAAAUAUAAAUUGUUGUUUUGAUGGCUUCGCCCCAAAGUGAUUCUGGUAAGGUGGAAUGACUGAUCAUACUUCUUACCAUAUCCUUAAGAGUACGGUUUCGCCUAUCUGCUACACCAUUUUGGCUUGGAGUCCCCAGCAUAGUGUAUUGAGGAACGAUACCACACUCCAUCAAAUAUUUGGCGAACGACCCUAGACGUUGUUCAUUGGAUCCGUCAUAUCUGCCAUAAUAUUCACCUCCACGGUCAGAUCUGACGACCUUUAUUUUCUUGCUUAGUUGGUUCUCAACUUUAGCUUUGAAAUUCUUGAACACAUCUAAUGAUUGAGACUUCUCAUGAAUCAAAUAAAGAUAGCCAUAGCGCGAGUAAUCGUCAAUGAAAGUGAUAAAAUAUUGUUGUCCAUUCCAAGAAGGGGUAGGAAAUGGACCACAAAUGUCCGUAUGUAUCAAUUCAAAGACGUCACUGCACUUGUUAGCAUCAUUUUUUUCUCAUAUUUGUUUGUUUACCCUUAAUACACUCUAUACAGACUCGAAAGUCUAUGAAAUUAAGUGGAUCAAGAAUUCAUUCUGACACAAGCCUUUGAAUACGUUGAUUUGAAAUAUGACCCAAACGCCUGUGCCAUAACAUCGAUGAAUUCUCAUUUGUUAAUUUCCGUUUAAUGUCAUAAUUACUUGAAUUCAAGGUUUCAUUUCCAUUAGUGGUCUUUAUAUUUAAUUUGUAUAAUUUGUCUAUUAGACUACCUGUACCAAUAACAUUUGAAUUUAGAUAAAGACUAACCAUUCCAUUUCUAAAUGAACAAUAAUAUCCAAAUUUGUCUAGACAUAAAACAGAAAUUAAAUUCCGUCUAAACGACGAUACUACAAAAGUCUCUUCCAAAUCCAAAGUACAUCCAGAGUCUAACUGUAAUCUAAAAAGACCAAUAGUCUUGACUGCAACCUUGUUGCCAUUUCCCACAUAGAUGUAUUUUUCACCAUCAGUUGGCAUUCGACUCCUUAGGCAACCCUACAUCGUGACACUUAUGUGAGUAGUUGCACCCGUAUCUAUCCACCAAGUGUCAGUAGGCACUACGACUAAAUUAAUUUAUGAACAAACAAAGUUGAGAAGUGUACCUUUCUUUUCACGCCAAGCGGCGUAUUUGGUACAUGUCUUCUUCAUAUGACCAACCUUCUUGCAAAAGAAACAAGUCAUCUCCUUAUCUUGUUUCUUCUGCACCUUUUGCAUUGAUGUCCUAAAAAUUGCAUUUUGUUUUUCUUUAUUGUCCUUCUUUCUUUUCUUUUUGGUACCAAAUCCCUGAGAUGUGGAAGCCAAGUGAGAACUUUCUAUCUUUUCUUGUUUCAAUCUCUCAUCCUCUUGUGCACAUUGAGCAAUAAGCUCAUUCAAAGUCCAUUUUUCCUUUUGUGUUGUAACUAAUUUUGAAUGGACUGAAUUGUGUAGGCAGAGAGAUUAAGACCAAGUGCACAAGUAUGUCUUCCGAAAACUCUAACUUUAGUGCCUUUAGUCUAGUCACAAGAUUAGACAUUUCCAUAAUAUACUCCCUUAUAUUCUCUUUCCCUUUGUAUCGCAUAGAGACAAGCUUACUAAGAAUAGUGCUUGUCUCAACCUUUUCAUUUGAAGCGAAUCGGUUUGCUAUCUGGUCUAAGAAUGCCUUGGCUUGAGUUUUCUCAGGUAUUGGACUCCUUAUAGCUUUUGGAAUUGAGUACUUCGUUAUCAUUAGACUCAUGCGAUUGGAUCGCUCCCAUUUUUCCAUAGUAGACCUUUGCUCAGUAGUGCUGGCACUAGUAAGAUCUGGAGGGCGAUCCUCUCUUAAUGCAUAGUCUAAAUCCAUGCACCCGAGCACAAUUAUAACGUGCUCCUUCCAUUUCUUGAAGUUUGUGUCAUUAAGCGCAGGAAUGUUAUUAACAUUUGUAGAUAUAGAAUAUGUUAAAUUCAUAAUAAUAAAGCUCACAAUCAAUCACAUAAACAUCAUACAUACAUGAAAAAUAACAUCAUACAAGAUACUUAGCACAAAUAUUAAUAUUUUGUCUUUGGACAAUAAAUAUUAACUUGUAAUUGGUAUCCUUAUACAAAAUUAAUUCAUAAAUAUUGACAAUAAAACCAAAAACAAUAUGUUUGUCUUUAGACUAAUAUGUCGAAUGCAAGAUAAACUUUAUAUGUCACAUAUUUAUGACUACUUUAUUUAUUAUUAUAUUAAAAUAAUCUUCCUUUGGGCCGAUUAUUUUAAAUAAUAAUAAUAACAUGUUUAGAUAUUAUAAAAUAAAUAAAUUAUAUAAUAUAAGUUACUUUGGCAACUAACAUACAUAAUUCAUUUAUUUUAAAAUAUUAAACACAAACAUAACAAGAAAUAAUAAAUUCAAUUAAAAUUAUUUAUUUAUUUAUGCAUAAUAUAUAUAUAUAUAUAUAUAUAUAUAUAUAUAUAUAUUAAUUGAAGCAUAAAAAACCAUCUACAUGUGUAUAUAUAUCAAUUGAAGCAUAUAUACAAGCAUUAGUCUAAUGGUUUAAGCAAAAAAUAGGCCAUGGUAAAGGGUUUAAGCCAACCCGCCCCUUUAGUUUGGUUUUUGUUUUUUUUUUUUUUUUUUUUAAUUUCUUUUGGGCUACUGACCAUGCAUUCUCUCAUGGCCCAACGAAUAUAUAUAUAUAUUUGUUUUAAAAAAAUUUUGUCCAUUGCAGCCCAAAGCGACCAUCCCUUGUAAUGGCAUCAUCAACGGUGCCAGAGCUGUCCUCGAACGACACCGACAGUGAAACGCCGCCACCAUCACCGGAACGGUGAUUUCCCAUCGCCAAACGACGGUGUCACUACCAGAAUGACGUUGUAACGGCAUCGCUGGGAAGCAGCCUAACCUGUGGCGUGACACCAUGACAAGCAAUGCCGCUAGCAGUGAAACGUUGUCGCCAUCACCAGAAUGGUGAUUUUCCAUCGCCAAACGAUGGCGCCACCAUCGAAACAACGCUGAAACGACGUCACUGGGAAGCAACCCUACCCGCGGCACCAAAAUGGCACUUGGAUGACAUUUGGAACUCUUGCAACAACGCUCAAAUCAGCGAUUCUCACUGGCAAAUGACGCUUGAACGACGUCUGGAAAUAAUGCCUACAACGCCUAAAAAUUGUGCUCUUUUGAACGCCUGAAACAACGUUGAAAUGACGUCUACCGGCGUCUGGAAUUGCACCGCUGUCUAGAACGAUGCCAUGAUGGUGUCUCACUCACCUUAAAUGGCACCAACCACCGUGACUUGCAUCCCCAAAAAUGGCACUUGAACAGCGCCUGAAGCGUGCCUGGAACGACGCUGCAAACGAUGCUUGAAAUGGUGCAUUUUGUAUGCUUGAAAAUGGCACAGGAAUGACGCCUACACUACGUCCAUUUUGAAUGCCUGAACGGUGUCCUAACGGCGCCUGAAUGACGCCUGGAAUUGGCCCAGAUUUAUUUUAUGUUGUUUCCUUCCUCUUGGAUCUUUUGUUUGUGUUUUAAAAAAAAAGUGUUUUGGUGAAAAUGGGAAAUGCAACCAGGCUCUGAUACCAUUUUGUGGGACGUUCAUUCUCCAUUAUCAUCGAACACAUGCAGGAUAUAUUUAUAUAUAUAUAUAUAUAUCAAUUCAUUCAAAAUAUGCCUUCAUUUUAUGGAACAUACCCGAAUCCAUUUUGUUUGUGUUGAAGAGGUAUAAAUCUUCUAAGGCUAUGGGGGGUACCACAUUUUCUUAGAAUUCUCUAUGACGAUGGGAAGCCAGAGAGAACAAGUUCUAUUUUUAUUUUGAAAACGUUGUUAUCCUUAAAUAACAAACACUAUUAUUUGGAUUUAUACUCUCCUACCUUAGGGACCAUACCCUUUGGCUAUUGGGCCUUACGAGUCUUAGGCCCAUCAUCUAAGGCUCGUGAUGGCACUAGGCUCUACACAUAAGGUGGCCCAUACUCUGGAACGAAUAGAAAUCAUAUGUGUAUAUAUGGAUAGCUAAAUCUUGAACAAUGGUUAAUAUGAUGUCAGUUCACAUUUAUUAUAUCAUAGAGACUUCCCAUAUGAAGAAAAUUGACAGUAGGUAGCUUUGCCAUUCUUGUCCGUAUACAACCAACCUUAGCAAGGGUUGAACCCUUUUAUGCUUAGUUGUGCCAUACAAAUCCUUACCACCGCCUACAACAUGUAAUCGAAAUGAUUCGAUAAUAUCAUCUAGUGAACCAAUACCUCCAAAUGAGAGACCAUUGCCUUGGUAACUAGGGCUCAUGACUGAGAAUUGCGUGAACCCCUUUGCUUGGGUUGGAGCUUAACUGAUGCACAAAAUAUUCAUAGGCCUCUUCCCAUAACUGGCACCUUGUGUUUGCAACAUAAUUGAACAUGUAUUGAAGUGAGUUUUUUUGCAUCUUUUUGUAAGAAAAUUCUAAACAACAGAGACUGCUUAGUGUGCCCGGCUCCUCGGGAAAUCAAGGUUCAUUCCUGUAGGGCCAGUUUUUUCACAGUCGAACUAGAUAACAUGGAGAGUAUGUUGCAAUGCUUCAACAGGGUAUUUCUUAGGAAAAUCCACCUGAAGUUGGUACAAUUCGUUGGCGUACUGAGUUCCUGGAGCUCUAUUGACUUCAAUCACCCAUCUCUGUAGAUUAUCGAUGACUUAUGCUCGGAUCCUGUAGGAGGAUUGACCUGACAUUCCACUAGCUCUUUCUGGAAGACGAUCUUGUUUAACACCUUGUGAGAAGAGGCAAGGGAACUGGUCAUUGUUUCUUCGAGAAGAUCAGUGGCCGAGGAUGGGUUUGGACCAUAAUUGCUAUAUGGGUUUUCUUUGGGUGAACCAAUUAGUGGAGUGGGUGGCUAUAUAGCAACUGAAGGGUGGUCAUACUAAUGAGGAGCUAUUAUUUCAUGCAUGUGGAGAGGAAAUGAGUAGCUUCUUCAAGGAUAUAUGAUUAUUCAUCUCUAGCUUACGUUGAAUAUCUCCUAACAAAUUUCUGCUUUGAAGCUCCCUUAGUUUCACUACAGCUAACUUGGCCAACUUGGUUUCAUCAUGUUUCCUACAACCUCUAAGCAAAGCACGCCAGAUCACUGAAUCAGGUUCUAUUUGCAUUUUGUCCAUAAACUCCUUUGCCUAUUGACAAUAAACUGCCCCUCAAAAUUUGAUGAGAUAACAUCAAUGCUGACAUGUUGGUCAUCCCCAUAAGCAUCUUUAUAGAGAUUGAUUCUAUGUUUAGAUAUUUCUCUCUCCUCAAGUGAGUUCAACUUUUUUGUAACAUCCUUCUCCUUCUCUACUAAUAGUCUUAGUUGAACAUCCAACCUAUGUUCCCAAAGUGCCAGCAUCUCAUAUCUGAUGACAAGCCAACAACCUUGCCCUUGCUGAGACCCAAAUAAGUAUCCAGAACCAUCAGCAUCAACCCUUUCAUAGGCCUUUGUAUUUGAAGGUCGGAUUGGGAUUGCUUUGAAUGCACUGGCACUACAAUACACAAUUGUAUCUUCUCCAAUAAAAACACCACACAGAGGUGAGGGGACUGGUAUUAGCAAAGAAGUGUUGUUAUCUAUAUUGUUCUGAGCCCGAGUACCCUCAACAAAAUCCUCAUCCUCAUCUGUACUCUUCCAUUACAUCCCUAGGCUUUUCAAUGUGAUCCACAUGGCUUACAGGAAUCCAGAAAUACCAGUCUGUAUAAAUGUUGCUCUUAUGGGGCUCUCCUAGAAAACAUCCCUAUCAAGAUGAUCAACCUAGCUUAGAUGCUCAGCACCCCAAACUUACUAGAAAUAGAGGAAUUAAAAGCAAGGAUAGGAGCCAAAGUAAAAAUUUAGGGAAGAGCAAAUAGGAAAUCAAGCAAAACAUGAAUGUACAGAGCCUCAUUUCAGGUGACAUCUUUGGGCUAAUAAUAGGUGGAAUUAACAAAGUAGACAAGCAUGAUUGUUAUAAAUAUCAAGUUCAAGGAUGAAGCCGUGCAUCAGCUACUUAUAGGGGGAGUCAAGGAAACCAAGAUAAGAUCAAAGAGAGCAUGUAUGCAAAUAAACAGAUUCGAAAAAAUAGACCAAACAACUCGUGAAUAUCCUCCUACAAAAAACUACUACACGUGGCAAAAAGUGAUGAAACAAAAAGAGUCGGGUCCGCAUAUACAUAUCCUAUUCUAUCCUAUUCCUUCAAAUCCAAAGCAACCUGUAUUUUCAAUGGGAUUUGUUGUGAUGAAUUUUACUGGAUUGUAACAUGUAAAUAUGUUAAAAGAGGCUUGGGACAUUCCUAUAUAGUAACGCAUAAAGGUACUUCCAUUGUGAAGUUGUCAAAAUUGCAAAUUUAAAUUACAAAAUUUGAAAACAUAGAGAUGAAAGAUGAUGAAACCUUCUUUGAAAUUUUAUAUUGAACUCAUUAAUAUUAUUAAUUUUCAUUUCAGUGUAGGGGAAAGAAUUCUUUACUCUAAAGUGGUCACAAAAAUAUUAAAAUUCCUUGUUGAGAGAUUUAGACCUAAAGUGAUCAAUAUAGAAGAAAGUAAAAAUAUUCUAAGUGUAGGUAAACUUGUAGACUCAAAUGACUCUACCUUCUCAUAAAAAAUCCUCAAUUUUAUAAAUUAUAUAGAUUUCUUCAUUUGAUACAAAAUUUGAAUAAAGAUUUUUCAAAUGACAACACAAGGAAAGGGAAAAAAAAAAUUCUCUCCAGUUCAUUUCAUUUAAUCACUUAAAUUAUUUAAAAAUAAAAAUGUUUACUGCUAACAUUAUUUAGAUUCAUCUUUCUUUUGAUGGAGGUUAAAAUUCAUAAUUUUGAGGAAAAAGAUGAGGAUUCUCAUUUUUUUUUCCAUGUAUGAAUGGGAUUCUCAUUGUGUAUAUGUGGGUUACUAAAUGGCAAAUUUAGGGGCCAAUAUGAGGAAAAAUAUGAAGUUGAGUUUGUCACCAAGAACAAACAUGACUCCUAUAAAGGUGGCAUCCUUAAUUUCAUGUCUGGAUUAGACUUCUCAUGUAACAACUUAACAGGUGAAAUCUCUCAUGAACUUGGAAUGUUAAGUUUGAUUCAUGCAUUGAACUUGUCUCGCAAUCAACUAAAGGGCUCCAUUUCAAACAGUUUUUGCAAUCUUUCUCAAACAGAGAGCUUAGAUCUUCUUAAUAAUAAACUAAGUGGAGAAAUUCCUCCAAAAUUGGUUAGACUAACUUUUUUAGUGGUGUUCAAUGUGACUCAUAGUAGCAUCUUUGGAAGAGUUUCAGAUAUGAAUGCAUAAUUUGCAAUAUUUGAUGAAAGUAACUAUGAAGAUAAUCCUUUCCUUUGUGGACCACCAUUAAAGAGAAAAUGUAGCAUAAAUGUUAAGCCACCUUACCCACCAUUAGAGUCUUCGGAAAAAAGUGAUGCAAAAUGGUAUAAUAUCGAUCUUGUGGUUUUCUUUGCAAGUUUUACUAUAUCAUAUAUCAUGAUAUCAUUAGGAAUUUCAACCAUUCUUUACAUUAACCCUUAUUGGUGUCAAAGAUGGUUCAAUUUUAUCGAGAAAUAUAUAUACUUUUGCUAUUAUUUUGUUUCCUAUACUCUUUCCAAGUUAUUAACAUAUUUUGAAUAAUUAGAGAUUUUUGUUUUCAAUAAUAUUUACAUAAUUAACUACUAUUGGCUUCCAUGACAUGGAAAGAAAUGCGGUGAAGGCAACAACCACUUUUUUUUCUCCUCUACUAGUGCAUGAUUGAUAUGAGUUAAAACUUGCACCCUUAUCUUUGCUUAAAUUUUCUCAGCUUUUGUUUCAAUUCUUAAUUAUCAUUUCUUUUAUGUGUUGUUUAAUACAAUAUCCUAAACACAUUGCUUUGAAGGUUACUUAUUUAUUAAGCAUGAUAUUUAUUUUUCAUAAAGACAAAUUCAAGUUUUUUAGGAAUUUUUAGAAUUAUUAUAAUUUGGAGUUCACAUUAGAGGAAAAAAGGAAAGAAAAGAAUAGAUGAUUAAAAAAACAAUUUUAGUAAGUAUAAUUUGUCAUCUUCGGUAUAACAAAUGGGAAUUCCAAAAUAAUAUUUCAAUUUGUUAGUCUAUUCCUUAUAGUAUUAAUUGAUAUAUCAAAUAGGAAGUCACGUUUUGAUUUUUUAUUAGCUUCAAUUGCAUGUCACAUAUAUUUUAAAAUCAAGCAUACCUCAGCCGGGAAGUUCUUGUAACAUGCAUGAACAUGAUAUGAUGAAUUGAAUAAUUUUCUUAAUUGUGUGAGACACAAACCCUCUUUGUUUAAUAAUAAUAAUAAUAUACUACACAUUAUUAAAUCAUAUAUGUAUAUUUAUAGUCGUAUAAUAUAUUCAAAAUAUUAAACACAUUACCCUCUUAAAUUUUUAUGAAUGGUGUUUACUUUACAUAACGACAGAUUCAAAUUUUUUUAGAAUUUUUUAAUGUUAAAAUAAUUUGGAGCUUAAUAGGGAAAAAAAAGAAUAAAUAAUUAGAAAAGCAAUUCAAAAAAAAUAAAAUUUAUCCUCUUAAAUUGGUUUUGUGUAAUACUAUAGAAGCCAUUUCUUGAGUUUGAUAUGGUAGAAUUCGGAUUCAUAUUUAUUUUAAAAUAAAGAAUUUCAAGGGUUGGUAGCAUCAAUAGAAUCUUAACAAAUUUGCAAAAAAGUAUUUGGGUAGAUCACAUUUAAAUAUAGCUAACAGAAUAAAAAAUUAAUAUUAUUAGGAAGACAUGAUCAAUUAAAUCUUUUUUCUUAUCUAUGACACCGAUUUUAUAUUUUUACAUAGUCAAUAUAAUUUAUUACAACUUAUAUGUCAUUAAAUUAUACAUGCUUAUAUUAAAUAUAAUAUAAGAUCAUUAAUGGAAUAAUUAUGCAAGUAAUAUAAAUUGUAUAUAAUAUAAAAAAUUUAAACUCCGUCAAACUAAUGGAAUCUAUUAUAAUAAGUAGACUAGACACCAUAUUGGCCCGAGUUGGAGGCCUGGGCCAGAUUUUAAAGGCUGGGCUUUGAGUUGCCCGUGGGCCUGAGCCAAGGCCUUCUCUUGGUAUCAUCAUUUUGAAGAAAUAAAUUGCUGAUACAGAGAAAAAAACUAUACUAAAUAGAAAAAUAAAUAAAAGCAUUGACUAAAAUGAAGGUCAAGGUCCUUGAAAAAUAAUCUUUAAAUUGUUGCAUAUAUAAUUUCAAUAAUGCAUAAAUAAUUGCAAUAUAUAUGAUAUGAUAAAGAAUUUGGAAUUAAAAGAAGAUUGAUCUAUUUUAAAUGUGGUUGGAAUAUUUUUAAAUUUGUGAUGGGAAGUUAGACAGCCAAUUAGGGAUCCAUAUUAUUUAUUUUCAAUUAUAUGAAUUUAUUUACUUUUAUUAAUAUUCUGAAUGCAACAAUAUAAAAUAUGUCAAUUUUCUAAAAUUAAAAAAGUAAUUGCAAAAGAAAAUUUUUAAUUAUUUUUCUGAAAUUGAGUUUAUCAUAACAUUUUUCUUUACAUAAAUUUCUUUUUUAUGUUUAUUUUUUUAAAAAUGAGAUAUGAAAAAAAAAGAUCAAUAUUAGUAAAAGUAAAACCCAAUAUAUAUAAAAAAAAUGAAUAAAUGUUUAUGAAAUAAGAUUUAAAAGUGAGAAGGUAAUAAAUUUUUUCUCUUUUAAUUCCUAUUCAAUACAUUACAAAAAAUAUUUUUGGUUUUUAUGCUAAAAUUUAUUGUUUAUUAAAAAAUUCUAGUAUAUCUAGCUAUCAUAGAAGAGCUCCAAAAUUUUAUUGUUUAAGAGAAUGUGUUGCCACUUUAAAAGAUUUAUAUGCAUACCUUUGGAUAUGUUUAGUUCCCGGUAAAUUUGAAGGAAAAUGUGAAGGAAGAAAAAUAGAGAAGAAAAGUAUAACAAAAUAAAAAGUGAAGGAAAAUGAAAAAUAGAUUUAAAAUUAAUAAAUUAUUUUCAUUGGUUUUUUCAAAUUUAUUUUACUUAUUUUAUUCUAUUAAAUAAAGAUUAACUAAUUUUAAUUAUAUUUGGUUUGAUUUUUAUUAUUUUUCAAAGCAAAACCAAAUAUGAAAAAAAAAACAUUUUUUUUGGUUAUUUUUUUCUUUCCUUAUUACUCUUCGGGACUCAAACAUAGCUUUUAGAUUUGGGGCAUGGAAAAAUAAGAGUAUUGAAUAAGGGUUCUAUAUAUGCCCAUGCCCAUGCCCAUGAUACCAUUGAAAAAAAUGGAGAGAGGGUGAAACCUUUACUAGAUGAUAAAUUAUUCUCUUCAAUGGAAAUCAAAUAUAAUUAUUUUUAUCUUGUAUUAAUUGAAUGUUAUACUCCAUAAACUCAAAAUUAAAAUAAAUAAAAAAUUUAAAAACUAGGACAAUCCCAUUUUUUUUCAAUUUCUUAAAAAGAAAUUAAAUUAUAUUUAUUUAUAUCUAUUUUCAUCCCUACCCAACAAAAUAAAAAAAAUUAACAUUGUGGAACAUGUAUGAGAAAUUCUCACAAUUUUUUUUAAGAAAAAUAAAUUUCUUAUUUUAUAUAUGUUAAAAAUAAAUAUAAUCUUUUAUUUUUUAUAUAUAUAAUCGGGUAAGGUAGAGUGGGACAAAGAAAUAAUCCCCUUCGAUUCCAAUCCGAAAUUUUAAAAUAUAAAAUAAAAAUCUUAAACUCAUCCCUAAUCCAUUUAUUUUUAAUCCUAAACUUGUCUUAUAAGGAAUAAGGCAAAGUAAGUACAUGAAAACACUUUUUUUUAUCAUCAUCUCUACAAGUUCUAAUGUUUAGAUUGCAAUCCAUAUCAAAGAUUUAUAAAGAAAGAACAACGAUGAAUUUCAUAAACAUUUGAAAGCAUAUACAAAGUUUUAAAUAAUAUUGCUUGAGGUGCAAAUAUUAUUUGGCGCACACGUUGAGGGACUUCAACUGGUGUUGUCUAGGUUUUUUACACUAGUAAGUAAUCUUGAAUAUCUAGAGUAACUUGAUCAAAAUCUCUUUAAUUUUAUUUUCUUUGAUGAAUUAGAAUGCUUAUAUAACAUGAUUAAAAAUUUUAAGAAAAAAAAACUAAGAAGAAAGAAAGAAGUACCGAUCUUCCAAAUAUUGCUUCCACUUUAAUAUUUAGAAGGCUCUAAGAAAAGAAUUUUAUUCAUGAAUCACAACCCAAGUCGAAAAUAAAUUGAACCCAUUUUCUAAGUUAAAUUUUGAAUUUUUUACUAGUGAAUGCAAAUUGGGAAAAUGUAUAUAAAUAUAAUUAAACUAGAAUAGUAGGUUAGGUUUGUGUGGUCCCACGAUGACUUGGAAGUUUCAACAAUUCAAGCAGACUCCACCUAUAAACCUAAUAUACUAUUUUAGUUUAAUUAUAUUUAUAUAUGUUUUCCCAAUUUGCAUUCACUAGUAAAAAAUUCAAAGUUGAACUUGAAAAAUGGGUUCAAUUUAUUUUCGAUUUGGGUUGUGAUUCAUGAAUGAAACAAUGAUCAAUGACUUGACUUUUAAGGCCAACUUAGUUAAGUCAUUCCUAACCCCUAUAUUAAUUUGGCCUUAAAAGUCCAGUAAUUGAUAGCUAAAUCCCAACCCAAGUCAAAAAUAAAUUGAACCCAUUUUCUAAGUUCAACUUUGAAAUUUUUUUUAAUUGGAAAAAUGUAUAUAAAUACAAUUAAACUAGAAUAGUAGAUUAGGUUUGUAGGUGGAGUCUGCUUGAAUUUGUGAAACUUCCAAGUCGUCGUGGGUCUAGUGGUCCCAUAGCUCUCUAUUAAUUUCCACCAUCAAUUUUCUGCAAUAAAGUCAAGUCAUUCCUAACCCCUAUAUUAAUUUGGCCUUCAAAGUCCAGUCAUUGAUAGCUACGUUCAUGAAUCCCAACCCAAGUCAAAAAUAAAUUGAAUCCAUUUUCUAAGUUCAACUUUGAAUUUUUUUUAAUUGGAAAAAUGUAUAUAAAUACAAUUAAACUAGAAUAGUAGAUUAGGUUUGUAGGUGGAGUCUGGUUGAAUUUGUGAAACUUCCAAGUCGUCGUGGGUCUGGUGGUCUUAUAGCUCUCUAUUAAUUUCCACCAUCAAUUUUCUGCAAUAAAGUCAAGUCAUUCCUAACCCCUAUAUUAAUUUGGCCUUAAAAGUCCAGUCAUUGAUAGCUACGUUCAUGAAUCCCAACCUAAGUCAAAAAUAAAUUGAACCCAUUUUCCAAGUUCAACUUUGAAUUUUUUUUAAUUGGAAAAAUGUAUAUAAAUACAAUUAAACUAGAAUAGUAGAUUAGGUUUAUAGGUGGAGUCUGCUUGAAUUUGUGAAACUUCCAAGUCGUCGUGGGUCUAGUGGUCCCAUAGCUCUCUAUUAAUUUUCACCAUCAAUUUUCUGCAAUAAAGUCAAGCCAUUCCUAAACCAUAUAUUAAUUUGGCCUUAAAAGUCAAGUCAUUGAUAGUUACGUUCAUGAAUCACAACCCAAGUCUAAAAUAAAUUGAACCCAUUUUCCAAGUUCAACUUUGAUUUUUUUUACUAGUGAAUGCAAAUUGGGAAAACGUAUAUAAAUAUAAUUAUACUAGAAUAGUAUAUUAGGUUUGUAGGUGGAGUAAGCUUGAAUUGUUGAAACUUCCAAGUCAUCAUGGGUCUAAGGGUCCCAUAGCUCUCUAUUAAUUUCCAUCAUCAAUUUUUAUGAAUUCAGAUUUAAAAGUGAGAAGGGAAUAAAUUUUUUCUUUUUCAAUUCAUUACAAAAAAUAUUUUUGGUUUUUAUGCUAAAAUUUAUUGUUUAUUCAAAAAAUUAAAGUAUAAAAAUAUAAAAUAUAUAUCUUGCUAUUAUAGAAGAGCUCCAAAAUUUUCGUGUUUAAGAGAAUAUGUGUUGCCACUUUAGAAGAUUUAUAUACAAAAAGGAUUGAUGUUUCUCCUUUGACUAUGUUUGGUUCCCAAAAAUUUGAGGGAAAGAAAAUAAAAAAAAGGUAGUAAAAAAGAAAAAAUGAAGGAAAAUAAAAAAUAGUUUUAAAGUUAAUAAAUUAUUUUUAUAUGCUAUUUCAAACUUAUUUUACUUAUUUUUUUUCAUUAUAUAAAGAUUAAAUAAUUUUAAAAUGCAUAACUAAUUUUAAUUAUAUUUAAUUUUUCUUUUAUAUUUUUUAGACGGGAUCCAACACAUGUAAAAAUCCUUUUUUUUAGCAUCUUUUUUUCUUUUCUUAUUACUUUCCAAUAACCAAAUAUAACCUUUAGAUUUAGCCUUUAGACUUGGAGUAUGGAAGGAUACUGAGUAUUGAAAGAAGGUUUUGUAUAUGGCCAUGAUACCAUAGAAAAAAUGGGCGACAGAGAAAAAACCUUUAUUAAAUGAUAAAUUAUUUUUUUCAAUGGAAAUCAAAUAUAAUUAUUUUUAAAAAUAAAAAUAAAAAAUAAUAAUUUGUUGUUGCAUUAAGUAUUCUUGCAUUUGGAGAAGCAUGUACUACUUACUACAUAAAUGGAUAUUCAUGGAGUGCAUUCUCUAGAAAGCUCCAGUCUCAUGAAAAUGGAAAGAUGGACCGGCCGGUGAACCGGUUCGAGUUUGGAUUUAUGGGCUGCCUCAGCCUAACACGCAUGAUAGGUUGUUGUAGGUGAAGAACUAACUAAUUAAUUUAAAGCCUUCUUCUAUCCUCUCCUAUUCCUCUAUCACUCCAAAUGUUCCACAUGAUAAUGACAAUUCUUUUGUUAAAUGGUAAAAAAAAAAUUUAACAAUUAAUUUAAAAAAUUUUUAAAAUCUAAAUCCAAUGGAAAUUUGACUGUAAGGUGCGUAGAAGGCCCUAGUGCCCAUGUUGCUAAUUUGAUGAUAGUUAAAUUACCAUUUCGAGAGAUUCCACUCACUAGUAUUCUCAUUUAUAAAAUCAUGAACUUUGGCAUCCUAAUUAAUGUAAUUUAACUUUUUUUUGUUUACAAAUGAAAUAAGAGGCAACAUAUAAACCCAAAAGUUAAUUUUCCUACCAUCUCUAUGCACCAUUUUAGCUUUACUCCAAUAUAUUUUCUAUGAUUAAUUAUUUUCAUUCAAACAAUAAUAUCAAAAUAUUUUAAAAUUAGACAUAUCCACUAAUAUAUCUUCGAUAUAUUAUAUAUAUCUGUAAAAUCGAAACACCAAUAUAUCCGUGAUUAUCGAUAUUUUUAUCGUUGAGGGAUAACAACUAAUCUAGUUUUUGUACCUAUUGAUAUUCCUCAACAUUUAGAUUGAUUUGACCAUUUUUUUUUUAAUUUUAUUUUCUUUGAUGGUUAUAUGAUGAAUUAGAAUAGUCAUAUAACAUUAACAGAUUUAAGCAAAAAUGAUAAAAAAGCUCGCAUUUUUCAAAUAUUGGUUUCAACUUUGAAUAUUUUUAUUGGUAAAUGAAAAUUGUGAAAAACCUACUAAUGCUAAUACUUUUCACCACAUAAUUAAAUAUAAUAAACUAGAAUAGUGAUUCAUUGAUGUCUUAUAAAGCUACAUGCCUUCUUUGACUUGUUAGUUGAUUUUUGUAGGUGGAGUCUGUAGGGACCCCUCCCCCUGAUGACACGUGGCACGCAUUUCUAUCCGGAUUAGCUCCAUCCGGAUUUCCUCCAAGGAGACACGUGGCGCGCUUCCCCUAUCCGGACUCCCUCAGGGAGAAGCACACGACACUCGCAAACAUCACAUCCGGACGACCGCCAUAUCGCAUCCGGACGAUCGACAUAUCCUAUCCGGAUAUGUUUGUCCGGAUCGUUGACUAAAGUAAGCAAGUCUUACUACGUCAUUCCGACAGCCUGCCAUGGCCCACGUUCCACCACCUGCAAAGUGAAAAGACAGGAAUGAUGGCAAGUCACUUCCUACGAUCUCUGACAGCUGUGGCGCCUCUCACGAUCUCUGUCAGCCGCCCGUAGGGUGAUGAUGGCCCUGUCACCACCUAGAGUCAUCAUGACAAGCCAAAAUAUCUCUCUAUCAUUAAAGAGGGAGACAGAGCUUCUGGUACUAUAUAUAUGGACCUUCACACAAAGAGGAAGGUAAGCUUGCUAUACCUAGUAAAAGGCCAACUGAUUUAUCUCUUUAACCAUGGCUGACAAAACCAUCGGAGGGUGUGUCCGGACACCCUGUCCGGACGCCUUUUGCAGGAACGAUUGAACCAGGAAUCUAUAUUGGUUGAGAUCGUGCGUCCAUCCAUUUGGCAACUACGUGGAUCACCAGGGACGCGAGGCCUCAACAUUGGCGCCGUCUGUGGGAAAAUCACUGAUUCAGUCACCGACAAAGAUAGCCACACCUUCCCAAAGCCGCUCGUCCGCUAGGGAAAAGGAAGAUAAUUCUGAAUGGCGCCGAGCCAUUGAAAGAAGACAGUUGGCAAGCUCGUGACAACUGCAAGCUCUCCUCCAGGAGACAGAAUGACUAAGAGAAGAAAACGCGGUACUACGCAUCCAAGCUUCAUCGACGGGGCCUCCCCGUCGUCAGCAUUCAAAAGGCCAGGUAGCAAACUCAAGGCCUGACCCAGAGUCAAUAUACCCUGGGGCAGCAGGAGCAAUACUUGAAACAUGCAACGUUAGGCCACAUGAGCCACACACGCCCAUGCACCGAGCUCCCCAUGAGGAAAGCUCAGACUCUACUCAUUUUUCAGCAAAAAGACAACGCGACAAAAAAUCCCAAUUGUCAAACUCAAUGCGUGCGAGACUAGGCCCACAGGAGCCUGGGAGGCCAAAGCCGCCAGUAGCCAUAACCUGGGCAGUGCACCUUGACCCUAUGGUCACCCCCAUGGUGCAGAGCGUUCUCCCGCACCGUGACCCUAUGGUCACCCCUAUGGUGCAGAACGUUCACCCGCACCUAGCGGUACGACAAGCUGGGAGAAACCUCCCAAAUGAGCCACCCAUUGGCUCCAUUAGCAAAAGGCUGGACGACAUGCUCUCCACGCCUUUUUGCUCUCAUAUCAUUCAUUACGAGCCCCCAAGGGGAUUCCUCGUGCCCAAAUUCUCCACAUACGAUGGGUCCAGCGACCCCUUCGACCAUAUCAUGCAUUAUCGACAGCUCAUGACUCUCGAUAUAGGCAAUGACGCGCAGCUAUGCAAAGUAUUCCCCGCCAACCUACAAGGGCAGGCCCUCUCAUGGUUUCACCGCCUACCUCCCAACUAUGUUGAUAAUUUCAGAGACCUAUCAGAGGCCUUCGUGGGACAAUACUUAUGCUCUGCUCGACAUAAGCAGAACAUCAGCACUCUGCAAAACAUAAAAAUGCAGGAUAACGAAUCCUUAAGGGAGUUCGUGAAGUGGUUUGGUCAUGCCGUACUACAGGUAAAGGCUUACAGCAUGGAUGCUGUCCUGCAGAUCUUCAAGCGAAGUAUUUGUCCAGGCACCCCAUUUUUUGAAUCACUCGCUAAAAAGCCUCCUACGACGAUGGACGACUUGUUCCAGCGUGCGAGCAAAUACUCAAUGCUCGAAGAUGACGUGCGAGCAGCCACCCAGCAAGUCUUGGUUGCCGGACAGGCAUCUAGAAGUGGCACGGAAAGAAGUGCCAAACUUCCGGACAGGCCAAGACAGUCCCAUCAAAGGCAGGAAGGGCCAAGUCGCCCGGAAAGGCCGCCCCUCACACCCCUUUCCAUAUCCUAUGAGAAGCUUCUCCCUAUGAUCUAAGACAUGUCCGACUUCAGGUGGCCUAGACCCAUCGGAACGGACCCAUCCAAAAGGGAUCAUAGUAAAAAAUGUGCCUUCCAUAAAGAGCAUGGUCACACAACGGAGACAUGCAGGUGCCUUCAUUAUUUGGUCGAAAGGCUCAUAAGGGCGGGACAUUUAAAGCAAUACCUCCACUCAGAUACCGGAGGUAGAGAUGCUUCCCGAAAUCACAACUCUGGAGCCCCUAGGGCCCUAGCCGUCCCCAAAGCCGUUAUAAACUAUAUUAACAGAGGCCCAUCUGACGAGGAGUACGACUCCAAACGAAAGAAACAAAAGUUGUUGCGGGCAGCAUCGGUGCGCGAACGUGUCAACUCCAUCCGGCCUGGGAUAACUGGGGGGGCCCUCGCCCCAUAGAUGGGAUAAUCAUUUUCCCACCAGUAGACCCCACCCGGAUAUUGAAGCCGCACCGCGACGCCCUCAUCCUGUCCUUAAAGAUAGGAGACUUCGACGUGAGACGCAUCCUGGUUGACCCAGGUAGCUCGGCCGAUCUUGUGCAAGCAUCGGUCAUUAGCCACAUGGGGCACAAUCUCACAGGCCUCGAAAACCCUGGGCGAAUCUUGUCCGGAUUCAACGGGGCGUCAACUACUUCAUUGGGAGACAUUGUACUGUCGGUCCAAGCUGGCCCAGUCACUCUCAACGUACAAUUUUCGGUGGUACAAGAUUUAUCACCCUUCAAUGUCAUCUUGGGGCGCACAUGGCUGCACUACAUGAAAGUCAUCCCCUCUACAUAUCAUCAAAUGGUAAGCUUCCUUACCAAGGAUGGGCAAAUUGACCUAUACGGCAGCCAGUUAGCCGCUCGCCAAUGCUACCAGAUAGCACGAGAAGCAGGGACCAACCAGGAGGAUGCAUCCCUCCCUGAGUCCAGCCAUGCACGUGACCAAUAGCAAUUAUUGAGUCCGGGGGACAAAGAUCCCCCGGCAGCGGAUCCCUUGCAAGCAAUCCAAAUUUCGGAAGAAGGUACUCACCUUACGAAUAUCAGUUAGAAGAGACCCGGAACAUGCAGAACGCCCUCAGACAAAACCAUGACGUCUUCGCAUGGACACAUUCUGAUAUGAAGGGAAUUCAUCCCUCCAUUACCUCUCAUAGGCUUAACGUCUUGCCAACAGCCAGACCCAUCCGGCAGAGGGUUAGACGUUUUCACCCGGACAGACAAAAAAUUAUCCGGAAUGAGAUUGACAAGUUGCUAGAAGUCGGAUUCAUCAGAGAAGUGCAUUACCCGGACUGGUUGGCAAAUGUAGUGGUGGUACCCAAAAAAGAAGGCAAAUGGCGGGUGUGAGUCGACUAUACCAACCUCAAUAAUGCAUGCCCAAAAGACAGUUUCCCUUUGCCACGGAUGGAUCAAAUUGUGGACUCCACUGCUGGGUAAGGGAUGCUCUCCUUCUUGGACGCCUUCUCUGGAUACCACCAAAUCCCCAUGUCCCCGGCUGAUGAAGAAAAGACAGCCUUCAUAACACCACAUGGUCUCUAUUGCUACAAAGUCAUGCCAUUCAGACUCAAAAACGCUGGUGCCACUUACUAGAGACUGAUGACGAAGAUCUUCAAACCUCUGGUCGGCCGCACAAUAGAGGUAUAUAUUGACGAUAUCGUGGUUAAAAGUAAAACCCGAGAGGAACAUGUCCUCCACUUGCAAGAAGUCUUCCACCUCUUGAGGAAGUAUGGCAUGAAGUUGAAUCCCUCUAAAUGUGCCUUUGGCAUAAGUGGUGACAAAUUCUUGGGAUUUAUGGUUAGCCAAAUGGGGAUAGAGGUCAGCCCGGACCAAGUCAAGGCAGUCAUGGAAACACCACCCCCUAGGAGCAAAAAGGAAUUACAACGCCUCACAGGCAAGCUCGUCGCGCUAGGGCGUUUUAUAGCCCGCUUCACUAAUGAACUGCGACCCUUCUUCUUGGCAAUACGAAAAGAAGGAGCAAACGGAUGGACGAACAACUGUCAAAGCGCUUUUGAAAAAAUUAAACAUUGCCUCAUGCAAUCGCCCAUCCUGAGCAGUCCCCUCCUUGAAGAAAAACUGUAUAUGUAUCUGGCUGUAUCGGAGUGGGCAAUUAGUGAUGUUCUAUUCCGCUGCCCCUUACCCAAGGAGCAGAAACCUAUCUACUACGUCAGCAGAGCAUUGGCAGACGUAGAAACCAGGUAUUCAAAGAUGGAGCUAAUGGCCUUAGCUCUUCGAAGUGCUGCCCAGAAGCUCUGCCCCUACUUCCAAGCCCACCCGGUGGUCAUGCUAACUGACCAGCCCCUUCGCAACAUUCUGCACAAGCCAGACUUAACCGGAAGAAUGCUUCAAUGGGCCAUAGAGUUAAGCGAAUAUGGAAUCGAGUUCCAACCCAGGCUGUCCAUGAAAGGCCAAGUUAUGGCUGACUUCGUGUUGGAAUACUCCCGAAGGCCUAUCCAGCGCAAGGAACCAAGUGAAAAAGAGUGGUGGACUUUGCGGGUCGAUGGAGCCUCACGAUCAUCAGGAUCCGGAGUAGGGCUCCUGCUGCAAUCACCAACAGGAGAACAUCUGGAGCAAGCCAUCUGGAUGGGGUUCCCCGCCUCUAACAAUGAAGCGGAAUAUGAGGCCAUCCUAUCCGGAUUGGACCUCGCCCUGGCUCAUCCGUCUCCAAGCUCCGGGUCUAUAGUGACUCCCAACUCAUGGUAAGACACGUUAAGAAGGAAUACGAAGCUAAGGAUGCGCGCAUGACGUGAUAUCUGACUAAAGUAAGGGACACCUUACAACGGUUCACCGAAUGGACGAUCGAAAAAAUCAAACGAUCUAAAAAUGGACGUGCCGACGCCUUAGCAGGCAUAGUUGCCUCCCUCCCCAUCAAAGAAGCCAUAUUGUUGCCUAUACAUGUGUAAGUCAACCAUUCCGUCGCGGAAACCUCCACUUGCAAUACCAUUGAGGCAAAUCAAGCAGACGACCAAGAGUGGACGGAAGACAUUAUAAGGUACCUCUAGACAGGCACUCUGCCUGAAGAGCCCAAGCAGGUACACAAGCUCCGGGUGCAAGCCGCCCGUUUCACCCUAAUUGGGGGGUACUUGUACAAGCGAUCCUUCACAGGUUCCUAUCUUCGGUGCCUAAACCACUCAGAGGCCCUGUAUGUAUUAGCUGAAUUGCACGAGGGAGUAUGUGGAAUUAUUCUGGAGGUCGAUUUCUGGCACACAGGGCCCAUUCGCAAGGAUAUUACUGGCCCACGAUGAAGAAGGAUGCGGCAGCCUAUGUCAAAAAAUGUGACAAAUGCCAAAGGCAUGCCCCCAUACCACAUGUGCCGUCGGAGACAUUGAAGCCAAUAUCAGGCCCCUGGCCCUUCACGCAGUGGGGCAUGGACAUAGUAGGACCCCUACCACCCCCACCCGCUCAAAAGAAAUUCCUGCUCGUCGCCACGAAUUACUUCAGUAAAUGGGUGGAAGCUGAGGCAUACGCUAGCAUCAAAGACAAAGAUGUCACCAAGUUCAUGUGGAAGAACAUCAUCUGCCGCUUCGGAAUCCCCCAAACCAUUAUAGCCGACAACGGUCCAUAGUUUGAUAGCAUCGCUUUCCAGAAUUUCUGUUCGAAACUAAACAUCCGGAAUUCAUACUCCACACCGCGUUAUCCUCAAAGUAAUGGGCAAGCAGAGGCCACAAACAAGACUCUAAUCACUACCUUAAAGAAAAGGCUCGAGCAAGCCAAAGGAAAGUGGGUGGAAGAGCUACCCGGCGUCUUGUGGGCUUAUCGAACCAUACCCAGAUGUCCGACAGGAAACACUCCCUUCGCCCUCGCAUACGGUAUGGACGCAAUCAUUUCUAUUGAAAUAGGGCUACCCACUAUCCCGGACCGAGGCAGGAAAGCAGGAUGAUGCAAAUGUGGAGUUAAGAAGAAACUUGGACUGGGCAAACGAAGUAAGGGAAACUGCAUCCAUUCGGAUGGCAGAUUAUCAACAAAGGGCAUCCGCUCACUACAAUCGCAAAGCAAGGCCCAGAAGCUUUAAAAAUGAUACGCUGGUCCUUAGAAAGGUUUUCGAAAAUACUGCUGAGAUAGGAGCGGGAAAAUUUCAAGCCAAUUGGGAAAACCCCUAUAUAGUAUCUAAGACAAGUGAAAGUGGAGCCUAUCAUCUGCAGAAGCUAGAUGGAACCCCAUUGCUCCGACCAUGGAAUGUAUCUAAUCUAAAGUAGUAUUACCAAUGAAAGAAAAAUAGAGGUACAAAUAUGAAUAAGUAUGUUUUAUUAAUACUUGUGAAAAAUUGUAUACAAAAGUUCUCCGGACUACAAAAUACAGAGAGAAGAUAGCAGUAAAAAUUACAAAAAGAAAAGCUCUCAUUGGGAAGGCUUGCCACGCAGCUUCUCCUCCUCACCCGGGGGAAUCGAAGGGACGUCCCGUUUGAUACCAAGUUUCUUCAUACAGCAACGGUAGCCGAAGAAGUACAUUUCGUCUACCUACUUCUGGUAGUCUGCUUCAAGUUCCUCCCUUUCCGCAGCAAACUCAGCCUCCAACUCUUCUUUUUGCGCUAAUAAACGCAACUGCAAAUCCUCUCUCUGCUUUUUCUCAAUUGACACCUCUGUUUGGAGUUGCCUCACUUCUCCCGCAGUUGGGCCAUUUCGUCCUCCGCCUCAUGUAGACGGGCGUCUGUAGAUUCCUCCCGACUCUUUGCCUCAGCUAGCUCUACCCGGAGAGCCUCGUUGUCAUCUCGAGCAGCGGAUAAACUGGCUUCGGCCUGCUCUAAUCUCAAGCGCAGUUCCUCUUCACUGUUUAUGCGUUGAGAGACGAAGGCCUUCAUAUAAUCAGCAGUUCGUAGUAGGUCAGAAAAAAGAUCACGUUGUUGAGCCAUGCCGCGGAUACCGCUCACCAGCUGCAGAAAAACCCACAAACAAGAAGUGCAAAAAUUACAACCCAUGUGACAAACACAUCAGAAUGGCAAGAAAAAUCAAGAAGUAAACUAUACCAUUUCCGCUGCUUCAAACAUUUUUGCUGAAGGCACAGCAACAUCUGAGCUGGAUGGAAUCCGUUUCAGCAUCUCUCCCAACUGCGCAUAGCUGAAAGGACUAGCGGAGAUGCAAGCUGCAUCAUCAACGGGACUUCCUCCUGACGAGGCAUUAGGGAGUGACUCCUUUCCCGAGUCCGGGGCCUCAUCAUUCUCGACCGGCUGGGUCUCUCCGAGUGAACCCCCAUCUGGGACCAGCACCGGGGCGGUUGGAUUCUCUUCUGCCAUCUCUGUCUCACUCCCCUCCGGAUGAUCCUCCUGGACGGACGAGCAGCUGACUUCGAUGGUUUCCAAAAAACGAUCUUGAAGCCGCCUGAUGAGGCUAGACUUUAAGUCACGGGCCGGACGAGACCUCCUUGCAGUUGGCCCCUUCACCGGUAUAAAGGCAAGGGAGCUUGGCUCGCAAGGAGGCACACCCUGACUUUCUGCCCUCGUUUCUUCCGUUGGGGGUGCCGUAGGAGGCAAUGCUUCAGUACAAGAGGCCUCGGCUGCAUCCGCGUCCGAAUGGGGAGAGCCGAGCUGAUUUACUGAAGUCGCUUCCUCAGCCAGAAGAGCCAGCCGUCCAGCCGCUGGCACUGAAGGCCCCGAAUGGUUUAGACCCGCGAGACGUCCGGAGCCUCUUGAAACAGAAGGCAAGACGGGGGAAGGGGGGAGAGGGGGGGGGGGGGGGGUGGUCUGGCUCUCUUAUUAUUAUUUCCUUUACGAAAGUUGGAGGUGGUAUUACCACUUCCUUUGGUGGAGUUGGAAGUUUUAUUUAUUUCCCCUUAUUGAGAGCCUUCUUCUUCUUUUUCUUCGCCGGGGCGCCAGCAGGAAGAGAGGGCGCGAAGCGUUUUAUAUCGGGGGCCCUCCGCAAAGUUCCCUCUUGCCUCAUUCCCUCCCGUUCGUCGAGACGUGCUCGGCGUGCCUGGGCAUCUGCCUUGCGCACCUCCUUGUAGAAAGGAAGGUCUUUUAGAACAAAAUGCUCCCCAGGCAUUACCUUCUUUGGCAACUUCCUGGGGAGAAUAUUGAUGACAUACGCCUGGGGCUCUUGGACAACGGCUAGCAAGUUUCGCGUAGUAAGCAGCGUCUCAUGAUGCCUCUCAGCGGCAGUAAUCUCAAAUAACUUGUUCAGUCGAACGAAAGACGUUUUUUCUACCCACUCGACUACGCGACCCCUCUUGUCCGGACCUGCAUUAUCAGCAACCAAAGAUAUUAAGCCAUCUGAUAACCCCAAAGCAAGAAAAGCAACAAGACGAAUGCCGAACAAACCCCGCAAGCUGUCUUACCCGGAAGCACCAACGAAAGGUUUGGGGAGAAUGGCCUCUCCGGAUGCUCCAGUAGCCCAGCCCAGAUACCCCGGACCAACACAUGUCCCUUGGCUCCUCCCUUCGUCGAAUCCGAAAGCUUAGUCACUAGUUGGAGAGAAGGCAGGUGGGAAACCAUGCUAAAAAUGUCAUUUUUCUCCUUCUUAAGGGAGUAGAUGAAAAGAACCUCCAGCAGCGAGAGGUCCAGGUUGAACAACAUGCUCAGAAUGCUGCAUCCCAUCAGCACCCGGACCAUGUUGGGAUGGAUGUAGGCCGGGGGGAUCUGGGUGAAGUGGAGAAAUUCUUUGAAAAGUGAUGGGAGAGGGAACCGGAGCCCAACAUUGAGUUGCUUCUUGGUAAAGCAGAUAGUGUUCUCCUCAGUUUUCUCAGUCGACAUGGCCUCUCCGUCCAUAAGUUCAACGGACACGCCAUUUGGGAUGCAGAAGCGUUCGCGAAACUCCCUCACAUUCAACUUAUCCACGGAUUUCUCAGCAUGAGCAUCUCCGGGUGAGCUGGAUGAAGUAGCUUCCUUGUUCGCAGACAUUUUGUAGGCUGGGGCUGAAAUGGAAUCUGCAUGGAGGAAUGCCAACAGUCAAACACAGCAAUCCGACCCCACAACCUUAACUCUACCCCAAAGAAGAAUCGGUGACCCACAAAAGGCACAAGGGUGCAACAGAAACCCUAAACACACCCAAAACACGAUCAAAACCCCCCGAAAAAAGCCCUAGAAACCAAUACCGAUUCCUAGUCGCAAAGCAACUUGCCCAGCAAGCCAGAAACAACCAACAAAACAAACACAACAAGGAGAAAAAAAAAAUAGAAAACGUACCGAGUGUAAAACUGGAAAAAUGGGAUGAAAUCCGCAGUGCAGUCACCGUCACGAUACGAGUAUUACCGGCAGAAAACCCUAGAGCUUCACUAGAAAGUGAAAAUACGCGGAAGGUAGAAGAGAAAGCACUACCAGAAAAAGCGCAGAAGGAAAAAUGCAAGAGAAAGGCACAGUUUGCUAUUUAUAGAGAGACAGCUCCUCGGUAUCCCAAAUGCUUAGCCGCACCAUCAUUGAAAGGACACGCUGCCUGGGAAAUCCCAGAAUCGGCGGCUCAUCAUAAAUGAUCUUCUUCCUUUUUCGCCCCCGCUCGCCACGUGGCCCAAUAAAGCGAAAAAAGUCAACCUCAGUUUCAAAAAACAAUCAUUUUUUAACCCACCCAUUUUGCCCUGGCAAAAUGGGCAGGUUAAAAGGGGGGCAUUGUAGGGACCUCUCCCCCUGAUGACAUGUGACACACAUUUCUAUCCGAAUUAGCUCCAUCCGGAUUUCCCCCAAGGAGACACGUGGCGCGCUUCCCCUAUCCGGACUCCCUCAGGGAGAAGCACACGACACUUGCAAACCUCACAUCCGGACGACCGCCAUAUCGCAUCCGGACGACCGACAUAUCCUAUCCGAAUAUGUUUGUCCAGAUCGUUGACUAAAGUAAGCAAGUCUUACUACGUCAUUCCGACAGCCUGCCACGGCUCACGUUCCGCCACCUGCAGAGUGAAAAGACAGGAAUGAUGGCAAGUCACUUCCUACGAUCUCUGACAGUUGCGACGCCUCCCACGAUCUCUGUCAGCCGCUCGUAUGGUGAUGAUGGCCCUGUCACCACCUAGAGUCAUCAUGACAAGCCAAAAUAUCUCCCUAUCAUUAAAGAGGGAGAUAGAGCUUCUGGUACUAUAUAUAUGGACCUUCACACAAAGAGGAAGGUAAGCUUGCUAUACCUAGUAAAAGGCCAACUGAUUUAUCUCUCUAACCAUGGUUGACAAAACCAUCGGAGGGUGUGUCCGGACGCCUUUUGCAGGAAUGACUAAACUAGGAAUCUAUAUUGGUUGAGAUUGUGCGUCCAUCUAUUUGGCAACUACGUGGAUCACCAGGGACGCGAGGCCUCAACAUAGUCCAUUUCCAUUUGAAUUGUUGAAACUUCCUAGUCCUUGUGGGUCUAGUGGUCUCUCUAAUAAUUCCCACCAUUAAUUUUUUGUGAUGAAGUGCAGUCAUUGAUAGCUACUAUAUCAAUUUGCUAUUAAAAGUCAAGUCAUUGAUAACUACUAUUCAAUCUUUUUCAAUAUGGAAAUUGGAAUCUCUAGCGCUACUCUUCUCAUCGUUCAUUUUUAGGUAAUGUGAGAAUGUGUGAACAUAAAUGUCUUCUAAUCAACCAAUUUUUUUUUGAAAAAAACAUGUACAAAAUUGCAAAACUUGCAAAAUCAAACUGACUGUAAUCAACCAUCAUAAUUUUGAUGGUUUUGAAGAAUCAAAGGAUGAAUCCUAAAAGGGUAUUUGAUAAAAAAUAAAAAUUAAAAAAAUUAAAAGACAACUACUCCCUUAAGUAUAAUAAGUGUAUUUGGUAGCACAAAUUUCCUACCACUUAUUAUUUUUUUUCUUAAAAAAUCAUUUACUCUAUUAAAUAAACUAACCUUGGCUUAUCACUUAUAGCAAAAUAGGUUAAGUAGUUUUUAAAAUUUUAUAAUAUUAGAUUUACAUUUUUAUCCUUCAAAAUUUCAUUAAUGCUAGAUUCUUCUAUAUGCUUAACUAAUAAAUAAUUUUUAGCAUUUUUCUUUUCUUAUAAACAUAAAAAAAUAAAAAUAUUAUUAACUUAUUGGUAUAUUUUAAAAUUUUAAUUAGAUUUAAGCUUUUAUUUUUUUGGAUUACCAAUUAUACAUAUAAAUCCUUUAUUAUUAUUGUUAUUAUUGAAAGAAAGGGGUUGAAUAGGUAGUCCCUCAAUCCCCAAAUUAAAUUCUUUAUUGCGUACUUUUGGUUUAUUCCUUUACAUGAAUUCCUUGGUGAGAGUAAACAUUUCAUUAAUGGAUAAAUAAAAUUGAUUCCAUAUCACAGGGUAUAAUGUGGAAAAAUCAUCGGUCUCAUGUGUUCCUUAGUGGAUCCUUUGGAGCCCUUAUCAAAGUUUCAUGAUGAAACCAUUGACUUUUGUUUAACCCAAAUGUGCUUUCAAGACAAAUCUUGAAAGAUUUGAGAGAUGGAGGUUCAAGUCUUUUAUGAACGACCAUGUUCUCUUAGGGUUCAUGAAAUUUCACACCUUUUGAUAAAUAAAACUUAUUUAUUUAUACGUCUAAAACCUAGUAUUUAUUUAUUUAAUUAUAGAAAGUUUCUUAGUUUUAAAAACAUUUCAAAAAUCAUUUUUAGAAUCAAAUAACAAUUUUAGAGAUAAACACAAUAUUAAAAUUUAACAAAAACAAAUUUUUGAAUUAAAAACACAAUAUAAACUAAAUUACAAAAUAUAAAGUAAUUUUUAUCCUAAUUUCUUCUUGCAAAACCAAAUAGAACACCUAGAAGGGGAGUGAAUAGGUGAUUUUAAAUUUUUUCAAUAAUGAUUUAUAAGUUAUACCCAAUUCUUUUACCCUGCGAGUUGUUAGGGACUAUCAAUUCUUUCCUUUUGGCAAUUCAAACAAUAUAUCAAAUAAUAAAAAGAUAUAAAUAAUGAGACAUAAAGAUUUUUACAUGGAAAACCCCCCACACUAACCAUGGAGAUAAAAAGCCAUGGAGUCUAAGACCUAUUAAUCUAAAUUCACUAUACGAAAUCAAGUUACACAAAUUUAUUUGGUAGCUUUACCUUAAAGACUUACUCUCCGGUACUGACAACUUGAUUCACGUCCAUGACGUAGCAACCCUCGAUUACUCCAAUGUAUCACUUCAAGCUUACUAAAAGGAUGAAGGCCUUCAAACCAAGAUUCAAAAAUCAAUUCCUUGAAUGAGAGAUUAGGAAUGGUGUGCCACUUUAGGCUUUCUCUCUAAGAUCUCUAAAAUGAUCUCCUCAAUGAAAACCUCUUAAACAAAAUGAGAUAUUUCUCCACAAUCUCUAACCCUUAAGGGGUUAUAAUGAGAUAUUUAUAGGCAACUAAGUUGAAAGUUUCAGUUUUGGAAGGUUUCUCAAUUGAAUUUGUGUGAAAAACUCGGCAGAAUCGACAUGAUCGCUCGAGCCAACACACUUCCCACUUGAGCGUUUUGGGCACUUGAGCGGUAAGGCUCGCUUGAGUUGUCUUAAGCACUUGAGCAUUCUAGGCUACUUGAGCAAUCUUGCUCUAUUUCAAAAGUUAAUUUUAAAUCAUUUUAAGUUCAAAACAAAAUUGAUUCCCUUUAUACCUCAAAGAAGCCUAACUUGCCACAAACCAAACCUUUUUAGAUAUACUUGUGACUUCCUGGUUGGACGAACAACAACUCUUAAUCUUCAAUGGAGAGCAAGUCACUAUCUAAAAAGAUUUAUAUGGUCAAACAUAAAAAAACAAAAAAAUUGCCAACAUAACAACAAGACUCAAUGUCCUAACAAUCUUCCCCUUUGGCAAUUUUGUGACAAAAACAACGUUACAUAAACCCACCUGAACUCUCAUAAUGGAGUUUAAUAAUACACAUUAACGUUCAAUUAAAAAUAAACUAAGGGAAUACUUUAUCUCACUUUGUAGUAUUUGUCUUCCAACCUUGUAACCUACACACAUAUAGAAAACUAUACCAAAGGUAAAACAAUGUGCAGGAUAAGAUAUGAUCAAGAAAGCAAAAUAGGAUAAUUGGAAAUUUUGCUUGAUGCCUUGUGAAAGCAUGAAAAAAGAACAAAUUCAUAUAGUAAUAUCAAGGGACAAAGCAAAACUCGAGAAGAAUAUAUAUGUAUGCAAAUCAACCAAACAUAAUAAAAGCUAAAUAAGAUGCAAUAGAUAAAAAAUAAUGCCUAGGGGUCUAUCUCCAACCAGAAAAUAGGGAGUGAAGAUCAUAGAAAGAACCUUCUGUGACUUAGAAAGAUUCUAGAGAGAUAGUAAAUUCAAACAUAAAUAUCUUGCUGGAAACAUCUAUGUUAUGUAUCUCUCUAAACCUUUUAAGUUAUGCUUUCAUCAGUUGAUUUGGUUUUUCUCCAAUGUCUCAGGUUUAAUUUCCUCUAUUAUUUCAAUUAGAGAAAUUAGUAGUCGAUUGACUUAGUGGGUGUUUGGUAAAACUUAAUACUUAUUAUUUAAUGAUUAACUUUAAGUUAAAUUGUUCUUAAGUUAUUAAUUUAAAAUUUAUUACUUAUUUUGUAUUUAAGUAUUAAGGUUAUUUGUAAAAAUCAACUUAAAAUUUAUUCUAAAUCAUCAAAUUAACACAUUUACCCUUAUUAAUUUUAACUUAUAUUUAUUUUCAUUAAUUUUAAACAAUAAAUUUAUUCAUAAAACAUCUAUAUUUUUGUAGAUACAUAAUAACCAUAAAAUAUUUACUAUAAAAAAUGAGUCAUGGAUGUAGAAUUAUAAUUCUAAAAUAUACACCUAUAAGUGUGGGUAAAUAAGACAAAAAUGAUUUGAGAUUAAGAGUAAAGUUAAUUAUUUUGACUUAAGACUUCAAGUUAAAAAUAACUUUAAGUUGCAAUAUUAAGUUAUUUUAUCAAACAUGCUUAAUUUACUUAACAACUUAAAUUAACUUAUUAAGUUGAUUUAUCAAACACCCCACUAGUAAUAUGUUGAAAAUGAAGAGCAUCCAUAGCAGAUAAUGUAUAUGUAUUUGUGUUUAGAGUAGAAGGGCACUACAACAAUGGACUUGCAUGUGAUUUGGUCGCGAUAUGAUUUUGAUGAGAAUAUUUUAUUGUCUUUAAAAUAUUGUUAUAUGAAAUGCCACACUAUGUUAGUAAAUGAUAGUUAUGUUAGUAGAAAUGAAAGUUUGUUUUAUAAUGCAUUGACCAUCCUAACACAUGCACUUAAUUAUCAUUAGUAGUUAGACAUGUAUUCCCUUUUUUCAAUUUUUUUUCUUCUUUUUAAAUACAUUCUAGUGGUACUUUGCCUUAUGACUUAAUUUUUGUUACACUUACUACUUUUGGUUUUAGUCAUAUUUCAUUUUAUUAGUAUUUUCAUUUUGUGUUACAAUUUUAUUUAGUUUCUCUAUAUUCUCUUUUGGAUGGUGAUUUCACUUCAAAUUUUAAUUCAAAUUAGGCUUAUUGUCCUCUUAGUAAGCCUUUUCUAGGCGAGUUGUUAUAGAAAAUUAAACAAACCUCUCCUAAGGUUGGCCUUGUUACAUAGACUUCUUUUCUAUUUUGAAAUAUUAUAUUGACCUCCCUUGUUAGAUAUUGGUUUUUACGAUUACUAAGAAUAAUGCUUCUUAAUCAUUAUUAACGAUAAUGCAAAAUGAUAUAACUACUCUUAGUUAAAUCAAAUCAUAAUGACAAUAUUUUCAUCUUCUUUUUCCAAUUUUCUUCUUCUUCCUCCAUACAUGCUAAUUUGCAAAAAUUUAUACCCAUUAUUUAAAUGAAAUCUUUUGAAAUAAAUUAAAAUCUUCCUUAUUUGAUAUUAUAGAAACCUAAUUUAAAUAAAAUAUUUUGAAAUAAAUUAGAUAAAAAAAAAACUUGUCAUCAUUCUAACCCAAAUCAAAUUUAAAAGAAUAACUAAAUAUUUCAAGUCUCAUUUUGUCUCAAUAUCACCUUUGCUAAUCAACCUAUCCAAUCUUAGAUCAAACUCAAAUUGCAAUCAAAUUUUGACAAGAAAAAAUCUACUUAAGACUGAAUAAGAAAACUUGUGGAAAGAGUCUUAUCAAGAAGGUGCAUGAAACCCUCAGUUCAAAAACUUCUUCUAAAAUAAAAUUAAAAAAAGAAAAGAAAAGAAAGAUAUUCAAUGUUAAAGGACUUUUAAGAUAAAUCAAAAUUUGAAAAUGAAUGUUAAUACUUGCGAUAGAUUCCACAUUCAUGAACAAAUUACCAUUGCACCACUUAUUUUCAAUUCACACUUUAAUUUACUAUCCAUAGAAACUUUCAUUAAAUUUUCCAUAAAACAAACAAAGAGCCUUAACCCCCAAAUAUUUUAAUUCUUAAAAAUACAUCAUUUCAUCAAUUUUUGAAACCCUCAUUUUAACACAAAUUAUUUUUUUUUACAAAUUAUUAAAAGAAUAAAAAGAAAAUUAAGAAGAGGUUGUCAUUAUUAUUCUUGCAAAGUCACCACAAAAUAAAUUAUAACAAAUAUAGAAAAUAAAAUAAUGUGACGAUGAAGAUGAUGCUUAGAAAGUUAGAAUGAAGAAGAUAGUAUCAUUUAGAUGAUUUAGGUUAAGAUGAGGACUAGAUAAGGAAAGUGACAUCAAUUGCCUAAUUAUUUGGGGUUUUAGACAUACAAAAUGAGGGAGAUGACUAAAAUUAUGGUUUAAUUAUUUUUGGUUAAGGAUUAUUAAGUUAUUUUAAGGAAUUAAUUAAUUAAUUUAUAAUAAAUUUAGAAUUAAUUAAAAGUUAAUUAAAAUAAUUAUUGAUUCAUAGUUUAAUUUAAAACUAAUUUGAAUAAAAGAUGAAAAACUGAAAGUCCAUUAGGGUUUCACCUAGAGAGGGGAGAGGAGGUGGAUGAUUUAAAAAAUUUCAAUAAAGAUCUAUAUGUUAUAUCCAAUUUUAUUUUACCCUGUGAGAUGUUAGGGAUAACCUUUUCUAUCAACCUUAGGCAAUUCAAACAAAAUAUCAAAUAUAAAAGAUAAGAACAAUAAGGCAUGCGAUUUUUAUAUGGAAAAUCCUCACACUAACUGUGACGAUAAAAACCACGAGAUCUAAGACCUAUUAAUCUAAAUGCACUAGAUGAAAUCAAGUUACACAGAUUUACUUGACUGCUUUACCUUAAAGAUUUACUCUCUGGUAAGUACAACUUGAUUCAUGUCCACAACAUAGCAACCCUUGAUUGCUCCAGUGGAUCACUUCAGCUUCCUGGAAGGGAUGAAGGUCUCCAAAAUAAUAUUUAAAGAACAAAUCCUUGAAUGAGAAAUUGAGAAUGGUGUGGCAAUCUAGGUUUUGUCUAUAGGAGACCCUUUUUAGAGAAUAAAGUCUCUCAACAAUCUAUCUCCAAUCUCUUCAAUAUCUCUAACCCUCAAGGGGUUAUAAGGGAGGUAUUUAUAGGCAAAAGUUUGAAAAGUUUUGAUUUUGGAAGGUUUCUCAAUUGAAAUUUUGUGAAAAACUUGGUAGAAUCAACAUGAUUGCUCGAGCCAACUCACCCAUCGCUUGAGCGCCUCAAGCACUUGAGUGGUAUGGCUCACUUGAGCGGUCUUAAGCGCUUGAGUAGUCUUUAGUGCUUGAGCGCUCUAGGCCACUUGAGCAGUCUUGCUCUCUUUCAAAAAUCAAUUUUAAAAUCUUUUUAAGUUCAAAACAAAAUUGAUGCUCUUUAAUACCUCAACAUAGCCUAAUUAACAUAAGUCAAGCCUCUUUAAACAUGUGACUUCUCAAUUGGACAAACAACAACCCUUGAUCUUCAAUGAAGAGUAAGUCACUAACUAGAAAGACUUCUAUGACCAAACAUUACAAAGAACAAAAUUGCCAACAUAUAGGAAGGACUUACUGUCUUAACAAUCUCUCCCUUUGACAAUUUUGUGACAAAAAAUUGUUACAUAAACCCACUUGAACUCUGAUAACGGAGUUUACAUAACACACUUUAAUGCUCAAUUAAAACUAAAUUAAGGGAAAGCUUUGUAUUAAUUUAUAGUACUUAUAUUUCAACCCCGUAACCUACACACAUACAAAAAACUAUACUAAAGGUAAAGUAGUGUGAGGAAUAAAGUAAUGUUGAGAAAACAAAACAGGAUAGUUGGAGGUUUUGCUUGAUGACUUAUGAAAACAUGAAAAUGGAACAGAUUUUUGUAGAGACACUGAGGCACAAAGCAAAGCUUGAGAGGAAUAUAGAUACACACAAAUCAGGAAAACACAAUAGAAGCUUGAUAAGACACAAUAGAUCAAUAAUAAUGCUUAGAAGUCUAUCUCCAACCAGAAAAUGGGUAGUGAAAACCAUGGAAAGAAACUGCUAUGACUUAGAAUAGUUCUAGAGUGAUAAUUAGUUUAAACAUAAAUAUCUUAUAAGAAACAUUUGUGUCAAGUAUCUCUUUAAACCAUCUAAGUUAUGUUUUCAUCGGUUGAUAUGGUUUUCUCCAAUUUCUCAAGUUUAAUUUCCUUUAAUAUUUCAAUAAUUUCCCUUAAUGGAUGAAUGAAUGAAUGAAUUGAAUUAAAGAAUUCAAAAUUUUUAACUCAUAGUAACUUCCCUUAAAUUACAAUCAAUACAAUAAUUCAAAUCAAGUAUACAAAAACAUAAAUAAUAGAACAUUUAUGCAUUAGGUGGCGGUAGAGGGAUAGAGCUUGAAGCAUCGUGAGAAUGGGUACAAGAAAAGAUGUAGUUAAGUUAUCCCUAAAUCUCUCGGAGUUGGAGAUCCUAAGAGUCCAUCUUCUGAUGAAGUCGGGCCAUGGAAUUUAGAGCCUCAUGGGCGUUGGGUCUACAAAAGUAAAAGCCUUGUGUGUAGCUCGGGAAGAACUAACACAACCUCAACUUUAGAGUGAGUCCUCGGAGCAGACUCUAAAUAGUCUGCCUCUAGAAUUCCACCAUGCUCCAUAGCUCGAAGCUCAUCCUCCUAGACAACUACCUUUGCAUGCUGGCCUACAUCAUGUGGUUCAUAAGUUGGAAGAGCCAUCAAACUAUAUACAUGAAUGUAGUGCUUGGGCUAGGAACUCCCAUCUAAAAAGGCAUGGGUAGCCUAGACCCCUAGUGUAGGAUCAAUCUUAAAUCCCACAUCCUCGAGUAUCCGCGUCAUGAGGAGGGUAAAAGGGAAAGUGCCUCCUCUAAAGGAUAAACCACGAAGGGGAAUGAUUGUAUCCAGGAUGACUUAGCCAAUGUCAAAUUGUUGGCUUGAGAGAAUGACGUGAAUAAAGUGAGCAGAUGGUCAAUGGAUUUGGGUGCAGUGUGUAAAUGGGUAGAAGGAGUAAGUGAAGAAUGUGGCAAACAACCAUGUUAGCUUGAAGAAGCCAACAAUCAAGAUAUAAGAAGGAAAGGGGCAAAGACCCCCAUAAAGAGAAGUCAGAAUGGUGUCAAGUUUCUCUCGGGUGAGAGCCUGAACCUCUAGGGAAAAUGAAGAAAUGAGAGCCUCAAUUUGCGACAUGCUAAGGACACAUUGAAUGUAAUGGGAGAAAAUAAGGAAAAAUUGACCAUGCAUGGUCAAUUGAAAGGUGACUCCGACCACAAUAUAAUGCAUGUUCUCAUAGAACAUGUGAACAAGAUGGGGAUAGGAAGUCCCCUAGAGAGAAAACAAAGUCUCCUAACUUUACUCUUGAAUGAUGAUAGGGAAGACAGUGUCCUGAAAAGCUUAGAGGUUAAUGGCAUGCUCAGGCUCGACACAUUGAUAUGUGAAAGAAGCGUAAUAAUGGUCUCGUGCCACCUGGCAGUGAAAACGCUCAACCGAAAGUGCAUCUAGGUUAAAAAGACCCUGGAGUGGGAUGCCCUAGACGGUUUCAGUGACCUAGGAAAGGUCACCUCCCUCUGACAUCUAUGACUAGCCAUAUCUAAGGUAUAUAAUAUGAAAAAACAAAAGCUAAAGAAGAACUAAAGAAAAUCCAAAGAAAAGCUAAACCACUAAAAAUGUUAAACUCAAUGCGUCGAACAAUACUAUACAAAUGGAAAUGAAAAAUAUGAAGUGAACUGACCUCAGAAGACAAAAGGACAGUAACCUAGAGGGCUCGAAGAUGAAUAGGAAAGUUUGAAAUGAAUAUGGCGUGCUGGAUGACCUUUAUAUAGCCUAUAGGAGUGCUUGAUGCAGAUUAGCACUCGAGCGUCAUGACUAACUUAAAUCAAAGUAUUUAUUACUAUCAAAAUAUUUUAAAAGUUUCAAAGGAAGUAUUCAAUUUAGAACCUUUUUAGAAAUUUUUUUGAAAGAAACAAAAAUAAAACGUGAAAUAUUAUGUGUUAAAGGUGUUAGAAGACAAUAUUGUCUAAUCCAAAGCCUUACACAUUCCACAAAAAAAAAAAAGGAAAAAGAGAGAUAUUAUAUAAGAUUUUGAUCACAUCUAAUAGAAACUAAUAUUUAGCAACAUAUCACCAAGCACUAUCUUAUCAGAAAGCUCUAACAUGUUGGAAAUUUAUGUAAGGUUCCAUAACAACUAACAACUUUUUCUGACGACUUGGCAAUGGACCAUUUGCACUUUAACUACAUUAUUGAAUUUAAAUCAUAUUAGAAUAGUAAUUGACUUCUCUUUUGUGAGGCUACAUAUCUUGUAGGAUGGGAUAGGUGAUUCAUUUCAUAUAUGAAAUUUACUUAAUUUAGUAAUGCAUCCAAGUUCAUUAUGAAUAUAAUGGUACCACAACUUUUUGAAUAUUUGUAAUCUGUAAUCUUUGUUUCAACUUCUCAAGUCUAGUCAUUUUAUCGGCAUAACUAGUUUGCUUCAAUUAUCUCUCAACUUUAUUAUAAAACUAAGGGAAAUGAUUAUCACGCAUUUUAUAUUAACUUAACCAAACAUCUUUAUAUAUCUUACAUAUAUAUAUAUAUUGUAAAUUUAGGAAAAUUUCAUCCAUUAGCCAUAGUAAGUAAGAAUCAAAUAUGGGAUAUGUAAGCCAAUGGUGAUAUUGAUGGCGUCAAAUCAAUGACAUAGUAGAAACGUGGAUUGUCUAUUUUCAAACCUUUAUAUUUUCAUCCAAUAGUAAAAAGGUUUAGGCAUCACUUGAAAAGUAGUUUGUUUUUUACCUUGGACUAUGAUUUAUGAAUAAAGUUCUUCUGUUGUAUACCUUUUGUGAUGCCCCAAACCUAAUUUAGGGGUAAAAAUAAUAAUUUAGAAACAAAUAAAUAAAAAUUUAAAUAAAUUUAAUUAAGGUAAAAAUGUAUUUUCGUAUUUAAAAUUCCUAGGGAUCAAUUAUAUAUUUCUUGUCUUCUCUAUUCAAAAAACCCUAUUACACAAAAAUCAAAGAUCAGAGAACAUAGGACAACGUAGGGUUGAAGAUUUGGAGGUUUAGGGUUGAAGAUUAGUUUUCCAGGUAAGAUUCUAACCCUUAAAUUAGUAUUUUAGAUUCGUUAAUUAGUUUGAACACUUUAGAUAUUCUUUGAAAAAUCUGAAUCCACGUUAGGGUUUGUUAAUUUAAUUUUUAAAUAAAAAAGAUUGAAAAUUUAUGAACAUAAGUAGAGUUAUUAUUAAAGAUUGAAAAUUUUUGAAUAUUUGAAUUAAAAAUCUAGAAAAAAAAAAAGAAAAUAAAUUAUAGAUUUGGAUGUGGAAAAAAAUUAAUAUUAAUAAAUAAAUAAAACCUAUGAGUAUGGAGGUAGAAAAAUAUGAAAGUUGAAAGCAAAGAAAAAAAAAAGGAAUAAGGUUUUGUGGUUGUAUAUGCCUCCUUAGUGGAAAAAAAAUACAAGGUUGCUUGCAAUAGGAUAUGAUAAAGAGAGAGAGAUAAAUGCUUCGAUAUUGAUUUUUGUGGGGAAAAAAAGAUUGGGUAAUGCAGGAGAGAAAUAGGUAGCAUUUGUAGAGUUGGUGGAGUUGUUGUAAAAGCUCGUAGGGGUAAUUGUUAGGAAACAUUAGGACUUGAAAUAAUAAUAAUUGCUUCUAGUAAAAGUUUUAAUUUAGUUUAAGUAUAUAAAAGAAAUAGAUGAUUAGAAAAAGAUUUGGAAGGAAUAUGAAUUCAUAAAAUUUCGAAAUUUACUAAUUUAGAUUAUUAUUGUUUUGGAAGUUGAAUAUAAUAUAGGUGAUAAUAUUAUUAAUAUAGGAAAUGAUUAAGAUUCUCAAACCUACAAUUUUAGAUAAAUAGUUAAUAGUAAUAGAUGAUUUUUUAUUUUUUUUAUUUUUUAUUUUUUAUGUUAUGUUAAGUGAAUAAUGGAUUCUUUGAUUAAUUCUCUAAGGUUUCUAAGUGCUUCUUUAAGGUAAGGGAUAUUAAUACUGAUUUUGUAAAUGAAAAUAUUUCUUUUUAUAAGUUAUUUUAAAUUAUGAAAAAUUUUAUUAUUAUUUAUGCAUGGAUCAAAUAUAUAUUUUUUCAUGAGAAACAUGUUUAGGCAAUUUCUUUGUUUAUAAAUAAAUAAAUAAAAAAUGAGAACCUUGGAAAUAUAAUGUUUUGUUUUGUAAGUUUAAAAUAAUGAAAUAAAGUUUUUGACUCUGGUUUAUAUGACCUUAGUUAAUGGGUUAUAAUUGUUGACAUUUUUAGCUCCAAUCAACAAUUAUAAUUGUUGACAUUUUCAGCUCCAAUCAACGAUUAUAAUUGUUGAGAUUUUCAACCCUAGCCAAUGGGUUAUAAUAGUUGACCUUAUAGCCCUAGUCAACAGAUAUAAUUGUCAACCUUUGGUUUUGCCCAUCUUAAAAAGAACAAAUUUAAGGCUAGCCAUUUAUUUGUAAAGUCCCACCUAACUAAGUACCAUUUGUUAUUUAAUAACCAGAGUAAAGAUAUUUUGAAUGUAUUUGAUAUGAAAUUGUUUUGAUAUAAAUAUGAAAAUGUUUGGUUGAAAGUUCAAAUGUUUAAUGCAUGUUGAACUCAAAAGUUUUAUUAAAAUGAUUAUAUGUUAUAUAUCCUAUUUGUAAGCUUGAUCCAUGAAACUGUAUUAAUAUUCCUUAUUGGACUUUGAGCUCAUUCCCCUUUGUUGAGAAUUUUUUUGGUAUUCUCAGUUUGGGCAAGGAGUGAUGACUGGGUUGGGGAAUUUUCUUUGCUAUGAUUUUGGUUCAAUCUUUAUUUUGGACAUUGUUUAGAUGUUAAAAUUUAAUUCCCAUUUAAAUUAUUUGAGUUUGGAGUUAUUUGGACGAUAACACUUUGAUUGAUGUGUUAGUUUUAAAGUUGAGAAUUGAAAAUUAUAGAAUUUAUUUAUCUUACUACUUUGAACAGAAAUUUAGUAAUUGGAGAUCAUCCAGUUACAAGAUGAAUAUUUGUGUCAUUUCCACUUUGAGAGUUCAGACUUGGGGUGUGAAAUGACCGUUAUGCCCUUGGAGUGGGUAUAUUGUUUAUUUGAAUUUAAUGGUCCCCGAACUCCUUAAUUACUCAUAACUUUAUAUCACCUUCUCAAAGUUAAGUUGUUUUACAACUAUUAUCUAGCUACUUUUCUCUACUAUGACAACUUUAUUACAUAGUGAUUAAUUGAAAGAAUCUACAUGUUUUAUUUCAUAGGAUAGUUGAUUUUUUUACUCAAUGAAUCUUGCUUUUAUUAUUGAAAUUUCAAAUCAUUGUAGUCCAACAAUUUCCUAUCCAUUGGUAAUUUCAUAUUACAUUUCCAAAGUCUAAUCAUUUAAAAACACUUGUAGUUAAUAUAUUGGCAAUUGCAUUGUGGGAAGUUGUUCACUUGAUUUUAAUGUUGAAACUUUCAAAUUAUUGUAGUCCAACAAUUCCCUAUCCAUUGGUAAUUUCAUAUCACAUUUUCAAAUUAUAAUCAUUUACAAAUACUUGUAUAUAGUAUAUUUGGUGAUUGUAGAGUGGAAAGUUGAUCGUUUUCAUGAAGACCUCUAAAAUAUAAAUUUUUUUCAUUCCAUUUAAUAAAGAAUUUCAUUAAUUGAACAUAUAUGUUUUUUUUAGCUGGAAAGUAGAGGCCACAUUAUACGAGGCCUUAGGUGACAAUACUAGGUGAGGGUUUUUUUUUUAAUUUAUUUAUUAUGAAAUAUAAAUAAUAUUAUUUAUUGUAUAAUAAAGAUUAUUAUAAUAUAUUUUUUAUAGAUGAAAAAAAUAUUAAUUGAGUUUUAUUUAUUUUUUAAUAAUUGUUUUCAAUAAAUAACUUAUUUGUAAAAAGAAAACUAUAAAAUAUAUGCAUUUGAAAAAUAUUUAAUUUUUAUUUGAUUUAGUAUCAAUUAAUAUUUGUAAUAUUUUUUAAUAUUAUAGAAGUUAACAUACUCAAUCAAGAUAUUCAAGAUCAAGAGAACAUUUGAGAUUGAAUUAAUUUCUUUAUUGUUUAUGUUUUAGAAAAUUUUUAUAUCCAUUACAAAUUUUCUAUUGUUUAUUUUUCAUUCAAUUUUUGCAUUUUGUAAUAGAUAUUAAAACGAAUUUUUUUUCCUAUAUGUUAAAAAAAUAUUUCAAUGUCUUUAAAAAUAAAAUAUUGCAGUAAAAUCAAAAUUACAUUGUGAAACUUUAAGCGAAUGUUUUAUACUUAAGAAGUGCCAAUUAAAGUAAGCAUGCAUCUACAAUUGUAAUUUAGAUGUCAUACUGAAACAAUAGUUCUCUUCGACUAUAUCAUAAAAUUUGGUUCGAAUUACUUUAAGUCAUCUUGUAGAUUUUCAAGUUCUAAUGAUAUGCAUCAAGUAUGUGCAACAUACUUGAUAUAACUAAUAUUUUCUUAAGUAAUUGGACACUUUUUUUCUAUAAAUUUACUUGAUUAUCAAUGAAUACUUUUAUGUAGGGUAUUGAUAUAAUUCGAUAAAUAUUUUAAAAUAGUAUUAGAAUAGCUUUGCUCUUUCCCAAUUAACAAAUUUACCAAAUUAACUUAUAUAUAUUUGUUUAUUUGAAUUUACUGGUAUUUGACUCAAAUUGUUAUUAUUUUUAAAAUUAUAGGAAAACCAUUAUUUAUAGAGUUUAAUUAUAUUUUGGUAAAUUAUCUUUUUAAGUUUGACUAGGAUUAGGAAACUAUUAAUUUAAGAUUAAUCCAUAAGGCUCUAUAAAUUUGCAGUUUUAUAUAGGAUUUAAAAAAAGAAAGAAAAAGUAAGAAAAAGUGAAGAGAGAUAGGCAAAGAGUGCAUUGGGUUUUAGAUAGAGAAAGAUUGAGAGAGUUUUGAUUACUACUAAAAAAGAACAUAUUUUAGAUAGUAAUUCUCAUGAGUUUCGCAUCUUUUGAGCAUUAAUUAUGCCUAAAAAUGCUCAAUUAACAUGUUGUUGCCCUUGCAAAAGUUACUAACAAGUUUUAUAAAGUUUUGGAGUCAUUUCAAGUUAUGAUUUUAAUAAAUUGGUGACGAAAGAAAUGAAUUGAUUUGAAGAAGGCAAAUAAUAUUGAUGAUGAUCAAAUGCAUAAUGAAAUAAGAAAUAUAAUUAGUUUGAUCGGGAUUUGCUGCUAAUUUGGAGGUAGUUAAGGUGGAGUCAAAAGAAGAAAAUGGAAGAAAUGACAAAAAGGAGCUUAAAAACCAAAUGUUGCAGAUUUGUAUGAUCAUGCAAAAAUUUUACAUGACUAUGCGAAAUGGAUUAGAGAAGGAAAAUUGACUAUAGUAUAAGGAGGAUGCUUAAGUUGAUUUCGCAUGAACAUGAGAAAAUUUCGCAUGAACAUGCGAAAAUUUUGAACAAUCAUGCGAAAUGGUCCAGAAAGCUCUCUAAUGUUGUUGUUGCUCCACUAAUUUCGCACCACCAUGCGAAAUCGAUAUUUUCAUGCAAAAUGGCUGAAGCUCAUGUGAAAUCAUGAUUUUGAGGCUAAACUCCAGAUUUGUGAAUUUGGAAGGCUUUAUAAGACCAAUGAGAGGUUGCCAAGUGUUCACUUGACCUUGGCCUAUAAAUAGAAACUUGAAUUUCCCAUGUAAAGAGCUUUGUGAUACUUUUAAUUUUAGAUUUUUCUAGAAACUCUUUUUCUAAAUAGAAUUCUAUAUUUUCUUUAAUUUUCCCUCAUUUUCUCAUUAGCCAAACAUGCCUAGUGAGACCAAAUCUCCAAGUAUGAGUGGCUAAAUUUCGUUUUUCUCAAAGGAAGGAGGAUCUAGAGGCAAGAUCUAUGGUGAAUUAUAGAAAUGAGUUUUAAUUGCAAAUGUAAUUUGAUCCAAUUGAUUGAUUAAUUGAAAUUUGAGGAUUUCUCUCUUCAAAUUGUCUUGAAUGACUAUUACAUUGCAAACUAGGUAGAUUCAUUAAAUUCUUAAAGCUAGAUUUAAUGAGACUGAAUAGUUGCAUUGUAUGAAUCAUUGGAAGAUGAUUUAAGAUGAAUUGAAUAUAUAAUUUAAAUUGAUCUCUUGGAUUAAAUAACCUAAUUUGAAGAGAAAUUAGGUUUAGACUUAAAGGUAAAUCCAAAAUCGGUUUAGAUAAGAAUUUAGGUUUUCAAUAUAACUUGAUGAAAAAUAAAUCUCAACAUCUAUUCACUAUGGAAAUUGUUUUCUAAAAAAUAUUAACUCCGAGAAUUCCUUUUCCUUAUCAAUUUUCUUAUAUUCUACAUUAUAUUGUUCUUUUCAAUUAGAAAUCAUUGUUAUUUUGAUUUUUCAUGAAUUGUCAAAUCAAUUUCACUUGACCACAAUCAUUUCUUUUCCUUCCAUUUAAACCUUAAUUAUCGAGAAUAAUCCAUCCCAAUGGAAGACACCUAAGACCACUAUACUACCGUAGCUUUUGCUAAAAAACCUUUUUGAUCGGGCAAGAGUUACCUUAGCAUAGUUGAAUUAUGUUAUAAUUUUUUUUAUCCAAUAAACAACAAAAAAAUCAAUCGAUCAAGUUUGCAUUGUGUAUUCUUGAAUUUUAUUAAUAAAUUUAAUCCCCCUUUUUGAAGCGAUUACACCAAACCAAGUAAAUAUUUUAUAUACUUCAUUUGCUUUAUUUUUUCUAUUAAGUUUAGGUGUUGCAAUUUUCAAGAGUCAUGGUGAGAAGAUUGUGGGAAAAAUUAUUUUAAGGAUGGAGUCGAACAUAAAAUAUGAAAUUGAGUCCUUUGAUGGAAAUAAUAAUUUUAAUAUUUGAUAAAGUAUUAUUAAAGAUGUUUUGAUACAACAAAGACUUCUCAAAGCAUUACAAGGCAAAAAAACUAGAGAGCAUGACAAAUAAAGAAAUGAAAGAAUUAGAAGCAAGAGUUGUAAGUACUAUUUGUUUAAGUCUUAAAAAUGAAAUACAUUGUUUUGAAUGAAAAAUAUUCUUUCAGGGGUGUCAAUUGCUCUUUUAGAGACCAAAAAUAUUAAGCAAUCAAGUAGUUCAUCUCAUAUUGGACAAACUGUUAUGAUGAAUUCUAAACCACAUCAUCAUAGGAGUAAAUCGAAAGAAAAGUAUCUGAUAGGAGGAUGAUCAUUCCAUUCACAUUUAUGGAGGAAUAUGAAGUAUUAUUACUAUGAAAAAAAAAACAUAUCAGGAGAUAUUGUAAAGAAUUGAUGAAGUACCUAGAAGAAAUGAAAAUUUUUAAAUCCCAAGAGACUUCAAAUUCUACUAAUAUUGUUGAUGAAAAUUUUGAAAUAUUGUAGUAAAUUAAAAGUUACAUUAUGGGACUUUUAGUGAGUGUUUUGUGUUGAAGAAAGGCUAAUUAAAGUAAACAUGCAUCUAAAAUUAUAAUUUAGAUGUUGUACUCAAAUAGUUGCUCUCCUCGAUUAUAUCAUAAAAUUUGGUUUGAAGUAGUCUAAGUCAUCUAAUAAUUUUCUAGUUCCAAUUACAUGCAUCAAACAUGUGUGUUAGGAAGUGUUGCAAAUUACUAAUUAGUAUAGAUCCCUUUUUUUUUUUAAAGAAUAUUGUAUUGAAUAUUUCUAGGUUGAUAUAUUAUUGUAAUAUUAGACUUCCUUAUAGAAUAAGGAAUGUUGUUGAAAAUAUCCCUAUAAAUAUUCUAGUUCAUAAGGGGAAAAAGUUAUGAGAUGAAGAUGGACCCAUAAAGACUAUACAAGGUGGAUAGAGAUGUGAGGAAGAACAGGAGGUACCCGGUGGAGCGAGAGGGCUCGUGGUAAGGUAUAGGUACGAAGAGUGAGGAAACAUGGGAUGUUUUGGGAACCCAAUAGUUAUAUCUAGUUAUAUCAUCUAUAAGUUCUAGUUCUGUCCUUUGCAUUGUUCUCUAUUUUAUAGUGGAAUGAUUCUCUCUUAUCUGUGGAUGUAGGCAUGGUUUUCGAACCACGUUAAAACCUUAUGUACCGUUUGUGUCGAAUUUUUUUAUCUUUAUUUUCUUGAUUAAUGAAGUUUGCAUCAAAGCUUCCGUCAACGGAACAAACUUGUAUCAAAGCUUGGGUUAAAGAUUUCUGGAAGAGUAAAAGAUCACAAAGCACACAAGAUGAAACCAAAAGGAUUUUUUAGUGAAAAUGGAGUCGAUUGCUCUCUUGUGGUGAUAUGAUAUAAAAAGUUUGUCUCAUGGAAAGUUUGAAGAUUGACUUCAUGGAAUUUGGUCCAAAAUGGAGAUUGUUAAUAAGUGUCCCAAAUUCCUAAUUAGUAUAGAUUUUUUUUUUUUUUGUAAAGAAUAUUGUAUAGAAUAUUUCUAGGUUGAUAUAUUAUUGUAAUAUUAGACUUUCUUAUAGAAUAAGGAAGGUUGUUGAAAAUAUCUUUAUAAAUAUUCUAGGUCAUGAGGAAAAAAAGUUAUGAGAUGAAGAUGGGCCUGUAAAAACUAUAUGAGGUGGAUAGAGAUGUGAGGAAGAACGGGAGGUACUCAAUGGAAUGAGAGGGCUCGUGGUAGGGUAUGGAUACAAAGAGUGGGGAAAUAUGGGAUGUUUUGGGAACCUAAUAGUUGUAUCUGGUUCUGUCAUCUAUAAUGUUCUAGUUACGUCCUCUAUAAUGCUCUCUAUUGUAUAGUGGAAUGAUUCUCUUUCAUCCAUGGACGUAAGCAUGGUUGUCGAACCACGUUAAAACCUCAUGUACUGUUUGUGUUAUUAUUCUUUAAAUUUUUUAAUAUUUGUUUCUUGAUUAAUGAUGUGUGCAUCAAAGCUUCCACCUACAUAACAAACUGGUAUCAGAGCUUGGGUUGAAGAUUUUUGGAAUAGUAAAAGAUCACAAAGCACACAAGAUGAAAACAAAAGGAAUUUUUAGUGAAUGUGGAGUCAAUUGUUUUCUCGUGGUGAUAUGAUACAAAAAGUUUGUGUCAUGGAGGGUUUAAUGAUUGACUCCGUGAAAUUUGGUCCAAGGUAGAGAUUGUUAGGAAGUGUCCCAAAUUCCUAAUUAAUAUAAAUUCCUCUUUGUAAAGAAUAUUGUAUAGAAUAUUUCUAGGUUGAUAUAUUAUUGUAAUAUUAGACUUCCUUAUAGAAUAAAGAAGGUUGUUGGAAAUAUUUUCAUAAAUAUUUUAAGUCAUGAGGGAAAAAAGUUAUGAGAUGAAGAUGGGCCUAUAAAGACCAUACGAGAUGGAUAGAGAUGUGAGGAAGAAUCGAAGGUACCCAGUGGAGCGAGAGGGCUCAUGGUAGGACAUGAAUAUGAAGAGUGGGGAAACAUGGGAUGUUUUGGGAACCCAAUAGUUGUAUCUAGUUCUGUCAUCUAUAAUGUUCUAAUUCUGUCAUCUAUAAUGUUCUGGUUUUGUCCUCUGUAAUGUUCUUUAUUGUAUAGUGGAAUUAUUCUCCCUCAUCUGUGUAGGCAAGUUGUUAAACCACGUUAAAACCUCGAAUACCAUUUGUGUUGAUUUUUUUUUAGUUUUGUGUUCUUGAUUAACAAUGCUUGCAUCAAAGCUUCUACCAACGUAACAAUGUGCAACAUAUUUGAUAUAACUUAUAUUUUCUUAAGUAAUUGAACACUUUUUUUCUAUAAAUUUACUUGAUUAUCAAUGAAUACCUACAUAUGCGGUAUUGACAUAGUUUGAUAAAUAUUUUAAAAUAGUAUUAGAAUGGCUUUUCUUUUUCCCAAUUAAAAAAUUUAUCAAAUAUAUACAUACACACACACACACACAAUACUCAUUAGUAUGUCUUUUAUGAAAAAACUAUAUUUGUUUAUUUGAAUUUAGUAGCCAUUUAACUCCUUAGUUACUCAUAAACUUUAUAUCACCUUCUUAAAGUCAAGUCAUUUACAAUUAUUUCUAUCUAGCCUUCUCCAUUAUGACAACUUUAUAAGAUAGUGAUUGACUGGAAAAAUCUACAUGCCUUUGUUGAUAGGAUAAUUGUUUUUCUUUUUUUCGUAUUCAAAGAAUCUUGCUUUUGUUAUUGAGACUUUCAAAUCCUUUAUGUCUAGUGGUCUUAUAAUUCCCUAUUCAUUGGUCUUUCAUAUUACCAAUCAUUUUGCAAAUGAGUUAAUUUCAUUCACAUCCUCUGAGAUUUGAUGUAAAUUCGCUUAGUUACCAAUGAUUUCAAAUUUCAUUAAUUAGUACCCCUAUAGAUGUAAUUUGUGUACAAAAUUUAUUUUUUAAAAGAAUUUAGGUAAAAAUAUUUUAGGUUUAUGUCUUUAACAAUUCUCUAAAAUAAAUUUUACUUGCUAAAAAAUAACUUAUAUAGAUAGAAUACAUCUACAGGAGUUCUAACUGACGAAAUUUAAAACUAAUGGUGGUUUAGUGUAUUUAAACUAAACAUUAAGAAGGGUGACUGAAAUUAACCCUCUAGGUAUAUAUGUUUAACAAAAUUUUUAUUGUUUAUUUUUCAUUUAAUGUUUGCAUUUUUCAAUAAACAUUGAAAAGGAAUUGUUUUUCCAUAUGUUAACAAAAAGAAAUUUGAGCACCUAUAAAAAUGAAAUCUUGUAGUAAAAUUGAAGUUACAUUAUCAAACUUUUAACGAGUGUUUAUGUUUAGAAAGGCCAAUUAAAGCAAGCAUGCAUCUAGAAAUUAUAACUUAGAUGCAUCAAACAUGAGCAACAUAUUUGAUAUAACUAAUAGUUUCUUAAGUAACUAAACACUUCUUUUUCUAUAAAUUUACUUGAUUAUCGAUGAAUACUUACAUAUAUUUACAUAGUUUGAUAAAUAUUUUAAAAUAAUAUUAGAAUAACUUUUUUUUUCUCAAUUAUAUUAGAAAAUAAUAUAAAGUUACUUAUAAACUUUAUAUCAUUUUCUCAAAGUCAAGUCAUUUACAAUUAUUUCUAUUUAGCCUUCUCCAUUAGGACAACUUUUAUAUGAUAGUCGUUGAUUGGAAGAAUCUACAUGUCUUUUUUGAUAGGAUAGUUGUUUUUAUUUUUUUUAUUUUUUUUAUUCCAAAAAUUUGCUUCUAUCAUUGAAACUUUCAAAUCUUUUAUGUAUAUUACCAAUCAUUUUACAAGUGAGUUAAUUUCACUUAGGGUAGAUAUACUUAGCCACACCCCUAUAGAUGUAAUUUGUGUUUAAAUUUUAUUUUUUAUUCAGGUAAAAAUAUCUUAGGUAUAUGUGUUCAACAAUUCUCUAAAAAAUAAAUUUUCUUAUCUAAAAGUUUAUAUAGACAAAAUACAUCUGUAGAAGUCCUAACUAAUGAAAUUUAAAAUCAAUGGUUGUUUAGUGUAUUUACAUUAAACCUUAUGGGGUAUGAUUGAAAUUAACUCUCUUACAAGCACUUGUAGCUAAUAUGUUUGUAGUUGUAGUGUUGGAAAUUGAUCAUUUUCUUGAAGGCCUCUAAGAUAUUGGAAAUAUUGCCAUAGUUUUAGACUUUUUUUUAUUACACCUAAUAAAAAAUAUUAUUAAUUUAACAUAUAUAUUCUUGACUUAAAAGUAAAGUCUCUCCAUAUUGUAUAAGCCCUUAGGUGACAAUAUUAGGUGAAGUUUUUCUUUCGUUUAUUAAAAAAUAUAAAUAAUUUAUUAUUGUAUGAUAAAAUUUUAUGUAAUAUAUUUUUAUAGAUGUAAAAUUAUUAAUUGGGUUUUAUUUUAUUUUUUUACUAAAUUGUCAUUUCAAUAUAUAAAACUUAUUUGUAAAAAGACAAUUAUAAACUAUAUGAAAUUGAAAAACAUUUAGUUUUUUUAUUUAAUUUAUAAUUUUGUUUGGAUUAAUAAUUGAUAUUUGUAAGAUUUUUUAAUAUUAAAAAAAGUUAGCAUACUUAAGAAAGAUAUUCAAGAUCGGGAGUGUUUGAUAUUGGAUUAAUUUCCUUAUUUUCUCUAUUUUAAUAAAUUUUCAUGUCCAUUACAAAAUUUUUGUUGUUUAUAUUUUACUUCAAUAUUUUUAUUUUGUAAUAGACAUUUGAAAAGAUUUUUUCCUACAUGUUAAAAAAAAAAAAUGAACACUCCUAAAAAAGAAAUAUUGCAAUAAAAUUAAAGUUUACACUGUAGGACUAUUAGCAAGUGCUAUAUACUUAAAAUAGACCAAUUAAAGUAGAAAUACUUCUAAAAUUUUAAUUUAGGUAACAAUAAUAUAAAAAGAUAAUAUUUUUGAAACAAUAGUUCUCUUGGAGUUUUGGGUACGAUGGACUAGACUUUAUGUAACAAUAGAUAUAUGAACUUUCCAUUAACAUCUUGAGAGACAUGAUGAGGAGCAAAGUCAUCCUAGAAGGUACCAUAGAGGUACCUUAGCUCCAUUCAUCUAGACUACAUAAUGUUUAAAGAUCAAAUUCAAUGACUAGAUUUCAAAAAUCAAUAUAAGCUUUCUCAUAUUCUACUCUAUAUAAGACAAUGGUAUGAUACAUCUCUUGUGUCGUAGAAUGCACCAUGAAAACCUUAUCAUUUUAACAUCAGUUUGAAACUUAAAAGUCACUUAGCACAUUCUAGUUAUUAAUGUAAGAACAUUAAAAGAAAAUAUAAAAAAAGUUACUUUAUUCUUGUGAUUUUGAUCUAGGACUUUUAAUGAUAUUAAAAAAAAAAAAAAAAAACAGAAAAAUAAAUGGAAAUAAAAUCAACAAAUUAAACAAUUGAAUUAAGUUAGUUUAAUUUUUGCAUCGUUAAAUGGGUAAAUAAAGACUCUUAGAUUUGAUAUUAAUAUGAACAUCAUGACUUUAGUGAAUCUUACAAGAAAAUUUUAGUUUGAAAGACUUCAUUCAUUAAACGUGUGGCACAUAUUAAAGUAAAACUAAGUCUUCUCUAUAAUUUGUACCUAUCAUAGUUUCUUUCCUCAUAAAUAGCCUUUUUUGAAUAUAAUAUAGACUUCAACAUGUAUGGUGGGGCCGAUCAAACUACUAGUCAAGACAACUCAUGGGCAACAACGAUGUACCAACUAUAUUAAAUACUCUUCAUCUAUUUGCAUAUCAAGAGUAAUUUAGUAGUGUCUUUCUUAUGUACCUCGUAUCUAGACUUUCAAUGGAGAGUUCUUCAUCUAAAAAUUUGACUUGGGUUUUCAUAUUAGUUUUGGUUUAGACAUAUGGAUGCAAAGGUUGCAUCAAAGAAGAGAAGUAGGCUAAAUCAUCUUACAAAUUUUCAAGUUCAAAUUAGAUGCACCAAACAUAUGCAAUAUAUUUGAUAUAACUAAUAUUUUCUUAAGUAAUUGAAUACAAUUUUUUUUAUUUUAUAAAUUUACUUGAUUAUUAAUGAAUAACUACUUGUAUGAUAUUGACACAACUUGAUAAAACUUUUAAAAUAAUAUUAGAAUAACUUUGCUAAAAAAAAGUAAAAAUAAAAAUAAAAAUAUGUCUAUAUAUAUAAAAUUAAAUAAAAUUAAAAAUUAAAAAAGAAUAUAUAUAUAUAUAUAUAUAUUGUGUGUGUGUGUGUGUGUGCAUGGUCCCACAACUCAUUAGCUACUCAUAAGCUUUAUAUCACUUUCUCAAAGUCAAGUCAUUUUGUAAUUAUUUCUAUCUAGCCUUCUCCAUUACGACAACUGUAUAAGAUAUUGAUGGGUUGGAAAAAUCUUCAUGUCUUUUUUAAUAAGAUAGUUUUAUUAUUAUUAUUAUUAUUAUUAUUAUUAUUAUUAUUCAAAGAAUUUGAUUUUAUUAUUGAAACUUUCAAAUCCUUUAUGCCUAGUGGUCCUACAAUUCCCUAUUCAUUGGUAUUUCAUAUUACCAAUCAUUUUACAAAUAAGUUUAUUUCACCCGGUAAAUAUACUUAACUACUAAUGGUUUCAAAUUUAAUUGAUUAACACACUUAUAGAUGUAAUUUGUUUUUAAAUUUUAUUUUUUUAGAAGAAUUGUAGGUAAAAAUAUUUUAGGAAUAUGCGUUCAAUAAUUCUCUAAAAACAAUUUAUAUAGAUGGAAUACAUUCAUGGAAGUUCCAACUAAUGAAAUUUAAAACCAACGACGAUUUAAUGUAUUCUCACUAAAUCUUAGGGGAGGUGUACUAAAACUAGCCUUUUUACAAAUAUUUGUAGCUAGUAUAUUUGUAGUUAUGGUGUUGGAAGUUGAUCAUUUUCUUAAAGGCCUCUAUGAUAUUGGAAAUAUCGCCAAAGUUUUGAACUUUUUGUUUCAUCUAAAAAAAAUAUCAUUAAUUUAAUAUAUAUACUCUUUGCUUGAAAGUAUAGUUUCUUCAUAUAGUAUGAAGUUGUAGCUAGGUGACAAUAUUAGGUGAAAUUUUUUUGGUUUACUACAAAAUAUAAAUAAUAUAUUUAUUAUAUGAUAAAAUUUUGUAAAAUAUAUUAUUAUAGAUGCAAAAUUAUUAAUGGAGUUUUAUUUUUUACUAAAUUAUCAUUUCAAUAAUAAGAACUUAUUUGUUAAAAGAAAAUUAUAAAAUAUAUGCAGUUGAAAAAAUUUUAAUUUUUUUAUUUAAUUUGGUAUUUUAUUUGAAUUAAUAAUUGAUAUUUGUAAGAUAUUUUAAUAUUAAAAGAAGUUAACAUACUUAAAAAAGACAUUCAAAAUCAAGAGAGUAUUUGAUAUGAAAUUAAUUUAUUUAUUUUUUCUAUUUAAAUAAAUUUUUACAUCCAUUAAAAAAAUUUUAUUGUUUAUUUUUCACUUCAAUAUUUUUAUUUUGUAAAAGAAAUAGAAAUAAAAUCAACAAAUUAAACAAUUGAAUUAAGUUAGUUUAAUUUUGCCACCGUUAAAUUGGUAAAUGAAGACUCUUAUAUUUGAUAUUAACAUGAACAUCAUGACUUCAUUGAAUCUCACAAGAAAAUUUUAGUUUGAAAGAUUUUAUUCUUUAAUCAUGUGGCACAUAUUAAAGUGAGACCAAGUCUUCCCUAUAAUUUGUAUCUAUCACAAUUUCUUUCCUAAUGAAUAGCCUUUUUGAAUAGAAAAUAGACUUUAGCAUGCAUGGUGGGGCCUAGCUAUCAAACUACUAGUCAAAGCAACUCAUGGGCAAGAAUGAUGUACCAACUAGAUUAAGUAUUCUCCAUCUAGUUGCAUAUCAAGAGUAAUUUAGUAGUAUCUUUCUUGUGUACCUCAUUUCUAGACUUUCAAUGGAGAGUUUUUUAUCUUAAAAUUUGAUGUGGGUUUUCAUACUAGUCUUGGUUCAGAUAUGUGAAUGCAAAGGUUGCAUCGAAGAAGAGAAGUAGGCUAAGUCAUCUUACAAAUUUUCAAGUUCAAAUUAGAUGCAUCAAACAUGUGCAACAUAUUUGAUAUAACUAAUAUUUUACCAAGCAACUAAAUACUUUAUAUAUAUAUAUAUAUAUAUAUAUAAAUUUAUUGAUGAUCAAUGAAUACACAUGUAUGGUAUUGACACGGUUUGAUAAAUCUUUUAAAAUAGUAUUAGAAUAACUUUGCUAAAAAAAGUAAAAAUAAAAAUAAAAAUACAUAUAUAUAUAUAUAUAUAAAAUAAAAAAUUUUAAAAGAAUAUAUAUAUAUUAGUGGUCCCACAACUCAUUAGCUACUCAUAAGCUUUAUAUCAUUUUCUUAAAGUCAAGUCAUUUACAAUUAUUUCUAUCUAGCCUUCUCCGUUGCGACAACUGUACAAGAUAUUAAUUGAUUGAAAAAAUCAUCAUGUCUUUUUUGAUAGGAUAGUUUUUUUUUUUAUUCAAAGAACUUUCAAAUCCUUUAUGUCUAGUGGUCCUACAAUUCCUUAUUCAUUGGUAUUUCAUAUUACCAAUCAUUUUACAAAUAAGUUAAUUUCACUCGGUAAAUAUACUUAACCACCAAUGGUUUCCAAUUUGUAACACUCUUAUAGAUGUAGUUUGUUUUUAAAUUUGAUUUUUUAGAAGAAUUGUAGGUAAAAAUAUUUUAGCUAUAUAUGUUCAACAAUUCUCUAAAAACAAUUUAUAUAGAUGGAAUACAUUCAUGGAAGUUCCAACUAAUGAAAUUUAAAACCAAUGAUGAUUUAAUGUAUUUGUACUAAAUCUUAGGGAGUGUGGACUAAAAUUAGCCCUUUUACAAAUAUUUAUAACUAGUAUAUUUGUAGUUGUGGUAUUGGAAGUUGAUCAUUUUCUUAAAAGGUUUACCAUUGAAGUUAGUUGAAUAUAAAGUUAGGUGAACUUUACCAUUGUUAAAUUGGUAAAUGAAGACUCUUAGAUUUGAUACUAACAUGUACAUCAUGACUUCAUGGAAUCUCUCACAAGGAAAUUUUAGUUUGAAAGACUUCAUCUUUUAAACAUGUGGCACAUAUUAAAGUGAGACCAAGUCUUCCCUAUAAUUUGUAUCUAUCACAAUUUCUUUCCUCAUAAAUAGCCUUUUUGAAUAGAAUUAAUAUAGACUUUAGCAUGCAUGAUGGGCCCCGUCAAACUAUUAGUCAAGAUAAUUUGUAGGUAAGAACGAUGGACCAACUAUAUUAAAUACUCUUCAUCUAUUUGCAUAUCAAGAGCAACUUAAUAUUGUCUUUCUUUUGUACUUCAUGUUUGAACUUUCAAUGGAGAGUUUGUCAUCUAAAUAUUUGAUGUGGGUUUUUAUACUACUCUUGGUUCAAAUAUGUGGAUGCAAAGGUUGCAUCAAAGAAGAGAAGAUGGGUUUGCUUGAAUUCAAGGCUUUUCUUAAAUUGAAUAAUGAGCAUGCAGAUUUUCUUCUCCCUUCAUGGAUAGAUAACAACACUAGUGAAUGUUGUAAUUGGGAGCGGGUUAUUUGCAAUCCCACCACAGGUCGAGUUAAGAAGCUUUUCCUCAACGAUAUAACGCGACAACAAAAUUUCUUGGAAGACGAUUGGUACCAUUAUGAAAAUGUCAAAUUCUGGUUACUAAAUGUCUCCCUAUUCCUUCCUUUUGAAGAACUUCACCAUCUAAACUUGUCUGCAAACUCAUUUGAUGGGUUUAUUGAGAAUGAAGGUAUGUUACCUCUCACCUUUAAAAUUUCUUUUCACUUAUACUCCAAACAUUCUAAAGGAACUACUAGCAUAUGUUCUUAAAAGUGUUCAGGUGGAGACCAAAUGGUCACUAGUAACUAUUGAAUUUAAUAUAAGAACAAUUACUAAUUAUUAAAAUUUAUAAUGUAAAUUAACAUUUAAACAAAACAAUAAAAAAAUUAUUAUUUUAGAAAACUAUAGAUUACAUUAGCCUUAUAUAUAUAAGCAUACUUGUAAUUUAUGCCAUCAUUUCACACUCAACCCAAUUAGUGGGAUUCAACUAAGAGUGAGCAAUUUCACAAUUAUUAAUUAACAAAAACACUUAGGCUCCCAUAUCCUUAUCCUUUUUGCUGAAUUGUCUUUCCUUAUCUUCCAUUCCUAAAAAGCUUGAUUUCUAUAUUCCAAAUUGAUAGAGAUUGGUUAAAGAAAGGUGAUCACAAAAUUUGACUAUUGCUUUCAAAUGAGGAAUCACCAUCUUCAAAAUUUCACAUUUAAAAAAAAAAAAAAAAAAAAAACUAGCCUCGGGUAAGGUCCAAGCCUUAUUGUUUUAAGCUGAUGUCGGGUUGGUUUAAUAAUGAACAGAGUAAAUCCCAACCCAUGACCAUCUACGCAUUUCCAAAUUCCACCCAUCCACAACCCAUUAAUAUGACAUUUUCAGGGACAAAAUUUAAUCAAUUAAACCUAUUAGAUGGAUUCUCCAUACAAUGUUAAAAUGAAUAUAAAAACUUUAAUUCAAAAAAUAAUUUCCUUUAUUUAGUUAGGAUUCAAAUUAUAGGGGCACAAAACAUGAAAAUUUUCAUGUUUAAAAUUCACAAAGAUCACAAAAGCUCUUUGAAGCUCUAUGGACUUUUUUAUUUCUAACAUUUAAACACAAAAAUCACCAAAUUGAAUUAGAAACUUGGAUGCAUAUUCUUAUAUUAAAGACAUGUAAGCUUACAUAUUUAAAUAUGAAGAUCUCAACUUGUAAUUACAUGCUUCUAAUUAAAGUUAUAUUACUCUAUUUUACAGGAUUUAAAGGGUUAUCAAGUUUAAAGAAAUUGGAGAUCUUGGACAUAAGUGGUAAUGAGUUUGACAAAAGUGCCUUAAAAUCUUUGGGCACAAUAACAUCACUCAAGACAUUGGCUAUUUGCAGCAUGGGACUGAAUGGAUCUUUUUCCAUUCGAGGCAUGUUAUAUGUCCACAUUGUUUCUUUGAAAUUAAGUAAAAUGUAUUUCUAACUUUUAAUGUUCCUUAGUUAAUCUCUCUUUUGAUUCAUGUUUGUUGCAGAAUUAGCUAGUUUGAGAAAUUUGGAAGUGUUGGAUCUAAGCUAUAAUGAUUUGGAAAGCUUUCAACUAUUGCAAGGUACUUCAUUAACUUGCUAAAAAAACUUAUGAUAUUUUGUUAUUAAAUUAAAGGUAAGAUUAACAAACAAUUUCUUCCCAUUAGUUACUUUUCUUUGUAAUAUCAUUAAAUUUGAUAUAAAAUAGUCUAAAUCAUCCUUUCAAUUUAUAAGUUUUAAUUAAAACGCAUCAAGCAUGCACAAGGUGUUUAAUAUAACUAAUAUUUUCAUAAGUAAUUGAAUUUUUUUUAUGAAUUAAUUAACUUGAUUAUCAAUAAAUACUUACAUGUAUAAGAUUAAUAUAGUUUCAUAAGUAUUUUAAAAUUGUCUUACAACACACACACACACACACAGAGGGAAAAUGAAAGGUAUGUGAUACAUUUAUGCUAUGUUUGGUUCCCAAAAAAAUUGAGGGAAAAUGAAAGGAGAAAAAAGUGGAGAGGAAAAGUAAAAGAAAAGAAAAAAAGUGAAGAAAAAUAUAAAAUUGAUUAAAGUAAAUACAUGUUACUUUAAACUUUUUUACUUAUUUUAAUUCUUCAAUGUAAGGAUGAAAGAUUUGAAAAUGCAUAAGUUUCUAAUUUUUUUAUUUUAUUUUAUAGUUUUUACAAUACAACCAAACAUACUAAAAUCAUUUUCUUUAAUUUUUUUUUCUUUUCUUAAUACUUUUCACGAACCCUUAAGUUAUGUUUGGUUUGCAGAAAAUAUGAGGAAUAGCAAAUAGAAAAGAAAAUUAGAAGGAAAGAAAAAAUGAAGUAAAAUAAAAAUAAAUUUAAAUUUAAUAAAUUAUUUUUAUAUGCUACUUUAAGCUUAUUUCACUUAUUUUAAAUUAUUUAAACUCAUUUCUAAUAAAUAAUAAUGGAAAUUGUAGAGAAGUUUGUGUUAUUCAAGCUUUGCAAUGACUUUUCAAGGUGAAGGAAAAUAUUCUUGCUGAAAUUGAAAAAGGAAAUACCUUCUUAAAUAGCCUAUUGACCGAAAACACAUUACCCUAACAUAUACACACACCUUUAUUAUUUAUACAAUCAUGUAAUACUUAAUCCAGUUAGUGGGAUUCUAGUGGUUGUUUCUAUCUUGGUUUCCAAUAUUUCUGAUUGAUAGUGUUCGAUUAAUGAAAUAUCAUAAAUUUUGACCCCAAUAAGGACCAAUCCCUAUUAAAUGUAAUUGGGUUAACCUAAGACUAAAUGCUAGACCCAACUAAUAAAAACCCAUCUGUUUGUUGGAGUCUAAAUAACCUGGCCUUAGGUAGAGCCCAUGCCUUAUUAUUUUAAGAUGUAGUCCAACUGGUUUAACACUAGAUUGAGUAAAGCCCAACUUAUGAGCAUCUGUGCAUUUCCAUCCAUCCACAACCUACUGGCAUGGAUAAACUUUGGUCAAUUAAACCUAUUAUAACUGUAUACAAAAUUUUAAGUUCAAAAGAUAAUUUUCCUUAUUUAGUUAGGAUUCAUAUUAAAAAGGCACAAAACAUGAAUUUUCAUGUUUAAAUUCACAAAUACCACGAAAGCUCCUUCAAGCUCUAUGGACCAUUUUAUUUGUAACAUUAUAUUACUCUUAAUUAUCAAAUUAACCAACAAAUUCUUCUCAUUACUUAUCUUUCUUUUGUAAUGUCAUAAAAUUUGAUGUAAAGUAGUAUUGGUCAUCAUUUCAACUUUCAGGUUCCAAUUAGAUGCAUCAAGCAUGUGCAACAUAUUUGAUAUAACUAAUAUUUUUAUAAGUAAUUGAAUUUUUUUUUUCUAUAAAUCAAUUAACUUGAUUAUCAAUGAAUACUUUCAUACAUGAUAUUGAUGUAGUUUCAUAAAUAUUUUAAAAUAGUCAUAGAAGUCUUUUAUCUGAUUCACUAGAAAGAAAAAUAAACUAUUCUAAUGAAAAUACUUGAUGAUUUGAAGUGAUUGCUUUUGAUUUUAUUUGAUUGCUACCAUUAUUAAUUGUUAGAAAUUGGCAACAAAUACCCAUUUUGCAUCACUUCUAUAUGCAUCGGGGGAAUGAAUUAUAUUUCAUAGAGCUAACAGGGCAAAACUCAAACUUUUGGAAUUAUGGAAAAUGUUGCUAGAAAGCUAAUUAACCAUUUAUAUUAUGAUUAAGACUAGUUGGGUUAGAAAUAAUUCAUAUGGAGAUUAAAAAAAACUAUGUAAUUUAGUUUAGUAGCUUGGGUGCUAUUGUAAUGAUUAAUGAUCUGCAACUUGAACACAUCUACUAGUGCUUUCUACUUGUAUAGCUAAAUUUAUGUUACCACUUUGAACUAGAGUACUUACAUGAGAAGAAAGCUUUUCCCUAGUGAUAAUGCAAAAGAAAUUAAGUAUCAAUUUUUGUUAAAAAUAACAAGUGAUAGUUUAGAUAUGGUUUGAAUACACUUUCUUUCUUCUAUUUUUUUAUUUUGAAAAAAAAAACUCUUUAAUGAAAUAUAAGAAAUCUUAUAUGUAUAAAAAUUAAAGACUUAAACAAAAAAAUUUGAAAUUUUGAAAAUUUUCGAGAAGUAUUUUUAAGAAUUUGUAUUUUUAGUAUAAUAAUUCCUAUAUUUUGUAUAAAAGUUUUUGUUUAAAAAAAUAGAAGUGUAUCCAAAUUACAAAUUAAUUGUUAAAUUAAGAAUGUUUCUCAGAUCAAGAGAUAAUGAAAGUUGUAGAGAGUUUGCAUUACUCAACCUUUGCAAUUACUUUUUGAAGGUAAAAAAAAAAUACCUUCCUACAUAACAUACAAUGGUAGGUUCUGGUUUGUAAGAAACUAAUAAAUGAUUAAGAAUAUGAAUAAGACUUCCUUUAUAAUAGAUAUGUAGAGAAGAAUAGUGGAUGAUAGGUGGUGAAAAUCUUGUAAUAAAAUAUCAAUAUCGGUUAUAAGAUAAUCAACAUUUUCUCUAUUUCUUGUACCUAUGUGAUUAAGAAUCUUGUAGCUCCCUUAUUGAAAUAUAAUAUAAAAAUAUAAAUAAACUAUUUAGAAGUGCAUGUAGUUUUCAACAUGAGGAAGUUCAAAAGCAAGUUAAUUAUGAUAAUUUUCCAUAGUCUAUAUUGAACACAAAUUAUUUUUACUAAAGGUUCAAUCGUUCUAUGAAGGUUAAAAGUUUGAAUUGUUUACAUAUGCAAAUGUGAAAUUUGAAAGUUUAUAAUUUUUUAUAAUUUUCUUGUAGAUUCAAAAAGCUUGUCCAUAUUCAAAAAGCUCGAGACCUUGAACCUCAAUUACAACAAGUUCAAAAACACUAGCCUACAACAAUUGGAUAUAUUUACAUCCCUUAAAAAUCUUUCUCUAAGAUGGAACAAUGUUGGAGGAUUUUUUCCUAUCCAAGGUAUGUGUAAUUAUUAUUAUUAUUAUUUUUAAUGAUGAAAUAUUAGAAUUGUCAACAUCUUUUAUCUUUUUUUCCCCUCAAUGGUGUUGCAGAAUUAUGCACUCUGGAAAACUUGGUGAUGUUAGACCUAAGUGGGAAUUUCUUUUUUGGCAUGCAAGGUAAAUACAAAGUGAAGUUUUGGUUAUAUAUAUAUAUAUAUAUAUAUAUAUAUAUAUCAUGUAAGAACAUAACUAAAAUCAACAUUAUUUGCCUAUCAAUUUGUGCAUGACUAUUAUUUAGUUAUUCUUCGUAACAUAAUUGAAAGAAUGUCUAGGUGUACAACAUUUAAGAAUUUUACAUGGCACAAUGAAAAACAUGGUAAUCAAUGUGUGCAAUAAAAUUCUAAUAGUUGAAAAAGAAUUUUCUUGUAAUUUUAUGUUCAUGUAUAGUAAUCAAAGAGAAAAUCAUGAAAAUGUAUAUUAGUUAGACUUUAUAUAUCAAUAGACAAAAAAGAAAGAAAAAAAAAGAUUAGUUCCUUAACUUAUCCUAAAAUUUUCUAGAUAACAAGGAGUUUUUUUAUUUUGGGCUAUAAGGUUUACAACCUGAAAAGUGAAGAUGAUUAAUAUUAGUAAUAAAAUUUUAAAAUAUAAAAAUUAGUGAAAUAAUGUUCUCUAUAACUAUAACUCCAACUGCAACUAUUAAUAAAAGAUAAUAAAGGUACUUUAGACUUUGAAUCCAUGGUUAGGUUUGCAAUUUUUUGAUGAUCAAUAAAGCUACAACUUAUGCUGCAAAAGGCUAUACAAAAUGUAUUAGGAGCAUUGCUAAGCUCAUUUAUCAAUAAAGGAAAUCCAGUAAUACUUUGAUUGGAAAAAACCUAGAAUCAUGUUUGAUAUAUAAUAGGUGAAGAAACAAAAUAACAAUUCCAUGGUAUUAGUUAGUUUGAUAUCUCUUUUGUUAUAUGGAAUAACUAUUCCAUUUUAAAAUAAUUAUUUCAUCUUAUCGCUAGAACAAAAAAUUUCAGGCGAUUAUAUGGGCUUUUGGGUUUCUUAAGAAUUUAAGCAUUUAUGGGUCACCCAUAUAUAUAUAGGAAGAAUAAAAAAAAAAAUAUUCUAUGGAGACAAGGGUAGACACCCAUAAAUGUACAUAUAAUUAUUUAAAUAAAAAUAUCAAUAAGAAACAAUAUACAACAAAAUAGAAAAUUUUAAUCUUCCUAAAUUUUAAAAAUAGAAAAUAAAUGAAAAAAAAUUAAAAAGUAAAAAAAAAAAAAAAAAAAGGUCAAGAAUACAAAUAGAUAAGUAAACAAAAUAUAAAAAAAAUACAUAAAUUAAAAUUAAAAUUUUUUUAAAAAAAAUACAUAGAUUAAUAUGAACACUAAAUGAGGUUUUUUGAGAUAGACUUAGUUAGACUUGAACUAGAUGGAUAUUAAAAAAAAUAAAAAUAAAAAUUCAAAGAAAUAAAAACUAAUUAGAUGCUAAAUAUUGGAUUAAAAUAACCAAAUGAAUAAAGAGUAAUUAUUAAUUUUUAACAUUUUUUAUUCCUUAGAAUUAUUAUUUUGUGUAUUAAAUGUAUUAUGAGUGUAGUGGUAUAAAAAAUGUAGUUAAGAAUACUAUGAAGAAUAAUAAUGGUGAUGAUAAUGGUGACGACACUUAAUACCUUUUAUUGUACAUUUAGAAAAAAUGAGGUUCUUGAUCUUUAUGAAGAUUAUCAUUACUCAUCCGCAAGCAUGUUGAUAGUUGAAACUACUCAAUUAUCAAAAAUUGAAUUUCUAACCUUCAAUUUUUCUCUCUCAAAUGUAUAUGUGGGUGAGAAAGCACUAGGUAGGUUAUAAGGUCUCACAUGUAUAUGAGUCAUAGGAUAAAAAAUAUAGAGACAAUACUAGCAUUUAUUUGAUCCAGUGGCAAAUAGAGAAAUAUAACAUAACCAUAACCAUAAUGUUCUAACCUUAUAUAUACCAGAACCAUGUUUCCUUCAUUCAAUUUUGCAACUUUUUCUUUUCAAAUUAGAAUGUAACUCGUAGGAUCCAUUGUCCAUCAAAAUUUUGAAUCGAAUAUUAUAAGAUAUUUCACAUUUCUACCUACUAAAGCAUGAGCUUCAAUGUUCUCAUGCACUUUUGGCUACUAAGUUAAAGAACUCUUUGAGGGUUAAUGGAGUUUCUAUGAGUAGCAAAGCAUUAUAAUCACAAAGUCUUAUCAGUGAUAUGCAAUUUAACCAAGAACUUAUUCCCAACUAUUUUAUGACUUUUCUUGGCUACUUGUAGGCAAGCUAAAGAAAUUUUCUGGUUUGUUCAAGUCUAAAAAGUGGUUUCAAGUUUAGGGCCAAGCUUGGGCUGCACCUAGGUCCUUGGGCCUUAUUCAGCUCCACGUUUAAACCAACCUUGAGUCCAUCUUUGUAAUUUUUCUCCCAAUUCAUUGAUUUAUAUUAGGAUUUUAUAAAGCCUAUAAAUUGACCAACUAAAUAAAGUAGGUUCAUAAACUUUUAGGUGAAAAUUUUCUCUCUAAUAAAUGUUAAUUCAAGAGUCUCCGUAAUCUUUUUAUAUUCAUAUUAAUUGGUAUUUAAACUGACCUUACUAUAUUAAAGUCAAAUACCAAAUAGUGAACACUAUAUCUGCUACUACCACUAUGAUGGUCACAAACAUAGAAUGCUCCUUUUUUUAGAGUCAAUUGAUGCUUAUAAACAACAACUUUGUUUGAAAAUAAAAUACAUCGAGUGAUUGCAUCAAGAGAUUGAUGUAAUAAUUGCAUACUUGAUCUUGAUAAUGCUGAGUUGACUAAAUAAAUGAGUAUUUACUUAUAAGGUAGCCCAUAGAACAUUAUUUGUGGAAAUAUUCAUGCACCUCUACAUAUGUUCAUGAUAACUUAGGUUGAUAAAUUUAAGAAGAACAAAUUCAUAACCUUGGGCAUAGUUAGUAAGAAAUUUCACCAAUAGAGUUUGGUAUCAUGAUUCUAAUUGUUCAAAUUGUUUUAAAGGAGUAUUUUAAAUUGCAUGUUAAUUUGCUUCUAAUAAAUGGAGAGAAACCAAUUCAAGAAGAGAAUUGUACUCAAGCUAUGUAUAACAUUCAUGAAGAUGUAGAAAAUAUUGAUGAACUUACUUUUGAGCAAGUUGAAAUCAUAAUUAAAUAAAAGAACAAACCCAAGGGUUAAGAUUGUCAAGUAAAACUUUAACUAAAAUUUAUUGAUUUUUUAAAUGCCUAUUAGAGGGACAAUAGAAGUUCUAGAUAAAAAGUAAGAACUUUUCUAAGGAAUCACUUGUUAGAUUUUAAGUGAUCAAUAAAUAUAAUGUCCAAUUUAAAACUUUUAUAAAAGCAAUGCUUCUAAAGAAUAACUUGAUUUGAAUUUAAAGUUAUUAUUGAUAUUUGUUUAUAAUGGAUGUAGUUAAUCAACUGAACAUAGUAAAAAACACAUAAAUUUUUCAAAAUACCUUCUAGUUGUUGGGUAUAUUUAAAUAGUCAUCCAUAUCUCAUUAUCUUUUCACUCACAUACUAAUCUCCUUAUUGAGUAUUUACCAAUUACAAGUAGGUUGAAAGUUACUUGAAUUUAAGUCACUAAUCAAUGUUAACUUGAUAACAAAUAAGUCUCUCUUUGAAACUUGUUUUACAAGAUAGCGAAAUGUAGUCGAUCAAUCAUCAAAACAAUGUUCAAGCAUUAGGAUUUAGUUGUUAAUUUUUAUUUUUAUUUUUUGUGCUUAAACAAAGACAAAAAUGAUAAAAACUCCUUAAAAGUACAUAGUAAUUGAAUUUAAUUUAUACAUCAAACAAGAACAAACUAGUCUUGGAUUUAAAAUUCAUCAGGUUUUGUAAUUAUAAUUCCUAAAAAUUUGUAAGACAACAAAAUUAUUGGGCACUAGGUUAUUGGGUGUGUAUGACUAAGAGGUGAAGGAGGGUUCAUCUUAUACAAAGGAUGAUUUGAUUAAUUUUAAAGAUUGGAUAAACAAUAAUUGCAUAUUCAAGUAAAAAUAACAUUGCUAAAAAGGAAAAUAAGUAUUUUAGUCCUCAAACCUAAAAUGGCUAAAAAUUUUAAUUAAUACAAUACAACUUCACCUACAAAAGAAAAAAAAAACCCAAAACUUUUCAAUAGCACAACUAAGUCCAUUUAUCAAAAAAAAGAAAUAUAAGGAAGUUGGACUCAUUUACUAGCAAUUUAACAUAUGACUAAAACCUAUUGAAGAAUUUGCAAUAGCACUUACUUUGGUCAUGUCCAAACUUAUUGCACAUGGUGCAAAAAGGGGUAGUGCUCGAGGAUGCUUCCACAUAAGAAAGACCCUACUUAACUGUUACAAAGGUUAUUUUCCCACUUGUGGGAAUGCUAACCUUGCUAAUAUAUUAUAUGCCAUGUUUAUCAUAUACAAAUUUUUCUUUACUAAAUAUUUCUUUAAUGAUCUUGGACCUAAAAUUAAAUAUUUCAUUAGUAUUGGUCAUGUCGUUCCUCAACUUUUCAACUUUUAGAGUUAAAUCUUUAUCUUUAUCAUUGAUAGUUUUAUGUUUAGUCCCUAGAAACUUCACCUUAUUAACAAUAUGUUCAUUUAAUAUUUUGAUAUUUUUAAUUUUCAAAGAAUCAUAGAGCUCAUUAAUUUUAAUGUCUUUUUAUUCACUUUUAUGCUUUCAACCUUUGUUUUUAGUUUUCCUAUAAUAAUGCAUCAUAGACCCCAUGUAUAUCAUUAAAAUAAAACUCAUUUUUUUCAUUAGGAUUCAAUUAACCCAAUGGAUCAUAAUCAAAAUUAGUUGCAUAUGAACAAAAGCAAUAAGAUUAUCAUUUUGUACAUCUUUACUUUCAUUUGAGUUCUUAGCCCUACAAUCAUCAAACAUGGAAUUACUCCAAGUUACCUACAUAGCCUUCAUACCUAAUGUUUUUAAGGCAAGGACAAUCAACAACCAUGUGUCCCAUUCCCCCAAUGGUUCACUACGAAAUCAAGGUACAUAUGUUAUGCUUUCUUUGUUUCAUAGUGAUUAGAGAGGAUAAACAUUGUAAAAAAAAAAGUUGUCAUAGUUAAUGUAAGCUAAAACUAAAAAACUUGCUUUUUCAAUUGUGUAAGCAUGUUUUGUUCUUGAUGAAUAUUUACAACAUUCAGAGUUACUAAUGUUUAUAAUUCACAGAGACCUCAUUAACAACAAGUAACAACUAAUUGUAAGUAACCAUGAAAAAAAAAUAAGGAGAAAAAUAAAGGAAAAUCAAGGAAAGUGUCAAAUUUUUUCAUCCCCAUAAAAAAUGCUAAGGAAGAAAAAUGUGAAGAAAGUUUAAAGAAAGUAUAUUUUUCAAAAAUUGAAUUUUCUUUCCCUUAAAGUUGGUAUGGACAACCAAACAAGAAAAUGAUUUUUAAAUUCUUUUUUGACCUUUUUCUAUCAUUCUUUUUUUUUUCCCCCUACUCUAUUUCCUUUCCCUCAAACUUUCUAGGUAGUAAACAUUACCUAAGAUAAAUAGGGAAGAAAAUAUUUUAUCAUUUAUUUAUUUAGUAUUUUUCUUACCUUUUUUUGUAUUUUAUCCAAAUAUAAGAAAACUACUUUUCUUUAUUUUUUCUUUUCCUUGUUGCUUUUCAAGAAUCAAGCAUACUUUAAACUCUAAUUAAGAGUUACAUAGAUUUACAGAGAAACAAUGCAACUAGUAACAAAAAAUUAAGGAAAUUUAAUUUUUUAAUUUUUGAGAGUAAGUAUAAUAAGAUUGGUUUGUUUGAUACAAAAUUUGAAUAAAAAUUAUUUUAAUGAAAAUUCAAGGAAAGGAAAAAAAAAAAAAAAAACUUGAUCUCUAGACUAUAAUACUAAAUCAAUUAAAAAAUCUCCUAACAUCGUUUAUGUUCAUCUUUUUUUUUUUAUGGAUUUGAAAAACCCAAUAAUUUGGAGAAAACUGAUUCAAGGAAGAAUAAUUUUUAGAAUAAAAUAUUAUUAUUUAAGAAGAUCAUAAAUUUUAUAGUCAUUGUUGAAAAUGAUAAAUGAUUAAAAAAAAAAAGGUAGUUGGAAAUUUAGAUACUUUUAUAAGACAAAUGCAUUUUUCUAGUCUGGUAUGAAAAAAGGUAAAAUGAUAGGCUUUGAUCAUUUUUCAAGUUAGUUUGUUUAAAUCAUUUUAAUUUAUUUUGAUUUAAGAACAAUAACUUUUAUUACACUAGUUAUUUUGAUUUUCUUUUGAUAGAUUUUGCAAGCUUAAGCAAUUUGGAGCUAUUGGAUUUGAGUUAUAAUUUAUUUAGUGGGAGCAUUCCAUCAUCUAUAAGAUUGAUGUCUUCUAUCAAGUCUUUAUCCUUGGCUGAAAAUUACCUCAAUGGUUUCUUAGCAAAUCAAGGUACAUAUAUUGUGAUUACAGGUUUUUCUAUUUUCUUUUUUAAUAUCUUGUUUGUUCUUUAUGCCAAUUAAGUCAUGCAUGUCUAUUAAUUUUUGGUAUUUAAUGAAAAACUUUAUUCUUAAUUCAUAAAGACCUCAUCAACUAUAAGUAACAGUUAGUUCUAAGUUUGGGGGCAUUGACAAGACGAGGAGAUGAUUGGUUACAUGUCUUAUUCUCUUUUGUUGGCUUUUGCCAAUUGAAUAAGUUUCAAGAAUUAGAUUUUUCUUACAACUUAUUCCAAGGAAUCCUUCCUCCAUGUUUGAAUAAUUUGACAUCUUUGAGGUUAUUGGAUCUCUCUUCCAACCUAUUCUCCGGAAAUCUUUCUUCCCCUCUGUUACCUAAUCUCACAUCCCUGGAGUACAUCGAUCUCAGUUACAAUCAUUUUGAGGGUUCAUUCUCUUUCAGCUCUUUUGCUAAUCACUCCAACUUUCAAGUGGUCAAACUUGGAAGGAAUAACAACAAAUUUGAGGUAGAAACUGAAUAUCCAGUUGAUUGGGUUCCCCUAUUUCAGUUGAAAGCUCUUAUGCUAUCCAACUGUAAGCUCAUCGAUGACCUUCCUGGUUUUCUUCGACACCAAUUAAGAUUAACCGUGGUUGAUCUCUCCCAUAAUAACUUGACUGGAAGUUUCCCCAUUCAGCAGCUUGAAAACAAUACAAGACUAGGAUCUCUAGUUUUGAGGAAUAACUCUUUAAUGGGUCAACUACUUCCCCUGAGACCUAAUAGUCGUAUCACUUUAUUGGAUAUCUCAGACAACCGACUUCAUGGGGAACUUCAACAAAAUGUGGCCAAUAUGAUUCCAAAUAUUGAGUUUCUAAAUUUAUCCAACAAUCUUCCCCUUCAUUUCAUCCAUAUUUGGAUCUACCUUUAAAUCUCUAUUGCAUACAACCCAUAUAUGAUUCCCUCUAAAUUUAGCCUUCAUUUCUUGUUAAGAGGUUUUAAAAGCCAGCAAUUUAAUUUACUUUCAUCCUCUAUAUAGAUGAGAACUCUUAUAUUUAUCCAAUGAUAGGUAACAUUUUUGCAAAUGCUUUUAUUUGAUUUUUUUAAUUGGUCUUAAAAAUAAGUGUUAAUAAAGAUCCACAAUAUAAAAUAAUAAAUUAUAUCUCAAUUGACCUCAAGAUACUAUUUACUUCUACUAACUCAUUUUACAUCUCAAUUGUUCUUAAAAAGUCUAUAAUGGUAAUUAACUAUAGAAUUCAAGUUUUAAUUAUGCAAAAAAUAUAUAAAGGUUUUUAAAAUUAAUAGAAAAAAAGAUUCUAAUAAAUAAUAAGUAGAUUGAAACAUUUAUUUCUAGAAGUAGAGAAAGAUGGAGGAUCAUAAAAGUUGAAAAAAGAAUAAUUUGGAAGUCAUAAAAUUUUGGAAAAAGAAUAAUUCAUAGAGACCUCAUUAACAACAAGUAACAACUAAUUGUAAGUAACCAUGAAAAAAGUAAGGAGAAAAAUAAGGGAAAAGCAAGGAAAGUAGCAAAUUUUUUCAUCCCCAUAAAAAAAUGAUAAGGAAGAAAAAAGUGAAGAAAGUUUAAAGAAAGCAUAUUCUUCAAAAAUUGAAUUUUCUUUCCCUUAAAAUUGGUAUGGACAACCAAACAAGAAAAUGAUUUUUAAAUUCUUUUUUGACCUUUUUCUAUCAUUCUUUUUUUUCCCCCUACUCUAUUUCCUUUCCCUCAAACUUUCUAGGUAGUAAACAUUACCUAAGAUAAAUAGGGAAGAAAAUAUUUUAUCAUUUAUUUAUUUAGUAUUUUUCUUACCUUUUUUGUAUUUUAUCCAAAUAUAAGAAAACUAUUUUUCUUUAUUUUUUCUUUUCCUUGUUGCUUUUCAAGAAUCAAGCAUGCUUUAAACUCUAAUUAAGAGUUACAUGGAUUUACGGAGAAACAAUGCAACUGGUAACAAAAAAUUAAGGAAAUUUAAUUUUUGAGAGUAAGUAUAAUGAGAUUGGUUUGUUUGAUACAAAAUUUAAAUAAAAAUUCUUUCAAUGAAAAUUCAAGGAAAGGAAAAAAAAACAAAUUUAUCUCUAGACUAUAAUACUAAAUCACUUAAAAAAAACUCCUAACAUCGUUUAUGUUCAUCUUUCUUUUUAUGGAUUUGAAAAACCCAAUAAUUUGGAGAAAACUGAUUCAAGGAAGAAUAAUUUUUAGAAUAAAAGAUUAUUAUUUAAGAAGAUCAUAAAUAUUAUAGUCAUUGUUGAAUAUGAUAAAUGAUUAAAAAAAAAAAAGGUAGUUGGAAAUUUAGAUACUUUUAUAAGACAAAUGCAUUUUUCUAGUAUGGUAUGAAAAAAAGGUAAAAUGAUAGGCUUUGAUCAUUUUUUAAGGUAGUUUGUUUAAAUCAUUUUAAUUUAUUUUGAUUUAAUAACAAUAACUUUUAUUACACUAGUUAUUUUGAUUUUCUUUUGAUAGAUUUUGCAAGCUUAAGAAAUUUGGAGGUAUUGGAUUUGAGUUAUAAUUCAUUUAGUGGGAUCGUUCCAUCGUCUAUAAGAUUGUUGUCUUCUCUCAAGUCUUUAUCUCUGGCUGGAAAUCACCUCAAUGGUUCCUUAGCAAAUCAAGGUACAUAUAUUGUGAUUACAGGUUUUUCUAUUUUCUUUUUUAAUAUCUUGUUUGUUCUUUAUGCCAAUGAAGUCAUGCAUGUCUAUUAAUUUUUGGUAUUUAAUAAAAAACUUUAUUCUUAAUUCAUGAAGACCUCAUCAACUGUAAGUAACAACUAGUUGUAAAUUUGGGGGCAUUGAUAAGACGAGGAGAUGAUUGGUUACAUGUCUUAUUCUCUUUUGUAAGCUUCUGCCAAUUGAAUAAGCUUCAAGAGUUAGAUUUUUCUUACAACUUAUUCCAAGGGAUCCUUCCUCCAUGUUUGAAUAAUUUGACAUCUUUGAGGUUAUUGGAUCUCUCUUCCAACCUAUUCUCCGAAAAUCUUUUUUCCCCUCUGUUACCUAAUCUCACAUCCCUGGAGUACAUCGAUCUCAGUUACAAUCAUUUUGAGGGUUCAUUCUCUUUCAGCUCUUUUACUAAUCACUCCAACCUUCAAGUGGUCAAACUUGGAAGGAAUAACAACAAAUUUGAGGUAGAAACUGAAUAUCCAGUUGGUUGGGUUCCCCUGUUUCUGUUGAAAGCUCUUGUCCUAUCCAACUGUAAGCUCAUCGGUGAUCCUGGUUUCCUUCGACACCAAUUAAGAUUAACCGUGGUUGAUCUCUCCCAUAAUAAUUAGACUGGAAGUUUCCCCAUUUGGCUGCUUGAUAACAAUACAAGACUAGGAUCUCUAGUUCUGAGGAAUAACUCUUUAAUGGGUCAACUACUUCCCCUGAGACCUAAUAGUCGUAUCACUUUAUUGGAUAUCUCAGACAACCGACUUCAUGGGGAACUUCAACAAAAUGUGGCCAAUAUGAUUCCAAAUAUUGAGUUUCUAAAUUUAUCCAACAAUCAUCCCCUUCAUUUCAUCCAUAUUUGGAUCUACCUUUAAAUCUCUAUUGCAUACAACCCAUAUAUGAUUCCCUCUAAAUUUAGCCUUCAUUUCUUGCUAAGAGGUUUUAAAAGCCAGCAAUUUAAUUUACUUUCAUCCUCUAGAUUGAUGAGAACUCUUAUAUUUAUCCAAUGAUAGGUAACAUUUUUGCAAAUGCUUUUAUUUGAUUUUUUUAAUUGGUCUUAAAAAUAAGUGUUAAUAAAGAUCCACAAUAUAAAAUAAUAAAUUACAUCUCAAUUGACCUCAAGAUACUAUUUACUUCUACUAACUCAUUUUACAUCUUAAUUGUUCUUAAAAAGUCUAUAAUGGUAAUUAACUAUAGAAUUCAAGUUUUAAUUAUGCAAAAAAUAUAUAAAGGUUUUUAAAGUUAAUAGAAAAAGAGAUUCUGAUAAAUAAUAAGUAGAUUGAAACAUUUAUUUCUAGAAGUAGAGAAAGAUGGAGGAUCAUAAAAGUUGAAAAAAGAAUAAUUUGGAAGUCAUAAAAUUUUGGAAAAAGAAUAAUUCAUAGAGACCUCAUUAACAACAAGUAACAACUAAUUGUAAGUAACCAUGAAAAAAGUAAGGAGAAAAAUAAAGGAAAAUCAAGGAAAGUGACAAAUUUUUUCAUCCCCAUAAAAAAUGAUAAGGAAGAAAAAGGUGAAGAAAGUUUAAAGAAAGUAUAUUUUUCAAAAAUUGAAUUUUCUUUCCCUUAAAGUUGGUAUGGACAACCAAACAAGAAAAUGAUUUUUAAAUUCUUUUUUGACCUUUUUCUAUCAUUCUUUUUUUUUUCCUUACUCUAUUUCCUUUCCCUCAAACUUUCUAGGUAGUAAACAUUACCUAAGAUAAAUAGAGAAGAAAAUAUUUUAUCAUUUAUUUAUUUAGUAUUUUUUUUACCUUUUUUUGUAUUUUAUCCAAAUAUAAGAAAACUAUUUUUCUUUAUUUUUUCUUUUCCUUGUUGCUUUUCAAGAAUCAAGCAUACUUUAAACUUUAAUUAAGAGUUACAUAGAUUUACGGAGAAACAAUGCAACUGGUAACAAAAAAUUAAGGAAAUUUAAUUUUUGAGAGUAAGUAUAAUGAGAUUGGUUUGUUUGAUACAAAAUUUGAAUAAAAAUUCUUUCAAUGAAAAUUCAAGGAAAGGAAAAAAAACAAAUUUAUCUCUAGACUAUAAUACUAAAUCACUUAAAAAAAACUCCUAACAUCGUUUAUGUUCAUCUUUCUUUUUAUGGAUUUGAAAAACCCAAUAAUUUGGAGAAAACUGAUUCAAGGAAGAAUAAUUUUUAGAAUAAAAGAUUAUUAUUUAAGAAGAUCAUAAAUAUUAUAGUCAUUGUUGAAUAUGAUAAAUGAUUAAAAAAAAAAAAGGUAGUAGGAAAUUUGGAUACUUUUAUAAGACAAAUGCAUUUUUCUAGUAUGGUAUGAAAAAAAGGUAAAAUGAUAGGCUUUGAUCAUUUUUUAAGGUAGUUUGUUUAAAUCAUUUUAAUUUAUUUUGAUUUAAUAACAAUAACUUUUAUUACACUAGUUAUUUUGAUUUUCUUUUGAUAGAUUUUGCAAGCUUAAGCAAUUUGGAGGUAUUGGAUUUGAGUGGUAAUUCAUUUAGUGGGAUCGUUCCAUCGUCUAUAAGAUUGUUGUCUUCUCUCAAGUCUUUAUCUCUGGCUGGAAAUCACCUCAAUGGUUCCUUAGCAAAUCAAGGUACAUAUAUUGUGAUUACAGGUUUUUCUAUUUUCUUUUUUAAUAUCUUGUUUGUUCUUUAUGCCAAUGAAGUCAUGCAUGUCUAUUAAUUUUUGGUAUUUAAUAAAAAACUUUAUUCUUAAUUCAUGAAGACCUCAUCAACUGUAAGUAACAACUAGUUGUAAAUUUGGGGGCAUUGAUAAGACGAGGAGAUGAUUGGUUACAUGUCUUAUCACUACUACAAAAAUUGAAAUUAAUGACGCUUUAUUUUAUGACGCUUUCUAAAAGCGUCAUUAUUGAGGGUAUACAAUGACGCUUAUAAGAAGUGUCAUAGUUGUAUUAUUUAUCUUGAUACUGAUUAUAAGUGUCAUUAUUUGAUGUCAUCUUUUUCCUUGUAACUGUGUAUAUAAUGACGCUUAUAAGAAGCGUCAUAGUUUUAUUAUUUACCUUGACACUUAUUAUAAGCAUCAUUAUUUGAUGGGUAUGUAAUGACGUUCUUGAGAAGUGUCAUAGUUGUAUUGACUUUUAAAAUUUUUGUUUUUAAGUUAACUUAUACAAAUUUUGAUAUUAGAAUAUUAUUCUAUAAAUUAAUUAUGGUAAAUUGACAUUAAUAUUAAUGACAUAAAGUUGCUACAUUAAGGUUUUUUUAAAAAAAUUUGGAUAUAAAUAAAAUAAAAUCCUAAUAAAUUAUUUUUUUAUUGUUUGAUAUUAAUUUUUUUAUAGUUUGUAUCAAUACAAUCUAUUUUCAUAAACUAUUUUUCAUUUUUAUUAAAUUAGAAAUUAUCUUAUAUUUCAUUUAAAAAUAAUUUGUUAAUUUAUUUGUGGACCACAAAAAAGUGGCCUAUUUUGAGCACUUGUUCGAGCCUUGGGCCACAUUUAUUGGGUUUAACCCUUUUAUUUGAGAAGGUUUUAUAGUUAAUGAAUAUAAAUUUGAAAUUAUUUAACUAAAAUGAAAUAAAUUAAUAUUUAAAUUAAUUUAAUGAUGAUUAGACUCACAAUAAAACUAAAUGCAAUAAGAAUAUUUAUAAAAACUUUCUAAUAUUUAUGGGAAUUAAGCUCAUUCUAUUAAAUUAGUUUUUUUUUUAAAUAUCAAUAUUCAAAUUAAACCAAUAUCAACCUAAAAUAUCAAAUAAUUAAACAAUAUAAAUUUAUUAUGAGUUCAAUAUAUAAAAAUUAUUAUUGGAAGAUGAAAUAAAGAAUACUAUUUUAAUUUAUUGAAAAAGGACAUGCAUGAUAUUUUAGAAUUUGUUAUAAAGUCUCCAUUGAAAACCCUAACUUUUGGAAGACAAGAAAGAAGGGAGAGAGCCACCGUUUUUAGUGAGAAAGAAGAGAAGAGAGAAAAAUGCAAGUUUUUCUCAUCAGGCCCAGAUUUCAUCAAAGGUCUGAUCCCACUUUGUCCGUGGUCCGAUCGAGCUGAAAUUUGGAGGAGAGUUUCGUGACUCAUUUAUCUUCAAUCUGAACGGUGAAGAUCGGAUUUGGAGUUUCGGAAAGUCAUUAGAAAGAAAGAGGAGAAGAGAGAAAAACGUAGGUUUUUCUCAUCAUGCCCAGAUUUUAUCAAAUGUCCGAUCCCGCUUCGUCCGUGGUCCGAUCGAGUUGAAAUUUGAAGGAGAGGUUUGUGGCUCAUGUAUCUUCAAUAUGAACGGUGGAGAUCUGAUUUGGAGUUUCGGACAGUCAUUAGAGAGAAAGAGGAGAAGAGAGAAAAACUUAGGUUUUUCUCAUCGUGCCCAGAUUUCAUCAAAUGUCUGAUCCCGCUUCGUCCGUGGUCCGAUCGAGUUGAAAUUUGAAGGAGAGGUUCGUGGCUCAUGUAUAUUCAAUAUGAACGGUGGAGAUCGGAUUUGGAGUUUUGGACAGUCAUUAGAGAGAAAGAGGAGAAGAGAGAAAAACAGUGGUUUUUUUAUAUCAUGCCCAGAUUUCAUCAAAGGUUCAAUGCCGCUUUUUUCAUGGUCUGAUUGAGCUGAAAUUUGGAGGAGAGGUUCAUAAGUCAUUAAUCUUAAAUUUGAACGGUGAAGAUCGGAUUUAGAGUUUUGGAAAGUCAUCUUUCAGCCAAAAACAAAACCUUUAUUUUAUCAAAGAUGGCGCUUCCUGAAAGUGUCAUUGUUGCCUAAGACAUACAAUGACAGAGGCGAAGAGGACGCUUUAGAGAAGCGUCAUCUGUUACCUUUCUUGACGCUUAAAAAACGUCAUAGUUUCCCAUUUUUCUUGUAGUGUAUUCUCUUUUGUAAGCUUCUGCCAAUUGAAUAAGCUUCAAGAGUUAGAUCUUUCUUACAACUUAUUCCAAGGGAUCCUUCCUCCAUGUUUGAAUAAUUUGACAUCUUUGAGGUUAUUGGAUCUCUCUUCCAACCUAUUCUCCGAAAAUCUUUCUUCCCCUCUGUUACCUAAUCUCACAUCCCUGGAGUACAUCGAUCUCAGUUACAAUCAUUUUGAGGGUUCAUUCUCUUUCAGCUCUUUUACUAAUCACUCCAACCUUCAAGUGGUCAAACUUGGAAGGAAUAACAACAAGUUUGAGGUAGAAACUGAAUAUCCAGUUGGUUGGGUUCCCCUGUUUCUGUUGAAAGCUCUUAUCCUAUCCAACUGUAAGCUCAUCGGUGAUCCUGGUUUCCUUCGACACCAAUUAAGAUUAACCGUGGUUGAUCUCUCCCAUAAUAAUUAGACUGGAAGUUUCCCCAUUUGGCUGCUUGAUAACAAUACAAGACUAGGAUCUCUAGUUCUGAGGAAUAACUCUUUAAUGGGUCAACUACUUCCCCUGAGACCUAAUAGUCGUAUCACUUUAUUGGAUAUCUCAGACAACCGACUUCAUGGGGAACUUCAACAAAAUGUGGCCAAUAUGAUUCCAAAUAUUGAGUUUCUAAAUUUAUCCAACAAUGGUUUUGAAGGUAUUCUCCCAUCCUCAAUAGCCGAAAUGAGUUCCUUACAGUCAUUAUAUUUGUCUGCUAAUAGUUUCUCAGGGGAAGUACCAAAACAAUUGCUUGCGGCAAAAUAUUUGUGGCUUCUGAAAUUAUCAAAUUAUAAAUUUCAUGGCGAAAUAUUUUCAAGGGACUUUAACUUGACUCAGUUAGGGUUUUUGCAUUUGGACAAUAAUCAGUUCAAGGGAACACUGUCAAAUGUAAUCUCCAGAAUCUCUAGGUUAUGGGUGUUGGAUAGGUAACAUGACCGAUUUGACUACACUGGUGUUGGGCAACAAUAGUUUUAAAGGCAAAUUACCACCUGAGAUUUCUCAAUUGUUGGGGAUGAUAUUUCUUGACGUUUCUCAAAACGCUCUUUUAGGAUCUCUUCCUUCUUUGAAGAGCCUGGAGUAUUUAGAUACCCAGAGAUUGAUACCCAGAGAUUUUCUCAAUUCCUCAUAUCUAUUGACUUUGGAUAUCAGAGACAACAGGUUAUUUGGAAGUAUUCCCUAUUCAAUCUCUAGACUUUUAGAGCUAAGAGGAAACCUUUUAAGUGAUUUCAUUCCAUAUCAGCUUUGUCAUUUGACUAAAAUAAGCUUGAUGGAUAUUUCAAACAACAAUUUUUCUGGGUCAAUUCCCGGAUGCUUUGGUCAUAUCGGAUUUGGAGAUUUCAAAACUGAGCACAAUGUGUAUAUACCGAUGUUGGAUUCGUAUUCAGAAAGCAAUCCUUCUAUAUAUACGGGUUACUUAAUAAAAUAUUUAUUUUUCUCUAGUGAACUCCCUGAUGAAGUAGAUGAAGUUGAGUUUGUUACCAAGAAUAGGUAUAGCUCCUACAGAGUAGAUAAAAAUAUUUGUUGGGAAUUUAGAUAUUUUUAUAGGAAAGUAGACAAGUAUUCUAAUUUAUAAAAACAAUGCAUUUCUUUAGUUUGGUAUAAAAAAAAAUGAAACGAUAGGUAUUGGUAUUUUUUUUAAAGCAACAAACGUUUUAUUUUAUUUGUAUUUAAGAACAAUGUCUUUUCUUAUACUAGUUAUUUUAAUUUUCUUUUGACAGAUUUUGCAAGCUUAAGCAAUUUGGAGAUACUAGAUUUGAGUUCUAAUUCCUUAAGUGGGAUUAUUCCAUCAUCUAUAAGAUUGAUGUCUCAUCUCAAGUCUUUAUCCUUGGCCGGAAAUCAGCUCAAUGGUUCUUUACAAAAUCAAGGUACAUAUGUUAUGAUUUGUUUGUUUCAUAUGGAUUAGAGAAGAUGAAUAUUGUAAAAAAAAAGUUGUAGUUAAUGUAAGCUAGAAAUAAGUAUCUUGCCUUAUAAAUUAUAUGAGCAUGUGUUUGUUCUUAAUGAAUCUUUACAACAUUUAGAGUUACCAAUGUUUAUAAUUCAUAAAGACCUCAUUAACCGUGAGUAACAACUAAUUGUAAGUAAUUGUGGAAAAAGUAAGGAAAACAAAAUGAGGGAAAAGCAAGGAAUUAGGAAAUUAUUUUGUUCCCAUUAAAAAAUGCUAAGGAAGAAAAAGGUAAAAGAAAGUUUAAAAAAAGUGUAUUUUUCAAAAAUUUAUUUCUCUUUCCUUUAAUUUUGCUAUGGACAACCAAACAAGAAAAUUAUUUUAUAAUUCCUUUUUUAUUUUUUUCAUUCUCUCUCUCUUUUUUCCCCUACUCUAUUUCUUUUCCCUCAAACUUUCUUGGUAGUAAACACAACCUAAGAUAAAAUGGGGAAGAAAAUUUUCAGUUUUUUUUUUAUUUUUUUAGAAUGUUUUCUUACUUUUUAGUAUUUUAUGCAAAUAUAGGAAAAUUAUUUUUUUUUCUUUUUUUUUCUUGCUCCUUUUCGGACAUGAAUCACACUUUAAAAGAAAAUUAAUUUUUAAUUAGGAGUUAAGAUAAAUUUAAGGAGAAACAGUGAAUCACGAAUAACAAAAAAAUAAGGAAAUUGAAUUUUUGAAAGUAAGUAUAAUCAAAUUGCUUCAUUUGAUACAAAAUUUGAAUAAAAAUUCUUUCAAGGAAAGGAAAAAACAUUUUUGUCUCUAGAUUAUAAUACUAAAUCAUGUAAAAAAUCUCUUAACAUCAUUUAUAUUCAUAUUUAUUUUUGUAGAUUUGAAAAAUUCAACAAUUUGGAAUAAACUUAUUCAAUGAAUAAUAAUUUUUAGAUUUAAAGAUUAUUAUUUAAGAUCAUAAAUAUUACCAUGAUUGUUGAUGUCUAAGAAGAUCAUAUUCAACAAUUUUUUUAAUAUGUUGUUUUUUUAUGGUAAUUAAUUGAUGUCUUGUAAUUUUUAAUAUUUAAUGAAAAACAUUAUUUUAAUUCAUCUAGAGCUCUUAAUUCAUGAAGACCUCAUUAAUGGUGAGUAAUAGUUGGCUGUAAGUUUGGAGUCAAAGACAUGUCAAGGAGAUGAUUAGUUACAUGUCUUAUUCUCUUUUGUAGGUUUCUGUCAAUUGAAUAAGCUUCAAGAGUUAGAUCUUUCUUACAACUUAUUCCAAGGGAUCCUUCCUCCAUGUUUGAAUAAUUUGACAUCUCUAAGGUUAUUGGAUCUCUCUGUCAACCUAUUCUCCGGAAAUCUUUCUUCUCCUUUAUUACCUAAUCUCACAUCCCUGGAGUACAUCGAUCUCAGUUACAAUCAGUUUGAGGGUUCAUUCUCUUUCAGCUCUUUUGCUAAUCACUCAAAGCUUCAAAUGGUCAAACUUGGAAUGAAUAACAACAAAUUUGAGGUAGAAACUGAAUAUCCAAUUGGUUGGGUUCCCUUGUUUCAAUUGAAGGCUCUUUCGCUAGACAGCUGUAAGCUCACCGGCGACCUUCCUAGUUUUCUUCAAUACCAAUUCAGGUUAGUGGGGGUUGAUCUCUCACAUAAUAACUUGACAGGAAGUUUUCCCAAUUGGCUGCUUGAAAACAAUACGAGACUAAAAUCUCUAGUUCUGAGGAAUAACUCUUUAAUGGGUCAAUUACUUCCCUUGGAACGUAAUACCCGUAUCCAUUCAUUGGAUAUCUCACACAAUCAGUUGGAUGGACAACUUCAAGAAAAUGUGGCCCAUAUGAUUCCAAAUAUGAAAUAUCUAAAUUUAUCCGACAAUGGUUUUGAGGGUAUUCUCCCAUCCUCAAUAGUUGAACUAAGAGCCUUAUGGUAUUUGGAUUUGUCUACCAAUAAUUUCUCUGGAGAAGUACCAAAGCAAUUGCUUGCAGCAAAAGAUUUGGGGGUUUUGAAAUUAUCAAAUAAUAAAUUUCAUGGUGAAAUAUUUUCAAGGGACUUUAACUUGAUUAGGUUGGAAGUUUUGUAUUUGGGCAAUAAUCAGUUGACGGGAACUCUGUCAAAUGUAAUCUCUAAAAGCUCUUGGUUGGGGGUGUUGGAUGUGAGCAACAACUACAUGUCAGGUGAAAUUCCAAGCCAGAUAGGUAACAUGACCUAUUUGACUACACUGGUGUUGGGCAACAAUAGUUUUAAAGGCAAAUUACCACCCGAGAUUUCUCAAUUGUGGGGUUUGGAGUUUCUUGACGUUUCUCAAAAUGCUCUUUCAGGAUCUCUUCCUUGUUUGAAGACCAUGGAGAGUUUAAAGCAUCUACAUUUGCAAGGGAACAUGUUUACAGGAUUAAUACCCAGAGAUUUUCUCAAUUCCUCACAUUUAUUGACUUUGGAUAUGCGAGAUAACAGGUUAUUUGGAAGUAUUCCCAAUUCAAUCUCUGCACUUUUGAAGCAGCUAAGGAUUUUUUUGCUGGGAGGAAACCUUUUAAGUGGUUUUAUUCCAAAUCAUCUUUGUCAUUUGACUGAAAUAAGCUUGAUGGAUCUUUCAAACAACUCUUUUUCAGGGCCAAUUCCCAAAUGCUUUGGCCAUAUCCGAUUUGGGGAGAUGAAAAAGGAAGACAACGUGUUUGGACAGUUCAUUGAAAUUAGGUAUGGAAUGGAUUCUCAUCUUGUAUAUGCAGGUUACUUGGUGAAAUAUUGGGAGGACUUAAGUUCAGUAUAUAAGGGAAAAGAUGAAGUUGAGUUUGUGACCAAGAACAGGCGUGACUUCUACAGAGGUGGCAUCCUUGAAUUCAUGUCUGGAUUGGACUUAUCAUGUAACAACUUGACAGGCGAAAUACCUCAUGAACUUGGAAUGCUAAGUUGGAUUCGUGCAUUGAACUUGUCUCACAAUCAAUUGAAUGGCUCCAUUCCAAAGAGUUUCUCCGAUCUUUCUCAAAUAGAGAGCUUAGACCUUUCUUAUAAUAAAUUGGGUGGAGAAAUUCCUCUAGAGCUAGUUGAACUCAAUUUUUUAGCGGUGUUUAGUGUGGCUUACAACAACAUCUCUGGUAGAGUUCCAAAUGCCAAAGCACAAUUUGCAACAUUUGAUGAAAGCAGCUAUGAAGGUAAUCCUUUCCUUUGUGGGGAACUAUUAAAGAGGAAAUGCAACACAAGUAUUGAGUCACCAUGCGCACCAUCACAGUCUUUUGAAAGUGAGACAAAAUGGUAUGAUAUCAAUCAUGUUGUUUUCUUUGCAAGUUUUACUACUUCAUAUAUCAUGAUCUUGUUAGGAUUUGUUACCAUCCUUUACAUCAAUCCUUAUUGGCGUCAUAGAUGGUUCAAUUUUAUUGAGGAAUGUGUAUAUUCCUGCUAUUAUUUUGUUUUUGAUAGUCUUUCCAAGUUCUCAGCAUAUUUGUAUAAUUAGAUACUUUUAAUUGGAUGAUGUUUGCAUAAUUAACUACUAUUUGUUUCCAUGGGAUAAAAAGAAAUGGGAUUAUAAUUGCUAUGAGUUGAAACUUACAUACUUUGCUCAAAUUCUAACAUCUUUUGAUUUUAUUUUCAAGUUCCGUUAUUUAUUAUGUAUUGUUUAAUUCAAGAUUUAACCAUAUUAUGCUACUCUUAUAAAAACAAAUUCAAAUUUUUAGGAACUUAGCAUUAAAAUAAUUUCAUAGUCAGAUUUUUAAAAAUAAAGAAGAAAGAAAAUAAUAAAUAAUUAGAAAAACAAUUCAAGGGAGUAUUAAAUUAUUAUCUUAGAAUUGUUUGGCGUAGUAUGGGAAUUCAAAAAUAAUCUUUCAAUUUGUUAGAAAUGUUUAUUUAUUUAUUAUAGCAAUGAUUGAAAUAUCAAUCACAAAGUAAUGUUUUCUUUUCUUUUGUAGGGCACUAACAUUUUUUCUUUGAUUGUAAUAAUUGAUAAAUAUAUUACACAAUUAUUUGUUUUAAAGAGGGGAGGGAUGACAAACAUAAUAACAUGUGAAAUAUUUCUAAAACUGUGAUGGGAAAUAAACCAUCUAAUUAGGGUGCAAUAUUAUUCAUUUUAAUUUAUAUGAAUUUACUUAUUUUUAUUUCCAUCAUAUUUUGAACUAUUUUUUGAAAUUAAGGGAGAUUAAAACAUCAUGAAUUUCUUAGUUUAAUUUAUAUUUUUAAUAAUAAAGCAUGAAAUAUUUAAAAAAAAAAAAGAAAAUCAUGAAUUUCUUUAAUUCCUUAGGAAACCAAUAUAUAAAAAAAGUUGAAUAUAUUAUUAUUUUAUAUCCUAAAUUUCUAAAUUUGUUCAUCACGUAUUUAUUUUUAUAUUAAAUUUAUUAUCAAUAAUUAUUUAUUAUAUAUUAUUAUUUUAUAUUUAAAAAUGUUCAUAAAUAAUUAAAAUUAAUAAAUAUAAAAAAUGAAAUAUUAAAAAAUUAAAUUAAAAAGAUUUCAUCAAGCUAACAUAUUUUGAUAAAAAAAAAAAGAGUAAAAAAGAAGAUGGGGAUAUUAUAGAGGUGGGGAAAAAGAUAAAAGAAAAAUCAUGUGGUAUAAUAAUUGCCACGUGUUAAAGUUAUUUUCUUUAAAAAUUAAUUAUAGUAAUGAUGAACUCAUUUGUCUUAUCAAAGUAAAUAAAAAUAAAUAAAUAAAAGAAAAAAAGAAAAAGAAAAAAAGUGGUGGUUGAUUGGAGGUUAGAGAGGAGGGUUUGAAGGUAAAUUUGGAAUAUUGAUUAUUUUCACUAAGUAGAUAUUUUGAAAGUUAUUUUCAAUGUUUUAAAAACCGGACCGGCCGGUCCGACCGGUCCAACCGUCGACCGGUCACCAUUCCGGUCCGAUCCGGUCAUUUGGACCGGAUUGAGAUCGAACCGGAGUUGAACCGCUCGAACCAGCGGUUCAACCGCUGAACCGGACAAACCGAUCGGUUCCAAGGGAACCGGCCAAUUCAAAUAAUUUUAAUUUUAAAAAAAAAAUUACACAAUAAAAAUAUUACUGUGGGUAAGCUGCAAGCAUGAAAGGUAGGAUUCCAUGUUGGGCCUGUCUUGUGACAAGCCCACACACCCACUCCAAUUACCCUGGGCCUCUUUUUUGAGCCCACAAGAUCAUGCCAAGGCUUUGCUGAGGAUGGCUUUUAUAGGAGUCAUUUGACUCCUUGUUCCUCUCAUAUUCCGAUGUGGGAUUGCAUUUUAUCAAUGAAAAAAAACAUAACAAACAUAACAAAACUCCACCAACAGAAUUUGAACCUUGGACCAAUCUUUAACUCUAGUCCACCUAGGAAACCACUCGGCUACAUGUGUUUUAUCAUCUAAUGUGCCAAACAAAAUAAUAUAUAUUAGAUUUUAAAUUUUUUUAUAAUAUUAAAUAAAAAUAAUAUAAUAUUUUUAAAAAUUAUGAAAUUAGUUUAAAUUUUCAUUUUUUUUAUAUUCACAUUUAAAUAUUAUACAUAUUUCAUUUAAUAAAAUUUAAAAUAUUAAUAUGAUUUAAUUUGAUAAUAUCAAAGAUAUAAAAUAAUAUUAUUGAUGUUUAAUUUAUUCAUAUAUAUUUUAAAAUUUUUUAUAAUUAUUUUUAAUUUUAAUAAUAUAUAAAUUAUAUAUUUAUUACGUCACCGGUUCGAUAGCGGUUCGACCGCCGGUCCGACCAGUGAACCGUGAACCGGUAACUUUUCCAGUUCGAUCACCGGUCCGAUUCUGAAAACAUUGGUUAUUUUGCCUGAAACCCAUAUUGUUUGAAAAUAAAAAAUCAAAGUUUUAAAAAAAUACAAUUUUUUUGAAAUGAUGCAUGAUUAUAUCAUUCCCCUAAUAGAUUAUUUAUUCCUUUAAACUUUACUUCAAAUAAAAUAGUUUUAAUUAUUUUCUUUUUGGAAUUAUAUUUAACAUAUUAUUAAAAAUAUAAAAAACAUUUUAAUAAUAUUGUUAAUGAGUUUAUAUAUAUAUAUAUAUAUUGUAAAAUAAUUAAAUUUAAAAAUAUUUAAAUUUAGUUAUGGGCUGCCCAUUUCAAAAUAAUAAGAAUCUCGUAACCUAAUUUUUCCAAAUUCCAGGUAAAUAUGCUAAUCUAAAAAUAAAAAAUAAAAAUUAGGUUUUUAUGCUCUCCAAUCUACCACUUAAGCAUCCGACAUGGCUAAAAUAAAUUACAAAAAAAAAAAAAAAAAAAAAAGGAAAAAAAACAAAAGUGUGUGAUCCUCUUUCUCGAGUCUUCACAUUUUGAGACACUGAAACCAAAUCAAAAUUAAUCCUUCAAAUUAAUUUUCACCUCCAAACAUGGCUAUCCGAAAAACCCUAACGUCUGCCUCCUCUUCCUCUUAUCCCGGAAACCUAAAUUCCGUGACCCUAACCCCUUCUCUUUCCGAAAACCCUCCGGAAUCGGAAGAUUCAUAAUUCUUCAGAAUUAAUUUUCACCUCGAAGCCAAACCCUAACUGCCUCAUCUUCCUCUCAUUCAUAUCCCAAAAGUAGCUUCAACAGUCAGGCCUGUAGCCAUGAAAGCCGUAGUGAUCACUACUUCCGGUGAUCCCCAAGUUCUCCAAGUGCAAGAAGUCGAAAACCCUGAAAUUGGAGAUGAUGAAGUUCUAAGUAGAGUGGACGCCGCUGCCAUUAACCGAACAGAUACGCUCCAGAGGAAGGGCUUGCACCCUUCCUCAAAGGCGGCAGUCCCUACCCGGGUCUCGAAUGUUCUGGAAUCAUCGAAGCUGUUGGAAAAGCCGUCGUUCGAUGGAAGGUUGGCGAUCAGGUAUUUCAAUUGCCUAAUAUUUUGAUUUCGUUUCUGUUCCUCUGUUUUUCUCGGCUAUCAAACACUAGGAACGUGUAAAUAAGGAGGUUAGUUGAUUGCGAAAACGGGAAUUUUUUGUUCGUGUCUGUGUUAAGGAGUCUUUGUUGAGAAUUUUGGGGAAAUUUAUGAUAGGUUAAAUUAUUGAGCUUAUUGGUUUUCAAAUUUAUGGUUGUAAGAAAAUUGGUCAGUGUAAGGUUAUGGGUUCAUUACCAAUUUGCUUAGUGAAAAUUUUUCCACAUAUUGUGGACCGGUUUGGUAGCAGAAAUAAGAACUGUGUUUUGUUUUUCAAAACGGAAAUGGAUGCAGAAAACAUGUUUGGUAGCCUACUUUCAGAACUUGUUUCCGAAAAUAUUUCCUGAAAAUGAAUUAUUUCAGAACUUGUUUUUAAAAAAUUCAAACACUUUAUCAAUUUAAAAGGUUCUGAAAUGGACAUGUUCAUGGUCUUCAUUUUUUAAAAUUAAAGCUUUUAUGAAAAAACCAUUUUCCCUUCUACUAAACAAACAGGCUCUAUAUUGUAACAGAUCGAUUGGCCAUUUCCUUUGUCAUGUUUUGUGAAUCAUGGCAACACUGGAAUCCACUCCAUUACCAUCUGUUAGUGAUUAGAAGACAAAGCACCAAUUUUAAUGAUAUCCUUUAUGUGAUUUUGCUUCCUCCUGAGUACAAGUUCAUAAUAUACAUGGUACAUGGUGAAUCUGUAUGACAGUUCAUGGUAUACAGGUGUGUGCUCUUCUUUCUGGUGGAGGGCAUGCUGAAAAAGUGGCUGUUCCAGCUGGGCAAGUUCUCCCUGUCCUAUCUGGUGUUUCUCUGAAGGAUGCUGCUGAGGUUGCAUGUACUGUUUGGUCAACUGUUUUAAUGAUGAGCCGACUGUCUGCAGGAGAAACAUUCCUGGUGAAUUUUUUGUCUUUUUUAUUUUCUGAUGCCUGAUAUAUUUACCAGCACAAAUUUACCCUGUUGCUGUUUAAUGUGUGUGCAUCAAUAUUGGAUUAGGGAGGUAGAAGAGCCAUGGUUCUAAUUAAAUCAUUACAUCAUCAUAUUCUUAUUUAGAUACAUUGUAUCCCACAAUUUCAUUGCAUCCAAGGCUAUGUUGUUUUUUAUUGCACGGUUUGUCAUGGUAAUUUCUCAACCCUUCUCUGGAAAAUUAUGUUGGAUGGCUGCUAUUAAUUACCCCAAAAGAAGAAAUUUUAUGUUGAAGUAAGAUGAGUAGCACAAAGAGUUACUUGUGGUUGAUCCUAUCAUCAAAUGGGCGAUUGAUGCACAAUCCAAAUGGUAAAUUUUUUUCCCCCUUUAUCCAGAUGGAAUUUUUAUGCAUGGUUGAAUAGUGAAAUGAGAGGACUGAUAAUAUUUCAGGUUCAUGGGGGUUCAAUUGGAAUUGGUACCAUCUAUUCAAAUAGCGAAAUACCGAGGAGCAAGGGUAUUUGUUACAGCAGGUUUGCCAUCACUGUUCUACCUCAUCUCACAGAAUGCUUAUCUCAUGGCACCAAUUCCUUUUCUUCACAUGUUUUCAACCAUUUUUUCCACCCAGGAACGAGGAAAAAUUAGCUAUUUGUAAGGAUCAUUGAGCAGAUGUGUGCAUCAAUUACAAGACUGAAAACUUUGUUGCAUGGGUGAAGGAGGAAACAGGAGGGAAAGGUAUAUUCUAUUGUAUCUUAACGAUAAUUUCAAUUGAAGGUGGAAUUGCUUUUUAUUUUUUAGUGCACCAAAUCCACUAGUCUGGAAUGUUUGAAAAGAUAAAUAGUCAUCUUCCACUUGAUUCCGAUUGUGAAGAUCUAACCCCAAAAAUGUUGAAUGACAGGUGUUGAUGUUAUACUGGAUAAUAUUGGAGGGGCCUACUUUUGGGGAGACAUCAAUGGUUUAAAUGUUGAUGGAAGGCUUUUUAUUAUUGGUUUUCAGGGUGGAACAGUGGUACAAGUAAAUCUUUCAGGUUUACUUGCAAGGCGCCUUACAGUGCAAGGUACUGCUUUCUCUGUAGAAGAUUUUUCUGUAGUUUUGGAGUUGAAUCAAUUUGAUUAAUCUCAUCCAAGUUCAGAACUGAGGUGGAUUCUGGCAAGCCAAGGAAAAACCAAAUUACCAUAAAUUCUUUUUUUUUUUUCUGGAUCGUUUUACUUCUUGGAAAUCCUGUUUCUCGAUCUGUUAAUCACAUGGUUUGUUUUUCUUUAUUGUCCCUCUUUCUUUUCUUGUUGGUACCAAAUCCCUAAGAUGUGGAAGCCAAGUGAGCACUUUCUAUCUUUUCUUGUUUCAAUCUCUCAUCCUCUUGUGCACAUUGAGCAAUAAGCUCAUUCAAAGUCCAUUUUUCCUUUUGUGUGUUGUAACUGAUUUUGAAUGGACUGAAUUGUGUAGGCAGAGAGAUCAAGACCAAGUGCACGAGUAUGUCUUCCGAAAACUCUAACUUUAGUGCCUUUAGUCUAGUCACAAGAUUAGACAUUUCCAUAAUAUACUCCCUUAUAUUCUCUUUCCCUUUAUACCGCAUAGAGACAAGCUUACUAAGAAUAGUGUUUGUCUCAACCUUUUCAUUUGCAGCGAUCAAUUUGCUAUCUGGUCUAAGAAUGCCUUGGCUCGAGUUUUCUCAGGUAUUGCACCCCUUAUAACUUUUGGAAUUGAGUGCUUCGUUAUUAUUAGACUCAUGCGAUUGGAUCGCUCCCAUUUUUCCAUAGUAGACCUUUGCUCAGCAGUGCUGGCACUAGUAAGAUCUGGAGGGCGAUCCUCUCUUAAUGCAUAGUCUAAAUCCAUGCACCCGAGCACAAUUAUAGCGUGUUCCUUCCAUUUCUUGAAGUUUGUGCCAUUAAGGGCAGGAAUGUUAUUGACAUUUGCAGAUAUAGAAUAUGUUGAAUUCAUAAUAAUAAAGCUCACAAUCAGCCACAUAAACAUCAUACAUACAUGAAAAAUAACAUCAUACAAGAUACCUAGUACAAACAUUAAUAUUCUGUCUUUUGACAAUAAAUAUUAACUUGUAAUUGGUAUCCUUAUACAAAAUUAAUUCAUAAAUAUUGACAAUAAAACCAAAAACAAUGUGCCUCUCUUUGGACUAACAUAUUGAAUGCAAGAUAAACUUUAUAUGUCACAUAUUUAUGACUACUUUAUUUAUUAUUAUAUUAAAAUAAUCUUUCUUUGGGUCGCUUAUUUUAAAUAAUAAUAAUAACAUGUUUAGAUAUUAUAAAAUAAAUAAAUUAUAUAAUAUAAGUUACUUUGGCAACUAACAUACAUAAUUCAUUUAUUUUUUGUUGUUUCCUUCCUCUUGGAUCUUUUGUUUGUGUUUUAAAAAAAAAAAUGUUUCAGUGAAAAUGGGAAAUGCAACCAGGCUCUAAUACCAUUUUGUGGGACGUUCAUUCUCCAUUAUCAUCGAACACAUGCAGGAUAUAUUUAUAUAUAUCUAUCAAUUCAUUCAAAAUAUGCCGAUGGGAAGCCAGAGAGAACAAGUUCUAUUUUUAUUUUGAAAACAUUGUUAUCCUUAAAGAACAAACACUAUUAUUUGGAUUUAUACUCUCCUGCCUUAGGGACCAUACCCUUUGGCUAUUAGGCCUCACGAGUCUUAGGCCCAUCAUCUAAGGCUCGUGAUGGCACUGGGCUCUACAUAUAAGGUGGCCCAUACUCUGGAACGAAUAUAAAUCAUAUGUAUAUAUAUGGAUAGCUAAAUCCUGAAUAAUGGUUAAUAUGAUGUCGGUUCACAUUUAUUAUAUCAUAUAGACUUCCCAUCUGAAGAAAAUCGACAACAAGUAGCUUUGCCAUUCUUAGUUCGUAUACAACCAACCUUAGCAAGGGUUGAACCCUUUUAUGCUUAGUUGUGCCAUACAGAUCCUUACCACCGCCUACAACAUGUAAUUGAAAUGAUUCGAUAAUAUCAUCUAGUGAACCAAUACCUCCAAAUGAGAGACCAUUGCCUCAGUAACUAAGACUCACGACUGAGAAUUGCGUGAACCCCUUUGCUUGGGUUGGAGCUUGACUGAUGCACAAAAUAUUCAUAGGCCUCUUCCCAUAACAGGCACCUUGUGUUUGCAACAUAAUUGAACAUGUAUUGAAGUGAGUUUUUUUGCAUCUUUUUGUAAGAAAAUUCUAAACAACAAAGAUUGCUUAGUGUGCCUGACUCCUCAAGGAAUCAAGGUUCAUUCCUGUAGGGCCAGUUUUUUCACAGUCGAACUAGAUAACAUGGAGAGUAUGUUGCAAUGCUUCAACGGGGUAUUUCUUAGGAAAAUCCACCUGAAGCUGGUACAAUUCGUUGGCGUACUGAGUUCCUAAAGCUCUAUUGACUUCAAUCACCCAUCUCUGUAGAUUAUCGGUGACUUUAUGCUCGGAUCCUGUAGGAGGAUUGACUUGACAUUCCACUAGUUUUUUCUGGAAGGCGAUUUUGUUUAACACCUUGUGAGAAGAGGCAGGGGAACUGGUCAUUGUUUCUUCGAGAAGAUCAGUGGCCGAGGAUGGGUUUGGACCAGAAUUGCUAUAUGGGUUUUCUUUGGGUGAACCAAUUAGUGAAAUAGGUGGCUAUAUAGCAACUAAAGGGUGGUCAUACUAACGAGGAGCUAUUAUUUCAUGCAUGUGGAGAGGAAAUGACUAGCUUCUUCAAGGAUAUAUGAUUAUUCAUCUCUAGCUUACGUUGACUAUCUCCUAACAAAUUUCUGCUUUGAAGCUCCCUUAGUUUCACUACAGCUAAUUGGCCAACUUGGUUUCAUCAUGUUUCCUACAACCUCUAAGCAAAGCAUGCCAGAUCACCGAAUCAGGUUCUAUUCGCAUUUUGUCCAUAAACUCCUUUGCCUAUUGACAAUAGACUGCCCCUCAAAAUUUGAUGAGAUAACAUCAACGCUGACAUGUUGGCCAUCCCCAUAAGCAUCUUUAUAGAGAUUGAUUCUAUGUUUAGAUAUUUCUCUCUCCUCAAGUGAGUUCAACUUUUCUGUAGCAUCCUUCUCCUUCUCUACUAAUAGUCUUAGUUGAACAUCCAACCUAUGUUCCCAAAGUGCCAGCAUCUCAUAUCUGAUGACAAGCCAACAACCUUGCCCUUGCUGAGACCCAAAUAAGUAUCCAGAACCAUCAACAUCAACCCUUUCAUAGGCCUUUGUAUUUGAAGGUCGGAUUGGGAUUGCUUUGAAUGCACUGGCACUACAAUACACAAUUGUUUCUUCUCCGAUAAAAACACCACAAAGAGGUGAGGGGACUGGUAUUAGCAAAGAAGUGUUGUUAUCUAUAUUGUUCUAAGCCCGAUUACCCUCAACAAAAUCCUCAUCCUCAUCUGUACUCUUCCAUUACAUCCCUAGGCUUUUCAAUGUGAUCCACAUGGCUUACAGGAAUCCAGAAAUACUGAUCUGUAUAAAAGUUGCUCUUAUGGGGCUCUCCUAGAAAACAUCCCAAUCAAGAUGAUCAACCUAGCUUAGAUGCUCAGCACCCCAAACUUACCAGAAAUAGAGGAAUAAAAAGCAAGGAUAGGAGCCAAAGUAAAAACUAAGGGAAGAGCAAAUAGGAAAUCAAGCAAAACAUGAAUGUACAGAGCCUCAUUUCAGGUGACAUCUUUGGGCUAAUAAUAGGUGGAAUUAACAAAGUAGAUAAGCAUGAUUGUUAUAAAUAUCAAGUUCAAGGAUGAAGUCGUGCAUCAGCUACUUAUAGGGGGAGUCAAGGAAACCAAGAUAAGAUCAAAGAGAGCAUGUAUGCAAAUAAACAGAUACGACAAAAUAGACCAAACAACUCGUGAAUAUCCUCCUACAAAAAACUACUACACGUGGCAAAAAGUGAUGAAACAAAAAGAGUUGGGUCCGCAUAUACAUAUCCUAUUCUAUCCUAUUCCUUCAAAUCCAAAGCAACCUGUAUUUUCAAUGGGAUUUGUUGUGAUGAAUUUUACUGGAUUGUAACAUGUAAAUAUGUUAAAAGAGGCUUGGGACAUUCCUAUAUAGUAACGCAUAAAGGUACUUCCAUUGUGAAGUUGUCAAAAUUGCAAAUUUAAAUUACAAAAUUUGAAAACAUAGAGAUGAAAGAUGAUGAAACCUUCUUUGAAAUUUUAUAUUGAACUCAUUAAUAUUAUUAAUUUUCAUUUCAGUCUAGGGGAAAGAAUUCUUUACUCUAAAGUGGUCACAAAAAUAUUAAAAUUCCUUGUCGAGAGAUUUAGACCUAAAGUGAUCAAUAUAGAAGAAAGUAAAAAUAUUCUAAGUGUAGGUAAACUUGUAGACUCAAAUGACUCUACCUUCUCAUAAAAAAUCCUCAAUUUUAUAAAUUAUAUUGAUUUCUUCAUUUGAUACAAAAUUUGAAUAAAGAUUUUUCAAAUGACAACACAAGGAAAGGGAAAAAAAAAUUCUCUCCAAAUCAUAUUAUUUAAUCACUUAAAUUAUUUAAAAAUAAAAAUGUUUACUGCUAACAUUAUUUAGGUUCAUCUUUCUUUUGAUGGAGGUUAAAAUUCAUAAUUUUGAGGAAAAAGAUGAGGAUUCUCAUUUUUUUUCCAUAUAUGAAUGGGAUUCUCAUUGUGUAUAUGUGGGUUACUAAAUGGCAAAUUUGGGGGCCACCAGAGUCUGCAAUAUGAGGGAAAAAUGAAGUUGAGUUUGUCACCAAGAAUAGACAUGGUUCCUACAAAGGUGGCAUCUUUAAUUUCAUGUUUGGAUUGGACUUGUCAUGUAACAACUUAACAAGUGAAAUCCCUCAUGAACUUGGAAUGUUAAGUUUGAUUCAUGCAUUGAACUUGUCUCGUAAUCAACUAAAAGGCUCCAUUUCAAAGAGUUUUUGCAAUCUUUCUCAAAUAGAGAGCUUAGACCUUUUUAAUAAUAAACUAAGUGGAGAAAUUCCUCCAAAAUUGGUUAGACUAAACUUUUUAGCAGUGUUCAAUGUGACUCACAAUAGCAUCUUCGGAAGAGUUUUAGAUAUGAAUACAUAAUUUGCAAAAUUUGAUGAAAGUAACUAUGAAGCUAAUCCUUUCCUUUGUGGACCACCAUUAAAGAGAAAAUGUAGCAUAAAUGUUGUUGAACCACCUUACCAACCAUUAGAGUCUUCGGAAGAAAGUGAUGCAAAAUGGUAUAAUAUCAAUCUUGUUAUUUUCUUUGCAAAUUUUACUACAUCAUAUAUCAUGAUAUUAUUAGGAAUUUCAACCAUUCUUUACAUUAACCCUUAUUGGUGUCAAAGAUGGUUCAAUUUUAUCGAGAAAUAUAUAUACUUUUGCUAUUAUUUUGUUUCCUAUACUCUUUCCAAGUUAUUAACAUAUUUUGAAUAAUUAGAGAUUUUUGUUUUCAAUAAUAUUUACAUAAUUAACUACUAUUGGCUUCCAUGACAUGGAAAGAAAUGCGAUGAAGGCAACAACCACUUUUUUUUCUCCUCUACUAGUGCAUGAUUGAUAUGAGUUAAAACUUGCACCCUUAUCUUUGCUUAAAUUUUCUCAGCUUUUGUUUCAAUUCUUAAUUAUCAUUUCUUUUAUGUAUUGUUUAAUACAAUAUCCUAAACACAUUGCUUUGAAGGUUACUUAUUUAUUAAGCAUGAUAUUGAUUUUCAUAAAAACAAAUUCAAGUUUUUUAGGAAUUUUUAGAAUUAUUAUAAUUUGGAGUUCACAUUAGAGGAAAAAAGGAAAGAAAAGAAUAGAUGAUUAAAAAAACAAUUUUAGUAAGUAUAAUUUGUCAUCUUCGGUAUAACAAAUGGGAAUUCCAAAAUAAUAUUUCAAUUUGUUAGUCUAUUCCUUAUAGUAUUAAUUGAUAUAUCAAAUAGGAAGUCACGUUUUGAUUUUUUAUUAGCUUGAAUUGCAUGUCACAUAUAUUUUAAAAUCAAGCAUACAUCAGCCGGGAAGUUCUUGUAACAUGCAUGAACAUGAUAUGAUGAAUUGAAUAAUUUUCUUAAUAUAUGUGUAUAUACUACACAUUAUUAAAUCAUAUAUGUAUAUUUAUAGUCGUAUAAUAUAUUUAUAUAAGUAACAAUAAAUUAUAUUGUAUAAGGUAUCGGUAGGAGUUUUCAAUUCCCUCAUACAAUAAUAUCUAUCAAUAAUUGGAUUGGACACCUUGCUGGCCAUGAGAAUGGACUUGACAUUAACACAUAGCCUUGAGUGGUGUUGAUAUUAUUACUUUGAACCAGAACUGCAGUCAUCUCAAAAACUAUAUUAUAUAGAAAAGCAAAAUAAAAACAUUAGUUAAAACAAAUGUCAAGAUCCUUGAAAUCACGUUUCAAUAUGUUAAAUUACCAUUUUUUUAAAUAAAUAUUUUAUAGGUUGUGUGAAUAAAUAUAAUUGCUAUGAAGGUUUCAAUUUAAUUUUACUAGCAAAUCCAUAAUAGGUGAAAAGACAAAACUACCAUUUUUGUUUUUUUUUCUUUAUUUACCUUUUUUCUCUCGUAACCUUACUCCUUUCACCUUUUUGUUUUUUCCUUUUUCUCAACUAACUAUUUUUUUCUUGUAAUUGUUAUUAUCAUUUUUUAUUAUAAAUAUUAUAACCUUAUAUUAUAAAUUUUUAAUUAUAUUUAAACUAACUAAUGUUGUGGUUUUAAUUGACAUGGAAAAGAAUGUGGUUAUACAUGUGAUUGUCGCCUUUUUUUUUUUCCAAUUAGUUAACUAUUGAUACAAGUUAAAAGUAAAAAUUGCAAUAUUAUCUUUAUGUCAAUUUCACCGAUCUUUUGUUUUUAUUUUCAUGUAUCAUUCCUUUUUUGGUUAUUUAAUUAAAAGGAUUAAAAAAAAAAAAUCACAUAUUCACAAGAAUAACCUUCAUAUUUUAAAAACAUAAAUUUUUAUAAAAAUACCCUCCAACUAUAAUUUUUAUAUGUCCCUAUUUCAAAUUCAAACACUUCUUUUAAUAAUAAUAAUAAUAAAAAAGGGCAAAAAUGUCAAACUGGGAUUAUAUUUAUAAUUUUCAAUAAUUAGAGGUUGUUUUUCCAAAGUAAAAAUUAUUUUGUUCCUUUGGCACAAAUAUUUCUUUCUUUUUUGUAUUUUUUUAUUCAAAAUAUUAAACACAUUACCCUCAAGGUUACUAUUUAUUAUGAAUGGUGUUUACUUUACAUUACGACAAAUUCAAAUUUUUUAGAAUUUUUUAAUGUUAAAAUAAUUUGGAGCUUAAUAGGGAAAAAAAGAAUAAAUAAUUAGAAAAGCAAUUCAAAAAAAUAAAAUUUAUCCUCUUAAAUUGGUUUUGUGUAAUACUAUAGAAGCCAUUUCUUGAGUUUGAUAUGGUAGAAUUUGGAUUCAUAUUUAUUUUAAAAUCAAGAAAUUCAAGUGUUGGUAGCAUCAAUAGAAUCUUAAAAAAUUUGCAAAAAAAUAUUUAGGUAGAUCACAUUUAAAUAUAACUAAUAGAAUAAAAAAUUAGUAUUAUUAGGAAGACAUGAUCAAUUAAAUCUUUUUUCUUAUCUAUGACACCGACUUUAUUUUUUUACAUAGUCAAUAUAAUUUAUUACAACUUAUAUGUCAUUAAAUUAUACAUGUUUAUAUUAAAUAUAAUAUAAGAUCAUUAAUGGAAUAAUUAUGCAAGUAAUAUAAAUUGUAUAUAAUAUAAAAAAUUUAAAGUCCAUCAAACUAAUGGAAUCUAUUAUAAUAAGUAGACUAGACACCAUGUUGGCCCGAGUUGGAGGCCUAGGCCAGAUUUUAAAGGCUGGGCUUUGAGUUGCCCGUGGGCCUGAGCCAAGGCCUUCUCUUGGUAUCAUCAUUUUGAAGAAAUAAAUUGCUGAUACAGAGAAAAAAACUAUACUAAAUAGAAAAAUAAAUAAAAGCAUUGACUAAAAUGAAGGCCAAGGUCCUUGAAAAAUAAUCUUAAAAUUGUUGCAUAUAUAAUUUCAAUAAUGCAUAAAUAAUUGCAAUAUAUAUGAUGUGAUAAAGAAUUUGGAAUUAAAAGAAGAUUGAUCUAUUUUAAAUGUGGUUGGAAUAUUUCUAAAUUUGUGAUGGGAAGUUAGACAGCCAAUUAGGGAUCCAUAUUAUUUAUUUUCAAUGAUAUGAAUUUAUUUACUUUUAUUAAUAUUCUUAAUGCAACAAUAUAAAAUAUGUCAAUUUUCUAAAAUUAAAAAAGUAAUUGUAAAAGAAAAUUUUUAAUUAUUUUUAUGAAAUUGAGUUUAUUAUAGCAUUUUUCUUUACAUAAAUUUCUUUUUUAUUUUUAUUUUUUUAAAAAUGAGAUAUGAAAAAAAAAGAUCAAUAUUAGUAAAAGUAAAACCCAAUAUAUAAAAAAUAUGAAUAAAUGUUUAUGAAAUAAGAUUUAAAAGUGAGAAGGUAAUAAUUUUUUUCUCUUUUAAUUCCUAUUCAAUUCAUUACAAAAAAUAUUUUUGGUUUUUAUGCUAAAAUUUAUUGUUUAUUAAAAAAUUCUAGUAUAUCUAGCUAUCAUAGAAGAGCUCCAAAAUUUUAUUGUUUAAGAGAAUAUGUGUUGCCACUUUAAAAGAUUUAUAUGCAAAAGGGAUUGAUAUUUUUUUCCUUUGGAUAUGUUUAGUUCCCGGAAAAUUUGAGGGAAAAUGUGAGGGAAGAAAAAUAGAGAAGAAAAGUAUAACGAAAUAAAAAGUGAAGGAAAAUGAAAAAUAGAUUUAAAGUUAACAAAUUAUUUUCAUUGGUUUUUUCAAACUUAUUUUACUUAUUUUAUUCUAUUAAAUAAAGAUUAACUAAUUUUAAUUAUAUUUGGUUUGAUUUUUAUUAUUUUUCAAAGCAAAACCAAAUAUGAAAAAAAAAACAUUUUUUUUUUUUGUUAUUUUUUUCUUUCCUUAUUACUUUUUAGGACUCAAACAUAGCUUUUAGAUUUGGAGCAUGGAAAGAUAAGAGUAUUGAAUAAUGGUUCUAUAUAUGCCCAUGCCCAUGCCCAUGAUACCAUUGAAAAAAAUGGAGAGAGGGUGAAACCUUUACUAGAUGAUAAAUUAUUCUCUUCAAUGGAAAUCAAAUAUAAUUAUUUUUAUCUUGUAUUAAUUGAAUGUUAUACUCCAUAAACUCAAAAUUAAAAUAAAUAAAAAAUUUAAAAACUAGGACAAUCCCAUUUUUUUUCAAUUUCUUAAAAAGAAAUUAAAUUAUAUUUAUUUAUAUCUAUUUUCAUCCCUACCCAACAAAAUAAAAAAAAAUUAACAAGGUGGGACAUGUAUGAGAAAUUCUCACACUAACUCUCACUAGUUUAUUUUUUUUUAAAAAAAAAAAUAAAAUCAAUUUCUUUUAAAAAAAUUAAACUACAUAAAAAAUAAACAAAUUUUACAAUUUUUUUUAAGAAAAGUAAAUUUCUUAUUUUAUAUAUGUUAAAAAUAAAUAUAAUCUUUUAUUUUUUAUAUAUAUAAUCGGGUAAGGUAGAGUGGGACAAAGAAAUAAUCCCCUUCGAUUCCAAUCCGAAUUUUUAAAAUAUAAAAUAAAAAUCUUAAACUCAUCCCUAAUCCAUUUAUUUUUAAUCCUAAACUUGUCUUAUUAAGAAUAAGGCAAAGUGAGUACAUGAAAACACUUCUUUUAUCAUCAUCUCUACAAGUUCUAAUGUUUAGAUUGCAAUCCAUAUCAAAGAUUUAUAAAGAAAGAACAACAAUGAAUUUCAUAAACAUUUGAAAGCAUAAACAAAGUUUUAAAUAAUAUUGCUUGAGGUGCAAAUAUUAUUUGGCGCACAUGUUGAGGGACUUCAACUGGUGUAGUCUAGGUUUUUUACACUAGUAAGUAAUCUUGAAUAUCUAGAGUAACUUGAUCAAAAUCUCUUUAAUUUUAUUUUCUUUGAUGGUUGUAUGAUGAAUUAGAAUGCUUAUAUAACAUGAUUAAAAAUUUUAAGAAAAAAAAACUAAGAAGAAAGAAAGAAGCAUCGAUCUUCCAAAUAUUGCUUCCACUUUAAUAUCUAGUAGGCUCUAAGAAAAGAACUUUAUUCAUGAAUCAUAACCCAAGUCGAAAAUAAAUUGAACCCAUUUUCUAAGUUAAAUUUUGAAUUUUUUACUAGUGAAUGCAAAUUGGGAAAAUGUAUAUAAAUAUAAUCAAACUAGAAUAGUAGAUUAGGUUUGUAGGUGGAGUUUGUUUGAAUUGUUGGAACUUCCAAGUCGUUGUGGGUCUAGUGGUCCCAUAGCUCUCUAUUAAUUUCCACCAUCAAUUUUUUGCAAUAAAGUCAAGUCAUUCCUAACCCUUAUAUUAAGUUGGCCUUAAAAGUCAAGUCAUUGAUCAUAGUUACAUUCAUGAAUCACAACCCAAGUCGAAAAUAAAUUAAACCCAUUUUUCAAGUUCAACUUUGAAUUUUUUAGUAGUAAAUGCAAAUUGGGAAAACAUAUAUAAAUAUAAUUAAACUAAAAUAGUAGAUUAGGUUUGUAGGUGGAGUCUGCUUGAAUUAUUGAAACUUCCAAGUCAUCGUGGGCCCAAUGGUCCCAUAGCUCUCUAUUAAUUUCCACCAUCAAUUUUUUGCAAUAAAGUCAAGUCAUUCUAACCCCUAUAUUAACUUGGCCUUAAAAGUCCAAUCAUUGAUAGCUAAAUCCCAACCCAAGUCAAAAAUAAAUUGAACCCAUUUUCUAAGUUCAACUUUGAAUUUUUUUUAAUUGGAAAAAUGUAUAUAAAUAGAAUUAAACUAGAAUAGUAGAUUAGGUUUGUAGGUGGAGUUUGCUUGAAUUUGUGAAACUUCCAAGUCGUCGUGGGUCUAGUGGUCCCAUAGCUCUCUAUUAAUUUCCACCAUCAAUUUUCUGCAAUAAAGUCAAGUCAUUCCUAACCCCUAUAUUAAGUUGGCCUUAAAAGUCAAGUCAUUGAUCAUAGUUACAUUCAUGAAUCACAACCCAAGUCGAAAAUAAAUUAAACCCAUUUUUCAAGUUCAACUUUGAAUUUUUUACUAGUGAAUGCAAAUUGGGAAAACAUAUAUAAAUAUAAUUAAACUAAAAUAUUAGAUUAGGUUUGUAGGUGGAGUCUACUUGAAUUAUUGAAACUUCCAAGUCAUCGUGGGCCCGGUGGUCCCAUAGCUCUUUAUUAAUUUCCACCAUCAAUUUUUUUGCAAUAAAGUCAAGUCAUUCUAACCCUUAUAUUAAUUUGGCCUUAAAAGUCCAAUCAUUGAUAGCUAAAUCCCAACCCAAGUCAAAAAUAAAUUGAACCCAUUUUCUAAGUUCGACUUUGAAUUUUUUUUAAUUGGAAAAAUGUAUAUAAAUAGAAUUAAACUAGAAUAUUAGAUUAGGUUUGUAGGUGGAGUCUACUUGAAUUUGUGAAACUUCCAAGUCGUUGUGGGUCUAGUGGUCCCAUAGUUCUCUAUUAAUUUCCACCAUCAAUUUUCUGCAAUAAAGUCAAGUCAUUCCUAACCCAUAUAUUAAUUUGGCCUUAAAAGUCCAGUCAUUGAUAGCUACGUUCAUGAAUCCCAACUCAAGUCAAAAAUAAAUUGAACCCAUUUUCUAAGUUCAACUUUGAAUUCUUUUAAUUGGGAAAAUGUAUAUAAAUACAAUUAAACUAGAAUAGUAGAUUAGGUUUGUAGGUGGAGUCUGCUUGAAUUUGUGAAACUUCCAAGUCGUCAUGGGUCUAGUGGUCCCAUAGCUCUUUAUUAAUUUUCACCAUCAAUUUUCUGCAAUAAAGUCAAGUCAUUCCUAAACCAUAUAUUAAUUUGGCCUUAAAAGUCAAGUCAUUGAUAGUUACGUUCAUGAAUCACAACCCAAGUCUAAAAUAAAUUGAACCCAUUUUCCAAGUUCAACUUUGAUUUUUUUACUAGUGAAUGCAAAUUGGGAAAACAUAUAUAAAUAUAAUUAAACUAGUAUAGUAUAUUAGGUUUGUAGGUGGAGUAAGCUUGAAUUGUUGAAACUUUCAAGUCGUCGUGGGUCUAAGGGUCUUAUAGCUCUCUAUUAAUUUCCAUCGUCAAUUUUUAUGAAUUAAGAUUUAAAAGUGAGAAGGGAAUAAAUUUUUUCUUUUUCAAUUCAUUACAAAAAAUAUUUUUGGUUUUUAUGCUAAAAUUUAUUGUUUAUUCAAAAAAUUAAAGUAUAAAAAUAUAAAAAAAAAUAUAUAUCUUGAUAUUAUAGAAGAGCUCCAAAAUUUUUGUGUUUAAGAGAAUAUGUGUUGCCACUUUAGAAGAUUUAUAUACAAAAAGGAUUGAUGUUUCUCCUUUGACUAUGUUUGGUUGCCAAAAAUUUGAGGGAAAGAAAAUAAAAAAAAAUAGUAAAAAAGAAAAAAUGAAGGAAAAUAAAAAAUAGUUUUCAAGUUAAUAAAUUAUUUUUAUAUGUUUUUUCAAACUUAUUUUACUUAUUUUCUUUCAUUAUAUAAAGAUUAAAUAAUUUUAAAAUGCAUAAUUUCUAACUAAUUUUAAUUAUAUUUAAUUUUUCUUUUAUAUUUUUUAGACGGGAUCCGACACAUGAAAAAAUCCUUUUUUUUAGCAUCUUUUUUUCUUUUCUUAUUACUUUCCAAUAACCAAAUAUAACCUUUAGAUUUAGCCUUUAGACUUGGAGUAUGGAAGGAUACUGAGUAUUGAAAGAAGGUUUUGUAUAUGGCCAUGAUACCAUAGAAAAAAUGGGCGAGAGAGAAAAAACCUUUAUUAAAUGAUAAAUUAUUUUACUACUUACUACAUAAAUAGAUAUUCAUGGAGUGCAUUCUCUAAAAAGCUCCAGUCUCAUGAAAAUGGAAAGAUGGACCGGCCAGUGGACCGGUUCGAGUUUGGAUUUAUGGGCUGCCUCAGCCUAACACGCAUGAUAGGCUGUUGCAGGUGAAGAACUAAUUAAUUUAAAGCCUUCUUCUAUCCUCUCCUAUUCCUCUUUCACUCCAAAUUUUCCACAUGAUAAUGACAAUUCUUUUGUUAAAUGGUAAAAAAAAAAAUUUAACAAUUAAUUUAAAAUCAUUUAUAAAAUCAUGAACUUUGGCAUCCUAAUUAAUGCAAUUUAAACUUUUUUUGUUUACAAAUGAAAUAAGAGGCAACAUAUAAACCCAAAAGUUAAUUUUCCUACCAUCUCUAUGCACCAUUUUAGCUUUACUCCAAUAUAUUUUCUAUGAUUAAUUAUUUUCAUUCAAACAAUAAUAUCAAAAUAUUUUAAAAUUAGACAUAUCAUAAUCAAAUAUCAUUAUAUUAUUAUUGAAUAAUAUUUAAUGUAAUUUAAUAAUCAACGUAUACUUAUAGAAUUUAUAUUUUUUAUUAAUGCAUAUAAUAUUAUUAUCAAAUAUGAUAAAUUAUAUAUAUAUAUUUCUUUAACAAAACAACUUUAAAAUAUCUAUUAUACUUUUAAUUUCAUCUCUAAGAGGUUUUUUUUUUUUUCUUUUUUUUUUUUACAUUUUUAUAAGUUUUGAUCAAUUGUAGGCUAACCAAUAUUUUUUUAUCAAAAUAUCCACCAAUAUAUCUCCGAUAUAUUAGAUAUAUCCGUAACAUCGAAAUACCAAUAUAUCCGCGAUUAUCGAUAUUUUUAUCCUUGAGGGAUAACAACUAAUAUAGUUUUUGCACUUAAUGAUAUUCCUCAACAUUUAGAUUGAUUUGACCAAAAUCUUUUUAAUUUUAUUUUCUUUGAUGGUUAUAUGAUGAAUUAGAAUAGUCAUAUAACAUUAACAGAUUUAAGAAAAAAAGGAUAAAAAAGCUCGUAUUUUUCAAAUAUUGGUUUCAACUUUGAAUAUUUUUAUUGGUAAAUGAAAAUUGUGAAAAACCUACUAAUGCUAAUACUUUUCACCACAUAAUUAAAUAUAAUAAACUAGAAUAGUGAUUCAUUGAUGUCUUAUAAAGACACAUGCCUUCUUUGACUUGUUAGUUGAUUUUUGUAGGUGGAGUCCAUUUCCAUUUGAAUUGUUGAAACUUCCAAGUCCUUGUGGGUCUAGUGGUCUCUCUAAUAAUUCCCACCAUUAAUUUUUUGUGAUGAAGUGCAGUCAUUGAUAGCUACUAUAUCAAUUUGCUAUUAAAAGUCAAGUCAUUGAUAACUAAUAUUCAAUCUUUUUCAAUAUGGAAAUUGGAAUCUCUAGCACUACUCUUCUCAUUGUUCAUUUUUAGGUAAUGUGAGAAUGUGUGAACAUAAAUGUCUUCUAAUCAACCAAUUUUUUUGAAAAAAACAUGUACAAAAUUGCAAAACUUGCAAAAUCAAACUUUCUUGUUGAAUAACCAUAGCUUGAUGGUUUUGAAGAAUCAAAGGAUGAAUCAUAAAAGGGUAUUUGAUAAAAAAUAAAAAUUUAAAAAGUUAAAAGACAACUACUCCCUUAAGUGUAAUAAGUGUAUUUGGUAGCACAAAUUUCCUACCACUUAUUAUUUUUUCCUUUCUUAAAAAAUUAUUUACUCUAUUAAAUAAACUAACCUUGGCUUAGCACUUAUAGCAAAAUAGGUUAAGUAGUUUUUAAAAUUUUAUAAUAUUAGAUUUACAUUUUUAUCCUUCAAAAUUUCAUUAAUGCUAGAUUCUUCUAUAUGCUUAACUAAUAAAUAAUUUUUAGCAUUUUUCUUUUCUUAUAAACAUAAAAAAAUAAAAAUAUUAUUAACUUAUUGGUAUAUUUUAAAAUUUUAAUUAGAUUUAAGCUUUUAUUUGUUUGGAUUACCAAUUAUACAUAUAAAUCCUUUGUUAUUAUUGUUAUUAUUGAAAGAAAGGGGUUGAAUAGGUAGUCCCUCAAUCCCCAAAUUAAAUUCUUUAUUGCCUACUUUUGGUUUAUUCCUUUACAUGAAUUCCUUGGUGAGAGUAAACAUUUCAUUAAUAGAUAAAUAAAAUUGAUUCCAUAUCAUAGGGUAUAAUGUGGAAAAAUCACCAGUCUCAUGUGUUCCUUAGUGGAUCCUUUGGAGCCCUAUCAAAGUUUCAUGAUGAAACCAUUGACUUUUGUUUAACCCAAAUGUGCUUUCAAGACAAAUCUUGAAAGAUUUGAGAGAUGGAGGUUCAAGUCUUUUAUGAACGACCAUGUUCUCUUAGGGUUCAUGAAAUUCACACCUUUUGAUAAAUAAAACUUAUCUAUUUAUACGUCUAAAACCCAGUAUUUAUUUAUUUAAUUAUAGAAAGUUUCUUAGUUUUAAAAACAUUUCAAAAAUCAUUUUUAGAAUCAAAUAAGAAUUUUAGAGAUAAACACAAUAUUAAAAUUUAACAAAAACAAAUUUUCGAAUUAAAAACACAAUAUAAACUAAAUUACAAAAUAUAAAGUAAUUUUUACCCUAAUUUCUUGUUGCAAAACCAAAUGGAACACCUAGAAGGGGAGUGAAUGGGUGAUUUUAAAUUUUUUCAAUAAUUAUUUAUAAGUUAUACCCAAUUCUUUUACCCUGCAAGUUGUUAGGGACUAUCAAUUCUUUCAUUUUGGCAAUUCAAACAAUAUAUCAAAUAAUAAAAAGAUAUAAAUAAUGAGACAUAAAUAUUUUUACGUGGAAAACCCCCCACACUAACCAUGGAGAUAAAAAGCCAUGGAGUCUAAGACCUAUUAAUCUAAAUUCACGGUACGAAAUCAAGUUACACAAAUUUAUUUGACAACUUUACCUUAAAGACUUACUCUACAGUACUGACAACUUGAUUCACAUCCACGACGUAGCAACCCUCGAUUACUCCAAUGGAUCACUUCAAGCUUACUAAAAGGAUGAAGGCCUUCAAACCAAGAUUCAAAAAUCAAUUCCUUGAAUGAGAGAUCAGGAAUGGUGUGCCACUUUAGGCUUUCUCUCUAAGAACUCUAAAAUGAUCUCCUCAAUGAAAACCUUUUAAACAAAAUGAGAUAUUUCUCCACAAUCUCUAACCCUCAAGGGGUUAUAAUGAGAUAUUUAUAAGCAACUAAGUUGAAGAGUUUCGGUUUUGGAAGGUUUCUCAAUUGAAUUUGUGUGAAAAACUCGACAGAAUCAACAUGACCGCUCGAGGCAGCACACUUCCCACUUGAGCGUUUCGGGCACUUGAGCGGUAAGGCUUGCUUGAGUUGUCCUAAGCGCUUGAGCAUUCCAGGCUACUUGAGCAAUCUUGCUCUAUUUCAAAAGUUAAUUUUAAACCAUUUUAAGUUCAAAACAAAAUUGAUUCCCUUUAUACCUCAAAGGAGCCUAACUUGCCACAAACCAAACUUUUUUAGAUAUACUUGUGACUUCCUGGUUGGACGAACAACAACUCUUAAUCUUCAAUGGAGAGCAAGUCACUAUCUAAAAAGAUUUAUAUGGUCAAACAUAAAAAAACAAAAAAAUUGCCAACAUAACAACAAGACUCAAUGUCCAUGCAUGGUCACCUGAAAGGUGACUCCGACCACAAUAUAAUGCAUGUUCUCAUAGAACAUGUGAACAAGAUGGGGAUAGGAAGUCCCCUAGAGAGAAAACAGAGUCUCCUAACCCUACUCUUGAAUGAUGAUAGGGAAGACAGUGUCCUGAAAAGCUUAAAGGUUAAUGGCAUGCUCAGGCUCGACACACCGAUAUGUGAAAGAAGCGUAAUAAUGGUCCCGUGCCACCUGGUAGUGAAAGCGCUCAACCGGAAGUGCAUCUAGGUUAAAAAGACCCUAGAGUGGGAUGCCCUAGACGGUUUCAGUGACCUAGGAAAGGUCACCUCCCUUUGACAUCUAUGACUAGCCAUAUCUAAGGUAUAUAAUAUGAAAAAACAAAAGCUAAAGAAAAUCCAGAGAAAAGCUAAACCACUAAAAAUGUUAAACUCAAUGCGUCGAACAAUACUAUACAAAUGGAAAUGAAAAAUAUGAAGCGAACUGACCUCAGAAGACAAAAGGACAGUAACCCAGAGGGCUCGAAGAGGAAUAGGAAAGAUUGAAAUGAAUAUGGCGUGAUGGAUGACCUUUAUAUAGCUUAUAAGAGUGCUUGAUGCAGAUUAGCACUUGAGCGUCAUGACUAACUUAAAUCAAAUUAUUUAUUAAUAUGGAAAUAUUUUAAAAGUUUCAAAGGAAGUAUUCAAUUUAGAACCUUUUUAGAAUUUUUUUGAAAGAAACAAAAAUAAAGCGUGAAAUAUUAUGUGUUAAAGGUGUUAGAAGACAAUAUUGUCUAAUCCAAAGCCUUACACAUUCCUAAAAAAAAAAAAAAAAAAAAAGGAAAAAGAGAGAUAUUAUAUAAGAUUUUGAUCACAUCUAAUAGAAACUAAUAUUUAGCAACAUAUCACCAAGCACUAUCUUAUCAGAAAGCUCUAACAUGUUGGAAAUUUAUGUAAGGUUCCAUAACAGCUAAAAACUUUUUCUGACGACUCGGUAAUGGACCAUUUGCACUUUAACUACAUUAUUGAAUUUAAAUCAUAUUAGAAUUGUAAUUGACUUCUCUUUUGUGAGACUACAUAUCUUGUAGGAUGGGAUAGGUGAUUCAUUUCAUAUAUGAAAUUUACUUAAUUUAGUAAUGCUUCCAAGUUCAUUAUGAAUCUAAUGGUAUCACAACUCCUUUAAUAUUUGUAAUUUUGUAAUCUUUGUUUCAACUUCUCAAGUCUAGUCAUUUUAUUGGCAUAACUAGUUUGCUUCAAUUAUCUCUCAACUUUAUUAUAAAACUAAGGGAAAGGAUUAUCACGCAUUUUAUAUUAACUUAACCAAACAUCUUUAUAUAUCUUACAUAUAUAUAUUUUUUGUAAAUUUAGGAAAAUUUCAUCCAUUAGCCAUAGUAAGUAAGAAUCAAAUAAGGGAUAUGUAAGCCAAUGGUGAUAUUGAUGGCGUCAAAUCAAUGACAUAGUAGAAAAGUGGAUUGUCUAUUUUCAAACCUUUAUAUUUUCAUCCAAUAGUAAAAAGGUUUAGGCAUCACUUGAAAAGUAGUUCGUUUUUUACCUUGGACUAUGAUUUAUGAAUAAAGUUCUUCUGUUGUAUACCUUUUGUGAUGCCCCAAACCUAAUUUAGGGGUAAAAAAAUAAUUUAGAAAAAAAUAAAUAAAAAGUUAAAUAAAUUUAAUUAAGGUAAAAAUGUAUUUUUGUAUUUAAAAUUCCUAGGUAUCAAUUAUAUAUUUCUUGUCUUCUCUAUUCAAAAAACCCUAUUACACAAAAAUCAAAUAUCAGAGAACAUAGGACAACGCAGGGUUGAAGAUUUGGAGGUUUAGGGUUGAAGAUUAGUUUUCCAGGUAAGAUUCUAACCCUUAAAUUAGUAUUUUAGAUUCGUUAAUUAGUUUGAACACUUUAGAUAUUCUUUGAAAAAUCUGAAUCUACGUUAGGGUUUGUUAAUUUAAUUUUUAAAUAAAAAAGAUUCAAAAUUUAUGAACAUAAGUAGAGUUAUUAUUAAAGAUUGAAAUUUUUUGAAUAUUUGAAUUAAAAAUCUAGAAAAAAAAAGAAGAAAAUAAAUUAUAGCUUUGGAUGUGGAAAAAAGUUAAUAUUAAUAAAUAAAUAAAACUUAUGAGUACGGAGGUAGAAAAAUAUGAGAGUUGAAAGCAAAGAAAAAAAAAAGAGAAUAAGGUUUUGUGGUUGUACGUGUCUCCUUAGUGGAAAAAAGAAAUACAAGGUUGUUUGCAAUAGGAUAUGACAAAGAGAGAGAGAUAAAUGCUUAGAUGUUGAUUUUUGUGGGGAAAAAAAGAUUGGGUAAUGUAGGAGAGAAAUAGGUAGCACUUGUAGAGUUGGUGGGGUUGUUGUAAAAGCUCGUAGGGUAAUUGUUAGGUAGUAGUAGGGUAUGAGAUUAAUUGUUAGGAAACAUUAGGACUUGAAAUAAUAAUAAUUGCUUCUAGUAAAAGUUUUAACUUAGUUUAAGUAUAUAAAAGAAAUAGAUGAUUAGAAUAAGAUUUGGAAGGAAUAUGAAUUCAUAAAAAUUUCGAAAUUUACUAAUUUAGAUUAUUAUUUUUUUGGAAGUUGAAUAUAAUAUAGGUGGUAAUAUUAUUAAUAUAGGAAAUGAUUAAGAUUCUCAAACCUACAAUUUUAGAUAAAUAGUUAAUAGUAAUAGUUGAUUUUUUAUUUUUUUUAUUUUUUAUUUUUUAUGUUAUGUUAAGUGAAUAAUGGAUUCUUUGAUUAAUUCUCUAAGGUUUCUAAGUGCUUCUUUAAGAUAAGGGAUAUUAAUACUGAUUUUGUAAAUGAAAAUAUUUCUUUUUAUAAGUUAUUUUAAAUUAUGAAAAAUUUUAUUUUUAUUUAUGCAUGGAUCAAAUAUAUAUUUUUUCAUGAGAAACAUGUUUGGGCAAUUUCUUUGUUUAUAAAUAAAUAAAUAAAAAAUGAGAACUUUGGAAAUAUAAUGUUUUGUUUUGCAAGUUUAAAAUAAUGAAAUAAAGUUUUUGACUCUGGUUUAUAUGACCUUAGUUAAUGGGUUAUAAUUGUUGACAUUUUCAGCUCUCCAAUCAAUGAUUAUAAUUGUUGAGAUUUUCAACCCUAGCCAACGGGUUAUAAUAGUUGACCUUAUAGCCCUAGUCAACAGAUAUAAUUGUUAACCUUUCGUUUUUCCCAUCUUAAAAAGAACAAAUUUAAGGCUAACCAUUUAUUUGUAAAGUCCCACCUAACUAAGUACCAUUUGUUAUUUAAUAACCAGAGUAAAGAUAUUUUGAAUGUAUUUGAUAUGAAAUUAUUUUGAUAUAAAUAUGAAAAUGUUUGGUUGAAAAGUUCAAAUGUUUAAUGCAUGUUGAAUUCAAAAGUUUUUAUGAAAAUGAUUAUAUGUUAUAUCUCCUAUUUGUAAGUUUGAUCCAUAAAACUGUAUUAAUAUUCCUUAUUGGACUUUGAGCUCAUUCCCCUUUGUUGAGAAUUUUUUUUGGUAUUCUCAGUUUGGGCAAGGAGUGAUGACUGGGUUGGGGAAUUUUCUUUACUAUGAUUUUGGUUCAAUCUUUAUUUUGGACAUUGUAAUUUAAUUCCCAUUUAAAUUAUUUGGGUUUGGAGUUAUUUGGACGAUAACACUUUGAUUGAUGUGUUAGUUUUAAAGUUGAGAAUUGAAAAUUAUAGAAUUUAUUUAUCUUUCUACUUUGAAUAGAAAUUUAGUAAUUGGAGAUCAUCCAGUUACAAGAUGAAUAUUAGAUGAAUAUUUGUGUCGUUUCCACAUUGAGUGUUCAGGCUUAGGGUGUGAAAUGACCGUUAUGCCCUUGGAGUGGGUAUAUUGUUUAUUUGAAUUUAAUGGUCCCCGAACUCCUUAAUUACUCAUAACUUUAUAUCACCUUCUCAAAGUUAAGUUGUUUUACAACUACUAUCUAGCUACUUUUCUCUACUAUGACAACUUUAUUACAUAGUGAUUAAUUGAAAGAAUCUACAUGUCUUAUUUCAUAGGAUAGUUGAUUUUUUUACUCAAUGAAUCUUGCUUUUAUUAUUGAAAAUUUCAAAUCAUUGUAGUCCAACAAUUUACUAUCCUUUGGUAAUUUCAUAUUACAUUUCCAAAGUCUAAUCAUUUAAAAACACUUGUAGUUAAUAUAUUGGCAAUUGCAUUGUGGGAAGUUGUUCACUUGAUUUUAAUGUUGAAACUUUCAAAUUGUUGUAGUCCAACAAUUCCCUAUCCAUUGGUAAUUUCAUAUCACAUUUUCAAAGUAUAAUCAUUUACAAAUACUUGUAUAUAGUAUAUUUGGUGAUUGUAGAGUGGAAAGUUGAUCGUUUUCAUGAAGACCUCUAAAAUAGAAAUUUUUUUCAUUCCAUUUAAUAAAGAAUUUCAUUAAUUGAACAUAUAUGUUUUUUUAACCGGAAAGUAGAGGCCACAUUAUACGAGGCCUUAGGUGACAAUACUAGGUGAGGGUUUUUUUUUUUAAUUUAUUUAUUACUAAAUAUAAAUAAUAUUAUUUAUUGUAUAAUAAAGAUUAUUAUAAUAUAUUUUUUAUAGAUGAAAAAAAUAUUAAUUGAGUUUUAUUUUUUUAAAAUAAUUGUUUUCAAUAAAUAACUUAUUUGUAAAAAGAAAACUAUAAAAUAUAUGCAUUUGAAAAAUAUUUAAUUUUUAUUUGAUUUAGUAUCAAUUAAUAUUUGUAAUAUUUUUUAAUAUUAUAGAAGUUAACAUACUCAAUCAAGAUAUUCAAGAUCAAGAGAAUAUUUAAGAUUGAAUUAAUUUCUUUAUUGUUUAUGUUUUAGUAAAUUUUUAUAUCCAUUACAAAUUUUUUAUUGUUUAUUUUUCAUUCAAUGUUUGCAUUUUUUAAUAGAUAUUAAAACGAUUUUUUUUCUUGUAUGUUAAAAAAAUAUUUCAAUGUCUUUAAAAAUAAAAUAUUGCAGUAAAAUCAAAAUUACAUUGUGAAACUUUAAGCGAAUGUUUUAUACUUAAGAAGUGCCAAUUAAAGUAAGCAUGCAUCUACAAUUGUAAUUUAGAUGUCAUACUGAAACAAUAGUUCUCUUUGACUAUAUCAUAAAAUUUGGUUCGAAUUACUUUAAGUCGUCUUGUAGAUUUUCAAGUUCCAAUGAUAUGCAUCAAGUAUGUGCAACAUACUUGAUAUAACUAAUAUUUUCUUAAGUAAUUGGACACUUUUUUCUAUAAAUUUACUUGAUUAUCAAUGAAUACUUUUAUGUAAGGUAUUGAUAUAAUUCGAUAAAUAUUUUAAAAUAGUAUUAGAAUAGCUUUGCUCUUUCCCAAUUAACAAAUUUACUAAAUUAACUUAUAUAUAUUUGUUUAUUUGAAUUUACUGGUAUUUGACUCAAAUUGUUAUUAUUUUUAAAAUUAUAGGAAAACCAUUAUUUAUAGAGUUUAAUUAUAUUUGGUAAAUUAUCUUUUUAAGUUUGGCUAGGAUUAGGAAACUAUUAAUUUAAGAUUAAUCCAUAAGGCUCUAUAAAUUUGCAGUUUUAUUUAGGAUUUAAAAAAAGAAAGAAAAAGUAAGAAAAAGUGAAGAGAGAUAGGCAAAGAGUGCAUUGGGUUUUAAAUAAAGAAAGGUUGAGAGAGUUUUGAUUACUACUCAAAAAGAACAUAUUUUAGAUAGUAAUUCUCAUGGGUUUCACAUCUUUUGAGUAUUAAUUAUGCCUAAAAAUGCUCAAUUAACAUGUUGUUGCCUUUGCAAGAGUUACUAACAAGUUUUAUAAAGUUUUGGAGUCAUUUCAAGUUAUGAUUUUAAUAAAUUGGUGACGAAAGAGAUGAAUUGAUUUGAAGAAGGCAAAUAAUAUUGAUGAUGAUCCAAAUGCAUAAUGAAAGAAGCAAUAUAAUUAGUUUGAUCGGGAUUUGCUGCUAAUUUGGAGGUAGUUAAGGUGGAGUCAAAAGAAGAAAAUGGAAGAAAUGACAAAGAGGAGCUUAAAAACCAAAUGUUGCAGAUUUGUAUGAUCAUGCAAAAAUUACAUGACUAUGCGAAAUGGAUUAGAGAAGGAAAAUUGACUAUAGUAUAAGGAGGAUGCUUAAGUUGAUUUCGCAUGAACAUGCGAAAAUUUUGCACAAUCAUGCGAAAUGGUCCAGAAAGCUCUCUAAUGUUGUUGUUGCUCCACUAAUUUCACACCACCAUGCGAAAUUGAUCUUUUCAUGCAAAAUGGCUGAAGCUCAUGUGAAAUCAUGAUUUUGAUGCUAAACUCUAGAUUUGUGAAUUUGGAAGGUUUUAGAAGAUCAAUGAGAAGUUGCCAAGUGUCCACUUGACCUUGGUCUAUAAAUAGAAACUUGAAUUUCCCAUGUAAAGAGCUUUGUGAUACUUUUGAUUUUAGAUUUUUCUAGGAACUCUUUCUCUAAAUAGAAUUCUAUAUUUUCUUUAAUUUUCUCUCAUUUUCUCAUUCGCCAAACAUGCCUAGUGAGACCAAAUCUCCAAGUAUGAGUGGCUAAAUCUCGUUUUUCUCAAAGGAAUGAGGAUCUAGAGUCAAGAUCUAUGGUGAAUUAUAGAAAUGAGUUUUAAUCGGAAAUGCAAUUUGAUUCAAUUGAUUGAUUAAUUGAAAUUUGAGGAUUUUUCUCUUCAAAUUAUCCUAAAUGACUAUUACAUUGCAAACUAGGUAGAUUCAUUAAAUUCUUAAAGCUAGAUUUAAUGAGACUGAAUAGUUGCAUUGUAUGAAUCAUUGGAAGAUAAUUUAAGAUGAAUUGAAUAUAUAAUUUAAAUUGAUCUCUUGGAUUAAAUAACCUAAUUUGAAGAGAAAUUAGGUUUAGACUUAAAGGUAAAUCUAAAAUCGAUUUAGAUAAGAAUUUAGGUUUUCAAUCUAACUUGAUGAAAAAUAAAUCUCAACAUCUAUUCACCAUGGAAAUUGUUUUCUAAAAAAUAUUAACUCCGAGAAUUCCUUUUCCUUAUCAAUUUUCUUAUAUUCUACAUUAUAUUGUUCUUUUCGAUUAGAAAUCAUUGUUAUUUUGAUUUUUCAUGAAUUGUCAAAUCAAUUUCACUUGACCAUAAUCAUUUCUUUUCCUCCCAUUUAAGCCUUAAUUAUCGAGAAUAAUCCAUCCCAAUAGAAGACACCUAAGACCACUAUACUACCGUAGCUUUUGCUAAAAAACCUUUUUGAUCGGGCAAGAGUUACCUUAGCAUAGUUGAAUUAGGUUAUAAUUUUUUUAUCCAAUAAACAACAAAAAAAAUCAAUCGAUCAAGUUUGCAUUGUGUAUUCUUGAAUUUUAUUAAUAAAUUUGAUCCCCCUUUUUGAAGCGAUUACACCAAACCAAGUAAAUAUUUUAUAUACUUCAUUUGCUUUAUUUUUUCUAUUAAGUUUAGGUGUUGCAAUUUUCAAGAGUCAUGGUGAGAAGAUUGUGGGAAAAAUUAUUUUAAGGAUGGAGUCGAACAUAAAAUAUGAAAUUGAGUCCUUUGAUGGAAAUAAUAAUUUUAAUAUUUGAUAGAGUAUUAUUAAAGAUGUUUUGAUACAACAAAGACUUCUCAAAGCAUUACAAGGCAAAAAAACUAGAGAGCAUGACAAAUAAAGAAAUGAAAGAAUUAGAAGCAAGAGUUGUAAGUACUAUUUGUUUAAGUCUUAAAAAUGAAAUACAUUGUUUUGAAUGAAAAAAAUAUUCUUUUAGGGGUGUCAAUUGCUCUUUUAGAGACCAAAAAUAUUAAGCAGUCAAGUAGUUCAUCUCAUAUUGGACAAACUGUUAUGAUGAAUUCUAAACCACAUCAUCAUAGGAGUAAAUCGAAAGAAAGUAUCUGAUAGGAGGAUGAUCAUUCCAUUCACACUUAUGGAGGAAUAUGAAGUAUUAUUACUGUGAAAAAAAAAACAUAUCAGGAGAUAUUGUAAAGAAUUGAUGAAGUACCUAGAAGAAAUGAAAAUUUUUAAAUCCCAAGAGACUUCAAAUUUUACUAAUAUUGUUGAUGAAAAUUUUGAAAUAUUGUAGUAAAUUAAAAGUUACAUUAUGGGACUUUUAGUGAGUGUUUUAUGUUGAAGAAAGGCUAAUUAAAGUAAACAUGCAUCUAAAACUAUAAUUUAGAUGUUGUACUCAAAUAGUUGCUCUCCUCGAUUAUAUCAUAAAAUUUGGUUUGAAGUCUAAGUCAUCUAAUAAUUUUCUAAUUCAAAUUGCAUGCAUCAAACAUGUGUGUUAGGAAGUGUUGCAAAUUACUAAUUAAUAUAGAUUCUUUUUUUUUUUAAAGAAUAUUGUAUUGAAUAUUUCUAGGUUGAUAUAUUAUUGUAAUAUUAGACUUUCUUAUAGAAUAAGGAAGGUUGUUGAAAAUAUCCCUAUAAAUAUUCUAGUUCAUAAGGGGAAAAAGUUAUGAGAUGAAGAUGGACCCAUAAAGACUAUACAAGGUGGAUAGAGACGUGAAGAAAAACGAGAGGUACCCGGUGGAGCGAGAGGGCUCGUGGUAGGGUAUAGGUACAAAGAGUGAGAAAACAUGGGAUGUUUUGGGAACCCAAUAAUUGUAUCUGGUUAUGUCCUCUAUAAGUUCUAGUCCUGUCAUCUGCAUUGUUCUCUAUUUUAUAGUGGAAUGAUUCUCUUUUAUCUGUGGACGUGGGCAUGGUUUUCGAACCAUGUUAAAACCUUGUGUACCGUUUGUGUUGAUUUUUUUUUUUAUCUUUAUUUUAUUGAUUAAUGAAGUUUGCAUCAAAGCUUCUGUCAACGUAACAAACUUGUAUCAAAGCUUGGGUUAAAGAUUUCUAGAAGAGUAAAAGAUCAUAGAGCACACAAGAUGAAAACAAAAGGAAUUUUUAGUGAAAAUGGAGUCAAUUGCUCUCUCAUGGUGAUAUGAUAUAAAAAGUUUGUGUCAUGGAAAGUUUGAAGAUUUACUUCAUGGAAUCUGGUCCAAAAUGGAGAUUGUUAAUAAGUAUCCCAAAUUCCUAAUUAGUUUAGAUUUUUUUUUUUUGUAAAGAAUAUUGUAUAGAAUAUUUCUAGGUUAAUAUAUUAUUGUAAUAUUAGACUUCCUUAUAGAAUAAGGAAGGUUGUUGAAAAUAUCUUUAUAAAUAUUCUAGGUCAUGAGGGAAAAAAGUUAUGAGAUGAAAUGGGCCUGUAAAAACUAUAUGAGGUGGAUAGAGAUGUGAGGAAGAACAAGAGGUACUCAAUGGAAUGAAAGGGCUCGUGGUAGGGUAUGGAUACAAAGAGUGGGGAAAUAUGGGAUGUUUUGGGAACCUAAUAGUUGUAUCUGGUUCUGUCAUCUAUAAUGUUCUAGUUAUGUCCUCUAUAAUUGAUUCGUUCCCAAUUGGUGUCUCAGCUGAUUCAUGUCCUCUCCAUGGUCCCUGAUAGUGGUGCCAUUUGAUUCAUGUCCAGCUGGUGUCCCUUGAUUUUGGUCUUCAGGGAGUAAUCAACAAAAUUUAUAACCUAUUACACCAUGUACUAGGAUAGCCUUAGCUAGCAUAGCAUAGUGGCUCUAGGGUCGUUCACUGGGAUGGGUUUUCACUUCACAAUUGAUAUUAAUUCAAAGAUGAAUUGGUGCUUUUUCAUUUCAAGGUUAGCUUUAAAAGAAAACAUAAAGAUGUUUGAAUGAAAAAGGUUUUGUUUUAAACUAACCAAAAAUAAUAACUGAUUUUACUUACAAAGAAAAGUGUUUCUUGGAGUUUAGAUCACUGGGCUCAGAUUCCUUGUACAAAAAGGGAGUUCCGGUCACUUGUUUCUUUUCCUCGCAUUAGAGAAUUAACAUAUAGUUAAUUCUCUAACCGGUGUGGUACAGAUGCUUCCCCUUAAUGGGUUCAAACACUAAAUCCCUCUCACUGAUGCAACUUGCAAUGGCUCGUGCCUCUCACCUAGCAUUUGCCAUUCAAGGUGAUCUUUAACCUUGGAUUACCCUUCACAAGCUCGCAAGAGAUAACUAAUGGAUGUCUCCUUAGAGUCCAAAAGCUUACCAAGUGUUGGCAAUUCUAGAAAAUCAUACCUUCAAACCACCUCCCAAAAGCUCGCAAGAGGUAAACCAGUGCAUCUCCAUUGACGGAGAUCACUUGCCUAACCAAGUGUUGGCUCAAGUGAAUUGAAGGUGUUUUAAGUUAACUAAAAAGAUAAAAACCAUUAACGGGUCACACUUUCUCUUCAUUAAAAACUAAAACAACAAAACUUCCAAUUUAUGCAUGAGGAAACUUACCCGGCUUUCUUUCACUCCAAGAGACGAAGAGCCUAGCCUCUCAUCCUCUGAGAAAAAAUCCUCAGAGUUUGAUUGGCUAGAAAGAAAACUAACGAGAAAACAAAAAUAUAUAUAAGAAGCAGAGCAAAAGCUCUGUUCGUUGAUUACAUAUAUGAUAUAUGAUAUAUGAUGGAUCCUCUUCUUUACAUUGGUUCAAAGAUAUAUAUAGAGAAGAUAUUUUCUAAGAAAUAUCCCAAUAAUAUCUUUGACUAAUUACAAGGAGAAAAUAGAAAUUUACACAAAAUAUCUUGAGAGAAAAAAUCUAACUUAGUCGGUGGCAAAUAUCAGGAAGCUUCAGGAGAAUAUCGCGUCACUGUGCAAAAAUCCGGGUAAUCUGAAAUGCCGGCCGCGGAUGCUCUCCGGGUUAGCGCUAUUAGAAGAUCCGGACAUGCCUGUCUGGGGAGGUUGAAAUGCCUCUUCUUCCAUCCGGCGUCAGGCGUCGGAUUUGAAAUAUCUGAUCAGAGGAUCCUGACAUGUCUGACCGAACAGAAUUUCAGAUGUGAGAUAUCCGGACGUCGCAAGGGGGACCGUUUGCGUGUACAAGGUGUAGAGACCCUUCCCCCUGAUGACACGGAGCACGCAUCGCUAUCCAGAGCAACUCCAUCCGGAUUUCCCAAGAGGACACGCACCGCCAUGCUAUCCGGCACUCGUGAACAUCACACUCCGGAUGAUAGCAUAUCCUAUCCGGAUAUGUUGUCUGGAUCAUUGACUAAAGUGAGCAAGCCUUACUACAGCCCACGUUCCGCCGCUCUUCCAAUGGUGUGUCCGGACGCCCUGUCUGGACAUCUUUUUCCAUGGAUUCCAAAGAACUCUCCUCAAUCUCGGAUUGCUUUGGUGAUAAAAAAGCUAUCAAAACACCAAAACUUAACACAAUUUGAUUAGAAUUGAUUGCAAGGGUCCUUAAUAUGUUAAUUGGGUUAAAAAGUGAUAACUACUACUCAAAAGUGUUUAAAAGAGUUAAUUACAAGCUAUGAAAUAACACUUUUUGAGUAGUAAUCAAUAAUGUUCUCUAUUGUAUAGUGGAAUGAUUCUCUUUCAUUCGUGGAUGUAGGCAUGGUUGUCGAACCACAUUAAAACCUCGUGUACUGUUUGUGUUUUUUUUUUAAAAAAAAUUAAUCUUUGUUUCUUGAUUAAUGAUGUGUGCAUCAAAGCUUCCAUCUACGUAACAAACUGGUAUCAGAGCUUGGGUUGAAGAUUUUUGGAAUAGUAAAAGAUCACAAAGCACACAAGAUGAAAACAAAAGGAAUUUUUAGUGAAUGUGGAGUCAAUUGUUCUCUCAUGGUGAUAUGAUACAAAAAGUUUGUGUCAUGGAGGGUUUAAUGAUUGACUCCAUGGAAUUUGGUCCAAGGUAGAGAUUGUUAGGAAGUGUCCCAAAUUCCUAAUUAGUAUAGAUUUUUUUUUUAUAAAGAAUCUUGUAUAGAAUAUUUCUAGGUUGAUAUAUUAUUGUAAUAUUAGACUUCCUUAUAGAAUAAUGAAGGUUGUUGGAAAUAUUUUUAUAAAUAUUUUUAGUCAUGAGGGGAAAAAGUUAUGAGAUGAAGAUGAGCCUAUAAAGACCAUACGAGAUGGAUAGAGAUAUGAGGAAGAAUCGAAGGUACCCAGUGGAGCAAGAGGGCUCGUGGUAGGGUAUGAAUAUGAAGAGUGGGGAAACAUGGGAUGUUUUGGGAACCCAAUAGUUGUAUCUAGUUUUGUCAUCUAUAAUGUUCUGGUUCUGGCAUCUAUAAUGUUCUGGUUUUGUCCUAUGUAAUGUUCUUUAUUGUAUAGUGGAAUUAUUAUCUCUCAUCUGUGUAGACAAGUUGCUAAACCACGUUAAAACCUCGAAUACCAUUUGUGUUGAUUUUUUUUAUCUUUGCGUUCUUGAUUAACGAUGCUUGCAUCAAAGCUUCUACCAACGUAACAAUGUGCAACAUAUUUGAUAUAACUUAUAUUUUCUUAAGUAAUUGAACACUUUUUCUAUAAAUUUACUUGAUUAUCAAUGAAUACCUACAUAUACGGUAUUGACAUAGUUUGAUAAAUAUUUUAAAAUAGUAUUAGAAUGGCUUUUCUUUUUCCCAAUUAACAAAUUUAUCAAAUAUAUACAUACACACACACACACACACAUAAUACUCAUUAGUAUGUCUUUUAUGAAAAAACUAUAUUUGUUUAUUUGAAUUUAGUAGCCAUUCAACUCCUUAGUUACUCAUAAACUUUUUAUCACCUUCUUAAAGUCAAGUCAUUUACAAUUAUUUCUAUCUAGCCUUCUCCAUUAUAACAACUUUAUAAGAUAGUGAUUGAUUGGAAGAAUCUACAUGCCUUUGUUGAUAGGAUAAUUGUUUUUCUUUUUUUUUCGUAUUCAAAGAAUCUUGCUUCUGUUAUUGAAACUUUCAAAUCCUUUAUGUCAAGUUGUCUUAUAAUUCCCUAUUCAUUGGUCUUUCAUAUUACCAAUCAUUUUGAAAAUGAGUUAAUUUCAUUCACAUCCUCUGAGAUUUGAUGUAAAUUCGCUUAGUUACCAAUGAUUUCAAAUUUCAUUAAUUAGUACCCCUAUAGAUGUAAUUUGUGUACAAAAUUUAUUUUUUAAAAGAGUUUAGGUAAAAAUAUUUUAGGUAUAUGUCUUUAACAAUUCUCUAAAAUAAAUUUUACUUGCUAAAAAAUAACUUAUAUAGAUAGAAUACAUCUACAGGAGUUCUAACUAACGAAAUUUAAAACUAAUGGUGGUUUAGUGUAUUUAAACUAAACAUUAGGAAGGGUGACUGAAAUUAACCCUCUAGGUAUAUAUGUUUAACAAAAUUUUUAUUGUUUAUUUUUCAUUUAAUGUUUGCAUUUUUCAAUAAACAUUGAAAAGGAAUUGUUUUUCCAUAUGUUAACAAAAAGAAAUUUGAACACCUAUAAAAAUAAAAUCUUGUAGCAAAAUUGGAGUUACAUUAUCAGACUUUUAAUGAGUGUUUAUGUUUAGAAAGACCAAUUAAAGCAAGCAUGCAUCUAGAAAUUGUAACUUAGAUGCAUCAAACAUGAGCAACAUAUUUGAUAUAACCAAUAGUUUCUUAAGUAACUAAACACUUCUUUUUCUAUAAAUUUACUUGAUUAUCGAUGAAUACUUACAUAUAUUUACAUAGUUUGAUAAAUAUUUUAAAAUAAUAUUAGAAUAACUUUGUUUUUUCUCAAUUAUAUUAGAAAAUAAUAUAAAGUUACUUAUAAACUUUAUAUCAUUUUCUCAAAGUCAAGUCAUUUACAAUUAUUUCUAUCUAGCCUUCUCCAUUAUGACAACUUUUAUAUGAUAGCCGUUGAUUGGAAGAAUCUACAUGUCUUUUUUGAUAGGAUAGUUGUUUUUAUUUUUUUAUUUUUUUUAUUCCAAAAAUUUGCUUCUAUCAUUGAAACUUUCAAAUCUUUUAUGUAUAUUACCAAUCAUUUUACAAGUGAGUUAAUUUCACUUAGGGUAGAUAUACUUAGCCACACCCCUAUAGAUGUAAUUUGUGUUUAAAUUUUAUUUUUUAUUUAGGUAAAAAUAUCUUAGGUAUAUGUGUUCAACAAUUCUCUAAAAAAUAAAUUUUCUUAUCUAAAAGUUUAUAUAGACAAAAUACAUCUAUAGAAGUCCUAAUUAAUGAAAUUUAAAAUUAAUGGUUGUUUAGUGUAUUUACAUUAAACCUUAUGGGGUAUGAUUGAAAUUAACUCUUUUACAAGCACUUGUAGCUAAUAUGUUUGUAGUUGUAGUGUUGGAAAUUGAUCAUUUUCUUGAAGGCCUCUAAGAUAUUGAAAAUAUUGCCAUAGUUUUAGACUUUUUUUUAUUACACCUAAUAAAAAAUAUUAUUAAUUUAACAUAUAUAUUCUUGACUUAAAAGUAAAGUCUCUCCAUAUUGUAUAAGCCCUUAGGUGGCAAUAUUAGGUGAAGUUUUUCUUUCGUUUAUUACAAAAUAUAAAUAAUUUAUUAUUGUAUGAUAAAAUUUUAUGUAAUAUAUUUUUAUAGAUGUAAAAUUAUUAAUUGGGUUUUUUUUUUACUAAAUUGUCAUUUCAAUAUAUAAAACUUAUUUGUAAAAAGACAAUUAUAAACUAUAUGAAAUUGAAAAACAUUUAGUUUUUUUAUUUAAUUUAGAAUUUUAUUUGGAUUAAUAAUUGAUAUUUGUAAGAUUUUUUAAUAUUAAAAAAAGUUAGCAUACUUAAGAAAGAUAUUCAAGAUCGGGAGUGUUUGAUAUUGGAUUAAUUUCCUUAUUUUCUCUAUUUUAAUAAAUUUUCACGUCCAUUACAAAAUUUUUGUUGUUUAUUUUUCACUUCAAUAUUUUUAUUUUGUAAUAGACAUUUGAAAAGAUUUUUUCCUACAUGUUAAAAAAAAAAAUAUUUGAACACUCCUAAAAAAGAAUAUUGCUAUAAAAUUAAAGUUUACAUUGUAGGACUAUUAGCAAAUGCUAUAUACUUAAAAUAGACCAAUUAAAGUAGAAAUACUUCUAAAAUUGUAAUUUAGGUAACAAUAAUAUAAAAAGAUAAUAUUUUUGAAACAAUAGUUCUCUUGGAGUUUUGGGUACGAUGGACUAGACUUUAUGUACAAUAGAUAUACAAACUUUCCAUUAACAUCUUGAGAGACAUGAUGAGGAGCAAAGUCAUCCAAGAAGGUACCAUAGAGGUACCUUAGCUCCAUUCAUCUAGACUACAUAAUGUUUAAAGAUCAAAUUCAAUGACUAGAUUUCAAAAAUCAAUAUAAGCUUUCUCAUAUUCUACUCUAUAUAAGACAAUGGUAUGAUACCUCUCUUGUGUCGUAGAAUGCACCAUGAAAACCUUAUCAUUUUAACAUCAGUUUGAAACUUAAAAGUCACUUAGCACAUUCUAGUUAUUAAUCUAAGAGCAUUAAAAGAAAAUAUAAAAAAAGUUACUUUAUCCUUGUGAUUUUGAUUUAGGACUUUUAAUGAUAUUAAAAAAAAAAAACAAAACAGAAAAAUAAAUGGAAAUAAAAUCAACAAAUUAAACAAUUGAAUUAAGUUAGUUUAAUUCUUGCAUCGUUAAAUGGGUAAAUAAAGACUCUUAGAUUUGAUAUUAAUAUGAACAUCAUGACUUCAGUGAAUCUUACAAGAAAAUUUUAGUUUGAAAGACUUCAUUCAUUAAACGUGUGGCACAUAUUAAAGUAAAACUAAGUCUUCUCUAUAAUUUGUACCUAUCAUAGUUUCUUUCCUUAUAAAUAGCCUUUUUUGAAUAUAAUAUAGACUUCAACAUGCAUGGUGGGGCCAAUCAAACUACUAGUCAAGACAACUCAUGGGCAACAACGAUGUACCAACUACAUUUAAAUACUCUUCAUCUAUUUACAUAUCAAGAGUAAUUUAGUAGUGUCUUAUUUAUGUACCUCAUAUCUAGACUUUCAAUGGAGAGUUCUUCAUCUAAAAAUUUGACUUGGGUUUUCAUACUAGUUUUGGUUUAGACAUGUGGAUGCAAAGGUUGCAUCAAAGAAGAGAAGUAGGCUAAAUCAUCUUACAAAUUUUAUAGUUCAAAUUAGAUGCACCAAACAUAUGCAACAUAUUUGAUAUAACUAAUAUUUUCUUAAGUAAUUGAAUACAAUUUUUUUUUUAAAUUUACUUGAUUAUUAAUGAAUAACUACAUGUAUGGUAUUGACACAACAUGAUAAAUCUUUUAAAAUAGUAUUAGAAUAACUUUGCUAAAAAAAAGUAAAAAUAAAAAUAAAAAUACAUCUAUAUAUAAAAUUAAAUUAAAUUAAAAAUUAAAAAAGAAUAUAUAUUCUCUGUGUGUGUGUGUGUGCAUGGUCCCACAACUCAUUAGCUACUCAUAAGCUUUAUAUCACUUUCUCAAAGUCAAGUCAUUUUGUAAUUAUUUCUAUCUAGCCUUCUCCAUUACGACAACUGUAUAGGAUAUUGAUUGGUUGGAAAAAUCUUCAUGUCUUUUUUUAUAAGAUAGUUUUUUUAUUAUUAUUAUUAUUCAAAGAAUUUGCUUUUAUUAUUGAAACUUUCAAAUCCUUUAUGUCUAGUGGUCCUACAAUUCCCUAUUCAUUGGUAUUUCAUAUUACCAAUCAUUUUACAAAUAAGUUUAUUUCACCCGGUAAAUAUACUUAACUACUAAUGGUUUCAAAUUUAAUUGAUUAACACACUUAUAGAUGUAAUUUGUUUUUAAAUUUUAUUUUUUUAGAAGAAUUGUAGGUAAAAAUGUUUUAGGAAUAUGUGUUCAAUAAUUCUCUAAAAACAAUUUAUAUAGAUGGAAUACAUUCAUGUAAGUUCCAACUAAUGAAAUUUAAAACUAAUGACAAUUUAAUGUAUUUGCACUAAAUCUUAGGGGAGGUGUACUAAAACUAGCCCUUUUACAAAUAUUUGAUAUGAAAUUAAUUAAUUAAUUUUUUCUAUUUAAAUAAAUUUUUGCAUCCAUUAAUAAAAUUUUAUUGUUUAUUUUUCACUUCAAUAUUUUUAUUUUGUAAAAUAAAUAGAAAUAAAAUCAACAAAUUAAAAAAUUGAAUUAAGUUAGUUUAAUUUUGCCACCUUUAAAUUGGUAAAUGAAGACUCUUAUAUUUGAUAUUAACAUGAACAUCAUGACUUUAUUGAAUCUCACAAGAAAAUUUUAGUUUGAAAGAUUUUAUCCUUUAAACAUGUGACACAUAUUAAAGUGAGACCAAGUCUUCCCUAUAAUUUGUAUCUAUCACAAUUUCUUUCCUAAUGAAUAGCCUUUUUGAAUAGAAUAUAGACUUUAGCAUGCAUGGUGGGGCCUAGCUAUCAAACUACUAGUCAAAACAACUCAUGGGCAAGAAUGAUGUACCAACUAGAUUAAGUAUUCUCCAUCUAUUUGCAUAUCAAGAGUAAUUUAGUAGUAUCUUUCUUGUGUACCUCAUUUCUAGACUUUCAAUGGAGAGUUUUUUAUCUUAAAAUUUGACGUGGGUUUUCAUACUAGUCUUGGUUCAGAUAUGUGAAUGCAAAGGUUGCAUCAAAGAAGAGAAGUAGGCUAAGUCAUCUUACAAAUUUUCAAGUUCAAAUUAGAUGCAUCGAACAUGUGCAACAUAUUUGAUAUAACUAAUAUUUUACCAAGCAACUAAAUACUUUAUAUAUAUAUAUAAAUUUAUUGAUGAUCAAUGAAUACCUACAUGUAUGGUAUUGACACAGUUUGAUAAAUCUUUUAAAAUAGUAUUAGAAUAACUUUGCUAAAAAAAGUAAAAAUAAAAUAAAAUAAAAUAUAUAUAUAUAUAUAUAUAUAAAUAAACAAAAUAAAAAAUUUAAAAAGAAUAUAUAUAUUAGUGGUCCCACAACUCAUUAGCUACUCAUAAGCUUUAUAUCAUUUUCUUAAAGUCAAGUCAUUUACAAUUAUUUCUAUAUAGCCUUCUCCAUUGCGACAACUGUACAAUAUAUUAAUUGAUUGAAAAAAUCAUCAUGUCUUUUUUGAUAGGAUAGUUUUUUUUUUAUUCAAAGAACUUUCAAAUUCUUUAUGUCUAGUGGUCCUACAAUUCCCUAUUCAUUGGUAUUUCAUAUUACCAACCAUUUUACAAAUAAGUUAAUUUCACUCGAUAAAUAUACUUAACCACCAAUGGUUUCCAAUUUGUAGCAUUCUUAUAGAUGUAGUUUGUUUUUAAAUUUUAUUUUUUAGAAGAAUUGUAGGUAAAAAUAUUUUAGCUAUAUAUGUUCAACAAUUCUCUAAAAACAAUUUAUAUAGAUGGAAUACGUUCAUGGAAGUUCCAACUAAUGAAAUUUAAAACCAAUGAUGAUUUAAUGUAUUUGUACUAAAUCUUAGGGAGUGUGGACUAAAAUUAGCCCUUUUACAAAUAUUUAUAACUAGUAUAUUUGUAGUUGUGGUAUUGGAAGUUGAUCAUUUUCUUAAAAGGUUUACCAUUGAAGUUAGUUGAAUAUAAAGUUAGGUGAACUUUACCAUUGUUAAAUUGGUAAAUGAAGACUCUUAGAUUUGAUACUAACAUGUACAUCAUGACUUCAUUGAAUCUCUCACAAGGAAAUUUUAGUUUGAAAGACUUCAUCUUUUAAACAUGUGGCACAUAUUAAAGUGAGACCAAGUCUUCCCUAUAAUUUGUAUCUAUCACAAUUUCUUUCCUCAUAAAUAGCCUUUUUGAAUAGAAUUAAUAUAGACUUUAGCAUGCAUGAUGGGCCCUAUCAAACUAUUAGUCAAGAUAAUUUGUAGGUAAGAACGAUGGACCAACUAUAUUAAAUACUCUUCAUCUAUUUGCAUAUCAAGAGCAACUUAAUAUUGUCUUUCUUUUGUACUUCAUGUUUGAACUUUCAAUGGAGAGUUUGUCAUCUAAAUAUUUGAUGUGGGUUUUUAUACUACUCUUGGUUCAAAUAUGUGGAUGCAAAGGUUGCAUCGAAGAAGAGAAGAUGGGUUUGCUUGAAUUCAAGGCUUUUCUUAAAUUGAAUAAUGAGCAUGCAGAUUUUCUUCUCCCUUCAUGGAUAGAUAACAACACUAGUGAAUGUUGUAAUUGGGAGCGGGUUAUUUGCAAUCCCACCACAGGUCGAGUUAAGAAGCUUUUCUUCAAUGAUAUAACGCGACAACACUUGGAAGACAAUUGGUACUAUUACGAAAAUGUCAAAUUCUGGUUACUAAAUGUCUCCUUAUUCCUUCCUUUUGAAGAACUUCACCAUCUAAACUUGUCUGCAAACUCAUUUGAUGGGUUUAUUGAGAAUGAAGGUAUGUUACCUCUCACCUUUAAAUUUUCUUUUCACUUAUACUCCAAACAUUCUAAAGGAACUACUAGCAUAUGUUCUUAAAAGUGUUCAGGUGGAGAACAAAUGGUCACUAGUAACUAUUGAAUUUAAUAUAAGAACAAUUACUAAUUAUUAAAAUUUAUAAUGUAAAUUAACAUUUAAACAGAACAAUAAAAAAAUUAUUAUUUUAGAAAACUAUAGAUUACAUUAGCCUUAUAUAUAUAAGCAUACUUGUUAUUUAUGUCAUCAUUUCACACUCAACCCAAUAAGUGGGAUUCAACUAAGAGUGAGCAAUUUCACAAUUAUUAAUUAACAGGAACACUUAGGCUCCCAUAUCCUUAUCAUUUUUGCUGAAUUGUCUUUCCUUAUCUUCCAUUCCUAAAAAGCUUGAUUUCUAUAUUCCAAAUUGAUAGAGAUUGGUUAAAGAAAGGUGAUCACAAAAUUUGACUAUUGCUUUCAAAUGAGGAAUCACCAUCUUCAAAAUUUCACAUUUACAAAAAAAAUAAAUAAAAUAAAUAAAUAAAUAAAACUAGCCUCGGGUAAGGUCCAAGCCUUAUUGUUUUAAGCUGAUGUCAGAUUGGUUUAAUAAUGAACAGAGUAAAUCCUAACCCAUGACCAUCUACGCAUUUCCAAAUUCCACCCAUCCACAACCCAUUAAUAUGACAUUUUCAGGGACAAAAUUUAAUCAAUUAAACCUAUUAGAUGGAUUCUCCAUACAAUGUUAAAAUGAAUAUAAAAACUUUAAUUCAAAAAAUAAUUUCCUUUAUUUAGUUAGGAUUCAAAUUAUAGGGGCACAAAACAUGAAAAUUUUCAUGUUUAAAAUUCACAAAGAUCACAAAAGCUCUUUGAAGCUCUAUGGACUUUUUUAUUUCUAACAUUUAAACACAAAAAUCACCAAAUUUAAUUAGAGAUUUGGAUGCAUAUUCUUAUAUUAAAGACAUGUAAGCUUACAUAUUUAAAUAUGAAGAUCUCAACUUGUAAUUACAUGCUUCUAAUUAAAGUUAUAUUACUCUAUUUUACAGGAUUUAAAGGGUUAUCAAGUUUAAAGAAAUUGGAGAUCUUGGACAUAAGUGGUAAUGAGUUUGACAAAAGUGCCUUAAAAUCUUUGGGCACAAUAACAUCACUCAAGACAUUGGCUAUUUGCAGCAUGGGACUGAAUGGAUCUUUUUCCAUUCGAGGCAUGUUAUAUGUCCACAUUGUUUCUUUGAAAUUAAGUAAAAUAUAUUUCUAACUUUUAAUGUUCCUUAGUUAAUCUCUCUUUUGAUUCAUGUUUGUUGCAGACUUAGCUAGUUUGAGAAAUUUGGAAGUGUUGGAUCUAAGCUAUAAUCAUUUGGAAAGCUUUCAACUAUUGCAAGGUACUUCAUUAACUUGCUAAAAAAACUUACGAUAUUUUGUUAUUAAAUUAAAGGUAAGAUUAACAAACAAUUUCUUCUCAUUAGUUACUUUUCUUUGUAAUAUCAUUAAAUUUGAUAUAAUGUAGUCUAAAUCAUCCUUUCAAUUUAUAAGUUUUAAUUAAAACGCAUCAAGCAUGCACAAGAUGUUUAAUAUAACUAAUAUUUUCAUAAGUAAUUGAAUUUUUUUUAUGAAUUAAUUAACUUGAUUAUCAAUAAAUGCUUACAUGUAUAAGAUUAAUAUAGUUUCAUAAGUAUUUUAAAAUUGUCUUACAACACACACACACACACACAAGGAAAAUGAAAGGUAUGUGAUACCUUUAUGCUAUGUUUGGUUCUCAAAAAAAAUUGAGGGAAAAUGAAAGGAGAAAAAAAUAGAGAGGAAAAGUAAAAGAAAAGAAAAGAAAAAAAGUGAAGAAAAAUAUAAAAUUGAUUAAAGUAAAUACAUUAUUUUUAUAUGUUACUUUAACUUGUUUCACUUAUUUUAAUUCUUCAAUGUAAAGAUGAAAGAUUUGAAAAUGCAUAAGUUUCUAAUUAUUUUUUUAUUUUAUUUUAUAGUUUUUACAAUACAACCAAACAUAAUAAAAUCAUUUUCUUUAAUUUUUUUUCUUUUCUUAAUACUUUUCACGAACCCUUAAGUUAUGUUUGGUUUGCAGAAAAUAUGAGGAACAGAAAAUAGAAAAGAAAAUUAAAAGGAAAGAAAAAGUGAAGUAAAAUAAAAAUAAAUUUAAAUUUAAUAAAUUAUUUUUAUAUGCUACUUUAAACUUAUUUCACUUAUUUUAAAUUAUUUAAACUCAUUUCUAAUAAAUAAUAAUGGAAAUUGUAGAGAAGUUUGUGUUAUUCAAGCUUUGCAAUGACUUUUCAAGGUGAAGGAAAAUAUUCUUGCUGAAAUUGAAGAAGGAAAUACCUUCUUAAAUAGCCUAUUGACCGAAAACACAUUACCCUAACAUAUACACACACCUUUAUUAUUUAUACAAUCAUUUAAUACUUAAUCCCGUUAGUGGGAUUCUAGUGGUUGUUUCUAUCUUGGUUUCCAAUAUUUCUGAUUGAUAGUGUUGGAUUAAUGAAAUAUCAUAAAUUUUGACCCCAAUAAGGACCAAUCCCUAUUAAAUGUAAUUGGGUUGACCUAAGACUAAAUGUUAGACCCAACUAAUAAAAACCCAUCUGUUUGUUGGAGUCUAAAUAACCCAGCCUUAGGUAGGGCCCAUGCCUUAUUAUUUUAAGAUGUAGUCCAACUGGUUUGACACUGGAUUGAGUAAAGCCCAACUUAUGAGCAUCUGUGCAUUUCCAUCCAUCCACAACCUACUGGCAUGGACAAACUUUGGUCAAUUAAACCUAUUAUAAAUGUAUACAAAAUUUUAAGUUCAAAAGAUAAUUUUUCUUAUUUAGUUAGGAUUCAUAUUAAAAAGGCACAAAGCACGAAUUUUCAUGUUUAAAUUCACAAAUAUCACGAAAGCUCCUUCAAGCUCUAUGGACCAUUUUAUUUGUAACAUUAUAUUACUCUUAAUUAUCAAAUUAACCAACAAAUUCUUCUCAUUAGUUAUUUUUCUUUUGUAGUGUCAUAAAAUUUGAUGUAAAGUAAUAUUGGUCAUCAUUUCAACUUUCAUGUUCCAAUUAGAUGCAUCAAGCAUGUGCAACAUAUUUGAUAUAACUAAUAUUUUUAUAAGUAAUUGAAUUUUUUUUUCUAUAAAUCAAUUAACUUGAUUAUCAAUGAAUACUUUCAUACAUGAUAUUGAUGUAGUUUCAUAAAUAUUUUUAAAUAGUCAUAGAAGUCUUUUAUCUGAUUCACUAGAAAGAAAAAUAAACUAUUCUAAUGAAAAUACUUGAUGAUUUGAAGUGAUUGCUUUUGAUUUUAUUUGAUUGCUACCAUUAUUAAUUGUUAGAAAUUGGCAACAAAUACCCAUUUUGCAUCACUUCUAUAUGCAUCGAGGGAAUGAAUUAUAUUUCAUAGAGCUAACAGGGCAAAACUCAUACUUUUGGAAUUAUGGAAAAGGUUGCUAGAAAGCUAAUUAACAAUUUAUAUUAUGAUUAAGACUAGUUGGGUUAGAAAUAAUUCAUAUGGAGAUUAAAAAAAACUAUGUAAUUUAGUUUAGUAGCUUGGGUGCUAUUGUAAUGAUUAAUGAUCUGCAACUUGAACACAUCUACUAGUGCUUUCUACUUGUAUAGCUAAAUUUAUGUUACCACUUUGAACUACAGUACUUACAUGAGAAGAAAGCUUUUCCUUAGUGAUAAUGCAAAAGAAAUUAAGUAUCAAUUUUUGUUAAACUAACAAGUGAUAGUUUAGAUAUGUUUUGAAUACACUUCCUUUCUUCUAUUUUUUUAUUUUGAAAAAAAAAACUCUUUAAUGAAAUAUAAGAAAUCUUAUAUGUAUAAAAAGUAAAGACUUAAACAAAAAAAUUCUUCAAAUUUUAAAAAUUUCGAGAAGUAUUUUUAAGAAUUUGUAUUUUUAGUAUAAUAAUUCCUAUAUUUUGUAUAAAAGCUUUUGUUCAAAAAAAUAGAAGUGUAUCCAAAUUAAAAAUUAAUGGUUAAAUUAAGAAUGUUUCUCAGAUCAAGGGAUAAUGAAAGUUGUAGAGAGUUUGCAUUACUCAACCUUUGCAACUACUUUUUGAAGGUAAAAGAAAAUACCUUCUUACAUAACAUACAAUGGCAAGUUCUGGUUUGUAAGAAACUAAUAAAUGAUUAAGAAUAUGAAUAAGACUUCCUUAAUAAUAGAUAUGUAGAGAAGAAUAGUGGAUGAUAGGAGGUGAAAAUCUUGUAAUAAAAUAUCAAUAUCGGUUAUAAGAUAAUCAACAUUUUCUUGUACCUAUGUGAUUAAGAAUCUUGUAGCUCCCUUAUUGAAAUAUAAUAUAAAAAUAUAAAUAAACUAUUUAGAAGUGCAUGUAGUUUUCAACAUGAGGAAGUUCAAAAGCAAGUUAAUUAUGAUAAUUUUCUAUAGUCUAUAUUGAACACAAAUUAUUUUUUCUAAAGGUUCAAUCGUUCUAUGAAGGUUAAAAGUUUGAAUUGUUUACAUAUGCAAAUGUGAAAUUUGAAAUUUUAUAAUGUUUUAUAAUUUUCUUGUAGAUUCAAAAAACUUGUCCAUAUUCAAAAAGCUCGAGACCUUGAACCUCAAUCACAACAAGUUCAAAAACACUAGCCUACAACAAUUGAAUAUAUUUACAUCCCUUAAAAAUCUUUCUCUAAGACGGAACUAUGAUGGAGGAUUUUUUCCGAUCCAAGGUAUGUGUAAUUAUUAUUAUUAUUUUUAAUGAUAAAAUAUUAGAAUUGUCAACAUCUUUUAUCUUUUUUCCCCUCAAUGGUGUUGCAGAAUUAUGCACUCUAGAAAACUUGGUGAUGUUGGACCUAAGUGGGAAUUUCUUUAUUGGCAUGCAAGGUAAAUACAAAGUGAAGUUUUGGUUAUAUAUAUAUAUCAUGUAAGAACAUAACUAAAAUCAACAUUCUUUGCCUAUCAAUUUGUGCAUGACUAUUAUUUAGUUAUUCUUCGUAACAUAAUUGAAAGAAUGUUUAGGUGUAUAACAUUUAAGAAUUUUACAUGGCACAAUGAAAAACAUGGUAAUCAAUGUAUGCAAUAAAAUUCUAAUAGUUGAAAAAGAAUUUUCUUGUAAUUUUAUGUUCGUGUAUAGUAAUCAAAGAGAAAAUCAUGAAAAUGUAUAUUAGUUAGACUUUAUAUAUCAAUAGACAAAAAAGAAAGAAAAAAGAUUAGUUCCUUAACUUAUCCUAAAAUUUUCUAGAUAACAAGGAGUUUUUUUAUUUUGGGCUAUAAGAUUUACAACCUGAAAAGUGAAGAUGAUUAAUAUUAGUAAUAUAAUUUUGAAAUAUAAAAAUUAAUGAAAUAAUGUUCUCUAUAACUAUAACUGCAACUGCAACUAUUAAUAAAAGAUAAUAAAAGUACUUUAGACUUUGAAUCCAUGGUUAGGUUUGCAAUUUUUUGAUGAUCAAUAAAGCUACAACUUAUGCUGCAAAAGGCUAUACAAAAUGUAUUAGGAGCAUUGCUAAGCUCAUUUAUCAAUAAAAGAAAUCCAGUAAUACUUUGAUUGGAAAAAACCUAGAAUCAUGUUUGAUAUAUAUAAUAGGAGAAGAAACAAAAUAACAAUUCCAUGGUAUUAGUUAGUUUGAUAUCCCUUUUGUUAUAUGGAAUAACUAUUCCAUUUUAAAAUAAUUAUUUCAUCUUAUCGCUAGAACAAAAAAUUUCAAGCAAUUAUAUGCGCUUUUGGGUUUCUUAAGAAUUUAAGCAUUUAUGGGUCACCCAUAUAUACAUAUAUAUAUAUAUAUAUAUAUAUAUAUAUGUAGGAAGAAUAAAAAAAAAUAUUAUACGGAGACAAGGGUAGACACCCAUAUAUAUAUAUAUAUAUAUAUAUAUAUAUAUAUAUGUAGGAAGAAUAUAAAAAAAUAUUAUAUGGAGACAAGGGUAGACACCCAUAAAUGUACAUAUAAUUAUUUAAAUAAAAAAUCAAUAAGAAACAAUAUACAACAAAAUAGAAAAUUUUAAUCUUCUUAAAUUUUAAAAAUAAAAACUAAAUGAAAAAAAAUUAAGAAGUAAAAAUAAUAAUAAAAAGGUCAAGAAUACAAAUAGAGAAGUAAACAAAAAAAAUACAUAAAUUAAAAUUAAAAUUUAAAAGAAAAAAUACAUAGAUUAAUAUGAACACUAAAUGAGGUUUUUUGAGAUAGACUUAGUUAGACCUGAACCAGAUGGAUAUUAAAAAAAAUAAAAAAAAAUUGAAAGAAAUAAAAACUAAUUAGAUGCUAAAUAUUGGAUUAAAAUAACCAAAUGAAUAAAGAGUAAUUAUUAAUUUUUAACAUUUUUUAUUCCCUAGAAUUAUUAUUUUGUGUAUUAAAUGUAUUCUGAGUGUAGUGGUAUAAAAAAUGUAGUUAAGAAUACUAUGAAGAAUAAUAAUGGUGAUGAUAAUGGUGACGACACUUAAUACCUUUUAUUGUACGUUUAGAAAAAAUGAGGUUCUUGAUCUUUAUGGAGAUUAUCAUUACUCAUCCGCAAGCAUGUUGAUAGUUGAAACUACUCAAUUAUCAAAAAUUGAAUUUCUAACCUUCAAUUUUUCUCUCUCAAAUGUAUAUGUGGGUGAGAAAGCACUAGGAAGAUUAUAAGGUCUCACAUGUAUAUGAGUCAUAGGAUAAAAAAUAUAGAGACAAUACUAGCAUUUAUUUGAUCUAGUGGCAAAUAGAGAAAUAUAAAAUAACCAUAACCAUAAUGUUCUAACCUUAUAUAUACCAGAACCAUGUUUCCUUCAUUCAAUGUUGCAACUUUUUCUUUUCAAAUUAGAAUGUAACUUGUAGGAUCCAUUGCCCAUCAAAAUUUUGAAUCGAAUAUUAUAAGAUAUUUCACAUUUCUACCUACUAAAGCAUGAGCUUCAAUGUUCUCAUGCACUUUUGGCUACUAAGUUAAAGAACCCUUUGAGGAUUAAUGGAGUUUCUAUGAGUAGCAAAGCAUUAUAAUCAGAAAGUCUUAUCAGUGAUAUGCAAUUUGACCAAGAACUUAUUCCCAACUAUUUUAUGAAUUUUAUGACUUUUCUUGGCUACUUGUAGGCAAGCUAAAGAAAUUUUCUGGUUUGUUCAAGUCUAAAAAGUGGUUUCAAGUUUAGGGCCAAGCUUGGGCUGCACCUAGGUCCUUGGGCCUUGUUCAGCUCCACGUUUAAACCAACCUUGAGUCCAUCUUUGUAAUUUUUCUCCCAAUUCAUUGAUUAAUAUUAGGAUUUUAUAGAGCCUAUAAAUUGACCAACUAAAUAAAGUAGGUUCAUAAACUUUUAGGUGAAAAUUUUCUCUUUAAUAAAUGUUAAUUCAAGAGUCUCCGUAAUCUUUUUAUAUUCAUAUUAAUUGGUAUUUAAACCGACCUUACUAUAUUAAAGUCAAAUACCAAAUAGUGAACACUAUAUCUACUACUACCACUAUGAUGGUCACAAACAUAGAAUGCUCCAUUUUUUAGAGUCAAUUGAUGCUUAUAAACAACUUUGUUUGAAAAUAAAACACAUCGAGUGAUUGCAUCAAGAGAUUGAUGUAAUAAUUGCAUACUUGAUCUAGAUAAUGUUAAUAUGAGUUGACUAAAUAAAUGAGUAUUUACUUAUAAGGUAGCCCAUAGAACAUUAUUUGUGGAAAUAUUCAUGCACCUCUACAUAUGUUCAUGAUAACUUAGGUUGAUAAAUUUAAGAAGAACAAAUUCAUAACCUUGGGCAUAGUUAGUAAGAAAUUUCACCAAUAGAGUUUGGUAUCAUGAUUCUAAUUGUUCAAAUUGUUUUAAAGGAGUAUUUUAAAUUGCAUGUUAAUUUGCUUCUAAUAAAUGGAGAGAAACCAAUUCAAGAAGAGAAUUGUACUCAAGCUAUGUAUAGCAUUCAUGAAGAUGUAGAAAAUAUUGAUGAACUUACUUUUGAGCAAGUUGAAAUCAUAAUUAAAUAAAAUAACAAACCCAAGGGUUAAGAUUGUCAAGUAAAACUUUAAUUAAAAUUUAUUGAUUUUUUAAAUGCCUAUUAGAGGAGCAAUAGAAGUUCUAGAUAGAAAGUAAGAACUUUUCUAAGGAAUCACUUGUUAGAUUUUAAGUGAUCAAUAAAUAUAAUGUCCAAUUUAAAACUUUUAUAAAAGCAAUGGUUCUAAAGAAUAACUUGAUUUGAAUUUAAAGUUAUUAUUGAUAUUUAUUUAUAAUGGAUGUAGUUAAUCAAUUGAACAUAGUAAAAAACACAUAAUUUUUUCAAAAUACCUUCUAAUUGUUGGGUAUAUUUAAGUAGUUAUUCAUAUCUCAUUAUCUUUUUACUCACAUACUAAUCUCCUUAUUGAGUAUUUACCAAUUACAAGUAGGUUGAAAGUUACUUGAAUUUAAGUCACUAAUCAAUGUUAACUUGAUGACAAAUAAGUCUCCCUUUGAAACUUGUUUUAUAACAUAGCGAAAUGUAGUCGAUCAAUCAUCAAAACAAUGUUUAAGCAUUGGGAUUUAGUUGUUAAUUUUUAUUUUUUAUUUUUUGUGCUUAAACAAAGACAAAAAUUAUAAAAACUCCUGAAAAGUACAUAUUAAUUGAAUUUAAUUUAUACAUCAAACAAGAACAAACUAGUCUUGGAUUUAAAAUUCAAUAGGUUUUGUAAUUAUAAUUCCUAAAAAUUUGUAAGACAACAAAAUUAUUGGACACUAGGCUAUUGGGUGUGUAUGACUAAGAGGUGAAGGAGGGUUCAUCUUAUACAAAGGAUGAUUUGAUUAAUUUUAAAGAUUGAAUAAACAAUAAUUGCAUAUUCAAGUAAAAAUAACAUUGCUAAAAAGGAAAAUAAGUAUUUUAGUCCUCAAACCUAAAAUGGCUAAAAAAUUUAAUUAAUACAAUUACAACUUCACCUACAAAAAAAAAAAAAAAAAAAUACCCAAAACUUUUCAAUAGCACAACUAAGUCCAUUUAUCAAAAGCUCUAUGAACAACAACAACUAUCAAAUCACAUAAAUCAUGUUGUUUACAAAGUGCCCUUGAUGUUUUAAAACAUAAGAUAUUACAUAAAAAUCAACCAAUAGUGUAUGACAUUAUAAAAAACAUAUCCAAAUCCAUUGUCGAACUUAAACUAAAUUCAACUUUAUAUACAUAGUCGCAAGUGGGUCUUUUUGUCUUUCAAUUUGGGUCAAAUUCAGAUGUUAGUUUUUUACACAACAAGGGAUUAUCAAGGUGAUAAUUCAUGCAUAUAAAUAGUAUUACUUAUAUAAAAAAAAUGGUAAAUGCAAUUUUUUUGUAUUCACUCACCAUUUGGCAUAUCAAUAAGAAAAAAAUAUAUACAAUAGGUGCUAUCAAUAAUAUUAUGCAUCACUAGAAAUUAUAAUUUUUCAUUUGUUAUCACUACUUGUGCACUUUGGAAAGCUUGCUAGGUACAACAAAUUAGCUCAGUGAAGAAAUUGAUCAAUUCCUUCAUUUCUAAAUAAAUUUGCAUAUACACUAGAAUAAAAACAACUUUUUAACUUAACAAGUUGACUGAGUCUCAGAACUUAGUAGGUUGAAGGCAUAGACUUCCAUCCAAGCUCAUUUACUGGCACCACAUGUUGGAAAAAUAAAGAAAAAUCAAAACACUUGAGUAUAGUUGCAAACCAAUCUAAAUAUAGAGUGAGAUCUACCUUUCUUUGAAAGUUUAGAACAAAUUUUUAUUUUUAUGAUAAGACUAUGCAGUACUUAUCCCUCUCUAACAAGUCUAUAAUCAGUCCAAAGCAUGGGAUAUUGCAUAUUUCUUGAACUCAAUUAGCCUUUAAUCCAUGCAUUUCAAGUAAAUUUAAAACCUGGUGUACUUGUUCUUGAUUCACAUCCUUGUCACUAUUAUCAUUACUUGUUCUUGAAUAUAGAACCUUAUUGUCCAUUAACAAGCGGGCCUAUGUUCCUCCAUGAUUCAAGAGUAUUAUGUUUUGUUCAUCAUCAGUUGGUCUUGCUCUAAAGCUUCUUUUUUAUGACUAUCAAUAACCAGACUUAGAUACCAAAAUUUAUGCAAGAGAGCAUGUACUUUAUACAGUCAAGAACUUGUGAGUCUAGACUUUGUUAUCUAGGUAAAAGAAUAAAUUGGUUUGUUAAAAUAGCUAGCAUUAGGUAUCUAUUCAAUUCCUAUCUUAGACAAUAAAGAUACAAAUGAUCAAAUACAUUCUUAUUAAGAAACAUUUGAUACCAAAAGUGAUGUAAGACAACACAGUUCCUCUAUUCAAUCAAGUUUAAGGCUUAGAUGAACCUAUGAAUUUAUAUUAAUUAAUUGGGAAAGAGAAUAAAUAGGCUAAGUAGAAGUGAUAGGAUUGUAAUAGCAUUAAGUUAAUGAUCUUGUUUAGGUCUUCUACUAAAUUAGAGAAGAAACAAACAAAAGUAAUCAAACGUGUUAGUGAUAAUUAUAUCUACUUAACAUUGAGACAAUAGUUGUACUAAUGGUAAUUAUAUUAUUUCUUGAGAGUUUAAACAAUAUAUAUUGAAAAUAUUUUUAAAGGUUUAGCAACUACCAAGGUUAUAAUCAACUACGAGCUUUUUAUUUUUAAAAAUAUGAAAUAUUAAUAUCUUUACUUUCUUUGAUCUUCUUGUAGGUUUUAAAAGUUUGUCUAAGCUGAAAAAGCUGGAAAUCUUAAACCUUCGUGAUAAUCAGUUCAACAAGACCAUUAUAAAACAGUUGAGUGGACUCACAUCCCUUAAAACACUAGUUGUAAGCUACAACUAUAUUGAGGGACUUUUUCCUUCCCAAGGUAUUGCUUAUUCUUUUAAUAUCCUUAGUAACCACUCUACCAUGAUUUUUUUUUUUUUCAAUUUUAUUUUCUUUCUUGAACCAUACAGAAUUAUCUAUUUUUGGAAACUUGAUGACACUGGAUUUAAGAGAUAAUAGACUCAAUGGCUCCCUAUCAAUCCAAGGUAAAUUCUAAUCAGAAUUAUCAUUAUAUUUAGGGCAUAUAAUAAAUUAAUUAAAUUAUUUUAUCUAUUAUCAUUACUUGGUUAUUUGGAUUUUCUUGAUAUUGUUUAGCAUUUUACAUAGGAAAAUGAAAUGGAAAAAUCAACCCAUGCUUAGUGUUUAAGCACUGGGCUAGAAGUAUAUUUGUCUUCCCAAUUUAAUCAAAGAGAAAAGUCAUAAAUAACAUAAUUUAACUUAUACCUUAUAUUGAUUGAAGAGGUUAGACUACUUUUGGAUUUAAUGGUCAAUAUUUGUUGAAGAUAGGGUUUCCUAAAUUUGAUAAAAAGAACUUCAAUUUAAAUUACCAUAACUACAUAAAGGUGUGACUAGCAUAAUUAAACUCUUUUAUUAAUAGAUGUUCAUAGACUAGUAUUAUAAUCCCACAUGCACAAAUAAUCAAAUUUUGAAAUUAGACUUCAAAUAACUAUGCAAUAUACGAAACUACAAAAUGAAUGGUAGGUCAUAAUUAAUUAAAUUCGUACUAUAUUCAAUGUUGGUCAACACGUGUCAAGUAAAAGUUUUGGCCUAAGUGUAAGGGCUCACUUGCUCCAAUAUAUAUGUUAUUCACUUUGGGUCAAGGCCUACUUUAAAAUAUCUAUACAUUUAUGAGAUAUUUUAAAAUGUAAAAUGAUAGGUUUUGAUCAUUUUUAAAGGUAGCAAACAUUUUAUUUUAUUUGUAUUUAAGAACAACGUCUUUUCUUAUACAAUGUUUAUUUAAUUUUCUUUUGAUAGAUUUUGCAAGCUUAAGCAAUUUGGAGAUAUUGGAUUUGAGUUAUAAUUCCUUCAAUGGAAUUGUUUCAUCAUCUAUAAGAUUAAAGUCUUCUCUCAAGUCUUUAUCCUUGGCUGGAAAUAGACUCAAUGGUUCUUUACAAUGUCAAGGUAGGAAACAUUUAAUUUUAUUUGUAUUUAAGAACAAUGUCUUUUCUUAUAUAAUGUUUUUUUAAUUUUCUUUUGAUAGAUUUUGCAAGCUUAAGAAAUUUGGAGAUAUUGGAUUUGAGUUAUAAUUCCUUCAAUGGAAUUGUUUCAUCAUCUAUAAGAUUAAAGUCUUCUCUCAAGUCUUUAUCCUUGGCUGAAAAUAGACUCAAUGGUUCUUUUCAAUAUCAAGGUACAUAUGUUAUGCUUUCUUUGUUUCAUAAAGAUUAGACAAGAUAAACAUUGUGAAAAAAAGGUUGUCAUAGUUAAUGUAAAAUGAUAGGUUUUUGAUCAUUUUUAAAGGUGGCAAACAUUUUAUUUUAUUUGUAUUUAAGAACAAUGUCUUUUCUUAUACAAUGUUAUUUUAAUUUUCUUUUGACAGAUUUUGCAAGCUUAAACAAUUUGGAGAUAUUGGAUUUGAGUGGUAAUUUCUUCAAUGGAAUUGUUUCAUCAUCUAUAAGAUUAAAGUCUUCUCUCAAGUCUUUAUCCUUGGCUAGUAAUAGACUCAAUGGUUCUUUUCAAUAUCAAGGUACAUAUGUUAUGAUUUCUUUGUUUCAUAAAGAUUAGACAAGAUAAACAUUGUGAAAAAAAGGUUGUCAUAGUUAAUGUAAAAUGAUAUGUUUUGAUCAUUUUUAAAGGUGGCAAACAUUUUAUUUUAUUUGUAUUUAAGAACAAUGUCUUUUCUUAUACAAUGUUAUUUUAAUUUUCUUUUGACAGAUUUUGCAAGCUUAAACAAUUUGGAGAUAUUGGAUUUGAGUGGUAAUUUCUUCAAUGGAAUUUUUUCAUCAUCUAUAAGAUUUAAGUCUUCUCUCAAGUCUUUAUCCUUGGCUGUAAAUGGACUCAGUGGUUCUUUACAAUAUCAAGGUACAUAUGUUAUGCUUUCUUCGUUUCAUAGAGAUUAGAGAGGAUAAACAUUGUAAAAAAAAAAAAGUUGUCAUAGUUAAUGCAAGCUAAAACUAAAAAACUUGCUUUUUCAAUUAUGUAAGCAUGUUUUGUUCUUGAUGAAUCUUUACAACAUUCAAAGUUACUAAUAUUUAUAAUUCAUAGAGACCUCAUUAACAACCACUAACAACUAAUUGUAAGUAACUAUGAAAAAAGUAAGGACAAAAAUGAGGGAAAAGCAAGGAAAGUGACAAAUUUUUUCAUCCCCAUAAAAAAUGCUAAGGAAGAAAAAGGUGAAGAAAAUUUAAAGAAAGUAUAUUUUUCAAAAAUUAAAUUUUCUUUCCCUUAAAGUUGGUAUGGACAACCAAACAAGAAAAUGAUUUUGAAAUUCUUUUUUGACUUUUUUCUUUCAUUUUUUUUCCUACUCUAUUUUCUUUCCCUCAAACUUUCUAGGUAGUAAACAUUACCUAAGACAAAUAGGGAAGAAAAUAUUUUAUCAUUUAUUUAUUUAGCAUUUUUCUUACAUUUUUUGUAUUUUAUCCAAAUAUAAGAAAACUAUUUUUCUUUAUUUUUUCUUUUCCUUGUUGCGUUUCAAGAAUCAAGCAUACUUUAAACUCUAAUUAAGAGUUACAUAGAUUUACGAAGAAACGAUGCAACUGGUAACAAAAAAUUAAGGAAAUUUAAUUUUUGAGAGUAAGUAUAAUGAGAUUGGUUUGUUUGAUACAAAAUUUGAAUAAAAAUUCUUUUAAUGAAAAUUCAAGGAAAGGAAAAAAAAAACAACUUUAUCUCUAGACUAUAAUACUAAAUCAAUUAAAAAAAAUCUCCUAACAUCGUUUAUGUUCAUCUUUCUUUUUAUGGAUUUGAAAAACUCAAUAAUUUGGAGAAAACUGAUUUAAGGAAGAAUAUUUUUUAGAGUAAAAGAUUAUUAUUUAAGAAUAUCAUAAAUAUUAUAGUCAUUGUUGAAUAUGAUAAAUGAUAAAUAAAAAAUAAAAAAUAAAUAAAAAGUCGUUGGAAAUUUAGAUACUUUUAUGGAAAGAUAGACAAAGUGCUCUAGUUUAUAAUACUAAUGCACUUUUCUAAUUUGAUAUGAAAAAAGGUAAAACGAUAGGUUUUGAUCAUUUUUAAAGGUAGUUUGUUUAAAUCAUUUUAAUUUAUUUUGAUUUAUGAACAAUAACUUUUAUUACACUAGUUAUUUUGAUUUUCUUUUGAUAGAUUUUGCAAGCUUAAGCAAUUUGAAGGUAUUGGAUUUGAGUUAUAAUUCAUUUAGUGGGAUCGUUCCAUCAUCUAUAAGAUUGAUGUCUUCUCUCAAGUCUUUAUCUCUGGCUGGAAAUGACCUCAAUGGUUCCUUACCAAAUCAAGGUACAUAUAUUGAGAUUACAGGUUUUUCUGUUUUCUUUUUUAAUAUCUUGUUUGUUCUUUAUGCCAAUGAAGUCAUGCAUGUCUAUUAAUUUUUGGUAUUUAAUGAAAAACUUUAUUCUUAAUUCAUAAAGACCUCAUCAACUGUGAGUAACAGCUAGUUGUAAGUUUGGGGGCAUUGACAAGACGAGGAGAUGAUUGGUUACAUGUCUUAUUCUCUUUUGUAGGCUUUUUCCAAUUGAAUAAGCUUCAAGAGUUGGAUCUUAAUUACAACUUAUUCCAAGGGAUCCUUCCUCAAUGUUUGAAUAAUUUGACAUCUCUAAGGUUAUUAGAUCUCUCUUCCAACCUAUUCUCCGAAAAUCUUUCUUCCACUCUGUUACCUAAUCUCACAUCCCUGGAGUACAUUGAUCUCAGUUACAAUCAAUUUGAGGGUUCAUUCUCUUUCAGCUCUUUUGCUAAUCACUCCAAGCUUCAAGUGGUCAUACUUGGAAGUUAUAACAACAAAUUUGAGGUAGUUGGAAGGGAUAACAACAAAUUUGAGGUAGAAACUAAAUAUCCAGUUGGUUGGGUUCCCCUGUUUCAGUUGAAACCUCACCGGUGACCUUCCUGGUUUUCUUCAAUACCAAUUUAGAUUAACGGCAGUUGAUCUCUCCCAUAAUAACUUGACAGGAAGUUUCCCCAAUUGGCUGCUUGAAAACAAUACGAGAUUGGAAUUUCUGCUCCUGAGGAAUAACUCUUUAAAGGGUCAACUACUUCUCCUAGGACCUAAUACCCUGAUCAGUUCGUUGGAUAUCUCACACAAUCAGUUGGAUGGACAACUUCAAGAAAAUGUGGCCCAUAUGAUUCCAAAUAUUUGGAAGUAUUCCCAAUUCAAUCUCUAGACUUCUAGAGCUAAGGAUUCUUUUGCUAAGAGGAAACCUUUUAAGUGGUUUCAUUCCAUAUCGACUUUGUCAUUUGACUAAAAUAAGCUUGAUGGAUCUUUCAAACAACAAUUUUUCUGGGUUAAUUCCUGGAUGCUUUGGUCAUAUCGGAUUUGGAGAUUUCAAAACUGAGCACAAUGUGUAUAUACCGAUGUUGGAUUCAUAUUCAGAAAGCAAUCCUUCUAUAUAUACGGGUUACUUAAUAAAAUAUUUAUUUUUCUCUAGUGAACUCCCUGAUAAAGUAGAUGAAGUUAAGUUUGUUACCAAGAAUAGGUAUAGCUCCCACAUAGUAGAUAAAAAUAUUUGUUCGGAAUUUAGAUAUUUUUAUAGAAAAGUAGACAAGUAUUCUAAUUUAUAAAAACAAUGCAUUUCUUUAGUUUGGUAUAAAAAAAUGAAAUGAUAGGUAUUGGUAAUUUUUUUUAAAGUAGCAAACGUUUUAUUUUAUUUGUAUUUAAGAAAGAUGUCUUUUCUUAUACUAGUUAUUUUAAUUUUCUUUUGACAGUUUUUGCAAGCUUAAGCAAUUUGGAGAUACUAGAUUUGAGUUCUAAUUCCUUAAGUGGGAUUAUUCCAUCAUCUAUAAGAUUGAUGUCUCAUCUCAAGUUUUUAUCGCUGGUCGGAAAUCACCUCAAUGGUUCUUUACAAAAUCAAGGUACAUAUGUUAUGAUUUGUUUGUUUCAUAUAGAUUAGAGAAGAUAAAUAUUGUAAAAAAAAAAAGUUGUAGUUAAUGUAAGUUAGAAAAAAGUAUCUUGCCUUAUAAAUUAUAUAAGCACGUGUUUGUUCUUAAUGAAUCUUUACAACAUUUAGAGUUACCAAUCUUUAUAAUUCAUAAAGACCUCAUAAACACUGAGUAACAACUAAUUGUAAGUAAUUGUGGAAAAGUAAGGAAAACAAAUUGCUUCAUUUGAUACAAAAUUCGAAUAAAAAUUCUUUUAAUGAAAACUCAAGGAAAGGAAAAAACAUUUUUAUCUCUAGAUUAUAAUACUAAAUCAUGUAAAAAAUCUCGUAACAUCAUUUAUAUUCAUAUUUCUUUUUAUAGAUAUGAAAAAUUCAACAAUUUGGAAUAAACUUAUUCAAUGAAGAAUAAUUUUUAGAUUUAAAGAUUAUUAUUUAAGAAGAUCGUAAAUAUUACCAUCAUUGUUGAUGUCUAAGAAGAUCAUAUUCAACAAUUUUUUUAAUAUGUUGUUUUCUAUGGUAAUUAAUUGAUGUCUUGUAAUUUUUAAUAUUUAAUGAAAAACAUUAUUUUAAUUCAUCUAGAGCUCUUAAUUCAUGAAGACCUCAUUAACGGUGAGUAAUAGUUGGCUGUAAGUUUGGAGUCAAAGACAUUUCAAGGAGAUGAUUAGUUACAUGUCUUGUUCUCUUUUGUAGGUUUCUGCCAAUUGAAUAAGCUUCAAGAGUUAGAUCUUUCUUACAACUUAUUCCAAGGGACCCUUCCUCCAUGUUUGAAUAAUUUGACAUCUCUGAGGUUAUUGGAUCUCUCUUCCAACCAUUUAUCCGGAAAUCUUUCUUCGCCUCUGUUACCUAAUCUCACAUCCCUGGAGUAUAUCGAUCUCAGUUACAAUCAUUUUGAGGGUUCAUUCUCUUUCAGCUCUUUUGCUAAUCACUCCAAGCUUCAAGUGGUCAUACUUGGAAGUGAUAACAACAAAUUUGAGGUAGAAACUGAAUAUCCAGUUGGUUGGGUUCCCCUGUUUCAAUUGAAGGCUCUUUUCCUAUCCAACUGCAAGCUCACCGGUGACAUUCCUGAUUUUCUUCAAUACCAAUUCAAAUUAGAGGUGGUUGAUCUAUCCCAUAAUAACUUGACAGGAAGGUUCACCAAUUGGUUGCUUGAAAACAACACGAGACUAGAAUUUCUAGUCCUAAGGAAUAACUCUUUAAUGGGUCAACUACUUCCCCUGAGACCUAAUACCCGUAUCCUUUCAUUGGAUAUCUCACACAAUCAGUUGGAUGGACGACUUCAAGAAAAUGUGGGCCAUAUGAUUCCAAAUAUUGUGUUUCUAAAUUUAUCCAACAAUGGUUUUGAAGGUCUUCUCCCAUCCUCAAUAGCUGAAAUGAGUUCCUUAAGGGUGUUGGAUUUGUCUGCCAAUAAUUUCUCAGGAGAAGUACCAAAGCAGUUGCUUGCAACAAAAGAUUUGGUGAUUCUAAAAUUAUCAUAUAAUAAAUUUCAUGGUGAAAUAUUUUCAAGGGACUUUAACAUGACUGGGUUGGAUAUUUUGUAUUUAGACAAUAAUCAGUUCAUGGGAACUCUGUCAAAUGUAAUCUCCGGAAGCUCUCAGUUAAUGGUGUUGGAUGUGAGCAACAACUACAUGUCAGGUGAAAUUCCAAGCGGGAUAGGUAACAUGACAGAAUUGAGAACAUUGGUCAUGGGCAACAAUAAUUUUAGAGGCAAAUUACCACCUGAGAUUUCUCAAUUGCAACAGAUGAAGUUUCUUGACGUUUCUCAAAAUGCUCUUUCAGGAUCUCUUCCUUCUUUGAAGAGCAUGGAGUAUUUAGAGCAUCUACAUUUGCAAGGGAACAUGUUUACAGGAUUAAUACCGAGAGAUUUUCUCAAUUCCUCAGAUCUAUUGACUUUGGAUAUGCGAGAUAACAGGUUAUUUGGAAGUAUUCCCAAUUCAAUCUCUGCACUUUUGGAGCUAAGGAUUCUUUUGCUAAGAGGAAACCUUUUCAGUGGUUUCAUUCCAAAUCAUCUUUGUCAUUUAACUAAAAUAAGCUUGAUGGAUCUUUCAAAUAACUCUUUUUCAGGGCCAAUUCCCAAAUGCUUUGGCGAUAUCCGAUUUGGGGAGAUGAAAAAGGAGAAUGACGUGUUUAGACAGUUCAUUGAUUUUGGGUAUGGAGGGGAUUCUCGUAAUUUAUAUGUUGGAUUCACGGUGAAAAAAUGGGAGUUCGAUAGUGAUGUAUAUGAUGAAAAAAAUGAAGUUGAGUUUGUCACCAAGAACAGGCAUGACUCCUACAGUGGUGACAUCCUUAAUUUCAUGUUUGGAUUGGACUUGUCAUGUAAUAACUUAACCGGUGAAAUCCCUCACAAACUUGGAAAGCUAAGUUGGAUUCAUGCAUUGAACUUGUCUCACAAUCAAUUGAAGGACUCCAUUCCAAAGAGUUUCUCCAAUCUUUCUCAAAUAGAGAGCUUGGACCUUUCUUAUAAUAAAUUAAGUGGAGAAAUUCCUCUAGAGCUAGUUGAACUCAAUUUUCUAGAGGUGUUCAGUGUGGCUUACAACAACAUCUCUGGUAGAGUUCCAGAUACAAAAGCACAAUUUGGGACAUUUGAUGAAAGAAGCUAUGAAGGUAAUCCUUUUCUCUGUGGGACAUUGUUAAAGAGAAAAUGCAACACAAGUAUCGAGCCACCAUGCGCACCAUCACAAUCUUUUGAAAGUGAGGCAAAAUGGUAUGAUAUCAAUCAUGUUGUUUUCUUUGCAAGUUUUACUACUUCAUAUAUCAUGAUCUUGUUAGGAUUUGUUACCAUCCUUUACAUCAAUCCUUAUUGGCGUCAUAGAUGGUUCAAUUUUAUCGAGGAAUGUAUAUAUUCCUGUUAUUAUUUUGUUUUUGAUAAUCUUUCCAAGUUAUCAGCAUAUUUGUAUAAUUAGAUACUUUUAAUUGGAUGAUGUUUGCAUAAUUAACUACUAUUUGUUUCCACUAGAUAGAAAGAAAUGGGAUGUAUAAUUGCUACAAGUUGAAACUUACAUACUUUGCUCAAAUUUUGACAUCUUUUGAUUUUAUUUUCAAGUUCCGUUAUUUUUUAUGUAUUGUUUAAUUCAAGAUUUAACCAUAUUUUGUUACUCUUAUAAAAACAAAUUCAAAUUUUUAGGAAGUUUUAGCAUUAAAAUAAUUUCAUAGUCAUAUUUUAAAAAAUAAAGAAGAAAGAAAAUAAUAAAUAAUUGGAAAAACAAUUCAAGGGAGUAUUAAAUUAUCAUCUUAGAAUUGUUUGGCAUAGUAUGGGAAUUCAAAAAUAAUCUUUCAAUUUGUUAGAAGCGUUUAUUUAUUUAUUAUAGCAAUGAUUGAAAUAUCAAUCACAAAGCAAUGUUUUCUUUUCUUUUGUAGGGCACUAACACUUUUUCUUUGAUCGUAAUAAUUGAUAAAUAUAUUACACAAUUAUUUGUUUUUAAAAAGGGAGGGAUGACAAAUAUAAUAACAUGUGAAAUAUUUCUAAAUGAUGGGAAAUAAGCCAAUCUAAUUAGGGUGCAAUAUUAUUCAUUUUAAUUUAUAUGAAUUUACUUAUUUUUAUUUGUAUCAUAUUUUGAACCAUUUUAUGAAAUUAAGGGAGAUUAAAACAUCGAGUUUCUUAUUUUAAUUUAUAUUUUUAAUAAUAAAGCAUGAAAUAUUUUUUUUUUUAAAAUCAUGAAUUUCUUUAAUUCCUUAGGAAACCAAUAUAUAAAAAAAUUGAAUAUAUUAUGAUUUUAUGUCCUAAAUCUCUAAAUUUGUUCAUCACGUAUUUAUUUUUAUAUUAAAUUUAUUAUUAUUAAUUAUUUAUUAUAUAUUAUUAUUUUAUGUUUAAAAAUGUCCAUAAAUAAUUAAAAUUAAUAAAUAAAAAAAAUGAAAUAUUAAAAAAAUUAAAUUAAAAAGAUUUCAUCAAACUAACAUAUUUAAAAAAAAAAAAAAGCAAAAAGAAGAUGGGGAUAUUAUAGAUGAGGGGAAAAAGAUAAAAAAUAAAUAAAAAUUAUGCGGUAUGAUAAUUGCCUCGUGUUAAAGUUAUUUUCUUUUAAAAAUAAUAAUUGUAAUGAUGAACUCAUUUGUCUUAUUAAAGUAAACAAAAAUGAAGAAAAAAAAAAAGUUGUAGUUGGCUAGAGGUGAGAGAGAGAGAGGAGGGUUUGAGUGUAAGUUUGAAAUAUUAAUUAUUUUCACUAAGUAGAUAUUUUGAAGGUUAUUUUCCCCAAAACACAUAUUCUUUUAAUAAAAAAUCAAAAUUUUAGAUUAUUUGUUCCUUUAAACUUUAGUUUGAAUAAAAUUAGUUUUAAUUAUUUUCUUUUUGGAAUUAUAUUUAACACAUUAUUAAAAAUAUAAAAAAAUAUUAUUAGGUUUUUAUGUGCUGAUUGGGUUUUUUAAAUACCCAAUAUGCCCUCCAAUCUACCACUUAAGCAUCCGAUAUGGCUAAAAAUAAAUUAAAAAAAAAAAAAAGGAAAAAAAACAAAAGUGUAUGAUCCUCUUUCUCGAGUCUUCACAUUUUCAGACACUGAACCCAAAUCAAAAUUAAUCCUCCAAAUUAAUUUUCACCUCGAACCCAAACCCUAACUGCUGCCCCGUUUUCUCCUCAAACAUAGCUAUCCGAAAAACCCUAACCUCUGCCUCGUCUUCCUCUUAUCCCGGAAACCUAAAUCCCGUGACCCUAACCCCUUCUCUUUCCGAAAACCCUCCGGAAUAGGAAGAUUCAUAAUUCUUCAGAAUUAAUUUUCACCUCGAAGCCAGACCCUAACUGCCUCAUCUUCCUCUCAUUCAUAUCCUAAAAGUAGCUUCAACAGUCAGGCCUGUAGCCAUGAAAGCCGUAAUGAUCGCCACUUCCGGUGAUCCCCAAGUUCUCCAAGUGCAAGAAGUCGAAAACCCUAAAAUUGGAGAU